This 354255-nucleotide long non-coding RNA is filed under the name Ananas comosus (pineapple). RNAcentral describes it as "long non-coding RNA (ACOM_LNC010281)". The record is from RNAcentral. Lineage: Eukaryota; Viridiplantae; Streptophyta; Magnoliopsida; Poales; Bromeliaceae.
CGACUAUUUGAUAAGUUGAGCUGGGGUAUGAAUUGGAAUUGAAGUGAGAUAGUUUCGAGGACGAAACUCUUUUAAGGAGAGGAGGAUGUAAGGUACCGGACUUCUAAAAUCAUGAAGUUACGGUGUACAUUUGGUUUGAAAGCCAUUUGAAUGGUUCUGGUGAGGUUGCGAUGGAAUGUAAUAUACCGGAUUUUUAAAUAUAAAAAUAAAAAUAAAUAAAAAUAGUAUGAGAUACUAUUUUUAUUGGAUUUAGAGGAGUAAAACAUAAGUCAGAAGUGACUUGUGCGGAAAUCGGAAUGAAAACAGAAGAUUUAGAAUUUUCUGUUAGAAACGGGGCAGAUAAAUAAGCAGAAAAUGCACAGUCUCAGAAAAUUAUGAAAAUUGGAGGAUAAGUCAGAAAUAUUUUUAUGAGACUAGAUUUAAAGUUUCAUAUUUUUAUGACACACGUAGAGUGAGAAAUAAAAUCCGACAGCUAUCUGAUAAAGAUUACAGUUCGGUACAGUUUUCGGUGACCAAAUGGGGUCGAAACUGAAAACUUAAAAUAUAUUCUUACUCAGUACGUUAAACUGAGCUUCCCUGUCAAAUUUGAGCUCAAACGGACAUUCAGAAGGGCUCAAACUGUUCCGAACUGCAAAAACUGCCUGAAGUGAAUAGUGUUUUGGGGUGUAUUAUAAAGAAGAUGUUGCUUCUUCUUCCCCAACCGACCAGCACCCCACCACCCUCUCGUGCGCAUGGUGAGAGAGAGAGAGAAAGCUCCUUUCUCUCUCUAGAUUUCUCUCUCAUUUCUCUAUAUUUCUCGCUCAAAUUCGCGGGGUUGGUGGAGAAGAUGCUUGCGAACGCAUUGGAGGCGACGGAUCGAGCUUUCGUGCGCCCGUUGGAGCGGCGUAUUUUCGUCGCGGCGUUCACAUUGAGGUAAGCUUUUGGGAUUUGGCUUAAUCCUUAGCUUUAAGUGUUCUAAUAGCCUCUAAUGAGCUUUGUUAGCAUGUUGAUCCAUUUAAUUUUGGAUUAUUUUGAGGUUAAUUGCAUAUUAGGGCUCCGAAUGGGGUUUUGUAAAAUAUAAGGGUUUGAUCUAAUUUGACCCUUCGUAAACCUAAUUGCUAGGUAAACGAACGCGUUGGCGAAGACGGUUCGGCGAUUCGUCGAGCCGGUGCGAAGUUAUUAAAGAAACGGACGUUUAGGCUUCAUUUUCGUCUGAAGGGCCUAGGCGACGUCGUAAAAUCCUGGAAACGGAUUUGAAGCACCGUAACAGCAAAACGAAGACCCUUUUUGCCCGAGGUUGCGAAGCGAUGCGCGGUUGGUGCGCAAUUGCAAGUUCCGGCGGAACCGAGCACCGGGUGCCGCGGGAGGCCGAUUGCAAGUGUCGACAAGCAAUCGGAAUGCGAAAUGAGGUGGGUUGUGCUUACCGAAGCGACUAGGUCGCCCUUUAUGUCUAAGAAACAUACGAAUUCACAUUGAUGCAUAUAGUUGUAUUGGUAGGCUUACAUGAUAAUAUGAAUGCUUGAAACAUAUUAUGUAGUUGAUAUUACCUACCAAUGAGAUGAAAUGUAUAAUGAAUUAAAUGGUAAAAGAAUGCAUGAGAUGCUAAGUAUAGACUACUUUGGAUGAUGAUUAAAUGUAUGUUGACAUAUCAUAUAAUGUGCAUGAUGACAUGUUGUGAAUUAACAUAUUGUGGAUUAUGUUAAAUAGAAACAUAUACAUGAUGACAUAUAUUGCAUAUGAUAGAAGAAUUAUACAUGUUGCCAUAUUGUGGAACAUAGUGGAUGAAUUAUGCAUGUUGAACUUGGUCGAUUAGAGAAAUUGACAUUGGAAAACAAGAACACAUCGAGUGGCAUUAAUGUAGUGUAUUUGACACUAGAGGUUUGAGAACCUAGGGAUAGGUGAAUCCCUUAGAAAAUGCCUUGUGGAUAAAGAACUUAGUAAACCUAAGUACCCUCACAUGGAGAGGUUGUCGAUGAGUUAUUGAGAUAUUGACUCUAGUUGUAGAGCAUCCUCACUUGGAGAGGAUUUGAUUGGGUUGUUGACUCUAGUUGUAGAGCAUCCUCACUUGGAGAGGAUUUGAUUGGGUUGUUGACCCUAGUUGUAGAGCAUCCUCACUUGGAGAGGAUUUGAUUGGGUUGUUGACUCUAGUUGUAGAGCAUCCUCACUUGGAGAGGAUUUGAUUGGGUUGUUGACCCUAGUUGUAGAGCAUCCUCACUUGGAGAGGAUUUGAUUGGGUUGUUGACUCUAGUUGUAGAGCAUCCUCACUUGGAGAGGAUUUGAUUGGGUUGUUGACCCUAGUUGUAGAGCAUCCUCACUUGGAGAGGAUUUGAUUGGGUUGUUGACUCUAGUUGUAGAGCAUCCUCACUUGGAGAGGAUUUGAUUGGGUUGUUGACCCUAGUUGUAGAGCAUCCUCACUUGGAGAGGAUUUGAUUGGGUUGUUGACCCUAGUUGUAGAGCAUCCUCACUUGGAGAGGAUUUGAUUGGGUUGUUGACCCUAGUUGUAGAGUAUCCUCACUUGGAGAGGAUAGAUCUAGCUCACAGUCUGCGUUUGGGAUGGUAUAGCCAUCCAAUCCCCACAUGGAGGGGAUUGUCGUCGAGUACUCCGGAGUGUCGCGCGACUAGGACCACUUGGAGGUCCGGACCACAUGGAGGUCCGCAGACGGUCCCGGGCUUGGGUGCACUUGGAGCUCCCUCCCCACUUUGGGAUUGAAAGGUGAGUUAUUGGCGAACCCUAGGGCUUCGCUACAGAUUGGGUAAAAGAACAGUGAACAAUGUCAUUGAACAUUAUUAUUCGAACAUGGAUCGAAUUCGUUAGCAUGAUAGUAAACCUUUACUAUUUGAUGCAUGGUAUGAGUUUUAGUUGCAUCCCAGUUGAGUGGAUUUAGGGCUGAGGUGCAUGUGAGACAUCCUUCACCUUGAGCCUGGCUUUGUGCGGUAUUCCGCGUAUGAUUGACUCAAGACCGAGUCGAGUGGAUAGCUUAUGAAAGCAGGUUAAACCUUAUGAGCAGAAUUGUAAUUGACAAGAAUCUAAGAUAGAGGAAAACUUAGAAGUCAAUUGGUUGAACUGUGAAUAACAGGAAUAAAAGUAGUAUCGAUUGAACUACUAGUUGGUUGCAUGGUUGCAUAAACUGCAUGAAUUUCAUAUUGCAUAUUGUGAGGCACAACAUGUAUUUCAAUACUUGAAUAUAUAUAUCUGUUGGAUAUCUGUUGGACUAACAUGUUGCAGGGCCUCCUUAGACCUAUUGGUCGAGCUUUUCCCUUGGGUGGCCGUACCCACUGGGAACCAUGGAGUUGGUUCUCACCCCACGUUGUUUUGGGGUGUUACAGGUUCGCACGUGAGCGGCGCGGCGGCGCAAGGCGAGGGCGUAGCUCCAUAGAUAGCGCCCUACCCCAGAGACCAGAGAUAGAGGUACCCCGAGUCGGCAUAGCCUAGGGGUAGAGGGAAAAGAAAAAGAGCAAACUUGUAAUAAUAUUGCGAUCAUUGAUUGUAUUUGGAAGAAAAUGUAAUGUAAUAAUGCUAAUGUGAUGUAAAAAUGAAUCUAAUGGGAAUGCUUGUAAUAACAUAGGAUGUGUUAUGUUGUUUGAUACCUUCCUUAUGCAAUCUUGCUUGAAUACUGUUCCUGGUUGGAACUUCUUGUACUUGUAUUGAUUGCGACGCCUAGGACGUACAGGGGAGACUCUGUCCGUUCGGCGGUCUGUCGGCGGCGCCGCGACCUCGGCCAAAUAGGCGGGUGGUCGCGGGUCGUGACAGUGAGGGAAGGAAAGAUGAGAGCAAUCUUCUCUUGAAGUAGAAUCUUCACAAAGAAAAUGAUUGCGGAGGUGCGCUUUGGAAAAGGUAUGAAAGUUCCAAGUAUUGGUUUGGUAGUAGCAAACGUCGUCAUUUAGAAUGUUUAAAACAGUGUGAAGAAGGAUAGGAGUAAUGGCAAGAGCACGUCCCCGAUAGCAGGAAGUAAUGGUAGUAAAUUCGGAAUUAAAAGUAGCAUUUGCAUAAAAAGUCCUAAUUAGGUCCGGAUAAAAAGGUCGUGAAUUUUGAACAAAAAAAUCCCAACCUACUUGUGUGAGCCUAUCCAAAAGUUCAUAACAAUCAAAGUUUAGAUGAUGAAUGUUACGGCAAGGUUGAACGGGACAACCUAAAAGAAAUUUAUCUUGAGCUUCCCUAGAGAUAAAAUUAAAAGCAUCAAAGUCAUCAUUUGAAUAAUCUCUAUGUGAGGAAGGGCCACGAGAUGCAUUUUUAGUUCUAGGCAUUUGUCAAAUUAUUUUUUUUAAAAAAAAUCUAGGGUUUAUGCAAAAGAUGAGCAAAAUGAAAGAUCUAAGAUGAAAUGAUGUAGAUCUAGGUAGAGAAAAAGAUUAUGUUGAACAAAGUACAAGAAAUUUGUAAAAAAAAAUUUUUUUUUUUUAAACAUGGUUAGGGUUAACAGCAGAAAAGAAAAAAAAAAGAAAAGGAAAAAAAAAUUACCACAGAUGGGGAGAAAUGGAGAGGAAAUCCGAGUUCUGGAAGAGAUUUGGGCGUAGCUGAUGCGGGUUGGGCGCAAGAAAUGGGCGACUGGACUGGGAGGAGUACGGAGAAGAGAAGAAAAGAAAAAAAUUUGAAAGAGAGAGGGCCUGUCGGGUGCUAGGACGACAAGAGGGCUCGCUCGCGGGUUUCAGGCACGAGUGCGAGUCGACGCGGUCGCCCGGAUCCGCAACCCGGAACCCACCAAGGCAGUCAAAACCGGCAAGGUGGUCAAACGGAGUUUCAGGCGCGGGUGUGAACCGAACUAGUCGCCUGGAUCCAAAACCCGAUAACCUGCUAGAGCUACUGCGGUUACCGCAUGUUUCGAGCGCCCGAAAUUUUUUUUCGGGAGACCGAAAAAUGGCGUGCAAAAAGCAAAAAAAAAAUGAUUCCAGCUAAUAAACAGCGAGGCAAAUAACACUCAUUCAAAAACAAAGAAAAAAUCAAGCAUUUAAAUCAAUCAUUCCUAAUUCUCUUCUAAGUUGAGUGAACCUAUCCUUACUAAGUGGUUUAGUAAAAAUGUCCGCUAAUUGAUGAUGGGUGUCCACAAAAUCUAUAGUGACAUCUCCUUUUAGAAUAUGAUCUCUAAUGAAAUGAUAUCUAAUUUCAAUGUGUUUAGUUCUAGAAUGUUGAAUAGGAUUUCUAGAUAGGUUGAUGGCACUAGUAUUAUCACAUUUGAUUGGAACUUGUUUUUGAUGCACUCCAAAGUCCUCAAGGGUUUGUUUCAUCCAUAAAACUUGUGCACAACAACAACCCGCCGCGAUAUACUCGGCUUCGGCGGUUGAAAGUGCAACAGAAUUUGCUUUUUCGAAAACCAUGAGACUAAGGAGUGACCAAGAAAUUGAUAAGUUCCACUCGUACUUUUCCGAUCAACUUUGCACCCGGCAAAGUCGGCAUCCGAAAAGCCAAUGAGAUUAAAAUUAGUGCCCUUGGGAUACCAUAAUCCUAAGUUGAGAGUCCCCUUAACAUAUCUAAGAAUUCUCUUUACGGCCACUAGGUGUGACUCCUUAGGUUGAGUUUGAAACCGAGCACAAAAGCAAACACUAAACAUAAUGUCCGGCCUACUUGCGGUAAGAUAAAGUAAACUACCAAUCAUACCUCGGUAGAGCUUGAUGUCAGCAUCCUUGCCUUUUUUGUCCUUGUCAAGUUUAGUUGAAGCACUCAUUGGAGUGUUUGUCUCCUUUGAGUUUUCCAAGCCAAAUCUGUUGAUUAGACCUUUUGCAUACUUGGCUUGAUUAAUGAAUAUUUCAUCCUUCAUUUGUUUAACUUGGAGUCCAAGGAAGAAUGAGAGCUCCCCCAUCAUGCUUAUUUCAAACUCAUUUUGCAUUAGUUUAGAGAAUUCUUUGCAAAGAGAUUCAUUAGUAGCACCACAUAUAAUAUCAUCAACAUAGAUUUGUAUAAUGAGAAAAUCUUUAUCCUUAAUUUUGAUAAAUAAUGUGGUGUCAACUUUUCUUCUUGAAAAAUUAUUUGAAAUAAGAAAAGUGCUAAGUCUUUCAUACCAAGCCCUAGGAGCUUGUUUUAACCCGUAGAGCGCUUUUGAAAGCUUAAAAACGUGAUCCGAAAAGUUAUGUUUUUCAAAACCGGGUGGUUGCUCAACAUAGACUUCUUCAGAAAUAUAUCCAUUUAAGAAAGCACUUUUUACAUCCAUUUGAAAUAACUUGAAAUUCAUGUAAGAGGCAAAAGCCAAAAGAAUUCGAAUAGCUUCAAGUCUAGCCUUGUUUCAAACCACAACACUGGAUUCAUCUUGCUUGUUUCGGAAAACCCAUUUAGUGCCAAUAAGGGUAUGAUCACUUGGUCUUUCCACAAGCAUCCAAACUUGGCUCCUCUCCAAUUGGUUGAGUUCUUCUUGCAUCGCAAUGAGCCAAUUUUCAUCAUUAAUCGCUUCAACAAAAUUUUUAGGUUUAAUUUGAGAUAUGAAAGCCAAGUGAUCACAAAGUAAUCUAAGAGAGGAUCUUGUCUUGACUUUUUGACUUGGAUCUCCAAUGAUGGAGUCCUUGGGGUGAUAAGUGGUGAAUUUCCACACUUUAGGUAAGGGAGUGGGUUCAAUCUCUUUAGAGAUGAACUCCUCACUUUUCUUAGAUGGUUCAACUUCUUGGGGUGUGGAGUUUAUAUUUAGCUUCUCAAAGUAUCUUCAUAGGAAGUAUCCUUUCCCUUAUAUUCUUCAAAGAGAAUGUGCAUACUAUCCUCUAUUAUUAAAGUUCGUCGAUUAUACACUCGAUAGGCUUUACUAAUAGAGCAAUAACCCAAGAAUAUUGCUUCAUCGGAUUUAGCAUCAAACUUUCCCAGCUUGUCUUUUGUGUUUAAAAUGAAACAUUUACAACCAAAAAUUUUGAAGUAACCAAUAUUGGGAGUUCUAUUAUGCCAUAAUUCGAAAGGAGUCUUCUCAAGGAUUGGUCGAAUUAGAGCACGAUUCAUAAUAUAGCAAGCUGUGUUUACGGCUUCGGCCCAAAAAUAUUUAGGCACUCCCCCUCAAUUAACAUAGAUCUAGUCAUAUAUUGGAUAGAUCUAUUUUUGCGUUCAACAACCCCAUUUUGUUCAGGUGUUCGAGGGGUAACAAAUUGAUGUUCUAUUCCCAAUUCAUUGCAAAACUCUUCGAAGUUAUGAUUUUCGAAUUCACCACCAUGAUCACUUCUAAUUUUGAAAAUUAUACAAUUCUUUUCAUUUUGAAUACGAUAGACAAAGUCUUUGAAGGAUUUGAAGGUAUCAUACUUGUGUCUUAAAAAUAAAGUCCAAGUAUAUCUUGAGUAAUCAUCAACAAUUACGAAAAUAUAGUUGCUUCCACCAAGGCUAGAGACAUCAAUUGGUCCAAAAAGAUCCAUAUGAAUCAAUUCCAAAGGCCUAGUUGUAGAAACAACAUUUUUGGAUUUAAAAGAUGAUUUUACUUGCUUUGCUUGAGCACAAGCAUUGCAAACCUCACCUUUGGCAUAGUCUAUUUUAGGUAAACUUUUUACAAGUUUUCUUUUGGAGAGUUUUGAAAGAGAAUCCAUACUAGCAUAUGCUAAUCUUCUAUGCCAAAGCCACGAUUCGUUAAUUUGAACCGAAAAAUAUUUUUCUCCUUCAUGUGAGAGUUUGCCUAAAUCAACGGUGUAAACAUUCUUGGAUCUAAAACCCAUAAAAGCUACCUCAUUUGUAGAUAGAUCAAGAAUGCUACAAUGAGAUGUUUCAAAUUUAACAAAAUAGCCUUUGUCACAUAAUUGACUAAUGCUUAGUAAAUUAUGCUUAAAACCAUCAACUAAAAGAAUUUUUGAAAUAUUAACCUUUUCAUUACCAAUUGUGCCGAUUCCAAUGAUCUUUCCUCUAGUAUUGUCUCCAAAGGUAACAAAUCCUCCAUCUUUCAUUUCAAUUAAUUUAAACUUGGUUUGGUCCCAAGUCAUAUGUCUUGAGCAUCCGCUAUCCAAGUACCAUUUGUCAUUUGCACCUUUUGAUUGGAGACACACCUACAAAAACAAAUAAAGUUUUUAACUUUGGUACUCAAGUGAGAUUAGGUCCUUUUGAGUUAGUUAAAUCUUUCACAACCCAAAUUUGGUUAAGUUUAGGAUUCUUCUUAUAUUUACAAGAGGAUAUAUGAUGUCCUAUAAUAUUGCAAUAGGAGCAAUGCAAAGUUGGGUUUUGAUUUGUACUUUUAACAAAAACCUUUCUCUUAGCUUUUGUUAACUUGACAUUGUUUGAAUUAGGAACAUAACCUAUCCCAAACUUUUUAAAAUUUACAACUUGACUUCUAAGCAUCAUAUUUAGAUACUUGGUUCCACCAACAAAUUUCUCAAGAGUUUUCUUUGUUUCAUCUAAACUAACUUUGAGUUGUUGAUUUUCAACUUGAAGUUUUUCAAGUUGUUUGUCAUAAUGAAAAAUUGGCUUAAAAUUUUGACCUACAAUUUUCUUCUUUAAAGCUUUAUUUUCACGAAUGAGACUAUAACAUGUCUCAUUAGCUUGUUUAAGCUCUUUCGUGAGUAAAGAGUCCUCAUUUUCAAGUACUAAAAAAGGAUUUGAAGUUGAAAGUUUUAAGUUGUUUACUUCCAUCUCUAAUAAGGCAUUUUACUUUUUGAGAAAUGUAUAUUUCGAACCCAAACUUUGUAGAUUAUCAUAUAAAGAAAAGAAGGCUUCUAAAAGUUCAUCAUAACUUAGAUUAUUUACCUAAUCUUCAAGAGCCAUAAGACAUAGGAUUGAGCUUUGCUCCUCAAGGCAAAUUUGGGCAACUUCGUUUUCCGAUUCAUCAUCGCUAGAUUCGUCGGGGGCAUCCCAAUUUAGUGCAUUGAAGGCUUUCUUUUUCUUGUCUUUCUUAAAAGUUUUGUUUGGAAGAGUGCAUUCACUUUUCAAAUGUCCCGGUUUAUUACAAUUGUAGCAAAUGAUUCCUUCCUUGAAUCCUUCACCUUUGAACACGUCUCGUUUAGGUCUCCUCAAGUUGCGCUUCUUGAUUAGUCAAUCGAGCCUUUUUGAAAUCAUAGCGAUUUCUUCGCUCGAACCUUCUUCACCAUCUUCACUCUCGGAAGCAAUGACUCCCUUAAGUGCAAGGCUUUUCUUUUUCUCGGGAGCCGCUUCGUUGUCAUAUUCUUUGAGGCGUUGUUCAUGCGCCAUGAGUGAUCCAACAAGUUCAUCAAUUUUUACUUUGUCCAAGUCAUGAGCUUCUUGGAUAGCCGUAACCUUAGGUAUCCAACUUCUUGGUAGUACACGAAGAAGUUUUCGUACCAAGUCCGAUUGAGGAAAAUCCUUACCUAAGGCUUUCAAGCUAUUUAUAAUGUUAGUAAAUCUUGUGAACAUAUUCGAAAGGGAUUCACUUUCCUCCAUUUUGAAUAGUUUAUAAUUUGACAUAAACAUGCUUAUUUUAGAUUCCUUCACCCUAAAAGUACCUUCAUGAGUAACUUCUAAUUUAUUCCAAAUCUCUUUAGCCGUUGUGCAUGUAGAGAUUCGGUGAAACUCUUCUCUACUAAGAGCGCAAAGGAAUGAAUUGAUAGCUUUCGCAUUCAAUUGAAAGCGAAAUUUUUCGGCUUCAUUCCAUUCCGCUCUUGAUUUUGAUGGAGCGAUGUAACCACUUUCGAUUAUAUCCCAAAUAUCAAAAUCUAGAGAUUGAAAGAAUAUCUUCAUUCUAAUCUUCCAAAAAGGAUAAUCGGUUCCAUCAAAAAAUGGUGGCCGAACAAUAGAUUGUCCUUUGAUAUUCUUUCCCGUGGAUGCCAUUCUUACUUAGAUUUUAAUCUAAAUAAUGUGAGACCUUGCUCUGAUACCAAAUGAGGAUCAAAAUGGCAACCUAAGAGGGGGGGGUGAAUUAGGUUUUUAAAAUAAAAAUCCAAAUAAUCAAGCAAAUUAAAAACCCGAUGCAAAUAAAAGUGAGGAGUUUAAAGAAAUGCAAACUCGAAAAGCACACGAUCAAUUUGUUUCGAGGUUCGGCACUUUGCCUACGUCCCCGCCAACUUUUCAACACUAGAGAAUGUUGGAUCUCCACUAGAUGAUGCUUUUGCGGGCAAUCACGAAGCCUUCACACCAACACCUUCUUCUUUCAAGCUUCAAGACUUUGCUUUUCUCUUUUUUUACAAAAUUAAAUCUCACUACAAAUUUCACUCAAGUAUAGAGAGAGAAUUGUGAGCUAAGAGUAUUAGAGAUACUAAAUUUUUAAGCUCAAAAUGAACUAUCUAGUUGCUACUGAGAAAGGCCUCAAUACCAUCUAUUUAUAGCCUCGGGCAGCUUUUGUCCAUUGUACUUUCGGGCGCCCUAAACCUGUUUCCGGGCGCCUAGAAGUUGUGCACCCCAGCUGCCUGUUAGACCACGUGCGCCGCUUUUCUUGACUUCAUAAGUUCGGGCCGUCAAAAGUUGUGGGCGCCCAAAUCACGAGCGACAGCUUUUCUGACACGCGCCGCUUCCUCUGGAUUUAGGCCGUCAGAAAUUGUAGGCGCCCAGAUCUUGAGGGACAACUUUUUCUGACAGCCGGAUUUUUCUGGAUUCGGGAUCAUUUUGGGCUCCCAGAAGAUGUGGGUGCUGAGAUUUUCAACGCACGCGCCGCCUGCGUCAGAACUUUUUGGGUUGAUACGCAACCUGUCAAGCCAAAUACUUUCGGUCGCCCAAAACUUAAAUUCGGGCGACCAGAUCCGGUAAAGAAGUUUCUGGACCACUCAAACAGCAAACAGGCAGGAUCCAAAAAGUCUCAUAAGAUUCGGAUCCACUUUAGGGCGCCCAAAACAGGGUCCAGAAAUCGCAACUUGACAGAACACAGAAUUUGAGAAGUUUUUGAAUAUUUAAAAAUCCUAUGCACCUAAUCAAAAGUUAGAAAUUUGUUUAAGUGAUCUAUAAGGUGAUAAGAUGAAUAGUUUUAAACUUAGCUCAAAAUUUCUCACUCUAAUAGAGCAUCAUAUUAAGAAUAGAGAGAGUGAGUUUGUCUUUUUGACAAAGGAAGCAGGUAUAACUUCAAGUCGUGAGGCUCGGUGCUAGAAAAUUACCCAUCUUGAGUCCUUUUUGAAGAUAGAAACAUAAAACUCAAGAUAAAAGAUUAGUCCAAUAAUCGUAAUUAUUUGUUAUCAUCAAAAUCUAAUAAAAGAUUAGGGCCACUAGGCCAACACAUAAUAGGUCAUUUGAACUUCGGAUAGAACCACCCACCUCGUAGUGAUGCCAGAGAGCGAGAAACCAAUUCCCGCGAUUUAUAGACAUCCGCUCCUCUCGACCCACGACAAACGAAGCCGAAACGAGAAUUUUCCUCAAUAGCUCGACGUAGACUCGUCGGAACUUCGAUUCGAGCCGCCCAACGCAUCGGUUUACACUUCAAUAAGGAUGACAAGAGAUCAAACCCAUGUUAGAUCUCUCAUUUCACAAAACCUUAUUUCUAACUCUAGGGUUCAUACAUGAUACCCUAAAACACAAUUUUUCUAGGAUUUCACAGCAUGAAAUAAGCUCUAGAAAUCCAAGAAACUUGAAAACCAAUAAAUUAGGAAAUUUAAACCAAACCGUAACCAAGAAGUGCAAGAAACCUUGUCACGCCCCGAGCUCCGCCAAUUUGGUCGGAUUCGAGCACGCGACUGACAACGAACGGACAGUACCUCCCCUGUCCGCCCAAGGCUCCAACAAUAAGUAUAUUACAAGCAAGUCAAAGGAGAAUUGCGGAAUAUACAAGGUUUGCACGAGGGCAAACAACAACACAAGUGAAAGCAUCGAAACUAACUAAACAUCCAAUACAUGUCAUUUGAUUACAUUUGCAUCAAACACAAGUAGUUUAUACAUUUAUUUACAUCACGACUUUCUUUAACCAAGAUAUAAUUUACAUCACUUUCACAUUGCUAUUUCAACAUGCAACAGUUGAGUACACCAAAAGUAGGGUAUGCCUAUGUAACUCCGGGGUUGCUAUCUACGGCGCGACUCCCUUGUCUCGAUCCUCCGCCGCCCCGCUCACGUACGGAUCUGCAGGGUUAGUGGUAAUGAGAACUAGAACGAAGUUCCCAGUGGGUUCGGCCGCCGACCACGCCGAUUCGCCCACUAGGUCUAAUUCAGGCAUAUGUAUUUCAAUAAAGAAGAAUAACAAACCAACUAAUGCACUUCUAAUACAAUGCCUGCAAGAAAGAAUUCACAGAAAGAUAUUCAUAUUCAAAUACAUGAUUACUAUGCAUGCAUAUCCUUUUUCACUUUCCUUUGGCCUUUACCCAAUUCAACCUGGGGUGCUCCUGGUUUACCCAACUCACAGUCCACAUAUCCAUCUAACGGGGAAGGCACAAGGCACUACCACCCGAAGGAUCUUCGCCGGGCACGUCCACCUGUGGUGCAUAUCUUCUCCGGAGUACACCGCCCGUGGAGGAGCGACCUCGCACAAGCCGGAACCAAUACAUGUGAGUAUGAUCCCAUCCUCAAAUUUUGAGGAGGUAUGGCCAACCUGUCACAAUUCUCACUGUCUCGAUGCCGCUGAAUGGUUAUUACCUAUUCAUGCACAUACUGUCACUUGCCAAUGUCAUGGUGGUCCUGAUGCCACAAUACACAUAAUGUCGCUCGGGUUAAACCUUGUUUAACUAUUCACUUAUCAAUGUCAAUCAAGUCACUAAUGUCAACGUCACCUUUAUUUACUACGGUCACAGUCAUUUCUUACAUUCACAUGCAUAUAGGGUCUUUAACUAUCUUUGUUCACAUGGAUCUAUAUCAUCACAAUAAUCUUACGCAGAUAAUUGUCACAACCAACAUAUAUUAUUCAUUACCCUACAUGCAAGAAUGCUAUAGUAUCAGCAUGCUCAAAGAAGGGACAUAGACAUAGAAAGAGAUCCGGUGUUUCCGGAUAGCACCCCCCACCUUUGUGUGUCACAAGGAUGCCACGGUUCUGAUUCCGAGAUUUUAGGACACGAUCGUCGCGAGCUACGACGAUCUGUACUAUUUCUGCUUGUCUUUCCAAUAUCUUCGCGCACGCUCGUCGUAUCGCCGAAUCGAGCGCACCGAUGCGUUCGUAGACCUUGGGAGUCCAAAACUUCUCUUCAAAGCCUUGCUCUAGCUCGAUCUUCACCUUGGAGAGUUUCUUCUCCAAGCCUUUCUCCUCCAAAACCCUCUUGGUCCAAGCCCUAGAGAGAGAGAGAGAAGAAGAAAAGGGUUUUAGAGAGAGAGAGGGAAGGUUUGAGAGUGAGAGUGAGAACAAAUGAGUUCUCACUCAUGCCCUAACCCAUAUAACCCCUCUCAAGCCAUAUUUUCAUAUUUGCAUUUAAACCCCUCAACCUUUCGUUUUUACAAACAGCCCUCACUGGGCAUUUUCGGGCUCGGGGACCGGUCUCUCCCCUCCAGGGAUCGGUUCCCGAGAGCUGUCCUGCAACCUACGCAAAAGGGGACCGGUCUCCCCCUGAUGAAACCGGUCUCCGGGGACCGGUCUCCCGCCGAAGGACCGGUUCCCGAGAGCUCAGUUUCCAGGACUUAGCCGAUUUUUCCUUCUGCUCGAUUUACCAACGUUCGGGAACCGGUCACUCACCCAAGGGACCGGUCCCCGAGAGGAAAAAUUCUGGAAAUUAUCCAGAAUUGCAGUUUUACUCUCUCGGGUCCCUUUAUAUUUCAUAUAUAGGCUCCAAUUCACUUUUAGCCUAUAGUAACUCAUUCCUUUCCGCGUUCCGCUCACUUCGACGGAACUCGGCACGAUUCACGGGGAAGUGAUAUGUUACAUUCCCCACCCCUUAAAAUUGUUUCGGCCGCGAAACUAAUUCACUCGUAAUUCAACAUCCAUACCUCAUCUUAGUUCCUCGAAGAGAUGAGGAUGACGUUCCUUCAUCACGCCCUCAAGCUCCCACGUUUCCUCUCGAUCGCCGUGUUCGCUCCAAUGGAUCUUAACAUACGGAAUUUCUCGAUUCCGUAGCUUUCGCACCUCCCGACCAACAAUGUAUGCCGGAAACUCCUCGCAGGUCAUGUCUUCUUGAAGUUCUAUCGAUAUAUACGAGAGAACAUGCUCCGGAUCGUGAACAUACUUGCGGAGAUUAGACACAUGGAACACAUUGUGCACCCCCGCAAGCCUCGGCAGUAAUGCUACUCUGUAGGCCGCCGCGCCAACUCUUUCUAAGAUCUCGAAGGGUCCGACAAAUCUGGGACUUAACUUUCCCCGGACACCAAACCUCUUAACACCGCGCAUUGGCGAUACCUUUAGAAACACGUGGUCUCCAACCGCGAACUCAAUGUCCUUCCUUCGCUUAUCGGCAUAGCUCUUGUGCCUUGAUUGCGCCGUCACUAACCUUUGCCGGGCAAGACGAACUUUUUUCCCCGCCUCCCGAAAAACUUCUGGGCCAAGAUUAAUUUUCUCGCCCACCUCGCUCCAAUGAAUUGGCGAGCGACACUUCCUUCCAUAUAGGGCUUCAAAGGGCGCCAUUGCAAUACUUUCUUUAUAGCUAUUGUUGUAUGCAAAUUCCACCAUCGAUAAGUAAUCAUGCCACCCUCCACGAUAGUCAAGCACACAUACUCGCAACAUGUCCUCGAGUAUUUGAAUCGUCCUCUCAGAUUGUCCAUCACUCUGAGGGUGAAACGCCGUACUAAAAUCGAGCUGCGUACCUAGAGCAUCCUGGAAGCUCCUCAAGAAAUGAGAAGUGAAUCGGGGAUCUCGAUCUGAUACAAUCGACACAGGAACCCCAUGUAGUCUCACUAUCUCGUCCAAGUAAACCUGGGCUAACUUGUCUCCUGACCACGUGGUGUGGAUCGGCAAAAAGUGAGCCGAUUUCGUCAAACGGUCCACAACCACCCAUAUGGCGUUAUGUCUAGCUUGCGAUCGGGGCAGCCCGACCACAAAGUCCAUCGCGACAUUCUCCCACUUCCACACGGGGAUUAGUAGACUCUGCAACUUCCCCGCGGGAAAACGACGCUCAGCUUUUACUUGUUGGCACGUCAUGCAUUGCGCCACGAACUCUCUGAUGUCCUUCUUCAUACCCGGCCACCANGAAAUGAGAAGUGAAUCGGGGAUCUCGAUCUGAUACAAUCGACACAGGAACCCCAUGUAGUCUCACUAUCUCGUCCAAGUAAACCUGGGCUAACUUGUCUCCUGACCACGUGGUGUGGAUCGGCAAAAAGUGAGCCGAUUUCGUCAAACGGUCCACAACCACCCAUAUGGCGUUAUGUCUAGCUUGCGAUCGGGGCAGCCCGACCACAAAGUCCAUCGCGACAUUCUCCCACUUCCACACGGGGAUUAGUAGACUCUGCAACUUCCCCGCGGGAAAACGACGCUCAGCUUUUACUUGUUGGCACGUCAUGCAUUGCGCCACGAACUCUCUGAUGUCCUUCUUCAUACCCGGCCACCAAUAAUGCAAUUUUAAAUCCUUGUACAUCUUAGUGCCGCCCGGAUGAAUACUAUACGGGGUAUGGUGCGCCUCUUGUAACACCAUUUUACGAAUCCCAUCAUCCUUGGGUACACACAAUCGGUUUCGAAACCGAAGUGCACCGUCGGUUCCCACGCCAAAAUCACCGACGCGCCCAUCGCUAACAUCAUUCCGCACCUUUUGGAGAUACGGAUCAUCCGCUUGCCGCUCUUUGACUUGCUCCAAUAAGGUCGGUCGAACUACUAAUGCCGCCAGGAUAGUCGGAACUUCUGGCACCACCACCUCCAAUCCAAACCGUUGCAUUUCCUUAUGCAAUGCCGGUUGACUAGUAAUCGUCGCCGCCAAAUUCUCGACAGACUUUCUACUCAGCGCAUCGGCCACCACGUUGGCCAUUCCGGGGUGGUACAGGAUAGUAAGAUCAUAGUCUUUUAUCAAUUCCAGCCACCGCCGCUGCCGCAUAUUCAACUCCUUCUGGGUGAACAAAUACUUGAGGCUUUUGUGAUCAGUAUACACCUCGCAAUGCUCACCAUAAAGAUAGUGCCUCCAAAGCUUCAGCGCGAAAACAACCGCCGCAAGCUCAAGAUCGUGGGUCGGGUAGUUUUUCUUGUAGCUUUUCAACUGGCGCGAAGCAUACGCAAUGACUCGCCCAUUUUGCAUAAAAACACACCCGAGACCGGUCUAGGAAGCAUCACUAUAUACCAUAAAGCCCUUUCCCGGCGUUGGCAAAGCAAGUACCGGGGUAGACGUCAAUUUCCCCUUUAGCUCUUGGAAGUUUCAGUUGCAACCUUCGCUCCAAUCAAACCUUACUCCUUUGUGUGUAAGGCGUGUGAGAGGAGUGGUCAACUUCGCAAACCCCUCAACAAAACGCCUAUAAUAGCCCGUCAGUCCGAGGAAACUGUGGACUUCCGCCACACUCGUAGGACGGGGCCAAUCUCGAAUCACCUCAAUUUUCUUCGGGUCUACCGAGAUUCCAUUCCCAGAUAUCACAUGGCCUAAGAAGGUUACCUCCGAAAGCCAAAAUUCGCAUUUCUUGAGCUUAGCAUAAAGCCUCUCAUCUCGGAGUAUCUGCAACACGGUUCUUAGAUGUCCCUCGUGCUCUUCUUCACUCCGUGAAUACACCAACACGUCAUCGAUAAACACCACGAUGCACAUAUCCAACAACAGUCGAAAGACCCUAUUUAUCAAGUCCAUAAACGCUGCCGGGUUAUUGGUAAGCCCAAACGGCAUCACCGUAAACUCAUAGUGGCCAUACCGCGUACGGUACGCCGUUUUAUGCACAUCCUUCGGUCGCAUUUUCAACUGAUGAUAUCCCGACUUAAGAUCUAUCUUCGAGUAUACCCGAGACCCCUGCAACUGGUCGAACAGGUCAUCUAUUCUGGGCAACGGAUACUUGUUCUUGAUCGUCACCUUGUUCAACUCGCGAUAGUCAACGCAGAGUCGAAGGGUGCCGUCCUUCUUCUUUACAAACAAUACUGGUGCUCCCCAGGGGGACACGCUUGGCUUUAGGAAACCUUUAUCAAGUAGGUCCUGCAACUGGGCCUUUAACUCUUUGAGCUCCACGGGUGCCAUUCUAUACGGAGCCUUUGAAACUGGCGCCGCACCGGGGAUCAAGUCAAUGACAAACUCGACUUCCCGAUCCGGUGGCAGUCCCGGUAACUCCGACGGAAACACGUCCGGGUAUUCACACACCACCCGAAUAUUCCCCAACUCCGGGUGCUCCCUUUGAGGGUCCACGAUGGUCGCUAAAUAAGCUUUGCAACCACCCUUAAUCAUCCUUUUCGCCCUCAUCGUCGAUAUAGUUGCCGCAAAUCGCGCGCCUUUACACGCCCGAUACUCGAAUUCUUCUUAACCAGGCUCACGAAAAGUGAUCACCCUACUGUCACAGUCGAUGCUGGCAUAGUACUUGGAGAGCCAAUUAACUCCCAAGAUGACAUCAAACCCCCACAUCUGCUUGAGCACUAGCAAAUCCACCGGCAUGAUCCAGUCGCCGAUUUGAACUGGACAAGCUAGGCACUCGUCGUGGAUUCUAAACGAGUGCUCUGGUGCGUUAACCCACCAAUAGUCAUAAUUAUGCUCUAUGUCCAUGCCAUGAGUCUUAGCAAACGAGGCAUCUAUGAAUGAAUGCGAUGCACCAAUAUCAAACAGUGCUCUUGCUCUAACACCAUUAAUCAGAAUAAUACCUGCCACAACGUCGUCGGGUACGGCAGGCUGCUCCUCCACCUGAGUGGCAAAAACCCGUCCACUCGGUGCACGUGAUCCCUCUAGCUGUCGCGGCGAUGAAGCGCGCCCAGCCGACAUGGCAGGUGGCAGUCCUGCAAGCUGUCGUGGAGCAUACUGAGCCGAAGCAGCUGACGGAGCCGGUGACGCGCCGCCCAGGCAAUCCCAUCUCAUGUGUCCUGCUUGGCCGCAUCGGAAACAUCUCCCGUCACGCUGAGAACAUUCGCUCGGCCUAUGAUUCCCACCGCAAAUUACGCACGGGGAGGAACUCAUCUGACUCCUCGUCUGGCUCCUAUCUCGCCGCCAUUGCGACCUAGGGUGCCGAGGGGGUCGCUUGGAACUCGACUGCCCCGCGGAACCACCAACCGGUCGCUUCUUGGACUUCUCCCUGUCCUUGUCCCUUUCAAACACCUCACGUUCCUCGCGCCCAAUGGCGUUGCCACGCUCUAUCCAUAGCGCACGAUCAAGCACAUCUUCAUAGGUCUUCAGCCGAAGCGCCUGAACCAUCUUGAAUAUCUCCGGCCGCAACCCGCGCUCGAAGACCUCCGCCCGAUCUCGGUCACCAUGAACCAAGCCGGGAACGCAGUUAACCAUGUGCGAGAACUCCCUCUCAUAUUCGCGCACCGUUCGGCUUCCCUGCCUCAACUUGCGAAAGUCUUCCUUGAUCUUUCGCUUAUCACUUUCCGGAAAGUACUCUAUUAGAAGAAUCUCUCGGAACACCUCCCAAGUCAUAGUAGCCGGAUCCAAGGACUGACCACCCUUCACUCUCGUCCACCACGAUCGAGCCGGCCCCUCUAAACAGUGAGCCGCCAACCGAACCUUGUCCUUCUCGAGGGUGUAGAUGUCCUCGAAUAACGCCUCCAUCGCAGAAAGCCACGCCUCCAUUAACCAUGGGUCUUUCACGUCACCCACAAAGGUCGGAGGAUUAAACCGUUUGAAGGCCGUCAACACCGCCAACGACCGCUCCUGCUCGGCCUCAAGUACCUCCGGAAUAGGGGCCGAAGAACCUGAAGCUGUCGGAGGAAUAACCGUCACCGGUGCCGCCGCCAUCGGCGUAGGUGCUACAGGUGUAGGCGGGUACUGAGAUACAGGUGCAGCCGCCGCCGCCUGUUGAGCCACCAUGUCGUGGAGCUGUCCUAUCUGCUCCCCCUGCUGUCGCAUAGCCCCAGCCAGAGCUGCUACUUGGGCCCGCAGCUCACGAACUUCAUCAGAUCCAACCUGCUCUGGCACCUCAUCAGGCGAUGCCGGAGCGGUCCAUCGGGUAUAGCAUCUCGGUGACAUCUGUCCUGAAACGAAACGCACACGUUAAUAUUCGACAUUCGAAACUCUUACUCGUUCCAAACAUCUACCCAAUCAAGCGAAAGCAAUCAAGUACGUUCACUUUCUACUCUCGGCAUUAUGUAGUCGUCCGCCCCACAUAAUACCUUGAAAGAAAACAACCGUUCCUUGAGUCCAUCUCUAUUUCCGUUUAGAGAAGUUCCAUAAUAACCCAAUUAAUUAGCCUUCGCCAAUCAAAGUCCACGUUAUACGUAUCCUAAUUCCUAAGGUCUCCAAUCCUAAGGUCCCUAAGUCCAUCCUAGACAUUUGCUUUCACAUCGCUCUGAUACCACCAUAUCUGUCACGCCCCGAGCUCCGCCAAUUUGGUCGGAUUCGAGCACGCGACAGACGCCGAACGGACAGUACCUCCCCUGUCCACCCAAGGCUCCAACAACAAGUAUAUUACAAGCAAGUCAAAGGAGAAUUGCGGAAUAUGCAAGGUUUGCACGAGGGCAAACAACAACACAAGUGAAGUAUCGAAACUAACUAAACAUCCAAUACAUGUCAUUUGAUUACAUUUGCAUCAAACACAAGUAGUUUAUACAUUUAUUUACAUCACGACUUUCUUUAACCAAGAUAUAAUUUACAUCACUUUCACAUUACUAUUUCAACAUACAACAGUUGAGUACACCAAAAGUAGGUUAUGCCUAUGUAACUCCGGGGUCGCUAUCUACGGCGCGACUCCCUUGCCUCGAUCCUCCGCCGCCCCACUCGCGUACGGAUCUGCAAGGUUAGUGGUAAUGAGAACUAGAACGAAGUUCCCAGUGGGUUCAGCCGCCGACCACGCCGAUUCGCCCACUAGGUCUAAUUCAGGCAUAUGUAUUUCAAUAAAGAAGAAUAACAAACCAACUAAUGCACUUCUAAUACAAUGCCUGCAAGAAAGAAUUCACAGAAAGAUAUUCAUAUUCAAAUACAUGAUUACUAUGCAUGCAUAUCCUUUUUCACUUUCCUUUGGCCUUUACCCAAUUCAACCUGGGGUGCUCCUGGUUUACCCCAACUCACAGUCCACAUAUCCAUCUAACGGGGAAGGCACAAGGCACUACCACUCGAAGGAUCUUCGCCGGGCACGUCCACCCGUGGUGCAUAUCUUCUCCGGAAUACACCGCCCGUGGAGGAGCGACCUCGCACAAGCCGGAACCAAUACAUGUGAGUAUGAUCCCAUCCUCAAAUUUUGAGGAGGUAAGGCCAACCUAUCACAAUUCUCACUGUCUCGAUGCCGCUGAAUGGUUAUUACCUAUUCAUGCACAUACUGUCACUUGCCAAUGUCACGGUGGUCCUGAUGCCACAAUACACAUAAUGUCACUCGGGUUAAACCUUGUUUAACUAUUCACUUAUCAAUGUCAAUCAAGUCACUAAUGUCAAUGUCACCUUUAUUUACUACGGUCACAGUCAUUUCUUACAUUCACAUGUAUAUAGGGUCUUUAACUAUCUUUGUUCACAUGGAUCUAUAUCAUCACAAUAAUCUUACGCAGAUAAUUGUCACAACCAACAUAUAUUAUUCAUUACCCUACAUGCAAGAAUGCUAUAGUAUCAGCAUGCUCAAAGAAGGGACAUAGACAUAGAAAGAGAUCCGGUGUUUCCGGAUAGCACCCCCCACCUUUGUGUGUCACAAGGAUGCCACGGUUCUGAUUCCACGAUUUUAGGACACGAUCGCCGCGAGCUACGACGAUCUGUACUAUUUCUGCUUGUCUUUCCAAUAUCUUCGCGUACGCUCGUCGUAUCGCCGAACCGAGCGCACCGAUGCGUUCGUAGACCUUGGGAGUCCAAAACUUCUCUUCAAAGCCUUGCUCUAGCUUGGUCUUCACCUUGGAGAGCUUCUUCUCCAAGCCUUUCUCCUCCAAAACCCUCUUGGUCCAAGCCCGAGAGAGAGAGAGAGAGAAAAGAAGAAAAGGGUUUUAGAGAGAGAGAGGGAAGUUUUGAGAGUGAGAGUGAGAACAAAUGAGUUCUCACUCAUGCCCUAACCCAUAUAACCCCUCUCAAGCCAUAUUUGCAUUUAAACCCCUCAACUUUUCAUUUUUACAAACAGCCCUCACUGGGCAUUUUCGGGCUCGGGGACCGGUCUCUCCCCUCCAGGGACCGGUUCCCGAGAGCUGUCCUGCAACCUGCGCAAAAUGGGACCGAUCUCCCCCUGAUGAAACCGGUCUCUGGGGACCGGUCUCCCGCCGAAGGACCGGUUCUCGAGAGCUCAGUUUCCAGGACUUAGCCGAUUUUUCCUUCUGCUCGAUUUACCAACGUUCGGGAACCGGUCUCUCACCCAAGGGACCGGUCCCCGAGAGCAAAAAUUCUGGAAAUUAUCUAGAAUUGCAGUUUCACUCUCUCGGGUCCCUUUAUAUUUCAUAUAUAGGCUCCAAUUCACUUUUAGCCUAUAGUAACUCAUUCCUUUCCGCGUUCCGCUCACUUCGACGGAACUCGGCACGAUUCACGGGGAAGUGAUAUGUUACAAACCUACUUUAGGUUUUUGCUCCACAAGAUCCUCUUUGUCCUUGAGCUUCUUCUCCACCAAAAUCCUCAAUUUCCAUCUUGAAAUCAACUUCAAAUCCACCUUGAGGGAAGGUUUCUAGUGAGAAAAGGAGAAUGAGAUGAGGAGGAGAAGGAGAAAACAAAGAUGUUCACUGCAUGGGAAGUACAGGUGUAGAGUUGGGGUAUUUAUAUAGGUCUCAACAAUUGCAAAUAAGCCCCAGAACUCACUCUCAACCUUCACAUUUUAGUCCCUCGCAGACUGGGUACCGGUACUCGGGUUGGAGUACCGGUACGCAGAGCUCCCAGUACAUGUACCAUCCACACAGUACCGGUACCAGCCUUCCAACCCGAAGGCUACGCAAUCUCUGAUCACCACACAGUACCGGUACACAUCCUCUCACAGUCCGGAUCCUGAGAGCUGUGCCAACACACCAUAAUUGGGUGCUAGUACCGCAUUGCUCUGGUAUCGAUACUCAAUGCGACUUUUGCACUUUGACAGCAACGGUGCUCUGGGGUCCAUUUUCGCGCCCGGUUUGCGCCGAAACACUUAAACAACCCCGAAACUCACUUCUAACCAUCCCCACGCCUCCUAGCAACUCGGGGACGACCUAUAUCAAGCUUGUGCCUCGCUUUGAUUAAUUCAGUCAAAGUUAGCAUCGUAACUCGGAGAUUCGGUAUAUUACAAUUAUUUAUAAUUUAAUUAUUAUUUAAUUAAUAUAUUAUUUAUAAUUAUUAAUAUUAAUUUAUUUUUUAUGUAAUAUUUUGAUGUUAAUUAAUUAGAUAAAAUAAUUUUAAUUUAAAAUUAUAACUCUUAUUCCCUUUGUUCCAAUCUAACUAUCCAAACACUAUUUACCUUAUUCCUAGGAAUAACCCAAUUUUCAUCCAAUGCAAAAUUGGUCUAAUUCCUACUUUUACCUAAACUUGUACCUAUCCCUGAAAUAAGCAGUUUUUACUUAUACCCGAACCAAACGCAGCCUAGGAGUCCUUUAGCUCUUAAUAUCCAAUUACUACUUGCGGCACUAGGUCAUGAACUGCACAAACUAAAGCCUCAGGAAAUGGUUUCUUUAACCGAUUUUCGAAUCACACCUAACUAAUGCCCAAAGCUCCAAAACCUCCAACAAAACCUUGGAGUAUCUUGUGACAAGAUGAAAGCCUAUAAGGACCACAUACUAUCCCAUAACACACCAAUUUAGGUGUUAGGAUAUUCGCAUACGAUGUGUGCACCACCUUAGACAUGACAUCAAGGCCGUGUCUCAAACCAGUUCUAACACACUCCAAUUCGAUGUAAGAACUAGCUGAAGGUCGAAAAAAUCACCUGUCAAUUCCACCAGCGAAAACUUUCCAACAAAAUCUAAGGAAUCGAAACAUUGAGUGGCCAUUCCAAAACAAGAACGAAAAAUAGUUAACGAGUUGAGCGAACUCCCGCUCGUACACCGACACCACAGCCGCCCAAGCAGCCGCUACUGAAACUUCGAGCUGCACUCUAGCAGCCACUGCAAUAGCCGCGACCAUAGCCGCUCCAUGUCGUCUCUGUAGAGAUGUCUAUGGUGGCUCUUGUACUCUACGUGGGAAGUGGGGCCUGAGCCAUAGCAACUGAGUCGACUGCAUCAACCCAGUAAAUACCGUCACCCGGCCCGUUAAGGCCGCCAUCAGUCAACAAGUAGCUAUACCUGGUGAAUCUCACCCUACCACUCGAUAUAUGCCUGAUAAAUCUCCACCAAUCCUAGUAGAAGCACAAGUCAGCACCAACAACGUAAUACAUACACAAGGUAGAGAAGCAACCAUAUACCUUGUCACGUCCCAAACCCGAGGCGUAACAGAUGCCGCAUACCUGCUAAAUUAGCAAAUAUGCAAGGCUACAGAAUCAGACAGAAACAAGAAAAAGAUUUUUACAAAUUUUUUCACUAAAUCCAAAGAAUUAAGAGAUGAGAUCAGCAAUUUAAAUUUCAACUAGAAUCAAAUAAAUUCUCACAUACGUAGAAUUCGAUUUUAUUACGAAACACAAACAAAAUUUCGAUCCAACAAAUUCCAUAAAUAACAAAAUAAGGUUACGUAGAAAUAACGAAACAAAAACCAAUAAACAAAUGAUCGUUUACGAAGUCCAAAACUCACAUCUAAAAAUACUAGAUAUAAAACAAAAGAAACUAAAAUCAAACACUAACUACAUCUAACGUUCACUCGGUCCCGGCCCUGCCCGGCAAAUCAGUCUCGGAACCUAGUAAGCAAUCAUACACCACAUUAGUCGGAUUAAGCAUACAAUACAAAUAAAUAAUUGAAUACAAAAAAUUAAUUCAAGCGACUGGUUUUUAAUUUACAAAAUUUCAGAAAACAAGAAUUUAUCAAAACUUAAAAUUCAGAUCGGAUCGAAACCAUAAAUUUACAAAGCAUUUCUCUUUCAGCAAAUAAACAAAAUAAAUAUUAAGUCUCCGGCAACUAACUAUAUCAUAUGAUCCGUGUCACGCCCCAGGACCGAUACCAAUUUGGCCCGACCCGAGCACGUCAAACAGACGCCGAACGGACAGAGUUUUUCCUAUCCGCCCAAGGCUCAUCACGCGUACAAAAUUCAAACAAGAAUUGCACUAGCGGAAACAUACACAAACGGCUUACACGAGGGUAAGCAAUAGCCAUUAGUGAAAGAAAGGAAAACUAAACAUUUGCUUGUAGUAUGAUUCAAUUUAGAUCAUAUACAUACAUCCAACUUGUAAUUUUUUUCGAAUUCCUUACAUUUCGUUUCAUCAUUUCUUUCUUACAUCACAUUUACCUCAAAAUACACAUUACAUUCUUUUCUUUACAUCAUUCAUCAUCAAGUACAAAAGAUGAAUAUGGGGUACUUUACUACAAAAUGAAACCCGACUUUGGUGGCCUCUGACUAAGGCGCGAUACCUUUACCUCGGUCACUCGCCGGCUCGCUCGGUCCCGGCUCUGUGGAAAUAGUGGGGUGAGAACUACAACAAAGUUCCCAGUGGGUUCGGCCUCAACAUCACCGACUUUCCCACUAGGACUAACUCAGGCAUAAUAGAAAGGAUAAGCUGAAAUAUAGUAACCAAUCUACAACAUGAUGCUAAUAUGCCUGAACAAUAAGCAAGGAAUAUGCUCAACAUUAACAUAUGCAGAUUAUGCAAGUUCUUUGUUCUUUACACUUUACUCUUUGUUCUUUAUUCUUUACACUUUGUUCUUUGUUCUUUGUUCUUUAAUCUCAAGGCUAACCCGGGGGUUUCGCCACAUUAACUUGCUUCACAUUAAGUCCAUCAUCGCAGGAACUCACCCGCUAGGACCGUCCUUCGGGUUUACUCCAACCCGUGAUGCAUAACUCCGGAGCGCAUCGCCCGAGGGGGAGCGACCGCCCUCGAGCACGGAACUCAUAGCAAGUAUGAUCAUAUCCUUAACUCAAAGGAUUUAUAAGUUCAAUCUUGACUUUACACUAGCUCUAGUGUUCUUUACAUCACUUUAUGUUGCAAACUCAUGCAAUUACAUUCUUUACAUUUCUUUACUCUUGCUAACUCUAGCAUUCUUGUUCGUUACAAUACUUGUUCUUAUUGCCCCACUUUACUUUACUUUACACAUUGUCAUUUUCAUCAUUCUUUUCAUCACUUUGGUUCUUUGCAUCACACUAACUCUAGUGUCUCUUUACUUUACAUUUUCAAAUGCCACUCGAUCUAUGUCAUUGUGUCACUCUGUUCUUUUGCUCACUUUGGGUGCUCACUUUUUCUCUCAUGCAUACACAUAGGGUUUUGACAUUUAUUUGGUUCUCUACCAUUAUUAUAAGCAAGUUGUACUCACAAUCAUGCUAUCAUCACAUUCUUAUCAUUACUUUACCCUAAUAUGCAUGCAACAAUAUAUAUUACAUAUGCUCAAAUGAAUGACACAUUAGGCAUAGAGAGAAGUUCAAUGAGCUUGAGAAGCACCACCCACCUCGUAGGCUUUCAAAGGUGCUCCGAUGAUUUUCUUGGAAUUUCUAGUCACUUCGUUCUUUACCUGCGGCAUAACGAAGCCAAAUUAGGCUUAUUUGGCCAUAACUUCACAUUGGCUUUUCGUAACGUAAAUCCGAGCGCACCAACGCGUCGGAAAUACCCCCAAUUAGGUUUCUAGAGGGUCAAUUGCACUUAGAAACCCUCAUGAGCAAAAGCCCCAAUUUGGGUGCCCUAGCUCCAAUGUAUAUCAAAACCUAGGGUUUGAUCUCUUUGGGAAGCAAAAGUAGCUUCACUAUACUCUAAAUAGUCCAUUAGAACCAUUCUUAGGCUUUCCAAAAUCCUAGUUUGGAUUUCACCAUGAGAGGUGGUCCAAGCUCACCUCCAAUGCAAACCAAGGUUUUGAUCUCUUUAGAAGCAAAAGAAAGCUUCAAAACUCUUUAAACAUUUCACUAAAACUCAUUUCUAGGUCAUUCAAACCCAUUUCUAGGGUUUUACUACAUUAGGGUUUAAAGCUUACCUUGUAAGCUUCCUUUUCUUGCACUAGAGAGGAAGAAGAUGAAGCUCCUUUGCUCCUUGAUCUUCUUCUUCACCCUCUUUUCCUUCUUAUCCUUAUUUUCUUCCUUUCUUCUUCUUCUCCUUUGUCUUCUAGAGAGAGAGAGAGAGAGAAGAGAGUGUGAGAGGGGGUGAAAUGAGAGAAAUAUCUCAUUUACCCUCAUAACAUAACCAUUGGACUGCAAAAAUGCUAAUAAACCCCUCAGCUUUUAUCGCUGUGCACUGCCUGGACUGGGCAGUUUUCGCAGGCAGAGACCGGUCUCCCCGAGCAGGGACCGGUCCCCGAAGGUCCACCCUGCGCAGCCAGAGCUGCCGCGCGCAAUGCAUCCGGUCCCUCCCUGGUGGGACCGGUCUCUGGGGGACCGGUCUCUCAGACAGAGACCGGUUCCCGAGAGCUGUCCUUCCAGGACUUAGCCGAUUUUUUGGCUGUCUCAUUCUGCACGCGUUCGGGGACCGGUCUCUCCCACCAAGGACCGGUCCCCGAGAGCUGAAAACCUGCAGUUUUGCAGAAUUUGAUUCUUUAGCUCUCGAAAACCUCCCGUAACUCACUUUUAAUCAUUUUAACACCUUCGGACUUUCCGAAGUGUACCAUCCUCGCACUUUGGUCAAUUUGACUAAAGUUCGAUAUUUAUUCUCCGAAUUUUCGGUAUAUUACAAUCCAUUGGCGAGAUCCAGAGGCACCCGAAGGCGGAAACAGAACAGAGUCACCCGAAGGCACAAACAGAACAGAGGCACCGAAGGUGCAUGUACAAAACAAAGGCACCCGAAGGCGCAAACAAAAGUAGAGGCGCGGAUAGGCGCAGGCACCCGAAGGCGCAAUACAAAGACGAAGCUCGCUUCUAUAACAAAAUACAUGUCGAUAUGGCCAACAUUAGCAUAGCAGAAUACCAAGAAACAUUAUAAUUUAAAAUUAUCCAGUCACUAACUUACAGAACAGAUUAUCAAAUUUCAAAAUUUUCUAUUAAAAGAAUCUUUCAAUCAUAGUUGAAACUCAGUUUACCGAAACAUUUAAUGUACGCUUAACCCUUAAUUUUAAAAUCUACAAAAUAAAGAUUUUCACACAAUCAAAGUAUUUCCUUAAUUAUUUUACGAAAAACUAAAAGGUGUCUGGUCGCUUACCUCAAAAGCGGCUUCUAAGCUAAGAAGCUAUCCAGUCGAAAAUCGCACAAAAAUCAAUCGUCGGAACCUAAAAUAGAGAUAUACGAUUCUCUAUAAGCUCCUCAAAAAUAAAGUUACAAAAAUAAUAUAUAUAUACAUUUAGAAGGCAAGCUUAAACAAAAAUCUGAAUUCGGAAAGGUUCACAUAGGUCGACAAUAUCGGCUACAAAUGUAUGCAAAAAGGUCAAGAUGGAGCACGAAAGAGAUUUAGAAUAAUACAUUCGACGAAACUCAAUUAGCAAUCAAGAGGAUGAUGAGUUUCGAGGAUUAAAAUAUUCAAAGAAGCAAGAUAAGAUGAAGGAAGUUUUAAAUAAUAAACGAAGAAUCUAAUGCUCGAAAAGAGGGUUUUCAGAUGUUGAAACAUUGAUAUGCAAAUCAAUAAUUAAAUAGAAUCAAGAUGGGAACAAAAACAAUAUAUGCCUUCUUUUAGGCAUUUUGUCGAACAUAUAACGGACUUUCAAUAACUAUAUAGAAUAUGCAGAAUUUAUAUACCUAGAUCUCGUAGAGAAUACACGGUAAAAAUUUAAUAAUACGAUCAAUCUAUAUUAAGGUAUAUGGAAAUCAGAUUUGAAUGAUUUUGAAAAUGAUCAUCAAAGAAGAACAUCUAACAACAAUCACAUAAUUAUCGAUAAAAUAUAGAUGCUUUCAAGAAUAGGUGUAGAGACGAAAAUGAAAGAAAUGAACCUUCUUAAAUAUAGAAACGACGACGAUGAAAUGUCGUCGAUGGCGAAUCAAAAAUGCCGAUGGAUGAGGAUUGCGGCGGUGGCCGAGGAUUGCGGCGGUGGCCGAGGAUUGCGGCGGUUGCCGCGGAUGACGGCGACGACAACGGUGAUCAACGGCGACAGCGUGCGUACGGGAAAGGGAAGAGAGAGAAAGAAAGGUGGGUGGGCGGCUGCUACCAAUAAGAAACAACAUGAAUUAGGAAUUAGGGUUAAUUAGGUACAAUAUACUGCUGAGUCCCUCAAAGAUUCGAAAUUACAAAAAGGUCCAACUUAAUAGGAAUAUAAGUCAAAACAAUAGGUUAAGGGUAUGGGGUGUUACAUACCUGUAGCAGAAAACACUGGGUAAUGAAAGAACCAUUGUCACGCCCCGACACCUGCCUAUUUGGUCGGAUUCGGGCAUGCCGACAGACCGCCGAACGGACAGAGUUUUUCCUGUACGUCCUAGGCGUCGCAAUCAAUACAAUUCACGAUGUUCCAAUCAGGAACAAAAAUCAAGCAUAGAUUGCAUAAGAAAUUAUCAAAAACAUAAACAACUAAGUUAUUACAAGCAUUCAUCAGCUUACAUUUUUACAUCACAGUUUCUUUUACAUUCAACUUCCAAAUUACAAUCUACUUAUUACAAAUUUAUUACAAGUUUGAUACAUUCUAGUUCUUUCCUUUCCCUAUACUCCUAAUCUAUGCUGGCACGGGGUACUACUAUCUCUGGUCUCUGGGGUAGAGCGCUGCCUACGGGGCUACGCCCUUUCCUUUCGCCGCCGCGCCGCUCACGUGCGAACCUGUAACACCUUAAAACAACGUAGGGUGAGAACCAACUCCAUGGUUCCCAAUAACUACGGCCACCCAAAGGAAGAGCUCGACCAACAGGUCCAAAGGAGACAAACACAUGUUAGUCCAAUAAGGAGAUAGAUAUAUAUAUAUAUAUUUAUCUUAAAUAUGCAACUAACAUUACCAUGCCUUGCCUCACAACUGUAACGAUGCCAUGCUAUAUGCAACAUGAAUAUAUAUGCAACAACUAGUAGAUCUAUUGAUUCUACAUUCAAUCUUGCUAACUUUAGUUCAUAUCAUCCAACUCUAAGGUUUCUAUUACCUUAGGUUUAUCACAUUUACGACUAGCCCUCAAGAUUCUAUCUACCUUAUUCCAGCUAGCCACCCGACUCGGCCUCGAGUCAAUCAAUUGCGGAUAAUCCGCGCUCUGCCCGGCUCGAGGUGAAGGAACUCUCACAUGCACCUCAGCCUGCAAACCAAGAACCACAUCGCCCAACGGUCCGCCCAAAGGUUCGUGCACCGUGGUCAGGGAUCCCCCGGUAGGAGAGAAACAUGCCGCAUACACCCGCAGUCGAGAUCCCCGAUAGGGAGAGAAACAUGCCGCAUACACCCUAGCGCUCUCUGUUCUUGCUCAGUCAUAAUCCUUGAAGUUCUUCCGGUGGGAGAGGAACAUGCCACAUACACUCGCAGCCCAGAACUAUCGAGCUCAUAUGCUGCACUAGCAGCCGCUGCACUCGCAGCCGGGAUUCCGGAAUCCACUUUACAUAACUCAAAGGUUGGUGUCAAACCCUAUAUUAUCUACCUAACCAGGUCCAAUGCACUUCCCACCCUAGGUCCAACUGACUCUAGGUUUAAUACCUCAAUCACAUAACCUAGGUUUACUUUAACUCUAGGUCCAAUUCACAACCUAUGUUCACGACACUAGGUCAAUGCCACACACCUAGUGUCACGACCCACGACCACCCGUCAAUUUGGCCGGGUCGCGGCGCCGCCGGCGGACCGCCGAACGGACAGAGUUUUCCCUGUACGUCCUAGGCGUCGCAAUCAAAACAAUACAAGUGGUUACAACCAGGAACAGUAUACAAUCAUAGAUUACAAAUGGAAAGAUAUCAACAACAUAACACAUCCUAUGUUAUUACAUACAUUCACAUUAGAUUCAUUUAUUUACAUCACACUUUGUAUUACAUUCAAUCUCCAAAGCAAUUAAGUUAUUAUAUCAUAGAUAUUACAAGUUUAAUACAUUUUGUUCCUUUCAUGUUCUAUACCCCUAAGCUACGUCGACGGGGUACUGCUAGCUCUGGUCUCUGGGGAUAGGGCACUAUCUAUGGAUCUACGCCCUUGCCUCGCGCCGCCGCGCCGCUCACAUGUGAACCUGCAACACCCUAAAACAACGUCGGAUGAGAACCAACUCCAUGGUUCCCAGUGGGUACGGCCACCCAAGGGAGGAGUUCGACCAACAGGUCCAAGGGAGGCAAAUACAAGUUAGUCCAAUAAUCAGAUAGAUAUGUAUAUCAUAAACAUGCAACUAACUUUACCUUGCCUUGCCUCACAACUACAAUGAUGCCAUGCUAUAUGCAACAUGAAUAUAUGCAGCCACUAGUAGAAUUAUCGGUUCUACAUUCAAUCUCGCUAACUCUAGUUCAUAUCAUCCAACUCUAAGGUCUCUAUCACCUUAGGUUUACACAUUUACCACUAGCCCUCAAGGUUCUAUCUACCUUAUUCCAGCUAGCCACCCGACUCGGCCUCGAGUCAAUCAACUGCGGAUAAUCCGCGCUCUGCCCGGCUCGAGGUGAAGGACCCUGUCACAUGCACCUCAGCCUGCAAGCCAAGAACCACAUCGCCCAACAGUCCGCUCGAAGGUCCGCGCACCGUGGUCAGGGAUCUGCCAGUGGGAGAGGAACAUGCCGCAUACACCCAUAGCCAAGAUCCCCGAUAGGGAGAGGAACAUGCCGCAUACACCCUAACGCUCUUUGUUCUUGCUUAGUCAUAAUCCUCAAAGUUCUUCUGGUGGGAGAGGAACAUGCCACAUACACCCGCGGUCCAAGAACUAUUGAGUUUUCAAUCCUAAGAUUCCGGAAUCUAUUUUCCAAACUUCUAGGGUAGUCUCAAACCCUAUUGUAUCGACCUAUCUAGGUCCAAUGCACUUUUCCUCCUAGGUCUAGCUGACUCUAGGUUAAAUGCCCUAUUUCACAACCUAGGUUUACUUUAACUCUAGGUUCAGUUCUCAAUCUAUGUUCUUUAACACUAGGUUAGAUGCCACACACCUAGAUCCCGACUUUAGGUUUACACUCAACCUAUGUUCUUUAACACUAGGUUAGAUGCCACUCGUUAUUCAUCCUAGGUUCAACAACGCUAGGUUCAAUGUCAUCUAUGUCCGACCUAUUUUUAUUAACACUAGGUUAAUGCCACUCGAUCUACUUGAUAUCCUAUUUGUCAUAUCGAGUCCAUAUGCACAUGCAUCUUAUCUAACAUGCUCACAUGAUGUUACAUGCACCUAGCAUACAUUUCCAAUGCACACAUACAUAUCAUUUGCAUUAUCACUAGCAUGUAUUCUAGCAUUUCUAUAUCAUAUCAUUUUGCGUGGAUCUACUUAGCAUUUGCAUCAUAUUAUUAACAUGCAUUAGCUACAUGAAUCAACCACAUACUUUAUUUAUAUUUAUAUGCAUCAUCAUGGAUUCUUAAUCAUCUUAGACAUAAAGGGCGACCUAGUCGCUUCGGUAAACACAACCCACCUCUAUUCGCGUUCCGAUUGCUUGUCGACACUUGCAAUCGGCCUCUCGCGGCACUCGGCACCCGUUUGGGCCCGAUCUCACAGUUGCUCUCCAAGAGCGCGUCGCUUCGCUGUUUCAAGAGUUAAAGGUCUUCGCCUUGCUGCUACGGUGCUCGGGACCCAAUCUCACGAUUUAUGGACGCCGCCUCGGCCUCCUAGACGGAAACGAAGCUCCAAAUGCCCGAUUCUUCAAUAUCUUUGCAACGGCUUGUCGGAUUGCCAAACCGACUUCGCCAACGUGUUUCGUUACCUACUAAUUAGGUUUAUAGAGGGUUAUUUGAGAUCAAACCCAUCUAUUUACAAAAAACCCCAUUUUGAACCCUAGUUUGCAACUACGGCAAAAACCACCAAAUACCUUCAUGAAUUAGGUAUCAUUCAUCUAGAUAGCAUGCUAGAAUUCCUCUAAAUUCAUUUAUAAGGUAUUUAAACCAAACCCUACAAAUCUACCAUGGAUGAGCAAGGAGGUUACCUCCAAAAGCUUACUCCAAAGUGAAGAAGAAGAAGAUGAUGGUGAUGAUGGUCCCUCCAAGCUUCUUCUCCUCCCUUUUCUUCUUUUCAUUCCUCUCCUUCUUCUCUUCUUCUUUUUCGUUUAGAGAGAGAGAGAGAGAGAUGAAAUGGUGAGGGAAAGAGAGAGAGAGAGGUAUUCUAACCCUCUCUAUACACUUAACCCAUGCAACAAUUGCAUAUAAAUCCCUCAACAAUGCCUCUCUUGCAACAGCCCGAACUGGGCAUUUUCGUGGUUCGGGGACCAGUCUCUGCAUGAGGGACCAGUCCCUGAGAGACCGGUCUCUCUGCCUGGGACCGAUCCCAGAGAGACCUCCAGCCCAGACUUAGCCAAUUUUCAGCUUCGUCCGUUUUCGCUCCGUUUUCGCUCGUUUUCGUUCGUUUGACCUCCGAUUCGUUUUAAAUCGAACCGAGACUCUCCAAACAUGUUUUCAAGCAUGUUUUCAUCAUCUUUUCAUUCUCGCUAAUGCCGGAUUUAGCCCACGGCCCAAUAUAGCCUUUCGGGUUCUAUUUUCGCGCCUACGCGCACCGAAACGCCCGAUUGCUCCCGAACUUCAGCAAACUUCACCGGAACCAUUCAAAUAGCUUUCCAACCAAAUGUACACCGUAACUUCAUGAUUUUAGAAGUCCGGUACCUUACACCUAGGUUUAGUUAACUCUAGGUUUAUUCUCCACCUAUGUUCUUUAACACUAGGUUAGGUGCCACUCAUGAUUCACCCUAGGUUCAACAACACUAGGUUCAUACCCGACCUAUGUUCCAUCAAUGAUGGUUCAUUAAUGUCCAUUGAUUUAGACUCCUUCCCCCUUCCUUUAUACGAAAAAGAUCGAGAGGGGCCCGAACCAAACCAAGAACGGAAACAGAAUUCGACUCACUCUCGUAUGGCUCGCCCUCGAGCCCUAGGCGGGUCUUUCCCUCUUGUUCUGUUCCCGCCACGAUAAAGACGCACGGAAGAGCUAUGGUAUGCCCAGCGCGUGGAGGAUCCGUUGAGAGUGUCCGUUGUCUCGGUAGGGAAGAGUACCUAUUGUCUUGAAAAAAAAAGGUCAGUGCUACGGUCCCCUAUUGUUUGAUCCAAUAUUGACCGGGGACGAGCCCCGACUUCCAUAGGUCCUUGGUUCGACCUCCCGUAGCGGUCCUUGCUUUUAUUUAAGAAAGCUCCGCGGGGCCAAUUUUUCGUACUUGCUCAGUCUGCCCCCCUUUCGUCGAGUGCCCCGCCCGGUUCACUGGGCUGUUGGCCUACCAAGCAAGCACUUGCCCGCUGCUCCUGCCGCCCGCCAAGCGGGCUCCGCGCUCGUUAUCCUGACUCUUCUCUCUGCAACCCUCCUAUUGCUCUAGCCAUAAGCUAUGGCAAUUCCAGCUCGCACNAGCACUUGCCCGCUUCUCUUGCCGCCCACUAAACGGGCUCCGCGCUCGUUAUCCUGACUUUUCUCUCUGCAACCCUCCUAUUGCUCUAGCCAUAAGCUAUGGCAAUUCCAUCUCGCACCCACUCAGGCCCACCCUGCGAGGCCUGAGUGAGCUCAGCGGUCAGCCCCUGACGUGCCGGGGGUCUUUCGCUUUUGCCAGAUCUAUAGAGAUAUUAUGAGUCCUCCGUCCCAGAUUCCCUCGCCGCGGCCAUCUGGUUCACCGGUACUACCAAAAAGUAUCAUGCUUACGUUAGUAUGACUGAUAUAUAAGUAUGAUCUCGGACCACGAAGACCCCGGUCGUGCUUCUGGUUUCCAUUCCCAUAAUCAUAUUGAAAGAAACUCCUCGUGCUCUGCCAUAAGAACUUGGAGUCCGUAUCAUGGUGGUAAGGCUGUGAUUCUUGCUCAAAAAACUGACCGAACACCUUCGAGUUAUUGGCUCGUACGACCCUGCAGCAUUCAUGAGUCGCUCGUUCAACUAUCCCUUGGAGACAGGGUCGAGAAGUGCCAUGCAUGGUCGCCCCCCGUCCUUUCUUUCUUUCGGUCCCACCCGGGCCCCUCUAGGGUAAUAAAGAAAUGGAUCAAAAAAGGGGACUGAAGCUACGGGCUAUGCCACCCAUUACUUAUGAGGGAAGUCGCAUUCGUCCCAUCGCAAGCACCUACAAUGUCAUGAUUACAUUGGUUUACCCUUUUUUGGUAGUUCAACAGACGGUCGCCCCUCCAACAAGAAAAGGUAGAAAUAUGGAAACUUCUCUGCCAUUUGGAUCGGAGAAUUUAUGAAGGAAAUCGGGUUUUAAAUUUCCAGAAACCGCACGAUUAUAUAGCCAAAGGGAAUAGGCCGCGCCUAAAAUCAUCCCAAGCGCUGCUAAUGUGGCUACUAAGCUAUUUCUUUGGAAAGCUCCUACUGAGAUUGUCCCCGAUAAAGCUGCUAGUGCCAGGUGAACUCAUAUUGGCCAAAGUGGAAGAGAAGGAAAUGGUAGGGAGAUUCGGCAUGGUGCUCACUGAACCUCCAUAAUAUCUAGCAAGUCGAGUCUUAUGUCGGUCAUAUAGAACACCAACACAUAAAAAAAGGGCUAGAGGAACCAGUCCAUGACUUGACAUCGGUAGAAUGCUACCUCCAAUUCCCUGUAUGUUCGAUAGAGCCUAAUAUUCCCCCGGAGUACGCCGAUUACCCCCCGAACCGUACAAGAUAGUUACCACCUAUCAUACGGCUUUCUAACUCCACUUCUUUUUCUAGUCGUUCCGCUCUGUCGGAUCUCUGGUAGUAUCAGAGAUCUAUAACCCCUAACAUUUUUGACAACACGCUUCCUGCUUCCGUUUUGAGUUGCGCAUCUUUCUCCCCGGGGCAUACUAUAGUAUCACAUCGUAGACCCCUACCCCAACUCUAUCUUCCUUAUCAGUGAACCGGAACAUAGUGCAUAGGUACUCUUCGAUGUUGCGAGGACGAGACGAGGUGACAUACUACGAUCACGUAUAGAAGAGAAGUUUUGCCCUUCGGCUCGGCAUAUGGAAUGUCACGCCCCGAGACCGCUAACAAUUUGGUCCGGUCCGGGCGCGUCGAACAGACGCCGAACGGACAGGACCUCCCCUGCCCGCCCAAGGCUAAGCCAACUGAUCAUGUAUAAGAAUUUAUCCAGAAAAUCAAUUCAUAGAUACACGAUCACAAGGAGCACCACCAGUGCUAACAAAUAAGAGCAAGAUACCAGUAUGAGACAUACAAGUAAGUAAAGAGAGAAAGUUCUAUCCAUUACAUUCAUUCAACUUAAUACAUUUAAUUCCAUCUUUUACAUUCUUCCAGAACAUAUGUACAAGCACUCUCAAACCUCACCCUAUACAACAUCUACUCUCAAACAUAAGUACAGGGUGACGGCUAAUGCAAAACGGUAGAUAGCUAAUGCAACUAGGGCGCUAGGCCCUUACCGCGAUCCUCGCGCUCGCCUGGGACACUCGAACUCGGACCUGAAAAGAGUGGGGUGAGAACUAUCUUCCAUAGUUCCCAGUGGGUUCGGCCGCCGACUCCGCCGGUCUCCCCACUAGGUCCAAGUAGGCACAAGUAGAUAAACAGAUAGAUAGAUAUGGAAAGCUGAAUAGUAAAGCUACACUACUAUGCCGGAAUCAUGUAUAUGUAGAAUGCAUGCACAACAAAGUAGAUAAUCAACUAGCCCGUCAUAUGCCCAAGAAGUAAAGCUAUUUACUUGUUCAUCAAUCUCGUAGCUCACUCAAGAAUUCGCCCACUACUCACAUGGCCAUCUCGACGCGUAGGGAGACUAACUCAAACUACGAAUCCGAGACCGUCUGCGGGACCCCACAUAGGCCAUCCCUCGGGACCCCAAAUAGGCCAUCCCUAUCCCACGGGACCCUAAAUAGGCUAUCCUUUGUGACAGACUCCGGAGCGCACUACUUGUGUGGAGUGACCAUCACAAGUUGGGAACAGACAAUGAGCAUAAUCCAAUUCUCCUACCUCAAGGGUACCCUAUCCUCUAGGGCUACUAUCACCAUAGUCAAUGGGUUUCAUAUAUGCUACGAUUCACUUAUGCCACUCGUUCUUUGUUUAUUAACAACUAGAUGCCACUCAUGCUUUUGUUUCAACCAUUGCAUUAUUCUUUCAUCGCUGCACUAUAGGAUUACAAGUCUCGACCCAAUCCUCAUCAAUCCACUAUAUCAAACAACUAAUACAUAAUAUGGUAUCAGAUAGAAAAGUAUAAAGAAAGGCAAUGCACAAUUAUCUUACAAUGCAUGUAAACACAAGAUGCAAGGUCUCAAAAUACUAAGACAUAAGAGGGAGCCCGAUUGCUUCGGGAUGGUCACCACCCACCUCUUGGUGAUGCUGCGAUGGUAGAAAACUCGAUCUCGCAGUCCUUGGUCGAUGCUUCGACUUCUCAGGUCGAUCCGAACCCUUAAGCGCUUGAUUCGGCGAUAUCUUCGCACCCGCUCGUCGUAUCGACGAACCGUCUUCGCCGGCGCGUUCCGUGACCUAGUAAUUAGGUUUACGACCUAUUAAAAUAGAUCAAAACCCUAGAUUUCCAAAAAUCUCGAAUCCGUGCCCUAGGUUGGCAACGAUGGGGAAAUCCGUGGUGCGAGCUUCAAAUGUGAGCUCAAACCAUCACCCUAGCUUCAAUAGGUUCCAUUCAAACCAUUUAUAAGCAAUAAAACCCAAUCUCAAGAAAUCCACCAUGGAUGGGUUUGAAGCUUACCUCUAUUCCAAGCUCCAAGCUUGCUCUAGCUUGAAGGAGAGAGGGAAGAAGAUGGUCUUCUUCUUCUUCUUGAUCUUCUCCUUCCUCUUCUUCUUCUUUUCCUUCUUUCCCUUCUUUUCCUUCUCUUUUUCUUUUCCUUUCGUUCAGAGAGAGAGAAAAAGAGCGUGAGAGGGAUAGAGAGCAAAUGAGAGGGAGAGAGGGGUCCCCCACCUCUCAUAUAGGCUAUUUUGCAAAUAGCUCCCUCAACUUUCCAUCCUCUGCAGCAGCCCUCACUGGGCAUUUUUGCAGUGAGGGACCGGUCCCAGGUCGGGGAGACCGGUCCCCGAGAGCCUUCUAUCUCGGGCAGAGGGAGUUUCGCGUUCGGGAACCAGUCCUUGCCUGAGAGACCGGUCCCCGGGAGACCGGUCCUUGUCCGAGAGACCGGUUCACGAGAGUUAGAUUUUCGGGACUUAGCCAAAUUUCGGCUAUUUUCGCUGGGAUAACGUUCGGGGACCGAUCCUCCCCUGCCAGGGACCGGUUGCAUCCUGGAUCCCCUGCAAGCCUAGCCUGAUGGGACCGGUCCCUUCCUGCCAGGGACCGAUCCCCGAGAACAAUUAUGCUCCAGUGCAGAUUUGCACUGCUGCUCUCGCGGACCUUUCCUUAAUGCACUUUAUGCAUUAUAAUCACUUUCGGACUUUCCGAAGCUUAUACACUCGACAAAUAGUCGAUUCUAAACGAAGUCUAAUCCUCGUAUUUCGAGAAUUCACUUCCUUACAUGGAACCUCUCAACUGCUCCCUUUAUGGGGUCCUAUCGGGAUAGGUAGGCCCAUCUCCCUCCCCUCGCCUUUCCCGAGAGGGGGCCGGGCUGUGUUUCCCCAGCAGCCACCCAGUGGCGGCAGAAAACGAAAAGGGGUGGGCAUGGUUCGCCUUUUAUUGUUAAGAGAGAGCUUGCCAUUCUCUUAUAGAAGCCCGCGUCCAUGCGGGUAAAGCCCAGCGUAAGCUGCAGGGAGCACUGAGCAAUGGGGGGAUGAGGGCUACUCCGCCCACGGGUUGGACCACACCAGAGGCAGAAGUCCUUCCACGACAAGAGAAGGGUGACCGGAACAAGAAAGGGGAGCUAGUCGUUGGAGGGAAGAUAAGGCUCGUUCUUACUUCACCUUGGUUAUGGAAAUGCUCAGCCAAAAGUGAUUCGAGGCAGCAGCAGAGAACAGACUUAUUUCAUCGUCAAGACCACACCACAGGAUCCGCAAGUCUCCCAUAUCCGCUAUGCGGACGAUGUGCUGGUGUUCGCGGAUUGCUCUAUUAGAAAUGCCAGAUCUUUGAAUAGGUUGUUGGAUGAUUUUCAGACUGUAUCGGGACUCUCGAUCAACAGGGCAAAAUGUUCCAUCACGUUUUCAGCCUCGGGAGCCGGAAUGAAGAGAGGCGUGUUAUAGAUCCUCGGGUUUCAAGAAGUUCAGCUGCCUAUCAAAUAUUUUUGACUGCAACUUAUUUCAAGCAGGAUAAAAUAUUCCUUCUAUUCACACCCUACUUGAGUUGUUUUUCAAAAGAAUUUGGAAUUGGAACGCGCGGUUUCUUUCGUACGCGGGCAGGAUGGAGCUGGUUAAAUCGGUCUUAUCUAGCUUCCUUAUAUAUAUAUAUUUAUAAAUAUAUAUAUAUAAUAUAUACAGGACUUAAGUUUUUAACCUCCCCUAAAAACAUAUCUUUAGCAGAACUAUCAGGAAGUUCUUCUGGUCGGGACCGGACCUAACUAAAAAAUCUCAUCAGCAGGUCUAAAACCCCGAAGGAUGAGGGUGGUUUUCGGAAAGUUUAAGAUUGGAACAAGGAAGCUAUGGCUAAAAGAUUUUUGAUGCUGGUUUUUGGCAAGGUAAUGCUAAUUAGUCGUCUUGGGUUAAGAGAAGAGGAAAGAUCUUCGCCGGAAUUCUCUUUGGCAGGUGGACACGCCUAAAUACUUGUUGGGGUAUAUAUUCUCCGAAUCAGAGAUGAUGUCAUGGAUGCAAUUCGCUAGCAAAUUGGAGACGGAACGAAGGGACGAGACAAAGUAUUAACGGACAGAACCAUUAGCUGCGAACAAGUCUGAUUGAAGAAGAAGAAGGAGUGAUGUGAUCUUAUCCGCUCUGCUCUUCUUAGCUCUCGAGGGGGGAAGGAGGUUCAAUGCAAUUGAAUUGAAGGUGCAAUGGAAGACGCUUGCCUCUAAUUAUCUUCUAAUUCUAUUGAAAUUUGAAUAAUUAGAAUUGAGAAUUCUAAAAUGAAAUAAAAAAAGAAAGUUCAGGUUGGAUGUAAUGAAAUUGCCAAAUAUUAGCAUUAAUAAAAAGUAAGAAAGCCAGGAGAGGAACAUAAAGCCUACUNUAUUCUACCUACUAGCAUACACUUUCAACGUCUUCUUAUGCAAUUAUCAACUAGCAUGGUUCUCAUAAUAUUAACAUGCACAUGCAAUUCACUUAGCAUUUCUAGUUCAUGUCUUUAUCUCAUGGUAAUUUAUACAUUUUUAGCAUCUAUCGCAUGCAUACAUUUCUAUCUAGCAUAUUUAUAUAAUGCUAACAUGCCCGUAUGCACAUACAUAUGCAUCAACAAGAAUCCAUAUUCUGCUUUGACAUGCGGGGCAACUGUAAGGUACCGGACUUCUAAAACUAUGAAGUUACGGUGUACAUUUAAAUGGUUCCGGUGAGGUUGUGGUGGAAUGUAACAUACCAAAUUUUGAGUAUAAAAGUGAAAAUAAAUAAAAAUAGUAUGAGAUACUAUUUUAUUGGGUUUAGAGGAGUGAAAUAUAGAUUGAAAAUGACCUGUGCUGAAAUCGGAGCGAAAACAAAAGAUUUAGAAUUUUUUGUGAGAAACGGGGCAGAUAAAUUAGCAGAAAAUGCAUAGUGUCAGAAAAUUAUGAAAACUGGAGGAUAUGUCAGAAAUAUUUUUAUGAGGCUAGAUUUAAAGUUUCAUACCAUUCUGACACCCGUAGAGUGAGAAAUAAAAUCCGACAGUUAUCUGAUUAAGAUUACAGUUCGGCACAGUUUUCGGUGACCAAACGGGGUCAAAACUGAAAACUUAAGAUACAUUCUUACUCAGUACGUUAAACUGAGCCUGCCUGUCAAAUUUGAGUGCAAACGGACGUUCAGAAGGGCUCCAACGACUCCGAACUACUAAACUGCUGCCCGAGGUAAAUAGUGUAAAGUUGAGGGGCUGAUUUGUAAAAAGGGAUUAAAUCCUUUUUCUUCUUCUUCCUCCCAGCCGAACACAACCCGCACACACACACAACACACACGCAUGGAAAGGAAAAGAGAGAACUUCCCUUUUUCUCUCUAAAUCUCUCCCAAAAUCAAAGGAAUUGGUGGAGAUUGAAGCUUGGAGAUGAAUCGUCUUCAUCUUCUUCAUCUUCUCCCUGGUUUGGAGCUAAUUUUGAGAUGACCUUCUUGAACCCUCUCAUGGUAGAUCUCUAGGAUUAGCUUUAUAUGCUCUAGAUAUGGAUUUAGUAGAAUGCUUAGAUGCUAAUUAGAGGUUUAUUGCUUGAUUCAUGAAGUUAAGUAGUGGAUUUAGCUAUAAUGGCAUCUAGGGCUUCAAAAAUGGCAUUUUUGCUAAUAGUAAGGUUUGAUCUCAUUUGACACUCCGUAAACCUAUUUGUUAGGCAAACGAACGCGUUGGCGAAGACGGUUCGGCGAUUCGUUGAGCCGGUGCGAAGUUAUUAAAGAAACGGACGUUUAGGCUUCAUUUCCGCAUGGAGGGCAGAGGCGACGUCGUAAAAUCAUGGAAUCGGAUUUGAGGUACCAUAACAACAAAACGAAGACCCUUUUUGCCCGAGGCUGCGAAGCGAUGCGUGGUUGGUGCGCAAUGGCAAGUUCCGACGGAACCGAGCACCGGAUGCCGCGGGAGGCCAAUUGCAAGUGUCGACAAGCAAUCGGAAUGCACUAACAGGUGGGUUGUGCUUACCGAAGCGACUAGGUCGCCUUCAUGUUGAAGAAAAUAUGAUUUCCUAGUUGAUGCAUAUAAUGGGUUAAAUGCUAUAUGAUGCAUAUAACGUAAUUGCUAGAUGUUGCAUAUAAUGUAAAUGCAUGAUGACAUGAGGCAUAUAUUAUAUGAUGUUGACAUAUCAUAAGAGGCUAGUUGAUAUAUAUAUACAUGAUAGGGUAUUGGAUAGUCUGUCACGCCCCGCCUCGAAACCACUACCAAUUUGGCACGGCUCGGCCGCGGCGGCGGACCGCCGAACGGACAGCAUCUCCCUUGUCCGCCCAAGGCUCAACGACAGGAAUGUGUACAAGAAUUUACCCAGGACUUUAAAUUCUAAACAUACACAUUCAACGAGGGCACAAACAGUGCCAGCAACAAGGAGAGCAAGUAAUCCACAAGAUAUACGAGUGAAAUAAAGAGAGUACUUUACUAACUAUUACAAUAGUUGCAUUCUUUACAUCAUUUUUCAUCCAAAAUACAUAGCUCUCCAAAUCCUCACCUACAAUAAAUCUCUCUCUAUACAUAGGUGACUAAUGCAAAAGGGAAAGUUACUAUACUACCACGGUCUCACUGGUCGGGCGCGACGCCCUUGCCGCGGUCCUCCCUCUGCAGCCCUGAACCUACCACUGGAAAUAGAGUGGGGUGAGAACUAUCUUCCAUAGUUCCCAGUGGGCUCGGCCGCCGACUCUGCCGAUCUCCCCACUAGGUCCAAGUGGGCACAAGUAACAACAGAUAGAUAGAUAGAUAGAUAUGUAUCUGAAAGCUGUAAAUGCAGUAGUAGGAAAACUAUGCUACUAUGCCCAUAAUCAUGAAUAUGAAUGCAUGCAUCAUAUAAUAAAGGUUUGCUACCAUGCUAACAAAUUCGAUCCAUGUUCGAAUAGUAAUGUUCAAUGACAUUUAUAAACCUUUAACCUUUUUCAUUUACCCAAUCUGUGGCGAGGCCCUAGGGCUCGCCCAUGACUCACCUUCAAAUCCCAAAGUGGGGAGGGAGCUCCAAGUGCACCCAAGCCCGGGACCGUCUGCGGACCUCCAUGUGGUCCGGACCUCCAAGUGGUCCUAGUCGCGCGACACUCCGGAGUACUCGACGACAAUCCCCUCCAUGUGGGGAUUGGAUGGCUAUGCCACCCUAAACGCAGACUGUGAGCUAGAUCUAUCCUCUCCAUGUGAGGAUACACUGUAACCAGGGUCAACACCCAAUCCAAUCCUCUCCAAGUGAGGAGGCUCUACAACUAGAGUCAAUAACCCAAUCGAAUCCUCUCCAAGUGAGGACGCCCUAUACUAGGGUCAACGACUAUCGCGGAAUCAUCGGUUCCCGACAUUCAUACAAUGCUAUUUAGUUUUCUAAAUUCAUUGUUCACAAGGCAUUUUCUAAGGGAUCCACCUAUCCCUAGGUCCAUCGACCUCUAGUGUUAUUUACACUACAUUAAUGCCACUCGUCAUCAUUUAUCAUUCGGAUGCCACUCGUGUUCUUUAACACUAUCCACUACUUCCUAUGUCAUCAAUACCCCCAUCGGGUUCAUCUCUUUUCUUUCGCACCAUAGGAUUCACGUCUCGACCCAAUCCUCACCUAUCUAAAUCACCAAGCGUUCCAAGUACACUAGGUUAUCAAUUAGAAAGCAUAAGGAAUGGAACUACUAUGCAAUCCUACAAUGCACAUGAAGAGAUGAGAUUAAAUGCAAUCUAAGACAUAGAAAGAAGUUCGAAAGUUUCGGAUGACACCCCCACCUUUAACCAAUGUAGAGGUUUCGGAAAUCUCUCUUAGCGAGCUUUACGAAGAGGCUUUAGCCUUCCUCGCCAGAAUCAACACUAGCCCGGCCCGAUUUUGUGGAGAACUUCACGUCGGUUCGCCGAAUGCCGAAAUCGACUUCGCCCCCGCGUUUUGGGACCUAUCAAUAGGGUUUCCAAGACUUCAAAUGAGAUCAAUCUCAUACUUUUACAAAAAUGUGAGAAUAGAGGAAUGUGACACUCAGACCCUUUAGAGAGAUAAGUUAAUCAUAACUUUAAUCCUUGCACUGAUUCGAAUAAUAUAAUAUCCAUGAUAAUAGUCGAAUGGUAUUACAUUUGAAUGAGUGGCAUGGCAACCAGUAAACAACCUUGCGAGUUCGGCCAUUAUGACUUCAGGGUGUCUUAAAAAAACACCCCUGUGCAUGAUGUCCUAUGCACAGGGAUAUUCUCUUUGGACACAGAUACUAGAAUCAUUCAUUGUCCUGUAUCCCAUCAUUGUAUGCUCGCUCCACACAAUAGUGCGGCUCAGAGUUAGUCACGGUGGAUGGCCAUAUUUGUGGGUUCGGCGUCGGGUAGGGAUGGCCUAGUUGGUCCCGACGGCAAUGGAUAUGUGGGGCGUCCGCAGUACGCGUCUUGGCAUUCGUAGUUUGAGUACCGAGGAUGGCCUAAUGUGGGGUCCGGAAGACGGCUCCCUACGAAUCGAGAUGGACUAGCCAGUAGAUUGGCGUAAGGACUCACAGAUUACUGCAAAGUGGGCCGAUGAGCCUAGGUAGUUCCGCAGUCCGUAGUAGACAAAAAGUGGACCAUUAGCUGAGGUGCGCAGGUGCAGACAGUCCUUCGCCUCCAGCCUGGGCUUGUAUUAUUCUUUUUUUGCGUACCUCGCGCAGAGAUUGACCACAAGACUGAGGUCCGGGGCGGUUAGCUUCUGUAAGGCGGUGCAUGAACUUUGAUGACACAAACGUGUACAAAGGAAGAAAACCUUACAAUCCCAAUUGGAUGAAAGUAGGAAUCGAUUGAAUUACUAGUUGGUUGUAUGUCUGCUUAUUGCGAUGACUCUCACUAUUGCAGUACGCAACUGCAAUGCAUUGUACUUUGUUAGGUGAGUAAUCUUUUACAUACUAUAUCUGUUUAUUGAAACUAACCUGCAGCUUGCCUUCUAGACUGUCCGCGGUCGAGCUUUUUCCGCCCUUGGGUGAGCGCGUACCCACUGNNNNNNNNNNNNNNNNNNNNNNNNNNNNNNNNNNNNNNNNNNNNNNNNNNNNNNNNNNNNNNNNNNNNNNNNNNNNNNNNNNNNNNNNNNNNNNNNNNNNNNNNNNNNNNNNNNNNNNNNNNNNNNNNNNNNNNNNNNNNNNNNNNNNNNNNNNNNNNNNNNNNNNNNNNNNNNNNNNNNNNNNNNNNNNNNNNNNNNNNNNNNNNNNNNNNNNNNNNNNNNNNNNNNNNNNNNNNNNNNNNNNNNNNNNNNNNNNNNNNNNNNNNNNNNNNNNNNNNNNNNNNNNNNNNNNNNNNNNNNNNNNNNNNNNNNNNNNNNNNNNNNNNNNNNNNNNNNNNNNNNNNNNNNNNNNNNNNNNNNNNNNNNNNNNNNNNNNNNNNNNNNNNNNNNNNNNNNNNNNNNNNNNNNNNNNNNNNNNNNNNNNNNNNNNNNNNNNNNNNNNNNNNNNNNNNNNNNNNNNNNNNNNNNNNNNNNNNNNNNNNNNNNNNNNNNNNNNNNNNNNNNNNNNNNNNNNNNNNNNNNNNNNNNNNNNNNNNNNNNNNNNNNNNNNNNNNNNNNNNNNNNNNNNNNNNNNNNNNNNNNNNNNNNNNNNNNNNNNNNNNNNNNNNNNNNNNNNNNNNNNNNNNNNNNNNNNNNNNNNNNNNNNNNNNNNNNNNNNNNNNNNNNNNNNNNNNNNNNNNNNNNNNNNNNNNNNNNNNNNNNNNNNNNNNNNNNNNNNNNNNNNNNNNNNNNNNNNNNNNNNNNNNNNNNNNNNNNNNNNNNNNNNNNNNNNNNNNNNNNNNNNNNNNNNNNNNNNNNNNNNNNNNNNNNNNNNNNNNNNNNNNNNNNNNNNNNNNNNNNNNNNNNNNNNNNNNNNNNNNNNNNNNNNNNNNNNNNNNNNNNNNNNNNNNNNNNNNNNNNNNNNNNNNNNNNNNNNNNNNNNNNNNNNNNNNNNNNNNNNNNNNNNNNNNNNNNNNNNNNNNNNNNNNNNNNNNNNNNNNNNNNNNNNNNNNNNNNNNNNNNNNNNNNNNNNNNNNNNNNNNNNNNNNNNNNNNNNNNNNNNNNNNNNNNNNNNNNNNNNNNNNNNNNNNNNNNNNNNNNNNNNNNNNNNNNNNNNNNNNNNNNNNNNNNNNNNNNNNNNNNNNNNNNNNNNNNNNNNNNNNNNNNNNNNNNNNNNNNNNNNNNNNNNNNNNNNNNNNNNNNNNNNNNNNNNNNNNNNNNNNNNNNNNNNNNNNNNNNNNNNNNNNNNNNNNNNNNNNNNNNNNNNNNNNNNNNNNNNNNNNNNNNNNNNNNNNNNNNNNNNNNNNNNNNNNNNNNNNNNNNNNNNNNNNNNNNNNNNNNNNNNNNNNNNNNNNNNNNNNNNNNNNNNNNNNNNNNNNNNNNNNNNNNNNNNNNNNNNNNNNNNNNNNNNNNNNNNNNNNNNNNNNNNNNNNNNNNNNNNNNNNNNNNNNNNNNNNNNNNNNNNNNNNNNNNNNNNNNNNNNNNNNNNNNNNNNNNNNNNNNNNNNNNNNNNNNNNNNNNNNNNNNNNNNNNNNNNNNNNNNNNNNNNNNNNNNNNNNNNNNNNNNNNNNNNNNNNNNNNNNNNNNNNNNNNNNNNNNNNNNNNNNNNNNNNNNNNNNNNNNNNNNNNNNNNNNNNNNNNNNNNNNNNNNNNNNNNNNNNNNNNNNNNNNNNNNNNNNNNNNNNNNNNNNNNNNNNNNNNNNNNNNNNNNNNNNNNNNNNNNNNNNNNNNNNNNNNNNNNNNNNNNNNNNNNNNNNNNNNNNNNNNNNNNNNNNNNNNNNNNNNNNNNNNNNNNNNNNNNNNNNNNNNNNNNNNNNNNNNNNNNNNNNNNNNNNNNNNNNNNNNNNNNNNNNNNNNNNNNNNNNNNNNNNNNNNNNNNNNNNNNNNNNNNNNNNNNNNNNNNNNNNNNNNNNNNNNNNNNNNNNNNNNNNNNNNNNNNNNNNNNNNNNNNNNNNNNNNNNNNNNNNNNNNNNNNNNNNNNNNNNNNNNNNNNNNNNNNNNNNNNNNNNNNNNNNNNNNNNNNNNNNNNNNNNNNNNNNNNNNNNNNNNNNNNNNNNNNNNNNNNNNNNNNNNNNNNNNNNNNNNNNNNNNNNNNNNNNNNNNNNNNNNNNNNNNNNNNNNNNNNNNNNNNNNNNNNNNNNNNNNNNNNNNNNNNNNNNNNNNNNNNNNNNNNNNNNNNNNNNNNNNNNNNNNNNNNNNNNNNNNNNNNNNNNNNNNNNNNNNNNNNNNNNNNNNNNNNNNNNNNNNNNNNNNNNNNNNNNNNNNNNNNNNNNNNNNNNNNNNNNNNNNNNNNNNNNNNNNNNNNNNNNNNNNNNNNNNNNNNNNNNNNNNNNNNNNNNNNNNNNNNNNNNNNNNNNNNNNNNNNNNNNNNNNNNNNNNNNNNNNNNNNNNNNNNNNNNNNNNNNNNNNNNNNNNNNNNNNNNNNNNNNNNNNNNNNNNNNNNNNNNNNNNNNNNNNNNNNNNNNNNNNNNNNNNNNNNNNNNNNNNNNNNNNNNNNNNNNNNNNNNNNNNNNNNNNNNNNNNNNNNNNNNNNNNNNNNNNNNNNNNNNNNNNNNNNNNNNNNNNNNNNNNNNNNNNNNNNNNNNNNNNNNNNNNNNNNNNNNNNNNNNNNNNNNNNNNNNNNNNNNNNNNNNNNNNNNNNNNNNNNNNNNNNNNNNNNNNNNNNNNNNNNNNNNNNNNNNNNNNNNNNNNNNNNNNNNNNNNNNNNNNNNNNNNNNNNNNNNNNNNNNNNNNNNNNNNNNNNNNNNNNNNNNNNNNNNNNNNNNNNNNNNNNNNNNNNNNNNNNNNNNNNNNNNNNNNNNNNNNNNNNNNNNNNNNNNNNNNNNNNNNNNNNNNNNNNNNNNNNNNNNNNNNNNNNNNNNNNNNNNNNNNNNNNNNNNNNNNNNNNNNNNNNNNNNNNNNNNNNNNNNNNNNNNNNNNNNNNNNNNNNNNNNNNNNNNNNNNNNNNNNNNNNNNNNNNNNNNNNNNNNNNNNNNNNNNNNNNNNNNNNNNNNNNNNNNNNNNNNNNNNNNNNNNNNNNNNNNNNNNNNNNNNNNNNNNNNNNNNNNNNNNNNNNNNNNNNNNNNNNNNNNNNNNNNNNNNNNNNNNNNNNNNNNNNNNNNNNNNNNNNNNNNNNNNNNNNNNNNNNNNNNNNNNNNNNNNNNNNNNNNNNNNNNNNNNNNNNNNNNNNNNNNNNNNNNNNNNNNNNNNNNNNNNNNNNNNNNNNNNNNNNNNNNNNNNNNNNNNNNNNNNNNNNNNNNNNNNNNNNNNNNNNNNNNNNNNNNNNNNNNNNNNNNNNNNNNNNNNNNNNNNNNNNNNNNNNNNNNNNNNNNNNNNNNNNNNNNNNNNNNNNNNNNNNNNNNNNNNNNNNNNNNNNNNNNNNNNNNNNNNNNNNNNNNNNNNNNNNNNNNNNNNNNNNNNNNNNNNNNNNNNNNNNNNNNNNNNNNNNNNNNNNNNNNNNNNNNNNNNNNNNNNNNNNNNNNNNNNNNNNNNNNNNNNNNNNNNNNNNNNNNNNNNNNNNNNNNNNNNNNNNNNNNNNNNNNNNNNNNNNNNNNNNNNNNNNNNNNNNNNNNNNNNNNNNNNNNNNNNNNNNNNNNNNNNNNNNNNNNNNNNNNNNNNNNNNNNNNNNNNNNNNNNNNNNNNNNNNNNNNNNNNNNNNNNNNNNNNNNNNNNNNNNNNNNNNNNNNNNNNNNNNNNNNNNNNNNNNNNNNNNNNNNNNNNNNNNNNNNNNNNNNNNNNNNNNNNNNNNNNNNNNNNNNNNNNNNNNNNNNNNNNNNNNNNNNNNNNNNNNNNNNNNNNNNNNNNNNNNNNNNNNNNNNNNNNNNNNNNNNNNNNNNNNNNNNNNNNNNNNNNNNNNNNNNNNNNNNNNNNNNNNNNNNNNNNNNNNNNNNNNNNNNNNNNNNNNNNNNNNNNNNNNNNNNNNNNNNNNNNNNNNNNNNNNNNNNNNNNNNNNNNNNNNNNNNNNNNNNNNNNNNNNNNNNNNNNNNNNNNNNNNNNNNNNNNNNNNNNNNNNNNNNNNNNNNNNNNNNNNNNNNNNNNNNNNNNNNNNNNNNNNNNNNNNNNNNNNNNNNNNNNNNNNNNNNNNNNNNNNNNNNNNNNNNNNNNNNNNNNNNNNNNNNNNNNNNNNNNNNNNNNNNNNNNNNNNNNNNNNNNNNNNNNNNNNNNNNNNNNNNNNNNNNNNNNNNNNNNNNNNNNNNNNNNNNNNNNNNNNNNNNNNNNNNNNNNNNNNNNNNNNNNNNNNNNNNNNNNNNNNNNNNNNNNNNNNNNNNNNNNNNNNNNNNNNNNNNNNNNNNNNNNNNNNNNNNNNNNNNNNNNNNNNNNNNNNNNNNNNNNNNNNNNNNNNNNNNNNNNNNNNNNNNNNNNNNNNNNNNNNNNNNNNNNNNNNNNNNNNNNNNNNNNNNNNNNNNNNNNNNNNNNNNNNNNNNNNNNNNNNNNNNNNNNNNNNNNNNNNNNNNNNNNNNNNNNNNNNNNNNNNNNNNNNNNNNNNNNNNNNNNNNNNNNNNNNNNNNNNNNNNNNNNNNNNNNNNNNNNNNNNNNNNNNNNNNNNNNNNNNNNNNNNNNNNNNNNNNNNNNNNNNNNNNNNNNNNNNNNNNNNNNNNNNNNNNNNNNNNNNNNNNNNNNNNNNNNNNNNNNNNNNNNNNNNNNNNNNNNNNNNNNNNNNAACUAUGGAGUUAGUUCUCACCCCACGUUGCUUUUGGGGUGUUACAGGUUCACACGUGAGCGGCGCGGCGGCGUAAGGAAAGAGCGUAGCUCUGUAGAUAGCGCCCUACCACAGAUACCAGAGUUAGUCGUACCCCGAGUCGACAUAUCCUAGGGGUAUAGAAAUGGAAAGAUCAAUGUAUCAAAAUUGUAAUGAAUAAUUGAUGUAACAAUUCGUAUUAAGAUGUACUAUACUUGUGAAUAAUGAUGUAGUAGCUUAGAUUGCAUUUGGUUGGAAGUAAAAGUAAAUUGUAAUUGAGAGGUAAAGUAUGAAUGAAUGAAUGUAAUAACUUAGGAUGUGUUUAUGUUGUUUGAUACCUUCCUUAUGCAAUCGUUGUAUGUUGAAUACUGUUCCUGUUUGGAACCUGUUGUAACUGUUUUGAUUGCGAUGCCUUGAACGUACAGGGGAGACUCUGUCCGCAGUGCAGGGAAAACUCUGUCCAUUCGGCGCUGUCGGCGCCGUGACCCCGGCCAAAUAGGCGGGUGGUCGCGGGCUGUGACAGCAACCUAGUCGUUUCGGUAAGCACAACCCACCUUAACUUAUUCUCUGAUUGCUCUAGUCACUUGCAAUCGGCCUCCCGUGGCACCCAUUGCCCGGUUCGGCCCGAACUCUCGCGCGACCACCCAAACGGCCUCCAAUCCACGAUCCGAAAAUUAAAGGUCCACAGUUAGUUGUCACGAGCUCACGAUUCCGUUUUCAUAAUUUUAGGACGUCGCCUCGGCCCUCCAGGCGAAAACUAAGCCAAAAAUGUCGUUUCUUCAAUAACUUCACGUAGGCUCGACGAAUCGUCGAACCGACUUUGCCAACGUGUCAGAAUACCUAGAAAUUAGGUUUACAUGGGUCCAAUUUAGAUCAAACCCCUACAUUUACAAAACUAGCAUUUUUAACCUUAGCAUGAAAACAACCCCAAAUAAUUCGAAAUUAAAUGGAGCGACAUACUAGAAACACUUUAGAGACCAUUAGAACACUAAACAUCAAUGAUUAAACCAAAUCCUAGAAGCUUACCAAAUUGUGAACGCCGAGUCGAAAGCAUGCCACGCAACCGGGUGCACGAAGACUCAAACCGACGCUCCGCACGCGUUCGCAAGCACGCUCUCGGCCAACGCCGCGAGUUUGAGGGAGAGAUCUUGUAAUAUACCGAAAAUUCAAAAAAUAAAUAUCGAACUUUAGUCAAAUUGACCAAAGUGCGAGGUUGGUACCAUUCGAAAAGUCCGAAGGUGUAAAAAUGAGUAAAAGUGCAUUGUGGGAGGUUUUCAAGAGCUAAAGAAUCAAAAAUCUGCAUUCUGCAGGUUUUGAGCUCUCGGGGACCAGUCUUUGGUGGGAGAGACUGGUCCCCAAAUGCGUGAGAAAUGAGAAAGCUGAAAAAUCGGCUAAGUCCUAGAAAAUCAGCUCUCGGGAACCGGUCCCUGCGGGGAGAGACCGGUCCCCGAGAGACCGGUCCCUCUGGGAGAGACCGGUUGCAUUGUGCGGGGACCCUAGUUGCCCGCGGGGAGAGCUCUCUGGUACCGGUCCCAGGUCGGGGAGACCGGUUCCCGAGCACGAAAACUGCCCAGUUUUGGCAGUUUAAUAAAGUGAAAGUUGAGAGGUUUAUUUGCAAUUAUGUAACCCAUAGAGCUAUGUAUGGGGAGAUAUGAGAUAUUUCUUUCAUUCUCACCCUCUCACACUCUCCUCUCUCUUUCUCUCUCUAGAAGACAAGAAGGAGAAGAAGAAAGAAAGGAAAAGAAGGAGGAAGAGAAGGAAGGAGAAGAAGAAAAAGGUGGAGAAGAAGAAGAAGGAGUGAAGUAACUCCCUCUCCUUCACCUCUAGCACAAAGAAAGGAAAGAUUUGAGGUAAGCUUUGAUCCAUUUCAUGGUAAAACCCUAGAAUGAGAACCAAAUGACCUAGAAAUGGUUUUGGUAGAACCUUUUGAGUAUUUGAAGCUUUCUUUUGCUUCCUUAAGAGAUCAAAACCAUAGAUUGGGUAUAUGUGGUGAAGCUUAGAGGUGAGCUUCAACCUCUCUCAUGGUAGAAUCCAAACUAGGGUUUGAAUUAAGCUAAUGAUGGUUUUUAUGGAACCUUUGGAUGAUUUGAAGCUUUCUUUUGCUUCUCUAAGAGAUCAAAGCCCUAAUUUUGUUGUGGGAUGAGCUAGGGCACCCAAAUUUGGGGCUUUUUCUUGUGAGGGUUCCAAAGUGAAAUUGACCCUCUAGAAACCUAAUUCGGGAUAUUUCCGACGCGUUGGUACGCUCGAUUUAAUGUUACGAAAAGCCUAUGCGAAGUUAAGAGCAAAAUGGCCUAAUAUGGCUUCGUUUUGCCGCAGGUAGCAAACUAGGCGGCUAAAAAUCCUGAGAAAUUCACCGUAGCACCUAAGUAAGCUUACAAGGUGGGUGGUGCUCUCCAAACUUAUUGGAAUUCCCUUUAUGUCUAAUGUUUCACUUCUUGAGCAUACAUAUAUAAUUGUUGCAUGCAUAAUUAGGGUAAUGAGAUAAUAAAUAUGUGAAUGCUUGCAUUUUGUGAGUUCAAGUGCAUCAUGAGAUGGUUGAGAAUCAAUGAGAAUGUAAUAACCCUAUAUGUGCAUGUAAAAAGAGAUAAGAGUAUAGUGAAGUUAAAGAACAAGUGACAUAAGACAUGAGGAUAAUGAAAUAUGAGAAUGAAAGGUAGAGUUAGCAUAAAGAUUGACAUAAAGAACACUAGAGCUAGUGUGUGGCAUCAAAGAGAAUAAACGUGUGGCAUUAAAGAAUGAUAAUUGCUAGAGUUAGCAACAAAAUGUGGCAUAAAGAACAAUGGCUAGAGAUAGCAUUAAAUGUAGGGCAUAAAAGAAUGCCAGAGUUAAUGUAUGACAUGAAUGAUAGUAAAGAAUGUAAAGAACACUAGAGUUAGUGUAAUGACAUGGUCGAAGAUAAAAAAAUGCAAAGAACAUAAGAUUGACACGAUGACAUACAACCUUAGAGCUAAGGGUCAUUUGUGCAUAAUUUCUUAGAGUUAAAGAACAGAUUGAACUGAACAUCCUUAGAGUUAAAGAUUGAUCAUACUCGCUAUAAGUCCUUGCUCGAGGGCGGUAGCUCCCCCUCGAGCGAUGCACUCCGGAAUUUGUCAUUACUGGGUUGGUGCUGUUCCCCAGAGGACGGUCCUAGCGGGAGGAAGCUGAGGGCCCGCGAUCAUGGAUUUUGAGUUAGUGAGUUAAUGAGGCGAUACCCCCGGGUUAGCCUUGAGAUUGAACGAAAGAACAAGAACAAAGAAUAAAGAACAAAGAACAACGACCACGCAUUCUUCAUGAGUUUAUAUUGAGCGUCUUUAUUGAUCACAUUGUUCAGGCAUAUUAGUUGUAUUUGUAUAGUUGGCUACUUAUCUGCUUAUUCUUUCUAUUAUGCCUGAGUUAGACCUAGUGGGAAAGUCGGUGAGAUUGGAACCGAACCCACUGGGAACUUCGUUGUAGUUCUCACCCCACUAUUUCCACAGAGCCGGGACCGAGCGACCCGGCGAGCGACCGCGGUAAGGGUAUCGUGCCAUAGACAGUGACUACCAAGUCGAGUUUUACAUUUUGUAGUAGCAUUUCCCUACUUCAUCUUUUGUAUUUGAUGAAUUGAGAUGUAAAAGAAAAAGAAUGUAAUGUUUAUCUCGAGAAGAAUGUAAUGUAAAAAGAAAUGAUGCAAGCAAUGUAAACAAUCAUAAAUAUGAAGCUUAAAUGCAAUGUAUGUGAUCAAAAGUUGUAUCAUAGUACUUGUGUAGUUGUUUAGUUUCCUUUCUUUCACUCAUGGCUAUUGCUUACCUUUGUGUAAGCCGUUUGUGUAUGUUUCCGCUAGUGCUUUUCUCUACUUGAAAAUGUACAGGUGAUGAGCCUUGGGCGGACAGGGGAAACUCUGUCCAUUCGGCGUCUGUUCGACGUGCCCGGGCCGGCCCAAAUUGGUAUCGGUCCUAGGACGUGACAGAUCUAGAGAGAUGAGAGAGAUAUUUAGAGAGAGAAAUGAAGGUUUCUCUCUCCUCACCAUGGUGCGUGUGAGGUGGUGGUGGUGGUCGGCUGAUGGAGAGGAAGAAAAGGGAUCAAAAUCCCUUUUAUAAAUAACCCCUGAAUACUAUUCACAUUACCAGUUUAGCCACGUCGGAGCCCUUCUGAAUGUCCGUUUGCGCUCAAAUUUUACAGCCAGGCUCGGUUUUCCUUACUAAGAAAGAAUAUAUCUUAAGUUUUCAAUUUCGACAACGUUUGGUCACCGGAAGCUCUACCAAACUGUAAUCUUUAGCAGAUAACAGUCGGAUUUUAUUUCCCACCUUUCCGAGUGUCAGAAUGUCAUGAAACUUUAAAUCUAGCCUUAUAAAAAUAAUUCUGACAUAUUCUCCAGUUUUCAUAAUUUUUUGACACUAUGUAUUUUCUGCUAAAAUAUCAGCUCCGUUUCUCACAGAAAAUUCUAAAUCUUCUGUUUUCGUUCCGAUUUCAGCACGAGUCGUUUCCGACUAAUAUUUUACUUCUCUAAAUCCAAUAAAAAUAGUAUUUCACAUUAUUUUUAUUUAUUUUUACUUUUAUAUCAAAAUCUGGUAUGUUACAACCAUAUAUCUUGAGAUUAUAGAAUCCCGACCCAAACACCGGGACUUAGUCCCAACAACCCCGAGCUCUCGUGUGCCUAUAAGCCUUAGGUUAUCCUAUGGGUAAUUCUAAAUCAUGGUUGAUUGUCGUCGACAUUUUGCUCUGAUACUAUCUUAAUAUGUCAUGCCCCGAGAUUCUUUUAAAAAUUCUUUUUAGGAAAACUAGUGGAAAACGUGUAUUUUUUUUUUUUUGAAUACCUCUGAGAACACCCUGCGGACGCGCACAGACCCGCCACAUAGACAAAGGAUCCCCUGUAUAGAUGGACAGAGUCUCCCUUGUACAUGCACGACAUAGCAACUCAAAUCAUAGUCAACCACACUAUAACCACACAACACAAAUAACAUAAAGUGUAACAUACCACAUCCCUCGUAAAUCGUGCCGAGUUCCGUUAAAAUGAGCGGAACGCGGAAUUGAACGAGUUAGGAUGGACCCUAAGUGCAUUAGAGUUCAUAAACGAAACUAAAAGGGACCCGAGAGAGCAAAUCUGAAAAUCUGGCUAAGUCCCAGAUUUUGAGCUCUCGGGGACCGGUCCCUGAAGGAGAGACCGGUCCCCGUACGCGUAGCCUCACAAGGAUCCUGAGGCAACCGGUCCUUGGUUGGUGAGACCGGUCCUCGGAAGACCGGUCCCUGACGGGCAGACCGGUCCCUCGCUGCGCAGCAGCCGAAAAACUCAAGAAGCCGAGCCCACUGGGAACUUUGUUUAGUUCUCACACCACUAACCCUACAGGUCCUAGCACGAGCGGGGCGGCGGAGGACCGAGGCAAGGGUUUGGCGCCGUAGGUAGCGGCCACCGGGGACUUUAUGCAUUUUGUAGUCAUUCCCUUUUGUUAUACAUGUAUCAACUUUAUUUUGUUGAUUUAGGAAUGAAAAGUGUAAACAAUCAUGUAUUUGGUGGAUGACUAAAUGUAAAAGAUAUGAUGGUUGAAUGGAAUGUAAUAGCUUUGUUUACUUGAAUUUGGUUUAAAUGAAAUCAAAUAUCAUGUGUGAUGUAUAUUUAGCUUAGAGCUUUCGCUUCCGUUGUUGCUUGCCCUCGUGCAAGCCUUGUAUUAUAUAUGCAAUUCUCUUGUUGAUUGCCUAUUUAUACAUGUUGUUAGAGCCUUGGGCGGACAGGGGAGGCUCUGUCCGUUCGGCGUCUGUUGACGUGACCCGAACCCGACCAAAUUGGCGGGGAUUGGGGCGUGACAUAUAUAAUGGUAUCAGAGCCAAGCGGAAAGUAAAAGUCUAGGGAUGACCUAGAAACCCUAGGAAAUUGGAGACCUUAGGAGUUUAGGAAACGUUUAACGUGGACUUGGUUUAUGCAAAAGCAAAUAAUUGGGUCAGGGGUAACACUUCUCUAGAAGGAAGUAGAGAUGGACUAGGAGGCUUAAUUGUUGUCUACUUAAAGGACCUUGUGGGGCGGCCGACCACAUAACACCGAAAGUGGAAAUAAUUAGGCUUGUGCUUUCGCUUAAUUGGGUAGCUACUUGGAACGUGUAAGAGUCACGUGUGUCGAGUGCUAAUGUGUGUGCAUUGCGUUGCAGGACGCGAUGGCACCACCAAGGAGAGUUACGAGGUCCACACCGGCGGAGCCUCGGGAGGAGCCCGGACAGUCGGGGUCGGACGAAGUACGCAAGUUGCGAGCCCAGGUAGCGGCUUUGGCCGAGGCUAUGCGAGAACAAGGGGAGCAGAUUGGACAGCUCCACGAGAUGAUGGCGCAACAGGCGGCAGCGGCAUCAGUGCCGAGGGAUCCACCCCCACCGGCUGCCCCUGUAGCACCACCUCUUGCGGUGGCGGCAGCGCUAGUGACGGCUGUUCCUCCGGCAGCAUCGAGUUCAUCGGUUACUAUUUCCGAUAUGCUUGAGGCCGAGCAGGAGCGUACGUUGGCGGCGCUGACGGCAUUCAAGCGGUUCAACCCUCCGACCUUCAACGGCGAUGUGAAGGAUCCGUGGGUGACGGAGAAUUGGUUGGCCGCGAUGGAGGCGUUGUUCGAGGAUAUCUAUACCCUCGAGAAGGAUAAAGUUCACCUGGCAGCUCAUUGUUUCGAUGGGUCGGCUCGGUUGUGGUGGAAUCAAGCGAAGAAAAAUCGCUCGCUAGGGCAUGCUCUUCUCACUUGGGAGGCGUUUUGGGAGAUGCUGCUUAUGGAGUACUUCCCCGAGAGUGACAAGAGGAAAAUCAAGGAGGAUUUUCGAAAACUAAGGCAAGGAAACCGAACUGUGCGGGAGUACGAAAGGGAAUUCAUGCACAUGAUUAACUGCGUGCCGGACUUGGUUCACAGCGAUAGGGACCAAGCGGAGGUGUUUGAGCGCGGGUUGCGACCCAAGAUCUUCAAGGUCAUUCAUGCAUUCCACUUGAAGACCUAUGAGGAGGUUCUUGACCGCGCGCUUUGGGUGGAGCGCGGAAAUGCCAUUGCGCGGGACGAACGCGAGGCAUUUGAGAAGGAUAAGGAAAGGGAGAAGACUAAGAAGCGACCUGCUGGUGGAUCGGCGGGGCAGUCGAGUUCUAAGCGACCCACGCGACCUCAGCGAUCACAGUGGCGGGGAGGUAGAAGUCAGACACAGGGCCAGAUUACCUACCCAUGCGUGAUAUGCGGCGGAGAGCAUAGAGCCACCAUUUGCCCGUAGUGGGAGGGGCGGUGUUACCGAUGUGACCAACCGGGACACAUGAGCCGAGAGUGCCCGGGCGGCGCAUCCCCAGCUCCGUCAUCAGCUUCAGUUCAGUACACUCAGCGAUAGCUGGCGGGACUGCCACCCGCGACAUCUGCUGGACGAUCGUCGGCACCUCAUCAGCCGGAGGCCUCUCGAGCACCUAGUGGGCGGGUGUUUGCCACUCAGGUGGAGGAGCCACCAAUCAUCGUUCCCGACGACGUCGUGGCAGGUAUUAUUCUGAUUAAAGGCACUAGGGCUAGAGCCAUAUUUGACACGGGUGCAUCUCAUUCAUUCAUAUUAGCAUCAUUUGCGCAAGCUCAUAAUAUAGAGAUCACUCAUAAUGAGGAGUAUUGGUCGGUGAACACUCCCGGACACUCGAUCGACGUUUACGAUGAGUGCUUGGACUGCCCAGUGCAAAUAGGCGAUUGGAUUAUGCCGAUCGACCUUCUAGUGUUGAAAGAAAUGUGGGGAUUCGAGGUAAUCUUGGGGAUCAAUUGGCUCUCCAAGUAUUACGCGGUUAUAGAUUGUGAAAGAAGGGUGAUCACGUUCCGUGAACCCAACCAAGAGGAGUUUGUCUACCGGGCGUGCAAGGGUAAACGCUUUGCAGCCACUAUAUCGACGGUGAGGGCGAAAAGGAUGAUCAAAGGCGGCUGUAAGGCCUACUUGGCGACCAUCGUAGACUCUCGAAAAGAGUACCCGGAAUUGGAGAGUAUUCGAGUUGUGCGGGAGUAUCCGGAUGUAUUCCCCGCGGAGUUACCGGGAUUGCCCCCGGAUCGGGAAGUCGAGUUUGUGAUUGACUUGAUUCCCGGGGCGGCGCCAAUUUCGAAGGCUCCGUACAGAAUGGCACCGGUGGAGUUGAAGGAAUUGAAAGCUCAGCUACAAGACUUGCUCGAUAAGGGCUUCGUACGGCCGAGCGUGUCCCCGUGGGGAGCUCCGGUGUUAUUUGUAAAGAAAAAGGACGGCACGCUUCGACUCUGCGUUGAUUAUCGCGAGUUGAACAGAGUAACGAUCAAGAACAAAUACCCGUUGCCAAGGAUUGAUGACCUGUUCGACCAGUUGCAAGGGUCAAGGGUAUACUCGAAGAUUGAUCUGCAGUCGGGGUAUCAUUAGUUGAAGAUACGGCCCAAAGGCGUGCACAAAACGGCGUACCAUACGCGGUAUGGCUAUUACGAAUUCACGGUGAUGCCGUUUGGGCUUACUAAUGCCCCAGCAGCAUUCAUGGACUUGAUGAAUAGAGUCUUCCGUCCGCUAUUGGACCGGUGCGUCGUGGUAUUCAUUGACGACGUAUUGGUAUAUUCUCGGACCGAAGAAGAACACGAAGAGCAUUUAAGGCUCGUGUUGGAGAUACUCCGGAAGGAAAAGCUUUAUGCAAAGCUAAAGAAAUGUGAGUUUUGGCUUUCGGAGGUUACCUUCUUGGGCCACGUUGUAUCCGGAGAUGGCAUCUCGGUGGACCCAAAGAAAGUUGAGGCGAUUAGAGAUUGGCCUCGCCCGACAAGUGUAGCGAAAAUUCGUAGCUUCCUUGGACUUGCAGGCUAUUACCGGCGGUUCGUGAAGGGGUUUGCUAAAAUAACCACUCUACUAACGUGCCUUACGCACAAAGGGGUGAAGUAUGUUUGGAGCCCCGAGUGUGAGCGAAGCUUUGAAGAGCUAAAGACUAGAUUAACAUCUACUCCGGUACUUGCUUUGCCGACGCCAGGAGAGAGCUAUGUCGUGUAUAGUGAUGCCUCGUACGUGGGACUCGGGUGUGUCUUGAUGUAAAACGGCCGAGUCAUAGCUUAUGCUUCGCGCCAACUGAAGAAUUAUGAAAAGAACUACCCGACUCACGAUCUUGAGCUAGCGGCGGUUAUAUUCGCGCUAAAAUUGUGGAGGCAUUACUUGUAUGGGGAACAUUGUGAGAUCUACACCGAUCAUAAGAGUCUCAAAUACUUGUUCACCCAAAAGGAGCUAAACUUGCGACAGCGGCGGUGGUUAGAGUUGCUCAAGAAUUAUGAUGUCACGAUCCUCUACCACCCCGGGAAAGCAAACAUCGUGGCCGAUGCUCUAAGUAGAAAGUCGGCGGAAAAUUUGGCGACGCAAGUUACGCCCCAACCGGCGUUGCAAAGGGAGAUGCAACGGUUUGGUCUAGAGGUUAUGGCGCCGGGGGUGCCGGCAACACUUGCCACCCUGGUUGUGCAGCCAACCUUGUUGGAGAAGAUUAAGGGAUUACAAGCGUCGGAUGAAUUUCUCCAAAAGAUGCGUAGUAAAGUUGAGAGCGGUAAUGCCGAUGAUUUCGGCAUUGGAACCGACGGCACACUACGAUAUCGAGAUCGUUGGUGCGUACCCAAGGACGACGACCUUCGGAAGGCGAUUAUGCAAGAAGCGCAUCAAUCUCCCUACAGUAUACACCUGGGCGGCACCAAAAUGUACCGAGACCUGAAAUUGCAUUAUUGGUGGCCGGGCAUGAAGAAGGAUAUAGGAGAGUUCGUAGCGCAGCGCCUCAUGUGCCAAUAGGUUAAGGCGGAACGUCGAUUUCCGGCGGGAAAGUUACAAAAUCUACCAAUACCCGUGUGGAAAUGGAAAAAUAUCGCAAUGGAUUUUGUGACGGGCUUGCCUAGAUCACAAGGUGGACACAACGCGAUUUGGGUAGUUGUGGAUCGAUUGACCAAAUUGGCACACUUUUUGUCGAUCCACACUACUUGGUUGGGAGACAAAUUGGCUCAAGUCUAUGUUGACGAGGUGGUGAGGCUUCACGGGGUUCCGGUAUCUAUUGUAUCAGAUCGGAACCCUAGGUUCACAUCUCAUUUUUGGAGGAGCCUGCAAGAUGCAUUGGGCACACGGCUUGAUUUUAGCACGGCAUUCCAUCCUCAAAGCGACGGUCAAUCGGAAAGGACUAUUCAAAUACUUGAGGAUAUGCUUCGAGCGUGUGUACUUGAUUACAAGGGCGGAUGGCACGAUCAUAUACCGAUGGCGGAAUUCACAUACAACAAUAGCUAUCAAGAAAGCAUUGCGAUGGCGCCAUUCGAGGCCCUGUACGGAAGGAAGUGUUGCUCGCCAAUACAUUGGAGCGACGUGGGCGAGAAAAUGGUUCUUGGCCCCGACGUGGUGCGAGAGGCGGAGGAGAAAGUCCGCUUUGCCCGACAAAGAUUAGUGACAGCGCAAUCAAGGCACAAGAGUUAUGCCGACAAGCGGCGAAAGGACAUUGAGUUCGCGGUAGGAGACCGCGUAUUUCUAAAGGUAUCACCGAUGCGGGGAAUUAAAGGUUCGGUGUACGCUGGAAGUUGAGUCCCCGCUAUAUCGGACCCUUCGAGAUUUUGGAACGAGUUGGUACGGUGGCCUACAAGUUGGCAUUACCACCGAGACUCGCGGGAGUACAUAAUGUAUUCCAUGUAUCCCAACUCCGCAAGUAUGUGUACGAUCCGGAUCAUAUUCUCUCGUAUAUACCGAUAGAGCUUCAAGAGGAUAUGACAUAUGAGGAAUUCCCGGCGUAUAUUGCCGAUCGGGAGGUGCGAAAGCUUCGGAACCGCGAAAUCCCGUAUGUUAAAGUUCAUUGGUGCGAACACGAUGACCGGGAAGAAACGUGGAGCUCGAAAGCGAAAUGAGGGAGCGUUAUCCUCACCUUUUCGAGGAUCCGAAGUGAGGUAAGAAAUUUAAAUUCCAAUCUUAGUAGUUUCGCGGAUGAAACUAAAUUCUAGGGGUGGAGAAUGUAACAUACCACAUCCCUCGUAAAUCGUGCCGAGUUCCGUUAAAACGAGCGGAACGCGGAAUUGAACGAGUUAGGAUGGACCCUAAGUGCAUUAGAGUUCAUAAACGGAACUAAAAGGGACCCGAGAGAGUAAAUCUGAAAAUCUGGCUAAGUCCCAGAUUUUGAGCUCUCGGGGAUCGGUCCCUGAAGGAGAGACCGGUCCCCGUACGCGUAGCCUCACAAGGAUCCUGAGGCAACCGGUCCUUGGUUGGUGAGACCGGUCCUCGGGAGAUCGGUCCCUGACGGGCAACCGGUCCCUCGCUGCGUAGCAGCCGAAAAACUCAAGAAUUUGGCUAAGUCCUGGAACACCCACGUUCGGGAACCGGUCCCUGGUCGGGGAGACCGGUCCCCGAAGGCGAAAAACGCCCAGUCUGGGCAGACCAAAGGGAAACAAGUGGAGGGGCUUAAAUGCAAUUGUCAUAAUACUUUAUAUGGACACCCCUCUCUCUCCCAUAGUCAUUUUCACCCUCCUCUCUUAUUUCCUCUCUUUCUCUCUCUAGAACUCUUGCUCUAGAGCUUGGAGAAGAAGAAGAAGAAGAAGCAAGGAGGAGCUAGAUUUGGUGGAUUUGGUGGGUUCUACAAGCUCUCCUACAAGAAGGACUUGGAGGGGCUUGGGGCUAAGGUGAGUUUUGGUACAAAUGAGUCUAGGGUUUGGAUUUUGGCUUAGAAAAUUGGAGCUUUGUGCUCCCUAGAGGCUUUAGAGGCUCUUUUGAGCCAUGUAUACCAUGGUACCCAUGAGAGCACUCCCAUGAGAGCUCAAAGUGCUCUCAUGGUGAAUCCUUGGAAGUAGUGUUUGGAGCCCUAGGAUUGGUACCAAAGGUCUAGAAACCUUACUAGAGUGCUUCUUAGAUGAUCCUAAGCUAUUGUUUGCUUAAGAUUGGGAUCGAUUCAUGGGGAAACCCUAAAUGACAAUAUUAGGGCUUGAAAAUUGGGGUUUUUGCCCUAAGAUUUUUCGGGGACAAAUUGACCCCGUGGAAACCUAAUUGGGGGUGUCCUAAACACGUGGGACAACUCCGUUUAACGUUGCGAAAAUGAAAGAGUAUAGUUCAUGUAUAAAAAGGCCUAAUAUGGCACUAUUUUGAUUAUAGGGCGCGGAAUCGACUUUCGUAAAGUGCGGGGGCCUUCAUAUUCUACACCCACACGACCAAUAGAGGUGGGGGGUGCACGCCGGAAUCGUUGGAUUCCCUUCUAUGUCUGUUUUCUCUAUUCUUGAGCAUAUAUGUUUAUAUAUACCCAUUCAUGCAUAGUAGGGUAGAUACAUGUGGAAUUUGGUUUGAUUUCAUUUAUAUGCUUCGAACGUAGUUGAACAUAGCGGAUGAUAGAACCAAAAUGGACAUGUGUGAUCGGACCCUCAAGUUGUGUGAAUGUGAGGUUGGACUUGGACAAUAGAAAACAAUGGUGACACUGACAUAGAAACAAAAUUGGCAUUGAGAGAUAAACCGUUAAACAUAGUUUAACCAAUUAUGACAUCGACAAAGGUAAAGCCUUGAGAGUGGCAAGAAUGAAUAGGUAGAGACCUAUCAUGACAUCGGCAUUGUGACUAGUGGCUAUGAAUCCUCAAGUUGAGGAUUGGAUCGAUACUCACAUUACGUCUUGGCUUGAGGGAGGUCGCUCCCCCUCUAGCGGUGCGCUCCGGAGUUGGUCACCACUGGGCGUGAUAAAAUCCCCCCAGAUGACGGUCCCUAGGGAGGUUCGAGUCCCCCGCUAUUAAGGGAUUUUCGGUGGUGAGUUAUUGGGGUUAACAAGGUUAACCGGUAAGAUUGGGUAAAAGCCAAAGCUUAUUUGUGAUUUGAGCAUGCAUGCAUUUCCUAUUAUCGCAUUGAGUAUUUGAAUCCACUGACAUUCUUCUGCAGGCAUAGUAUUAGAUGCAUUAGUACUGGUUACUUUUCUUUCCUUGAAAUACUUAUGCCUGGAUAGACCUAGUGGGUAAGUCGGCGAGGUCGGAUGCCGAGCCCACUGGAAACUUUGUUUAGUUCUCACACCACUAACCCUACAGGUCCUAGCACAAGCGGGGCGGCGGAGGACCGAGGCAAGGGUUUGGCGCCGUAGGUAGCAGCCACCGGGACUUUAUACAUUUUGUAGUCAUUCCUUUUUGGGUAUUCAUGUAUCAACUUUACUUUGUUGAUUUAGAGAUGCAAAGUGUAAACAAUCAUGUAUUUGGUGGAUGACUAAAUGUAAAAAGAUAUGACGGAUGAAUGUGAUAGUUUUACUUGAAUUUGGUUUAAAACUAAUCAAAUAUCAUGUAUGUUACUUAAUUAGCUUAGAGCUUUCGCUUCCGUUGUUGCUUGCUCUCGUGCAAGCCAUGUAUUAUAUAUGCAAAUCUCUUGUUGACUGCCUAUUUAUACAUGUCGUUAGAGCCUUGGGCGGACAGGGGAGGCUCUGUUCGUUCGGCGUCUGUUGACGUGACCCGAACCCGACCAAAUUGGCGGGGAUUGGAGCGUGACAUAAAGAUCGUAUGAAAACUAUGAUUCACAUUAUCAGUUAUAUUUAAACAUUGCUAGAUAAAGAACUUAACUAAUCUAACCAAAAGAUAGUAAACAUCAAUAACAGACGGAUAUGGAAUACAUCUAUCUAGUAUCGUCCUCAUGCACUGUCCCAACCCUUACUGUCUGCAUCACCUGAAAAAUGGUAGGGAGUGAGAACAUGUAAACACGUCUCCCCUCCCAGUGGGUACCGCAAGCUGACAAAGGCCAGCUGUACUCAUCGACAGAUGGAAGAGAUAACUAUAAUCAUGAACAGAUAUCAUAAGAACAGUAACAAUAGAAAAAUAACCAACAAUCAAUGUAAGGAUAACCGCUACUGUAUGAUAAAGUAGGAAUUAACAACUGAGUAUAAUCAACAUGUGUACCGAAAUAGUAGUAGCAAUGACUAGAAAGGAACUGCAACUACCAAUCAAUACAUAUAACUAUUCGCUACUAUAACGAACAACGAAAUAUAUCAAUGCAUCAAAUAGGUGAAUAGUUGUCACGCCCCGAGACCCUACCAAUUUGGUCCAGUCCGGGCGCGUCGAACAGACGCCGAACGGACAGGACCUCCCCUGUUCGCCCAAGGCUAACCAACUGAUCAUGUAUAAGAAUUUACCCAGGGAUCAAUUCAUAAAUACACGAUCACAAGGAGCACCACCAGUGCUAACAAGACGAGAGCAAGAUACAAGUAUGGGAAUAUACAAGUACAUAAAGAGAGAAGGUUUUAUCUAUUACAUUUUUCCAAAACAUAAAUACAAGCACUCACACCUCGCUAUACAUCAUCUACUCUUAAACAUAAAUAAACGGUAGAGCUAAUGCAAAAUGGGUGGAUAGCUAAUGCAACUAGGGCGCUAAGCCCUUACCACGAUCCUCGCGCUCGUCGGGGACACCCAAGCUCGAACCUGAAAAGAGUGGGGUGAGAACUAUCUUCCAUAAUUUCCAGUGGGUUCGGCCGCCGACUCCGCCGGUCUCCCCACUAGGUCCAAGUGGGCAUAAGUAGAUAAACAGAUAGAUAGAUAUAAAGCUGUAGAAACAGGUAGUAAAACUACUCUACUGUGCCCGAAUCAAGUAUAUGAUGGAUGCAUGCACAAUGAAAUAGAUAAUCAACUAGCUCUUCACAUGUCCAAGAAGUAAAGCUAUUUACCUGUUCAUUAACUUCAUGGCUCAUUCAAGGAUUUCCGCCUAUUACUCAUAUAGCCAUCUCGAUACUACAAAUCCGAGACCGUCUGCGGGACCCCACAUAGGCUAUCCAUCGGGACCCCAAAUAGGCUAUCCCUAUCCCACCAGACCCCACAUAGGCUAUCCCUCGUGACCGACUUCGGAGCGCACUACUUGUGUGGAGCGACCAUCACAAGUUGGGAGCAGACAAUGAGUAUGAUCUAAAUCUCCCACCUCAAGGGUGCCCUAUCCUCUAGGGUUACUGUCACCAUAGUCAAUGGGUUCCAUAUACGUUACAACUCAUACAUGCCACUCGUUCUUUGUUUAUUAAUAACUAGAUGCCACUCGUUCUUUUGUUUAGGUACCAUUCGUUCUUUUGUUUUAACCCUUGCAUCAUUCUUUCAUCGCCACACUAUAGGAUUAUAAGUCUCGACCCAAUCCUCAUCAAUCCCCUAUAUCCAGCAAUUAACGCAUAAUAUGAUAUCAGCUAGGAAGCAUAAGGAAAGGCAAUGCAUAAUUAUCCUACAAUGCAUGUGAACACAAGAUGCAAGAUCUCAAAAUACUAAGAUAUAAAAGGGAGCCCGAUUGCUUCGAGAUGGACACCACCCACCUCUUGGUGAUGCCGUGACGGUAGAAAACUCGACGCUGCGGUCCUCGCACGUCGCUUCAACUCCUCGGGGCGAAGCGAGCCCUCGAGUACUCGAUUCGGCGAUUUCUCCGCACUCGCUCGUCGGAUCGACGAACCGUCUUCGCCGACGCGUUCCAAGACCUAGCAAUUUGGUUUACGACCUAUUAAAAUAUAUCAAAACCCUAGAUUUCCAAGAAUCCUAAAUCCGUGCCCUAGAAUGGCAACGAGGGAGAAAUCCGUGGUGCGAGCUUCAAACGCGAGCUCGAACCAUCUAUUUAUCUCCUCUAGGUUCCAUUCGAACCAUCUCUAACCAUAAAAACCCCAAACCCUAGAAAUACCAUUAGAGGGUUUAGAGCUUACCUCUAAGCCAAACUCCAAGCUUGCUCUAGCUUGAAGGGAAGAGGGAAGAAGAUCUUCUUCUUCUUCUUCUUGGUCUUCUCCUUCCACUUCUUCUUCUUUUCCUUCCUCUUCUUCUUCUUUUUCUUCUUCUCCUUCUUUCCUUUCUAGAGAGAGAGAGAGGGAAAGAGUGUGAGAGGGCAAAAUGAGAGAAUGAGGGAGAGAAAGGGUCCCCCAGCCUCUAUUAAAGGCCAUUUUGCAAAUAGCCCCCUCAGCUUUUCAUCUCUUGGAUCAGCCCUCUCUGGGCAUUUUCGCAGUGAGGGACCGGUCCUUGCUCCGGGAGACCAAUCCCCGAGAGCUCUCCAUCUCGGGCAGAAGGAUUUCGCGUUCGGGAACCGGUCCUUGCCUGAGAGACCGAUCCCCGGGAGACCGGUCCUUGUCCGAGAGACCGGUUCCCGAGAGUUGGGUUUUCGGGACUUAGCCAAAUUUCAGCUAUUUUCGCUGGGCCAACGUUCGGGGACCGGUCCUUCACUGCCAGGGACCAGUCUCAUCAAAGACCCCCCCGCAGCCCAGCCUGAUGGGACCGGUCCCUCCCUGCCAGGGACCGGUCCCCGAGAGCAUUUCUGCUCCAGUGCAGAUUUUGCACUGGUGCUCUCGUGGACCUUUCCUUAAUGCACUUUAUGCAUUAUAAUCACCUUCGGACUUUCCGAAGCCUACACACUCGACAAUCAGUCGAUUCUAAACGAAGUCUAAUCCUCGGAUUUCGAGGAUUCACUUCCUUACAAUAGUACCAACAACCAAACUAGCUGCCAUAUUGGUCGAAAGACCUCAGGCUACUCGCCCACUCGGCAUAUAAUCCUAAUAGGCACCUUGUAGGGCUAACGGAUCAAAAGUACGACCACUUUUUCGUAAAAGAACGCCCUCUUGCUGUGGAUCAGACCGCUAGUGUACGUAAAGAUGCUCACAAGCUGUGAUAAUCGAUGCAAUAUGUUCAAUGCCCAACAUCGACAGGUAGCCGAGAGAAUAAACAUAAGGAGUUACCGACCAAUCAGGUCCAUCUCUAUUUAAGAGUGUCAUCGACCAUAAGGUAAACAAUGUCAAGUAUGCAAUAGACCACUAGAGAUGUCACCGACCACAAGAUCAACUAAUGUCAAAUCAUGUUAUGUACGAAUACUAGUGUCACACACCACAACAUCAAUUAAUUUCAUAUCAUAUACUAUGAUAAUACCGAAAAUAGAAGUUCCACCGACUACUAGGUCAACUAAUGUCAAUACAUACAAUAUGCUAUUGAGGGGUCACCGAUCACAAGGUCAACCAUAUCAAACCAUGGAACAUACAAGUAGGAGUGCCACCAACAUCAAGUCAACUAAUGCCACAAUACGCAACAUAUAUCUUGGAGUGUCACCAACCAUAUAGUCUACCAAUGUCAAAACACAAAGUAGAUGACUUUGAGGACAUGUUUGGUUCACAUAUUUCAGACUAUGGAAUCGGAAUGGAAUUCAUUGAUUUCGAUAGUUGUCGUUUGUUUUAUAGGAAUCGGAUUCCGAUUCCUAUUCCACUCCGGAAUGGGAAUGGCCAAAUCCAUUUAUGAUCCAAUCCAGCUUUGAAUCCCGGAUUGACUCAUUCCAAAGUAAACUAUUCAGAAUUCUCUUUUAUCAAUACCUACCUCCUCUCCCUUUAUCACUUUUCUCUCUCUUAAUCAAAAUCCUCUCUAAAAAAUUUUUAAUUUUCAUUCCAAUUUCCAUUCCAAUAAUGAACCAAACAUUUUUGGAUGAUUCGUCAUUCCAUUUUCCAUUCCAAAACAAUCCAAAUUCCAUUUCCCAUUCCUAUUCCAAUCAUGAACCAAACAUGCCCUGAGUGUCACCAACUGUGAAGUCAACUAAUGUCAAGGUAAUCUACUAUGAAUAGUAUAAUGGAUAACUCAAUCAUCAGGAACACCGCUCUACUACUAGAUCAUGACCAUAUAAAAUAAGAGUAAGUGUAGAGCGACUAACUACGAAGUCAAGUAGUAUAUGAAAGCUCAAACAACAUCAAAUAAAUGGAAGGAAAUAACAAGGAUAAAAAUCACCGAGUAGGCACUACUUUACCGACUUUGGAUCGAAGUACCCUUCUUAAUCUGUCAUGCCUCGGGGUUCUUUUGAAAAUUCUUUUUAGGAAUACUAGCGGAAAACAUGUAGUUUUUUUUUAGGGGCAAUUGCCUAUAUACCACUGAAAAGUUCCCGGUUUUCUUAUUUACCCCUCUUAGAAGGCUAAUAUUGAAAAUACCCUUCUUAUGUUCCAAGUCUUUCUAAUAUACCCCUAGAGUUUAGUUCCGUUAGUGAGCUAUCGUUAUCUCUGAAAAAUUACCAUUUUGCCCAUUCCAAUAUACUCUUGUACCGUAACUAACUUUUCUUAUAUACCCUUCAUAUAGUAAAUACUUUUCUUAUUUGCCCUUCAAAUAUCAAUUAAUUAAUUAAGCACGUCGGGAGCCAGCAGAUGAACGGAUAAGAUCGAUCGCAGCUAAACCAACCUUGGUGGCUGGAGGCAUAUUAGUUAAUUUGGAUUCAGCAAAAAUUCGGUACGGAUAUAAUUCGGAUAAAAUUCGUCUUUUAAUUUUUAAAUUCGUUGAAAAAUACGACUAAAAAACCGAUUCGGCAGUUAUUCGGAUACGUGAUUUAUACGGGUAUUAUACGUUCACCAAUUAAAAAUUCAGGAUNAUAUAUAAUUAGACGAGUUGAGCUAUGAUAGUUUUACAAGUAUCAUCAUCAUGGUGCUAUUAGGUUUUAAGCCAUUGGAUCUACUUUUUUAUUAUUAAUAGCCCUUGGAUUAAACACUAUUCCACCUACCACCACCUACCACCAUCAUCUCAACCUCACAUCUCUCCAUCCAAAGGCUAAAAACACACAAGCAUCACCCCUAUGAUACUUUUACAAGUAUUCUAGCCCUACUCUAAUUAGACUGGAAUAUUAUUAAUAGUAUCAAUAACUUUGUGCUAUUAAGUUUUCCGCUCUUAGAUUAAAAGAUGUGUGGUUAGGAUGAUGUGGGCCCUCUAGGGGUUUAGUAGGUGGUUGGUUGAAUAGUGUAAUCGAACGGAUGAAAAUGAUAAAAAAGAUAAAUCUAAUGGCAGAAAACUUGAUAGCACCAAAUGCUUAAUGCUAUCGAUAAUAUCCCAGUGGGACUAUAUAUAUAUAUAUAGAGUUGAGCUAGAAUACUAUCGAUAGCAAACGGACUCUGUUGCCACCAAUUUGUUUUCGAUGAUGGAGCCUUCAAAUCGACGAUCGGCACUGUUGAACAUGAUCUAUACCACUUAAAGUAUUUAGAAAUCAAAUUUUAUGUUUUUUCGAUAUUGUUCUCUUGGGCAUCAAGUGGGCGUAAAAAUGAACGGCUGAAAAUGAAUAUUCUUUAAAAAAUGAUGAUGGGAGUUUUGUAGUCAAGAUCAAGAGUAUAGAUCUUGUUUUAAACAGUUUAAAGAAUUUUCUAACAAAAAAUCAAUUGAUUUGGAUAUCUUUACGCCGUUAAACGAGAAAACACCUCAUAUCGACCUUUAAAAUUACAAAUUUUGAAACCCUUCAAUCAUUAGGUAAAUGAUGCCGAAAAGAUUUGAAAUUUGAUUUCUAAACACUUAAUGUAGUAUAGAUCAUGUUCAACGGUGCCGAUCGUUGAUUUAGAGACUCUAUCAUCAAAAACAAAUUGGUGUCAACGGAGCCCGUUUGCUAUCGAUAGUAUUCUAGCUCAACUCUAUAUAUAUAUAUAUAGAGUGCGGCUAUGAUGCUUAUGGAAGCACGGGGGGCUUCGUGCUUCCACUUUGUUUUCGAUGUUCGGACUUUCGAAUCGAUGAUCGGCUCCGUUAGACUUGAUCUAGAGUAUUUGAAGUAUCUAGAAAAUAAAUUUUGCGAUUUUUCGAUAUCAUUUGCCUAGUGAUCGAAAUGGCUCAAAAUCAACGGUUGAAAAUAAAAAUCUUACAAAUAUGAUGAUAUGACAUUAAAAUUUUAGAUCAAAGUUAUUGAUCUUGUUUUAUAUGGUAUAAAGAAUUUUCUAUCAAAAUUUCAUGUGAUUUGAAUAUUUCUACACCAUUAAACUUGCAAACGGCUCACCACGGCCAUUAAAAUUAUUGAUUUUGAGCCCCUUCGAUCACUAGGCAAAUGAUAUCGAAAAAUCACAAAAUUUAUUUUCUAGGUACUUCAAAUACUCUAGAUCAACUUAACGGAGCCGAUCGUCGAUUCGAAAGUCCGAACAUCGAAAACAACAUGGAAGCAUGGAGGGCUCCGUGCUUCUAGAAGCAUACCAGCUCACUCUCUCUCUCUCUCUCUCUCUCUCUCUCUCUCUCUCUAUAUAUAUAUAUAUAUAUAAUGAGAUGGAGGUCCACUGUGGACCUCCCUCUCAUUCGGUCCACGAGGCCAAACUGGCCUCGUGGACCGCGCAGGGACGCGUCGAGCUCCAGCAACCGCGUGGCCGAGCGAGCCCGGCCGUCGGUGAGCCCGUCCGGGAUGGCCGGGAAGUGGACUUUCAGGCUCGGGCUCGUGCUCGACCUCGGCCCCGGAAGUGAGUUCCUGUUGGAGUUGCAGAGGAGGCGGCGGUUCUCUUGCUCCCUCGGGCGAGACGGGAUCGUUGCCGCAGCCCUUUUGCUCCCGGCGCCGGCUAAGGCGACAGCGGAGGAGGAGGAGGACGACGACAAGAGCGGCGGAGGAGGAGGACAACGAGAGCAACGAAAGAGGUGGUGUUGGAGGUGGAGGUGUGGGAUGUGGUGGUUGUCUGGGAGGAGAUGAGGCGAGGUGGAGGCGGAGGAACCAGCGAGGUAGAGGCGGAGGAGCCGGCGAUCAAGUUGGAAGAAAAAGAGGAUAACUUAAGGGAUUAGCAUAAUAAGGUAGGGGUAAAAUAGGUAUUUUAUAUAGGUUUUAACUCUAGUAUACAUUUAACCCAUGUUUAACCCGAGUUAAGUUAACAGGGGAUAACUGCGCGGGGGUAUUUUGGAAUAACGGUGGAACAUAUGAGGGGCAUUUUAGAAAAAAAAAAAAGUAGGGGUAGAUCGGAUAUUUCCAGACGCAUGAGGGGUAUAUAGGCAAUUAUCCCUUUUUUUUUAGCACCUUUGAGAAACCCCUCGGACGUGCACAGACCCGCCACAUAGACAAACGAUCCCCUAUAUAGAUGGACAAAGUCUCCCUUAUACAUGCACGGCUUAGCAACUCAAAUCAUAGUCAACCAUACAUACAACCACACAACACAAAUAACAUAAAGAUCAUAUGAAAAACUAUGAUUCACGUACAUCGGUUAUAUUUAAACAUUCCUAGAUAAAGAACUAAACUAAUCUAAUCGAAAGAUAGUAAAUGUCAACAACAGACAGAUCUAGAAUGUAUCUAUCUAGUAUCAGCAUCACGCACUGUCCGAAACCUCACUGUCCGUAUUACCUAAAAAAUAGUGGGGGUUGAGAACAUGUAAACACAUCUUCCCUCCCAGUGGGUAUCGCAAGCUGACAAAGGCGAGCUGUACUCAUCGGUAGAUGGAAGAGAUAACUAUAAUCAUGAACAAAUAUCAUAAGAAUAGUAGCAAUAGAAAAAUAACCAGCAAUCAAUGUAAGGAUAACCACUACUGUAUGAUAAAGUUGGAAUUAACAAAUGAUUAUAAUCAACAUGUGUACUAUAAUAGUAACAGCAAUGACUAGAUAGAAACUGCAACCGCCAAUUAAUAUAUAUAACUAUCUGCUACUGUAACGAACUAUAGAAUAUAUCAAGACAUCAAAUAGGUGAGUAGUUCCAACAACCAAACCAACUGCCAUAUUGGUCGAAAGACCUCAGGCUAAACACAUUCUGCUCGCCCACCUGGCAUAUAAUUGUCAUACCCCAAUAAUCCCACAUCGGUUAGAAAUUGGGAUGUGAUUGGGUAUAUAAGAGACUUAGACACUAGUUCUAGUAAUACGAAAUACUGAACCUCUUAGAGCAGCGUGUGAUACAGUCCUUCUACCAUGAGUCCCAACUAAACGGAGACCAUGGAAUAGCUCGUCAAACCCUAUCGUCUACCAUAUGUCAAAUUUAUUCAACUUUAAUUUCUAAUAUAGGAAAUCCUUUCUGCUACUUGCUCUGCCCUGGCCAAGGUCCCUUUCGGUUUUAUAAAUAAUGUAGAACUAACACUUUUAUCUACCAAAGGAGAUAGAUUCAACAUAGAUGUACACCCUAUUCCUACAACGAACUUGCUGCAGCCAACACCCUAUUCCUAUGUAAUGAACUUGCCACAGCCAACAUGCACCACAGUGAUCCAAAUGGCUAGGGACCUAGUGUACAUACAGUCAAACUACAGUAACUUCAUUGUAAAUAGCCAAGGCACCGCAUUACACACUACUUGUAGCUUACUGAUGAGUGAGUAGAUAUCCAUAUUACUUCUCAUGUUGGUCAUGCUCGGUACUCUUAUUCUCUAACAAACACCUGCACAUUCGUUCCAGUGUCCCCCCACUGUUGACUCGAGACUUGUCUAUUAUAAAAGGGAAGUGACCUGUGCAUCGAUCUUACUAGAUCAAUCACUAUCCCAUGAUGAUCCAUCGGUCGGGAGCAUUUAGUAAUUAACCAUCAACGACACAUGUCUCAAAUUAUCAACUUUUGAAAAUGUGUCAUCAUCUUAUUAUUUUCUUGGACAAUUCAUAGACACAUACAAUAUGAAUAAAAAUAAAAAAUUCAAAUUCAUUAAUAAAAAGUGAAAUAUAAAUUUAUGUCUUAUAAAUAAUACAUGAAUGAAAAUUUUUUCUGACUGUUCCAUGAUCAACUAUUAAAACCUUCUUACUAUCCACCUCUUGCUUUGCUUUUUUUCUUUUUUUUUUUUUUUUAUAAAUCCUCCGUCCUUUUUCUCAUAACCUUAGCUUAUAUUUGCUGAGUUCUAUGUUAGGAAGAGAGGGGGAAUAUGAAACUAUUUAAAAUGAUAAAUUAUUUAGUCUUAAAAAAGACGGUAAAUAAUUUAUUAUCUUUUAGAAAAUUUAGAAUGUAGAAGAGAGAGGGGAUAUGAAACUAUUUAAAAUAAUAAAUUUUUUAGUCUUAAAAAAGACAGUAAAUAAUUUAUCAUUUUUUAAAAAAUUUAGAAUAUAAUGAAUCAUCCGUCGGCUUUUCGAAGAUGAUAAAUAAUUUACCACUUUCGGUUGAAUUUUUUUCCUGUGGCGCUGAAUUGGUAAGAAGAGGAUUUAUUCAACCGAAUACUUUUUUUUUUUAAGAAUUAUUUUAAUAAAUUAUAGAAUAUUUUAUAGAUUCAUUUGAAAAACGAAGUCUCAUCGCAUUGUUUUCUUUCUUUCUUUUAAUUCUCCACCCCCGGUGCGCAUCAUACAAUCGUACGGUUCUUCGUUUUAGGUAAGAAACGCGGUUGGUGACGACGAAAAUUCAGCAUGAGAGGGUGAGAGCAUAGGAUGAGCAUGACGUCGAGCAGCGGAUCGACCGCGGGAAGAGUGGAAGCGGGCGAGGCGGCACGCUCAGACAAGCAGCAGCAGACAACGCCGCCGCCGCCGCCGCCGCUGCCGCUGCCGCAGGCGAGGACCGGAGGUUUUCUUGGAAGGCAUCGCUUGUCGGCCGCCAUCACGCGCCUCGAUCAGGAGAUCCUCUCCCUUCAGGUCCUUUUUCUUCCUCCUCUCUUCGUGACUCCUCCCCUCUCAACUAAUCAAUUUUUAGUUAUUCCCCUCCUUUCUCCCUUCGCCUGCCACGAUUAGUAGGUCCCCUCUCGCUGCUUUCACGGGGAUUUACAUAGAUUCAGUGAAAAAUCUAGCUCCUCUUCUCAAGUUAUAUCAGAAGGCCAAAACGGACCGUACAUCUUUGUUCCCUUGUAUGGGAACGCCGCACGCACAAGAAAUUUGGAUCCUCUGGGGCUCCUAAUCUCCAGGGCUCCUCCUUGGGAUGGCGAGACUAAUAGGAAUCACCUUUUUUUGGGUACGGAAGUUGAAUUCUUUGUUUGAACCCCUUUUAUCGGUAGCAGAUGGAUCAGCUGGAGUCAAUCCUUAUUAAUAAUCAAUCGCCAACAGCGCCAUUUUAUUGACAAUCUAAGUUAAUAUGGAUUCAUGUCUAAUGGGGAAACAUUGUUGUGACUCAGAAAAGAGGUGAAAAAGUUGUUUUGGGGCUGGUUCUCAGGAGAGAAAGGGGGGAUAUUUUCUCUAUGUACUUCACCAUGGGUUUACCCGCUCAUUUAUAGGCUAAGAACGUGGUAAGCUUUCCGCUAAAUCUUUUGGUUCACCUAAACAUUUAUUAUUAUUAUUAUUAUUUUUUAUUAAAACACUUUCUCGCUUUAAUUGAAGCUUGAAGGAUUGUCUUUAUUCUAUACAGUAGGGGGGUUAAGAUUCUUUAAAUGUUUUUUUUUUUUGAGAGAGAGGUAGCAUGCUUCGUUUAUUUCAUUAAGAAAUAAACUUAUUUGGAAAUAUGAAUCAACUAGGAUACGAACUUGGGACCUCGGGUACCAACCACCAAGCCCUUUGCCACUUGCUCUAGGGACGGUCGGUCUUAAAUGUUAUAAUUACAUGAGUGAAAAAGAAGAAGAUUCUUAUAUGGUAAGGCCAAUGUUCUAAAAGGCGAUAUGCGGUAUCCCUGCAAUUUACCUAUAUCAUAGCGCAUAUGCGGUGUGCCGGCGCAUAUGCAGAUGUAUAUGCGGUCUAUCUUGUAAAAUAUUAAUAAAAUAUUUUUAGGUAUUAAAAAUAUACAUAAAUGCUUCCUAACAAAGCUAAAUAACUAAAAUACCAAUUCAGAAUUCACAUAUUAAAAUAAUUAAUUUUAAGUAAAGGACCUCAUAUGCUCACUUGUAUCUCUAAACUAACAAUUAAUAAUUUACUCUUAAUUGUUAAAUUAAUAAAUAAGUAAAAUUUUGAUGAAAAAUCGUAAAAAAUGUCAAACAAAAAAUCAAUAUUCUUAAAAGCGGUAUGCUAAAAUUUUAUGAAGAACAAUAAUUUUUUAAAUAAAUUGUCAUUCACAUCAUUUAAGAGGCCAACACCUAAAAAGAAAACUUACUAUAAUGGUAUCUAACAACUACAAAAUUAUUCUUUAGCAUUUAACUAUGUUCCAAAAAGCGGUCCAUGCAGCCGCAUAUGCGGUUCGGACAAUAAACCUAUGGAGUGCAAUAUGCGGUCAUAUUGCAUAUACGGCAAGCGCUCUGAUGUGGGCAUUACUUAGUUUUCAUAAGUCUUUUAAUAAAUUUCUGUCCUAUCAUCCUAUGUUUCAAUUGAAUAACUCGAGGUUAACCCAACUAAAAACAUACCUACACUAAACCCUUCUAAACCUGAACCGAAACCUGAAUUUUGAAAUUCAAAUAGGAGAGGAUUAAGCAACAAACUAGUCAGAGAAAUUGUAGCAACAACCUGAACUUUGAAGUUCAGAUUCAAACCAGACUGAUGCAGGGGAAAAGUUUUAGAAAUCAAAAUCUUAUGUAAAAGCAAAAUCUUAUAAAUUUGAAACUCUCUAUGGCAACUAUAUGCUUUGUCACGGCGAGACUUAAACACAGAUGCGUAAAAAUAAUUUAUGAAUAAUGAAAAUCAUAAACGGCGCAAUAAACCCCAGAUAAAAAGAUUGAAUUUAAAAUAGAGAACGAGAUGGAAAGUUGUACCGUCAAAAAAAAAUCCGCAGUCGAAUUAGAAAUCGCAAGCGCUGAACGAAAGUCGCCAAAUUCCUAAAGAUUUCUUCAACGCCCUUUUUCUACCGGAGUACCAUCAUGCAUCGGUCGAAGGCGCGAUCUCCAAGAGGUUGAUAUUAGGGCCGAGGUGAGCGUACGAUCGGAAGAUGAGAACGACGGCUAGGGCAAGCGGGGUCCGUAAACGUCUUUCUUUUUUUUUCUUUGACGUCUCUUUUUUUUUCCUUCUUUGACGUUUUUUUUUUUUUUUUUUUUUUUGGUUGAAAGACGUACGACGGAACUAAGGAAUAAGAAUCUUAAUGGACCGCGUUUUCGCAGGUUUGAAACCGUUAACAAAAGGAUCCAAUAAGCUUCUUUUUCCCGUUUCUUGCUCAAACAACGUCAGAAUUUCGCAAACAGAUAGUCGAUUCGAAGAGAAAUAAAAGACGGAUAGAAUAAGGGACUCACUCCCUACGGACUCACUCCGGUCGACGCGAAAUCGCGAAGGAAAACAUCAGAGAACCUUUCUCAAAAAAGUGGAAUUUCAUAAUAAUUAAUGUCUGUCUCAUACAGAUGGUCGGGGUCAAUUUAUAGAACUUUCUACUAACAACUUGAAACAAACUAAUAACCAACUGAUAACCGGUCUUAUCUAAUACCAAUAUUCAAGCUAAUCUAAAAAUCUAAAACAUAAAAUAAUAUCUCAAUAACUAUAAUAUCUAAACCUAUCCUUAUGCAAAUCCGGCUCGACCUCAAGUCGCACUCAAUGUUUGAAUCAUGGUGCGAUAUCGUCAUCAAGCCAGAUAUUGGGCCUUCGACGACGGCGACGGGUAUAAGUCUGAAAUGGGGCCCGGUCCGCAUCACAGACGUUUAUUGGGAUUUCAAGGAGAAAAUUCAGCUGUUAGAAAAACUGAAUUAGAUAGCUAUAAAAGAGGGGUGUUGGCUUCAAAUGAAGGACAGAUUUGAUAGCUCAAUCCUCCAGAAAAGGGACUUUUUUUGCUACCUCUUUGCUGCCCUGUUUGAGGUGCUAUCUUCUCCUCAAAUCUGAGCCUAGGUUGGCUCAUUCUCUUCUUCUCCACUUGAGCCUGGAUUAAGCCAUUCCCCCUCUUAUGACUGCUGCCAUUAUAGCCGGAUGUCUCAUUCUGAGUUGACAGUUGAAACGCCGGCUUUCACUAUUUCUUUAAAAGAUGCUUUGGCGUCCCUGUUCGAUGCUAAUUUGCUGUUGAAAACCAGUCCAGAACAAGAGAGGAAUGGAGUUAUUUGCAGCUGAAAGGAAAUUUGAGGCUUCUCAUGGUCUCAGGCUGAGGUAAUAGCUGAGAUAAUAGCUGAGAAAUCUUUCCAGAAACAAGAACCUAACCCAAAGCUCUCCACUCCCAUUUGAGCCUGCCUAAAUCCAUUUGAGACCCCUCGCUUGGCCUAAACUUUCACCCUGUGCUCAACAAUCUGAACUUAUGUAAUUAAAACUCUGGACUGAAGUUUAUUUUGAGACUAGUUAGGAAGUUCUCUUUGUUGUUUUGCCAAUGACUUGUUGCUCAAAAUAAGUUGUGAUUUUAUUUACGUUUGGCUUUGAUUCCAAUAAAUAUUUGUACAUUUUCUUGUGAUUUAAUUAACCCUUUCAGUUUCUGGUUCAGUUGAAUCAAGUUGGUCAUUUUAUUUAUAUCAAGUGGUUCUCCAAGUGGCUUAGAAAAAAAUAAAAAAAAAAAGGAAAAUAUUUUGUAUUCCAUCAAAUUGGUAUCAGAGCAAGUUCUGGUCCACCAGCUUGCAUUUACUUUCAUGAAUAUAAUUACACAGUUGCAUAUUCAUAUUUUUCUUACCUUCUCACCAAUCAAGGGUCACCUAGUAUUCAUAAAAGCUGCCAUGUCAACCUCCAAUUCUGGUCAAAACCAAAUUGGUAAUGACUAGGGAGUUGCUAUGAAAGGCAACAAGAAUUAAUCAUGCAACAUCAACAAUCUUUGAAUCGACUAGAAGCUAGUGUGGUUCAGAUCAGAAACAUGACCUGAGCCUUCCAAUUCAGAAACCAAACAGUCCAACAACCCCUUGGGGUGAUAGGCAAUCUAGGGGAGCUUUACUUGAAAAAAAAUUCGAUUGAAGGAUUAGAUAACCCAGACCAUGUCACAAAUGCCCAAAAUGAAUUCAACUGAAAGAAACCAUAGGACUAAAAACAGGUGGGAUCAGGGAAUUAGAGUUAACGAAUGUGACUUUGAGGGAAAAGUAAAUCCGGAGGCAAGGUUUAAAGUGCCACGGCACGGGGGCGUGCCAUUGUCUGCCUGGCACAGUACGGCGCCGGCACGCUUCCGUGCCGACACGUGAUACGCAUGAGUGCCGAUGGAUACGCACGACCUUCUACUGGCACGCUUUGGCACGGACUUAUUUCAAUUUUUUUGGUUCCAAUAAGCUCUUAUAAUGUUAUUUUAAAAAAUUUAAUCAAAUAAUUAUGAAUAUUUGCUAUAUAUAGCUUACUAUACUUAUCAAUUAACAUAUUUGUAAACUUUUCUGUAUGUAAAGUACAAUUAUAUCUAAUGUAGAAUAGAAAUUUUUACAGGUUAGAAUUUUUAAAAUGCAAAGACAUCUUUUUUUUCUUUUUUUUUGACCAUAUUACAGUCUUUAUUUUAUAAAAUACAAAAAAAAUUAAUUUUAAAAAUUAUUUGAAAAAAAUAUUUUAAAAAGUAUUUGAAAAUUUAUUUUUUUAAUUAAUUUUUUCAAAAAAUAGUAGAUCUAUCAAUAAAAUUAAGCAAUAAAUUAUAUGACAUAUAAAUUAAAUAAAUUUAAGUACGAAUUGAUUUAAUUUAGUUUUUAAUUUUAUCAGUAUUUUCAAUCUUUUAACACAAAAAUAAAAUUUUAUAUUUGAUGUGGCUCAAAUUUGUUUAUUGAGUUCGAUUUUGUUCUCUUAAUUUGCCAAAAAAUUCGCAGUGCGAUAAAUUUUAAUAAAAUAAUUUGUGAAGGAAAAAGAGAUAUCUGUGAUAGAAGCAAAAAGCUCGGACAAAUCUUUUGUCUGUAUAUUGAUAAACAAAAAAAAUUAAAUUAUAAUUUUUUUGACUUACCUCAUAAGUAAAUUUUCGAUUUGCAAUGUCAUUGGGGAGGGGCGUGGGGUAUCUAGAAUGCUUUGGAUAUUCCAAAGAACAAAACAAAAGAAAAAAAAAAACAAAAAGCAAAAAAAAAAAAUAGCAUAGUGCCGGCACGGCACUGUGCCGUGGCACGCUGCGCCGUGCCGCUCUAUCUCGUGCGGCACGGUGUUGCGUGCCGCGGCACGGAGGGGGGUCCGAGACCUCUCCUGUACCGUGCCACCUUCGGUACGUGCCGCCCCGUGCCGUACGGCAUGGGGCGGCACUUUAAACCUUGCUUAAAACCUUGCUAUCCAUCCUUACCUUCAUAUAGUAAAAGCUCGUAUGGCGAAUCCAUACCUUCAUAUAGUGUUUACACUGCAUACCCACAUUAUGAUUCUUCUAUUCCAUACCAUCCUUAUUCUUAUGAUGUUGCAGUCCAUAUGCCAGUACAAGUGACUGUUGUUUAUUAAAUCCACGAUUCAGUUGCAUAUGCAGAUUACGUAUGACGAUACAAUGAGAUGUACCAGCAAAUAGUGAUCGGGUCGUUGCUGCUCCAAUUGAUGUGGGAUGGAUUGAAAUUCAUUCUCAGUGCCAUGAAUUGAUGAAGUAGAAGAGUCAAAUGUAGAGUAUGCAUCAGCAUCGUAAUCGUAUCUUUCUCUAUUAAAACCAUGGUGAUGUGAGGGAUAUGAUGAUACCGAAGUACACUAUCAAACUGUGAGCACGUAUCGUCAUCCAUUCAUGGCUAUUCGAUUGACACCGGUUCCAAGCCCUCUCUCAUCUUCUAUAAUUUUGUUAUGAGGACCUAUUACCUGUUCUGCGAUCAUAUACCACUCCAGAUGUUUGACGUGGUUGAGACCUAUGAUCAGCAUCUCGAGUGGCAUGAGUGAGGUUUUGCUCUUCAGUAAAUAUAAGAACUUUCCCACCCUCCUGUUGUUCUGAGUAGCCCCAUUGCUAUUGGUGGUAUCAUCAUCAUCAUCAUCACUACACAUCUUUGGAUUGUGGUAAUCCAAAAUGUGUUGGUGUUGAUUUAUCGCUAUCAUUAUCAAGCGGGAGUGCACCACCUGCAUUUAAUAGAUCCACCGAUGUCAUACUUUUUCUACCCUUACCAGUUCCAACUGUUGUUGAAGGCUUGUUUACGAUAGACGAUGUCCUUUCUUUUUCGGAUUGACUUUUGAGUACAAUUAGGCAACCAUGUCCAGGUCUCAGCAUAAGGUGCUCAAAUUCUGCAUCAGAGUCAUCUACAAGAUUUUGGGAUUCUUCGCCUAAAGUUGCUUGUUCUUGCACAUCACCCCACUGAUUCUGAGACCUUCGUAUAUUCUCGUCACCCAUUUUUCUAUGUCACUAACUCUUGCUUUCUCAGCAAUUAUCUUGAAUGAUCGUGGUGGAUUAAUUCUUUCUAUUUUGUACCCAAUCAAAUGCGGGAUCUGAUUCAUCAUUAAUAAAGCUUGCAUCUAAAGGAUCAUUUUUAUUUCUUAUUAUACUCCUUUUGCAUGCAUCUUAAACGGAGCCUCAUAUUACAGUGGACAUAAAUUAGCUUGUCUAAUCAUGCAUAUGCUAAUUGAUUACACACUUUAGUAUGUAUCUAUGCGAAUGUACUCCAGUUACAUUUUGCAUCCGCUAGACGUUGUUUGAGAUAAAACACGCACAUCAAUCUUCUUUAAAUGCUUUGCUGAUCCACCGUAUUGUAGCCACCAUUUAGAUUUCCAUUUAAAAAUUAAAAUCGUAUCAAAUUAGGUUUGUCGUUAGAUAUAAAAUGUCUAAGUUAUUGAGUUACUGGGAUCGGUGUUGUCUCUCGUUAAUUGCACCCGUUUCGCCAAAAGUACCAGAGGAUUCAUGAAAUAUUUUUUCUUUAUUAUGAUAUUAUAAUAAUGAGCAAUCAGUAUGUUAAUAUAUAAUAAAUUAAUAAUACAUUGAAAAAGCAAGUGUACCUUAUUUAUGGCUUGGAUUCCUCUCCAAUCUAUUGAUGACAUUUAAUGCCCUCCAAAAUUCAUCAUCAAACCCAUGAUUAUAACGAUGGUGGUAUGAUGAACUAAUAUAAUAACCUAUCAUUAAGAAAUCACUCCACCAAUGCAAAAAUACAAUUGAACAAUCACUAACAAAUAGUUUUGUUAUAAUUUUGUAGCACACUGAAUCUUAGCAAAUUGCAAGGUUUCAGUGUAGGAAUAGUGUUUUGAACUAUUCUGGAAGUUUUGAGGGUUGUCUGGAGUGUGUUGACUUGUUUUUGGAGCUAAGUAGGCGCGAGAACGGGUUUUCGACAUCAAAAUCUGUAAAUUACAGAUUUUUGGUGUUGAGUACUGGUACUGAUUUGAGGUACCGGUACUCAGUAGAGUGCCGAAAUGGGCAGCUCUCGGAUUUUGCGGAACCAGGUUGUGAGUACCGGUAUAAAGCCGAGUACCGAUACUACAUCGGGCAGGUACCAGAACGUAGUAAAAACUAGAAUUUUCAAUGUUCGGGUUUUGCGGAACUAGACCCCUGAUAUCGGAACUGCCGAGUACCGGUACUCCAAUUCAUGUACCUGUACUCAAUGUUGCAGAGUCUAAUUUCGUGUAGUAUGCAAUUUCUGAGUUUUUGAGGGACCUAAGGGAGAUUGUUACAUAAUGUUGUAUAACCUCUCAUCCCCUCACUUGUUUCCUCUUGUGCUCAGGCUAGAGAGAGAAGAAGGUGAGUGCUCACUCUCUCUCUUGAAUUUCUUCCUUCAAACCCCCAAAUCUUGGGUUUUUAUCUCUUUUUUUCUAGCUUCUUCAUUGAAGCUUGCAUCUUGGACCUAGAAGGGAGCUUGGAAGUGAAGAAGAAGCUUGUUUUAGAAUUAAACUCCAACCCUAGCAUCUCAUAGCUUGGUUUGGAGCUCUUAUUGAGGUUAAUAGUCUUCUUGCAUCAUCUAAUUGUGUGUUUUGCAAGAAUUUUGGAAGAAAACAUAGUUUGGAAGAAACUAGGGUUUAUUUGGGGUUUCUUUAUUUUGAGCUUUUGUGAUUGAAUUGAUGGAUGUAGAACCCUCUUUUAGGUUGGAUUUGAAGCUUCUUAGCUUUGGUUUGGACCUUGGACAAGUUUUACUUGAUCAAAGGUAAUUUUCAUCUAUUUUCUACUUGAUUUUUGGUGAAUUUCGUGGCAAGCUUUUUAGAAGUUUGUAACCCCUUAAGAAUUUUUCUUAGGGUGCUAGAAGUUUAGUGGGCAACUUCGUUUGAAGAAACGAACAAGUUUCAAAGAGUUUCUGGUGGGUUUGACCUCACCUAAAUGGAUAAACUCCUUCUAUGUCUCCUACAUGGUUUUAGGACUUAUUUGAUGCAUAUUUACGCUAAUCAUGAUAUGAUAGAAUUUUUGGAUACAUGAUGCAUAUAGGUUAUGUAUGAAAUUUUGUGUACUCUAUAUAGUAGAAUAAUGCCAUAUUUGAUGCUAUUUCCCACGACCACCAUGCUGUCGACAUAUAAUAGCAAAAUACGGAAGCUCCCGUCAUCGUAUUCGUAGAAAUAUGCACAAUAAUCCACCUCAAGCUUAUCAAAACCCAAACUCAAAAUAAGGGAAUCAAAUUGCUUGUACCAACAACUUGGUGCCUGUUUCAAGCCAUACAACGAUUUGUUCAAGCAACAAACCAAAUGCUCCCUGCCUCUUUCGACGAAGCCUUCUGAUUGCGACAUAUAUAUUUCCUCCUCCAGGUCACCACGCAAGAAAGCUGUUUUUACAUCCAUCUGCUCGAGCUCCAAAUCCAUGACUGCCGCGAUUGCCAAAACGACAUGAAUAAUAGUAAGCCAAAUCACUGGUGAGAAGAUCUCAUCGAAGUUGAUCCCUGGCUUUUGAGCAUAACCCUUCACUACCAAUUUGCCCUGAACCUCUCCACAUUCCCAUCCGCAUCCUUUUUCACCUUAAUAUCCACUGGCAUCCAAUCGCGUUCCUUUCCUUCAGCAAAUCAACAAGUUCGCAGGUCCUAUUCUUCCGAAGUGACCCUAUCUGCUCCAUCGCGCAUUGCCACUUUUCGGCAUUGGUCGACUCACAAGCCUCCUUAUAUAAAGUUGGCUCAUCUUUCUCCACCAAAGUAACAUAUGCACUAACAUGAUUAGCAGGAGUAAAUGAAGUAAUAUAGUCAUCAUACCUCGUAGGAGGUCUAAUGACCCUCCUAGGACGCCCGGAAUCCGCUGGUGGCUCCACCAGUGAAUUUGUAUCUUCAGAUGAUUGCGGAGAUUCCAAGUCUGGUUCAUUAUCAACCACCUUAUCGUCUUCCUGUGCUUGCUAAGCUUGCACCUCAUCGCGUGCUUCAAAGAACUCAAUUGGAGCCAUAGCCUCAUCAUCUUGCUUUUCCUUGGUUCUUUGAAAGGACCCUUCGUUGAAGACAACGUCACGGCUUAUGACGAUCUUGUGGGUAGUAGGAUCCCACAAUUGAUACCCCUUAACACCUUUCGCUUAGCUGAGAAAUAUGCACCUUCGAGAGAUCUUAUCCAAUUUUGACCUCUUCUCCUUCGGUAUCCACGCAUAACGUCACAACCAAAGACACGAAGAUAGGAGUAGUCAACGGGCUUGCCGCUCCAGACUUCUUCAGGAAUUUCCAAACCAAGUGAUUUUGUUGGCGUUCGAUUGAUCAAGUAACAAGCCGUGCUCACGACUUCCGCCCAAAAUCUCUUGUCGAGUUUUGAAGUACUCAACAUGCUCCUGGCCCUCUCCAUGAGUGUUUUAUUUAACCUCUAUGCUACACCGUUUUGCUGCGGUGUAUCGGAUACUGCGAGGUGCCGCUUAAUUCCAUGUUCACUACAAAACUCAUCAAAUUCUCUUGAACAACACUCCUCUCCGUUAUCAGAAUGUAGGCACUUAAUUUUUAAACCCUUUUCAUUCUCCACAAGAGCUUUAAACUUCUUAAAAGUUUCAAACACGUCGGACUUCCUCUUUAGGAUAUACUCCCAAGCCUUUUGAGAAUAAUCAUUAAGAAAGAGAACAAAGUAAGAACACCCGCCCAACGAAAUAUCGGGCGACUCCCAAGUAUCUGAAUGAAUCAACUCGAGAUGUGACUUGCUUUUUUGAUGUGAUAGAGAGAAGGAUAACUUUCGUUGCUUCCUGUAGAUGCAAAUUUCAAAGAAAUCCAAUGGCGCGGACUUGUAACUUGGAAGAAGUUCACGGUUAGAUAAUACCUGCAAUCCGCGCUCACUCAUGUGUCCCAAACGGCGAUGCCACACCGUCGGAGACUCCACCUUCACGCUUGCAGCAACCGCUUCUCCUACUUGAGUCUCGCCCACAAAUCUAUAUAGGCCAUCUAUUUGCUCUCCUUUAAUCAACACCAAACAUCCUUGAGAUACCUUCAAAUGAUCCUUCUCGCCGACGAGCCUAAGCCCUUGUUUGCAAAACAUUCCAAGUGAUAGAAGACUUUUCCGAAGUGCAGGAACAUGCCGAAUAUUAGAAACCGUCUGAACAACACCAUCAAACAUCUUGAUUCGAACAUCUCCUACUCCAACCACCGGACAUGUCGUGUUGUCACUCAAAUAGAUAACUCCACCAUCCCAUGGUUUGUAAAUAUGAAACCAUUCCCUAUAGGGAGUUAUGUGGAAUGACGCCCCCGAAUCCAAGAUCCAAUGAUAAAUAAGAUCGGAUCUAUCCAAUGCGGACAAAGCAUCUCCGUUCUCUGAACUAGCCGACUUAGCAUUCGUUUCGGCUACAUUACCUUGGAAGUUGCUUGAAUCGGAUUUAUUAUCAACUCCUUUAACCUGGCAAUCCUUCUUCAUGUGCCCCAAUUUUUCACAAUUCCAGCACUUUACUUUCUUUUUGUCCUUGGACUUUGAUCUUGACUUCCCUCGAUCACCACGCUCCCUCUCAAAGGGUCUUUCCCGUGCUAUUAUAGCCUCCCCCGAAAAGCUUCCUUGGCUAGACUUUCGCCUCAUCUCCUCCGUAAACAACGAUGCAACAACCGACUCCAUCUUAAGGGUUUCAACAUGGUUCAAGUUCAUAAUCAAAUUAUCCCAAGAUUCCGACAUCAAACAAAGUAAAAUAUUUGCCUUUUCUUCUUCAUCAAUUCUCACGGCUCACUAUGGAGUUGAAUGAACUUAGAUGUUCUUGUACGGGUGCCCCGUCCUUCAUCUUUAGACUGUACAAUUGCCGCCUUAAGAAGAUUUUAUUCACCAAUGACUUCCCUUUAUAGAGAUUCUUCAAUUUAUCCCAAAUCCUUUUGCGGUAGUCUUGGUCUCCACAUUUCAGCACCGAAUCAUCUAGUGCCAAAUACAGAUUUGCCAAAGUCAUCUUGUCUUUCUCUUCAAAUAGCUUAUCCGUCAUCCCUUCCGGCUUUUUCUCCUUUCCUUGCAGGGCGAUCUCACAAAUAUCUUUAAUCAAGACUGCUUGCAUCUCAAGUUUCCACAAUGCGAAAUUCGUUCCAUCAAAUCGAAGAACCUCAUACUUCGUCGCUUUAAUUUUUUUCCACCAUUGUUUCACCGUUAACGUACUACAAAGAACCAAACGCUCUGAUACCAAUUGAACGGACUGGCCGUGGGGUUACGACCACACCUCAAACCCACACGGCACGGGCGCAUCCGAAACAGGAUCUUUCGUAGACGUAAGAGAUGAGAGCGAUCGUAGAAAAAAUAAGCACGAGGAUAACAAAGCAAUAAAGAAAAUAAGAGAACACAAAAACAUAAGAUUUACGUGGUUCGGUCAACCAUGAGUCGACCUACGUCCACAGGAAAGCCACCUCAAUGCUUUCUUCGAUUAAUCCACGGCACAAAAGUACAAAGGAGUAGAUUGGAUUGCAAAAAAUUCUCUCUCAGGAGCUUUCCACGUUUUCCUCUCAACUAGGGUAUUUUCAAUGAAGCUUAUAAUCUAAAAGCUUAAUUACAAGGGUUUAUAUAACCCUAAAAUCCUAAUUCUAGUAAGAAACAAUUUUCGCCUUCUAUCCAAGUCUGAUUCACAUGUAGUCAUUGAUAUCCUUUUAGGAAUACUCUUUAAAGUGAUUUUGGACUAUUCUUAAUCUUUUGGAACAAUAUUAGAUCCAAUCAGAGUCAAACUCUGCAUAUCGACUUGGAACAUGGCAGAAUUUAAGUGUCAUGGCACGCGGUCGUGCUGAAAACUGGCCGGCAAGGUACAACACGAUGCGUUACGGGCGGUGCCGAUAUGUGCCGGUCGCAAAAAAUACAUGCAUGCCUACACAUAAUAGUAUGAAAUAUUUUUUUUCUUUAGCACCAAAAUACUCUAAUUGCUUAUUAUGUAUCUAAUUAAAUCUUUUGAACUUUAUUGAGAAAAUUACUUAUUUAAUUAAGCUAUGUCAUCGGCAUAGGGACUAUAUCGUGCUAAUAUUUUGUUGGCACGAUACGACACGGUACAUACAGCCCAUGCCGAUGUGUCAGAGUCCUUUUUGGUUGUCAACGGCCCUGACUUUGUCAAUAGCAUUGAGUCUGUAAAGAGUCUGUAAAUGUUUUGUCGGGCACGACGUCGACAUAGGAUUUUUCUUGUUUGGGAUGGGCAUUGCUUGUAAAUUGGCAUCCGGUUGGCUACCCGCGGGUUCGCUCGUGCUACGCAUCCAAGGGAACAUAGGUAUUUCGCUAACAAUGGCCGCUUAUGCAACGGAUUGAGCCGGAUGCGUGUCGGACAUGGGUCGGCGGCCUAUUUUCCCAUGGGUGUGCGGAGGGGGGAAAACGUACCCCUCGGUGAGCACCUUUGUACCCUCGGGGUGCCAAAGGGGUGGAUGCCAAUAUGGGAUAGUACGGGAAGGUUGGGUGAUACGUAUUAAGUGAGCCGGCUUCGCUAGAUGCGGAGUGUCUUAGUGAUCAUUUUGCCUUCAUCGGCCAUGCCCGACCAAGUCGAGUCGUGUGCUUUUCGCUUGUAGUCCAACUUUUCGUUAUCAAUAAAAUACUCGUUGUUUGUACCAAUUUGCAGGACCCCUUUGUGUGCUUUCUCUCAAUUCUCGGUCGUUGACAAUUUGCGAAAUUGUGCCUCGGGACAGAUUGGCUGGCUCGUUUGUGCAGGUGACGAACGAGCGCCGCGCGGGCUUUUCGACAAGAAGUCAUUAGACCUGUGUUAGAUGGGCACUUAAAUCCUUGUGUAUAACUAUAAAAGCUAUAGAGAAUUAUUUCAUUUACAGAAAACUGUAAAUGAUAUCAGUGUUAAGCUUACAGCGCAUUACGUGCUUCACGAUCAUUUAAAAUGACCUAUGAAGACCUCAUCAUGCUCCAUUAUAUAGGAUUUGUUCAAUUCCGAUGUAAGAUGCCACAAAGGGGAGAUGGACAGAGAAUGACCAAACAAGAAUUCAUUGGCCUUACACGCUGGAUGAUACUGCUGACUAUAGUUGGAUGCAAAUUGAUUUAUAUAUCAGACUUUUGUAUCUAUGGCAUGUUAUCCCUGUCAUUAUAUUUAAUUUGGAAAAGGAUGCAAGAAAACUGUGUUGUAUAUCUUUUUUAAUCUGCUAGCAAAGGGAGUUACUCGUACAUUUUGGCUUGAAAUGUUAGUACAAGGUUUACCAUUCUCUCUUAUGGUUGUUCAUUAGUACAAAAUUGGAGCACUAAAAUAUCAAUACUGAUUUCACGACAUGCAUAAUAUGGCAGAUAAGUUCCAUCAUGAGAGUUUGUCACAUAAUUCCUGGUGUCCAAACUAAUAUAUGUUGCCCUUAAUUAUAUAAUAAUGGAGAUGUUAACUUUUCUUCAAUAACUGUGAUUUUAAAUUUCGAGUCGUCCUUCAAUUACUGUCUCGGCUUCAAGUUUCAUCUCUUUUUCUCUGCUUUUAAUGUAGGAGGAAAUAAAUGAACUUGAGACCAUGGACCCCUCAUCUGCUGCAUGCCAAGAGUGAGUAAAUCUGGUUUUGUGUACCUGAUGUUUUAUUUCUAUGCAUAUUCUCAGUGCUAACGAGGUAAGACCUUAUUCUUGAUUUUGUUUGUAGAGUUCUCUUAAGUAUGGAAGGAAAACCUGAGCCGCUCCUUCCUGUGUGAGUAGUAACUUUCAAUAAUUCUGAUGAUCUUAGAAAAAAAAGCCAUUUUGAAAAAAGGAAAUUGGACAGCAGAUUAUCAGUAUACAUGUUUUUUUUUCCUCGCACUGUAACAAUGUUGGUAAUGCAUUGGUGAUCUUAUUGAUAUUUUGUCAGCACCAGAGGUCCAGAAGAUGUUUCGUGGGAUCGGUGGUUCCAGCGUGUUCGUAGCUCUCGUGGUCACAAGUGGUGGACACACAAAGGUUCUGAUUUUUCUUAAUGUCUUGCAACAAAUCAGGUCACAAGAACUUCAACUGCUUUCACAUAUGGCUAGUUGAGAGAGCACAUUUUGUAUGAUAGUUUUGGCAACUACAUACUUCUGUAAUGUCGAUUUACGGCGGCUCUAUGUUUAGUGUAAUAUUGCACGAUCGCUUUUGAGUCUGGAGUUGUUAUUGGUUGAAAUAUGUGUGACAAGCACUCACAGUGAUUUCUCCUGGAAAAGUUAGUUGAUUCACAAGGCUAUCAAAUGGGAUCUACUAUUCAUAAUUGCUUGUGUUGUCGCAUGUUUUACAGGCUUUGUCGGAGCGGCAAAUGAUAUGUAUCUUGUGUAUUUAUUUCUUACAAUUCAUUUGUGUUGGCUUAAAACAGCCAGCAUCCUAUCUUAUGGGGGGAGGCCAAAUUAGGCCGAGUCAUGUUAGAAAUGACGAAAGGCUCGUUGGGCUGAGACGCUCGAGAUUCGUGAACGUUGUAGCUGUAUAUUUUAAGUGUAUUUGUUGCAUAUUUUUUAGUAGCUCGAGUUUUUGAAAUUAAUGCAAAUUUUUGUAUCCGAGAAUAGUUCUCUGGUCUCUGGAAUAAAUUGAUAUAACCUGGUAUAAGUGUGGAAUUGUUGUUCUAUCAUUUUUCCUAGAACAAGCUUGUUCCCAAAUGGGAACAAGAUUAAUUAAAGUUUAAAUUUAAUUUUAAUUAUGAUAUUAAAUCAUUAAUUAAUCUAAGUAAUAUAUUUAAAUCAUUAUCCAUUGCUUAAAUAAUAAAGUAACUAAUUAAUUUAUUACUUGUAAUUAAUUAGCUAAUUAAUUAUUAAUAAUUUAAUGUGUUUAUACAUAAACUAAUAUUUAUAUUAAUCAACCGUUAAUGUUUUUAUUAAUCUAAUUAAUUUUUUUACUAAUUAUCAGACAAAUAAUUUACUAACUAAUUAAAAUGUUAAAUUAUUUUUUAAUGUUAAUUAAUUAAUAAAAAUAUUUUUAUUAUCUUAUAUAAUAUUAUAGUUAAUAAAUUAUUAAUUUAUUAAAUUAUUUUAAUUAAUAUUUUGAUAUUAAUUAAUUUGAUAAAAUUUUCUUAAUUUAAAAUUAUAACUCUUAUUCCUCUUGUAUGAAUCUAACCAGGUAAAAUACUAUUUACCUUAUUCUUAAAAACAAUAUAAUUAUUUUUUUCGAAAUGCAAAAUUAAUCUAAAUUCUAUUUUUCAUCUGAAUUUGUAUUUAUACUCGAACCAAAGGCAAAUAAUAACUUAGUUAGUUGAGCCGUUCUAGAAGCACUAGCAAAUUUUCUGUCGAGAACUCAUUUUACAAUUCCCCAGGCCCACGGGCCUACUUGGUAGGCUUAGUGCAUCAAUAGUAUGCUGCCAUUUAGCAUUUGUGACCUCAACGUCACACAGGAUAAAGGACAUAUUUGAGCCGGCUUCCAGGCAGAGAUGUCCCGAACCCGAAUCCGAACCCGAACGGAACAGAUUGAUUUUGGAUAUGAAUAUCAAAAAUAAAAAUUCGACGGAUAUGAAUUCGGAUAUGAUUUUGAUUUUACCAGACCCGAACCUGAACCCAACCUUGAACUUGAUCCGAACCCGAAUUUAUUUUAUAUUAUCUAUAACAUGUAGAUAAAAAUUUAAUGUUAUAUUUGAAUUUGUAUUUUAAAAGUUUUGAUUUAAUGCAAUAUAUUUUGAAAUAUUAAAAAGAGAAAUAAUUAUUUCGGGUUCGGAUUUGGAUUCGGGUUUCGGAUUUUUGAUCGGGUUCGGAUUUGGAUAUGAAUUUUUAAAAUCCAUCGGGUUCGGAUUUCGGAUUUGGAGUCAGGUUCCGAUUUGGAUUUUUAAAAAUCCAUCUCCAAUCCGUCCUGUUGGCAUCCUUACUUCCGGGGAAAGAAAUUGGUUUGUGCCCAGGGCUAACACAGAACCGGUUAGAGCCCUGGGCUCGAAGAUGCACAUAUAAGGAGCCAGACCAUCUCGUUCCGGCCACCCAACACUCCAAUGAUCCCCGAGAAGGUGAGCAUUGUUCACCUCGUGUCCAGUAAGGUAAGACCCCAUCUUGGUUUUGAACUAAUAGUCCCCGAUUGCCUAGUUAGGGUUUGUCGUCUCUGUAAGGCUUCAAACCUUGGUUCAAAUUGCUCCAAAUCACUUGGUUGGCGUUUGUGCUCCGAACAUGUGAGGACUGAGAUUUUUCUAUAUAUGUUUAAUAUAUUUAAAUGUUAUUGUAAGGUACGGACUUCUAAAAAUAUGAAGUUACGGUGUACAUUUAAAUGGUUCCGGUGAGGUUGCGGUGUAAUGUAAUAUACCGGAUUUAAAUAUAAAAAUAAAAAUAAAUAAAAAUAGUAUGAGAUACUAUUUUUAUUGGAUUUAGAGAAGUGAAAUAUAGGUUGGGAAUGACCUGUGUUGAAAUCGGAGCGAAAACAGAAGAUUUAGAAUUUUCUAUGAGAAACGGGACAGAUAAAUUAGCAGAAAAUGCACAGUCUCAGAAAAUUAUGAAAAUUGGAGGUUAAGUCAGAAAUAUUUUUAUGAGGCUAGAUUUAAAGUUUCAUAUUUUUCUGACAUCCGUAGAGUGAGAAAUAAAAUCCGACAGUUAUCUGAUAAAGAUUACAGUUCGGUACAGUUUUCAGUGACUAAACGGGGUCGAAACUGAAAUAUUAAAAUUUCUUUGGACUUAUUAAGUAAAACCGAGCGUGCCUGUCAAAUUUGAGCUCAAACAGACAUUCAGGGAGUUCCGGCGAAAGAUAUCAGAUUUCAAGCUGCCUGUAAGUGAAUAGUGUUGGGGUGUAAUUAAAUAGAAGCUCUUGGCUUCUUCUUCCCCAACCAGCCGCACACACACACACCCACACGCCACACAACACACACGCAUGGAAAGAGGGAGAAAGAGAAACCUUCCAUUUUCUCUCUCUAAAUCUCUCCCAAAGUGGAUGGAUUUGGUGGAGAUUGAAGCUUGGAGGUGAAUCGCCUUCGUCUUCUUCAUUUUCUCCACCUUGAGGGCAAGCUUGAGAGGUAAGCUUUUGCUACCUUUUAAUGGUAGAUUCUUAAUAGUUGGUUUAAAUACCUUAUAAAUGGAUUUAGAGGAAUCCUAGCAUGCUAUCUAGAUGAAUGAUACUUGAUUCAUGAAGGAAUUUGGUGGAUUUUUAUCUAGUUGCAACUUAGGGCUUCAAAAUGGGAUUUUUGUAAAUGUGAGGGUUUGAUCUCAUUUGACCCUCUGUAAACCUAAUUGAUAGGUCACUGAACACGUUGGAAGCGACGGUUCGGCGAUUCGUCGAGCCGGUGCAAAGUUAUUAAAGAAACGGACGUUUAGGCUUCGUUUCCGCCUGGAGGGCCGAGGCGACGUCGUAAAAUCCUGAAAACGGAUUUGAAGCAUCGUAACAAGAAACCGAAGACCUUUAAUUUUUGGAUCGCGGAUCGGAGGUCGUUUGGUGGUCGCGCGCGGAUUGGGUCAAGCCGAGCGGCGUGCGCCGCGGGAGGCUGAUUGCGAGUGACGACGAGCAAUCGGAACGCGAUAAAAGGUGGGGGGUGUCUAUUCCGAAGCAACUGAGCUUCUUCCUAUGUCUUAGUACUUUAUCAAUUUGUAUAAAGUAUAUUGUAUGUUGCUACGCUUUAUAGGAUGACAAUACAUGCAUUCCUAAUCCUUGUAUGAUGUUUAUGAUCAAUAUAGUAUUAUGAUAUGGAUAUAUGAUGUAAUGGACAUAAGGAUUAUGAGAUGACAUCGGUAAACCUAUGAUGCUAAAUGAAAUAAGAACCUAGUAUUGUAUUUAAAGACAUAGUUUACAAGUGGCAUUGAACUCAUUGUGCUAAAAACACAUAUGACUUGAACUUAGUAAUGGAUUGGUUGUUGUACUAGAAACUCUAGUUAACAUUGAUCAAGUUGCAUAUUGGGAUAUUGCAUUAUAGGGUACUAGUUGGCAAUUGUUACAUGUCAUGGCAUGCUAGUGGGAGUGUAGUGUUACUUGAUUAAUAUUUGUACCUAGUAUGCAUGAGAUUGGGACUUAGUGUGGUGAAACCCUAUAAGGGCAUGAUUAAUGUGGAUUAAACUUUAGUUGAGUACAUUAAUCGAUCAAGUUGCAUAUUGUAUUUAUUGCAUAUAGGUGCUAGAUGAUUAUGGUUAUUGCUUAUAUUUGCAUGCUAGUAGCUAUACAUCUUGAUGAUUGAUCCAUGAUCUAGUAUGCAUGAGAACCUAGACCCUAUAUGUGAUGAUUAAUAUUUAUGUGAUUAAAGAAUUAGUAUGACGAAACUAGUGUUAAAAGUGGCAUCUAGUUUAGAAAACUAUGACAAGUGGCAUCUAGUCAUAGAAAACUAUGAUGUGAGGCAUAUGAUUGUUGAUGACCUUGACAUGAGAACAUUAGUGUAGUUGUGACAUUAUGAGAUUGGGUACAAGAACACCUUGAUUCCAUGAUGAGAUUACCCUUAGAGGGUAGGUUGCUGAUGUUCGUGAGUUGAUCGUGCUCACAUAGCCUGUCUGCGCUUGGAGGGGUCGCUCCCCAUAAGCUGUGCACUCCGGAGGUUGGUCACUAGAGGGACAGUCAGUGUGCUGUCUGGACGGUCUGUGUGCUGUUCGCAGGCGGUCUCGGGAAAUAGUUCAGUGAGACUUUCCCCUAUGAGACUUACACGUGAGAUAUGUUCGUGAACCCCGAGUUCACCAUGAGAUUUGGUUACCUAUUGAGUCAUACUCAUUAUCGUUGUUCAUGAUAGCUCGUUUCCAUAGUUGUUGUGUUGUUCAUAGUAGCUUACUAGUGUUCAUAGUAGCUUACUUAUUGCUCAUGCAUUCAUGAUAUACUAUUCCUUCACCUAUGAGAUUUGAGUGGAGUAACCUUGUACCUAGUAGGUCGAGAUGUGAGUCGGGCAAAGUGCGGGGUAGCCUUUGCCUAGGACUUUGAGAUGUGAGUCGGGCAAGGAGUGGGGUAGCUCUUCGCCUAGGACCUUCGAGAUUGAGUCAGACCUUGAGAUGUGAGUCGGGCGAGGAGCGGGGUAGCUCUUUGCUCAGGACCCUUAAGACAUGAAUCGAAUAAGACAAGAAUGAGGUAGCUUUUCACCUACUAGAUUUGAGAUCUUAGGCAAAGUAGCCUAGUGGAUUGGGCAAUAAUGUGAAUAGCAUAAGUGGAUUGCAUUCAUACCAUGAUUAGACAUAGUGCAUUGCAUAACUAUGUUAUAGUUGUAUUCAUUUCACUGUUGAGGCAUAUUAGCAUGAUAGUAGAUUGUUGCUAGAUGAUAAUCCAUACACUUCUUUCAUUUGAUGGCAUAGUAGAUAUAGUAGCAGUUUAUUUCCGUAUAUCUUUCUAUCUAUCUAUCUGUGCCAGCUUGGACCUAGUGGGAAGAUCGGCGGAGUCGGCGGCCGAACCCACUGGGAACUAUAUUUAUAUAGUUCUCACCCCGUCUGGUUUUAGGGUACAGGUACAUACGAGAGCGGACCGGCAGAUGAUCGCGGCAAGGGCUUAGCGCCCUAGUGCUAGUUGGUAGUUUACUUUCCUAUUUUGCAUUAGAGUUACUGUGAGACUCCAGAUAGUCCUAUAUAUAAGAUAUAAUAGGGCUAAACUCUUAACCCGGCUUAAGCAUUUUGGGUAGUGGCUAGACCCAUGAGGUUAAGAGAGUUAAGCGUGCUAGGACGGGAGCAGUCCUAGGAUGGGUGACCCCUGGGAAGUCGCGGCGUCACAGAUGGUAUCAGAGCCAAUUACCAGCCGGAAGUGUGAGAUGAGUCUCGGCUGAGUCAGGGUCUGGAUGACGGGCUAGCGAGACGAGUCUCACAUCGCCUGGUACUUGUGAGUCUGAGCCUGACGAGGACGUCAGGGCUUAAAGGAGGGGAGAUUGUGAGACCCCAGAUAGUCCUAUAUAUAAGAUAUAAUAGGGCUAAACUCUUAACCCGGCUUAAGCAUUUUGGGUGGUGGCUAGACCCAUGAGGUUAAGAGAGUUAAGCGUGCUAGGACGGGAGCAGUCCUAGGAUGGGUCGUUCCAAAUUCACACUCUCGGGGCAUAAUCGAACAAUAUAAUUAGGUUUUGCUCCUUAUUCGAUUUAAUGAGAAAAAGUACUUGUUGCAAAGUUAUACUGUUUGGGUGCAACUGAGUAUUGUAAUAUUGUUCAGGUUUUAGUUCUUGUGAACGUUGACAUCGAUUCGUUCCAAAUAUACACUCUCGGGGCAUAAUAAAAGAAUAUAAUUAGGUUUACUCUUUGUUCGAUUUAAUGACAAAAAAUACUCGUUGCAAAGUUAAACUGUUAGGGCGCAACUGAGUAGUCUAACGUUGUUCUGGUUUUGGUUCUUGUGAACGUCGACAUCGAUUCGUUCCCAAUUUACACUCUCGGGGCAUAAUAAAAUAAUAUAAUUAGGUUAUACUAUUUGUUCGAUAGAAUGAGAAAAAGUACUCGUUGCAAAGUUAUACUGUUAGGACGCAAUUGAGUAGUCUAAUGUUGUUCCGGUUUUUGUUCUUGUGAACGUUGACAUCGAUUCAUUCCAAAUUUACACUCUCGGGGCAUAGUAGAACAAUAUAAUUAGCUUUUACUCUUUGUUCGAUAAAAUGAGAAAAAGUACCCCUUGCAAAGUUAUACUGUUAGGGCGCAACUCAGUAGUCUAAUGUUGUUCCGAUUUUUGUUCUUGUGAACAUUGACAUCGAUUCGUUCCAAAUUUACUCUUUCGGGGCAUAAUAGAACAAUAUAAUUAGGUUUAACUCUUUGUUCGAUAGAAUGAGAAAAAGUACUCGUUGCAAUGUUAUANNNNNNNNNNNNNNNNNNNNNNNNNGAUUUAAUGAGAAAAAGUACUCGUUGCAAAGUUAUACUGUUUAGGCGCAACUGAGUAUUGUAAUAUUGUUCCGGUUUUAGUUCUUGUGAACGUUGACAUCGAUUCGUUCCAAAUUUACACUAUCGGGGCAUAAUAGAGCAAUAUAAUUAGGUUUUACUCUUUGUUGGAUAGAAUGAGAAAAAGUACUCGUCGCAAGGUUAUACUGUUAGGGUGCAACUGAGUAGUCUAAUGUUGUUCCGGUUUUGGUUCUUGUAAAUGUUGACAUCGAUUCGUUCCAAAUUUAUACUCUCGGGGCAUAAUAGAACAAUAUAAAUAGGUUUUUCUCUUUUUUCGAUAGAAUGAGAAAAAAUACUCGUCGCAAAGUUAUACUGUUAGGGCGUAAUUGAGUAUUCUAAUGUUGUUCCGGUUUUGGUUCUUGCGAACGUUGACAACAAUUCAUUCCAAAUUUAUACUCUUGGGGCAUAAUAGAAUAAUAUAAUUAGGUUUUACUCUUUGUUCGAUAGAAUGAGAAAUCGUACUCGUCGCAAAGUUACACUGUUAGUUCGCAAUUGAGUAGUCUAAUGUUGUUCCGGUUUUUAUUCUUGUGAACGUUGACAUCGAUUCGUUCCAAAUAUACACUCUCUGGGCAUAAUAGGAGAAUAUAAUUAGGUUUUACGCUUUGUUCGAUAGAAAGAGAAAAAGUACUCGUUGCAAAGUUAUGCUGUUAGGGCGCAANNNNNNNNNNNNNNNNNNNNNNNNNCAUCGAUUCGUUCCAAAUUUAUACUCUCGGGGCAUAAUAGAACAAUAUAAAUAGGUUUUUCUCUUUUGUUCGAUAGAAUGAGAAAAAGUACUCGUCGCAAAGUUAUACUGUUAGGGCGUACCUGAGUAUUCUAGUGUUGUUCCGAUUUUUGUUCUUGUGAACGUUGACAUCGAUUCAUUCCAAAUUUACACUCUCGGGGCAUAAUAGAAUAAUAUAAUUAGGUUUUACUCUUUGUUCGAUCGAAUGAGAAAUAGUACUCGUCGCAAAGUUAUACUGUUAGUCCGCAAUUGAGUAGUCUAAUGUUGUUCCGGUUUUUGUUCUUGUGAAUGUUGACAUCAAUUCGUUCCAAAUUUACACUCUCUGGGCAUAAUAGAACAAUAUAAUUCGGUUUUACGCUUUGUUCGAUAGAAAGAGAAAAAGUACUCGUUGCAAAGUUAUACUGAUUGGGCGCAACUGAGUAUUGUAAUAUUGUUCCGGUUUUAGUUCUUGUGAACGUUGACAUCGAUUCGUUCCAAAUUUACACUCUCGGGGCAUAAUAAAAGAAUAUAAUUAGGUUUACUCUUUGUUCGAUUGAAUGACAAAAAGUACUCGUUGCAAAGUUGUACUGUUAGGGUGCAACUGAGUAGUCUAAUGUUGUUCCUGUUUUGGUUAAUGUGAACGUUGACAUCGAUUCGUUCCAAAUUUACACUCUCGGGGCAUAAUAGAGCAAUAUAAAUAGGUUUUUCUCUUUGUUCGAUAGAAUGAGAAAAAGUACUCGUUGCAAAGUUAUACUGCUUGGGCGCAACUGAGUAGUCUAAUGUUGUUCCGGUUUUGGUUCUUGUGAAUGUUGACAGCGACUUUCCAAAUUUACAGUCUCGGUGCAUAAUUGAACAAUAUAAUUAUGUUUUUCUCUUCGUUCGAUAGAAUGAGAAAAAGUACUCGUUGCAAAGUUAUAAUGCUAGGGCGCAACUGAGUAGUCUAAUGUUGUUCCGGUUUUGGUUCUUGUAAAUGUUGACAUCGAUUCGUUCCAAAUUUAUACUCUCGGGGCAUAAUAGAACAAUAUAAAUAGGUUUUUCUCUUUUGUUCGAUAGAAUGAGAAAAGUACUCGUCGCAAAGUUAUACUGUUAGGGCGUAAUUGUCACGCCCCAGACCGCACCACCCGAAAACGGUACCAAUUUGGUCCGAUUCGAGGGCGGCGUGCGCGACCGCCGAACGGACAGAGUCUCCCCUGUCCGCCCAAGGCUAAGCAUCGGAUUGUGUACAACAAGUCCCCAAGAAAACAACUUGCAUUCAUACACAAUCAACAACGAAACGAAAGCACAAACAGUGCUAUAACCAACUAGAGCAAGCGAUACAAGUAAAAUCGUACAAGUAUACAAAAGAGAGAAACUUAACUAUUUACACAUAUUUGAAACAUCAAACCUCUUUCGAUAUCAUUUAAACUUUAAACAUUUAAUACAACUUGCAUUCUUUUUCCAAAUGAAUAUACAUCAUAAACUCUCCAAAACCUCACCCUAUACAUCAUCUACUCUCAAAGCAUAACCAAAAGUACAGGGUAUAGAGCUAAUGCAAGUAGGUGAAGGAAACUAUCUAUCAAAGCUAGGGCGCUAUGCCCUUACCGCGAUCCAUCGACGAAGGCCCGCUGUCCUGUGUACCUGUACUCCCAAAACCACACGGGAGUGAGAACUACGAAUAGUUCCCAGUGGGUUCGGCCGCCGACUCCGCCGAUCUACCCACUAGGUCUCAAGCAGGCAUAGAGAGAUACAUAUGCAAUAGACAUAUAAAACUGAACUAAACAAAAAGCGGUAGGUAAACAACUAUAUCAAGCUAUGCCUCAAUCUGGAAUCAUGAAUGCAUGAACAAUAAACAAGCUGGGUAAGUAAGCUACUAUCAACAUCUACAAUAGCUAUCAUAGUAACUAUAGAAUAUGCUACUAGGUAAGCAAGUAAGCUGAUAUGAACAAUGAAUAGCUACUAUGAACAUCAAUCAUGGGUAGGACUCAAUAGGUAACCCAAUCUCCACAUGAACACAAGGUUCACAAGCAAGNNNNNNNNNNNNNNNNNNNNNNNNNNNNNNNNNNNNNNNNNNNNNNNNNNNNNNNNNNNNNNNNNNNNNNNNNNNNNNNNNNNNNNNNNNNNNNNNNNNNCUCUCUAAGCCAAAAUUCACACUUUUUCAACUUGGCGUAGAGCUUCUUUUCCCGAAGCACUUGAAGUACAAGUCUCAAGUGUUCCUCGUGAUCCGUGUCACUCCGGGAAUACACUAAGAUGUCGUCGAUGAACACCACGACAAAUCUAUCUAGGUACGGCUUGAAAACACGGUUCAUUAGAUCCAUAAAAGCUGCCGGGGCAUUAGUAAGCCCAAACGGCAUAACCGUAAACUCAUAAUGUCCAUACCGUGUUCUAAAAGCCGUCUUCGACACAUCCUCGGGUCUGAUCCUCAUCUGGUGAUAUCCCGACUGCAAGUCGAUCUUGGAAUAUACACAAGAUCCCUGAAGCUGAUAAAAAAGAUCGUCAAUCCUCGGUAAUGAAUACUUGUUCUUAAUCGUGACUUUAUUAAGUUCACGAUAGUCCACACACAAACGAAGUGAUCCAUCCUUCUUCUUGACAAACAAAACCGGUGCUCCCCAAGGUGACACACUCGGUCGCACAAAUCUCUUGUCUAGCAGAUCUUGCAACUGUGCCUUCAGCUCCCUCAGUUCCGCUGGUGCCAUCCUAUAGGGUGCCUUCGAGAUCGGAGUGGUCCCGGGAACGAGAUCUACCACAAACUCAAUCUCCCUAUCAGGAGGCAUGCCUGGUAGCUCCGCUGGAAACACAUCUCCAAACUCCCGCACUACGGGAAUAUCCUCAAUCCUAGGGGCGUCAUCCACACCCCGCAACACAACAGUAGCCAAAUAGGCUACGCAGCCUCUACUAAUCAACUGCCGAGCUCGAGAAGAGCUAAUCGUCAUCGCAAACAGCGAACUCUGGCAUCCUCGGUACACAACCUCCGCCUGCCCCGGCUCUCUAAAUGUCACCGUUCGAUCCUUACAAUCGAUAGUGGCGAAAUACUUAGUCAACCAGUCCAUGCCCAACACUACGUCAAACUCUCCGAGUUUAUGUAACGCUUAUAAGUCCACGGGCAUGAUCCAAUCUCCAAUCCUAACAGGGCAACUGGGGCAAAACUCCUGAAUGUCCAAGGAAUGGUCGGGUACAACGACUCGUCCCGGGUGCAACAAAGAUACAAGUGGGAUGCCAUGCAACUCGGCAAACAGCCGGUCAAUGAAUGAAUGCGAUGCACCGGUAUCAAACAAAGCUCUAGCUCGAAUACCAUAAAGUAAAAUGAUACCUGCGACCACAUUCUCGGCUGCCGCCGCCUCCUCNNNNNNNNNNNNNNNNNNNNNNNNNNNNNNNNNNNNNNNNNNNNNNNNNNNNNNNNNNNNNNNNNNNNNNNNNNNNNNNNNNNNNNNNNNNNNNNNNNNNNNNNNNNNNNNNNNNNNNNNNNNNNNNNNNNNNNNNNNNNNNNNNNNNNNNNNNNNNNNNNNNNNNNNNNNNNNNNNNNNNNNNNNNNNNNNNNNNNNNNNNNNNNNNNNNNNNNNNNNNNNNNNNNNNNNNNNNNNNNNNNNNNNNNNNNNNNNNNNNNNNNNNNNNNNNNNNNNNNNNNNNNNNNNNNNNNNNNNNNNNNNNNNNNNNNNNNNNNNNNNNNNNNNNNNNNNNNNNNNNNNNNNNNNNNNNNNNNNNNNNNNNNNNNNNNNNNNNNNNNNNNNNNNNNNNNNNNNNNNNNNNNNNNNNNNNNNNNNNNNNNNNNNNNNNNNNNNNNNNNNNNNNNNNNNNNNNNNNNNNNNNNNNNNNNNNNNNNNNNNNNNNNNNNNNNNNNNNNNNNNNNNNNNNNNNNNNNNNNNCAGUUCAAACUGCACGAAAUCUGCCUCCUUGUACCGGUACACGGGCUCUUGUACCGGUACAAGGCCGACGAAAUUGCAAACCCGAGGCUCGGGUCGCGCGGUCUGCGGCUCUGUACCGGUACAAGCCCGAUGGCUGUACCGGUACAACCAUCAACCCUUGUACCGGUACAAGGCCAGUCUUGUUCCGGUACAAGUCCUGCUGCAGGCUACCCGAGAGCUGUCCAAUGAAUCCAAUUUUGGAAUUUUGGUGCCAAGUCUCACUCCAACAUCCUCGGGAUGCGUGCUAGGGGUCGGAACACUAUCAACGACCAUCCAAAAACAGUGGAAAGGCUCCACACACAGAUCAAACACUCGAAUCUUGCAAUUUGCUAAGAUCCAGUGUAUUACAUAGUCGGAGUGGUAAAGCAAUCCGGUAAGCAACUGGUCCAACACGCUCCAAUACCUCAAAAGGGCCAACGAAACGUGGACUGAGCUUUCCAUGUACUCUAAAUCGGUGAAUCCCUCUGGACCGCGAGACAUUAAGAAAAACAUGAUCUCCAACCUGGAACUCCAAAUCUCGUCUCCUGGUAUCGGCGUAGCUCCUCUGGCGGCUCUGGGCUGUCAAAAGGUGUCGUCGAACAACUCUCACCUUUUCCUCAGCCUCUAGCAAAAUCUCAGGCCCAAGUGUCUUCCUCUCACCCACAUCACUCCAAAACAACGAGGAUCGACACCUGCGUCCAUACAACACCUCAAACGGAGCUAUCUGAAUGCUCGUUUGAUAGCUGUUGUCAUACGCAAACUCUGCCAGUCUCAAGUGUCAAUACCACCCUCCUCCGAAGUCCAGGGCACACGCCCUCAGCAUGUCCUCUAGAGUCUGAAUGGUCUGCUCCGACUGACCAUCCGUCUGUUGGUGAAAUGCUGUGCUAAAAUGUAACUGAGUCCCCAAAGCUGUCUCUAAACUCCUCCAGAAAUGCGACACAAACCUCGGGUCUCGGUCUGAUACAAUCGAUACUGGCACAGCAUGUAGCCUGACGAUCUCAUUCAAGUAAAGCUCCGCGAGUCUCUCUCUGGACCAGAUGGUCUGAACUGGUAGGAAGUGAGCAGACCUGGUCAGUCUGUCCACUAUCAUCCAAAUCGCAUCGAAGCCACCCUGUGCUCUAGGCAACCCCACAACGAAAUCCAUCGUGAUCUGUUCCCAUUUCUACUCGGGCACUGACAGACUCUGAGGCUUGCCAGCAGGUACCUGAUGCUCGGUCUUUACCUGUUAACAAGUUAAACGCUGAGCUACAAAUCUGCCAAUGUCUCUAUUCAUCCCAUUCUACCAAAACUGUGCCUUCAAAUUCUUAUACAUCUUGGUUCCCCCAGGGUGAACCGUAUAAGGUGUACAAUGAGUGUCACGCCCCGGGACCGGCAGAGGCCCUCCCGGUAGCGUGCCCAGACCCGCCAUAUGUCUACAUAUAUAAGGCGUCUACAAGAAAAGCGGAAGUAAAAGCAAGAGAUGGAACAAAUAAGAGAAGUGAAAUAACAAGCAAUUAAUGAUAUCAGAGCGAGUAAAGUUCUAAACAUCUAUACUCAUGGUAACAGAACAUAACUAAUACAUAAAAGUAAACAUAAGUUAUACAGUAUCAGCCUCUAAUACAAAAAUGGUGGUCUCUAGUACACUGGUAAAACUCUCAACCUCUCACAAAAAGAAAACACGAGAGGUAGACCACCUAUCGAACGAUACCUCGGUAAGCGCGCUAGCCCGAGGCGAUACCCUUUCCGCGAUCCCUGGCCUCACCCUGAGUGGAAGGCUCUGAAAAACAUCGAGAAAAAGAGGGCGUGAGAACUAUAAUUUAUAGUUCCCAGUGGGCAAUUACUGACCUCAGCUCCUGCUCCACUAGGCCCCAAAAAUAAGGGUAAGCAACGAUAAUAAUAAUAAGCAAUAAAAAGGAGCAUGUAAUAAACUGCUGAAAGAGAGAGCAUAAGUAAAAUGCUAUACUACUAUAUCCCUCAUAAGCACGAUGUCAAAAUGUUGUACAUCUAUUCUAUCAUAAGGAAAAGUAACCAAUGGCAAUAGUUUACUGUUACAACCCUUUAUUCAUACAUGAUGUAUAAGCUCUAUCAUGGCAACCAAGUAUACUGUGAUGAAAUAGGUAACUGUCAAGUAUACUACAUGUCUCAACCCUAUGCUAUAUGCAUGUAAAUGUAAUCCAACUACUAAGCCUAUCUAGUAGUGAUUGUUCAUUCUCAAACCGUGUCGAUUUCCAUUUCCAAUUAAGGACCUACCCAAGGUAGUCCAGCUUGUGCCGCCUAAGUGCCUGUGGUAGCCCAACAUCCCUACUCUUGGAAUGUGUCUGUCCCACUCGACCCCGUAGGCUUCUCAAUAUCGCACGAGCGAACAAAAAUCGCAUAGGCCAACUCCGGAGUGCCGGCUUGUGGGGAGCGACCCUCACAAGCAUGUGCGAAUGAGCACAAAUGGCAAACAAGCAAGGUCACGGUCUCAAGUACCCAAUCCUCAUGUCUCUAACAUGGUAUAGUCACUAGUAUCCCAAAGAUCUAGUUCAAGUCAUAAUGUGAAGUCCCAACACACACUUGCUUAGUGCCUCUUUAUGACACUUAAGCUCCACAACUAAUCAUGUUCCAAUUAAGACAUUAACAUUAAUGCUCACUAUGCCCCGGGCCCCAAUGCCUCUUCAUGACAUUGGCCCAAUCUCACAUAUCAUCUAAGUCCCUAAGCCUCUCUAGGCUUUCAAAAAUCCCUAAUGUCACAUCUGGUAUAUGGUUUGAAUGCAUGAAAGCAAGGUUCGUUUUCAUAAUAGGGAUUACAAUUUCAAAUCGCAACUAGAAUGCUAGGCCACACAUGCAUGCUCUCUACUAUAUAGAGGUCCCAAAAUUUACUACACAUAACCUAUGCAUGUUAAGCAUUCUAAAAUUCAUAAUAAAUACAUAUAACAAGAAUAUGCAUGCUUUUUCAUUUAACGGCACAAAGUUAAGCACAAAUGAGAAUUUCUCAUUGUGUGGCUAGGUCAAACCCACCGAACCGUCGCGUAGGGUCUCGAUUCGCCGAACAAAGUUGUCCACGAGCCUCAAGAUAACCUAAAAGUGAUCAGCGACAAGAUACACGGGCAUUACGAUCAUCGCAUAAUAUCAAACUUUAACAAAUUUAGCAAAAGGGCUAAAACUCACCCAACGCGUGGAAAAACUCUCUCAAGCUCCAAAUGGGAGCUAAAUCCCUUCCAAUCCAAGCCCAAGGAAGGUUCUAAUCCAAUCAAUUUAACCCCAAAAGCCCUAGAUCAAGAAGCCCCAAAAAUCAACCCUAAAUCUCAUUUCUAGGGUUCCAUCUACCAAAAAGCCUCAAAUCAAGGUCUAGAGGGAGGGAAAGAGCAACAAACCUCUAAGAAGCUCCAAUCCAAGCUCAAAGGAUGAUGAUCUUCCCCUUUGCAAGCUCCAAGUCCAAGCCUUCAAGCAUCAACAAGGUGAGAAGAGGAAAAAAGGGGGCAAAGAAGUGCUCCAAGUCCACCAAAACCCUUUCCUUCUCCUUCCUCUCCUCCUUCUUCUUCUCUUUCUCCUUCUCUCUCUAGCAAAGGUGUGGGAAGAGUGUGAGGAGGGGAAAUGAGAAGAAGAGAGAGGGAAUGGGUCAUAUAGACCCUCUAUUGUAACAAAAUCCCAAGAGGCCCCUCAAAAAUCCAAAAUUGCAUCAGCCCGGUCUGGGCAGUUUUCGCCCAGAGGGACCGGUCUCUCCCCAGCAGGGACCGGUCUCUCGCUGCGAACCCGAAAAUCCAACGUUCGGGAACCGGUCUCUCUCUGCGCGGGACCGGUCUCUCACUGCGAAGACGCGUUCGGGAACCGGUCUCGCUUGCCAGGGACCGGUUGCCUCAGGCUGCCUCAACACUGCUCACUGGGGGAACCGGUCUCUCCUUCCAAGGACCGGUCCCCGAGAGUAAAAACUCUCAGGACUUGUCCAAAGUUCCAGAUUUCGAACUUUUCGGGUCGGGAAACAUUCUACAAUCCUCCACCAAGUGUGGAAAAGCUCGAAACACAUCCAAACACUCGAACCUCGCAAUUUGCAAAGGUCCAGUGUGUUACAAUGAGCCUCCCUCAAGAUGUCCUCUCGGAUCUCUGAAUCCACACACACACACAGUCAGUCCGUGUACCGCAGUACUCCUGAACUAUCCAAAGCAAAACCCUCAGCCUGUCCCCUAAUUAACUGCUCUCGAAUCCUCAACAAAUGCGGAUCUCCACUAUAUUUCUCCCGGAUCUUAUCCAACAGAGUGGGCUGCAAGACCAGAGAUAUCAGUCUUGCAGUAGACCCAGGGGACACUACCUCAAGCCUCAGCCGCUGUAGCUCCUCAAGUAGCGGUCUCUGCUGAGUGAUCAACAAUCUCAAGCUCUGCACUGCCCUCCUGCUCAACGCAUUUGCCACUACAUUCGCCCUGCCGGGAUGAUACUGAAUACUAAUGUCAUAGUCCUUUAGUAGCUCUAGCCACCGGCGCUGCCUCAGAUUCAAUUCCUUUUGAGUGAACAGAUACUUGAGACUUUUAUGAUCGGUGAAAACCUCGCAGUGCUCGCCGUACAAAUAAUGCCGCCACAACUUCAAAGUAAAGACUGCCGCUGCAAGCUCCAAAUUAUGCGUAGGGUAAUUCUUCUCAUAAUCCUUUAAUUGCCGUGAAGCAUAAGCAAUCACCCUACCAUGCUGUAUCAGCACACAACCCAAUCCGUUGUGCAAUGCAUCACUAUAGAUCACAAAUCUUUCCCCCAUCACAGGAAGGGCAAGGAUAGGAGCUGUCAUCAAUCUCUGUCUCAACUCGUCGAAGCUCCUUUGGCAGUCCUCACUCCAAACAAACCGAAUCUCCUUUCGUGUCAACCUGGUAAGGGGUGUGGAAAGCUUCGCAAAGCCCUCCACAAACCGACGAUAAUAUCCUGCUAGUCCCAGAAAACUACGCAACUCAGUCACCAUCGUCGGUCUGGGCCAAUCCCGAAUAGCAUCAAUCUUCUUAGGGUCUACUGCCACUCCCUCUGCAGAAAUUACGUGGCCCAAGAAAACAACUUCCCGCAACCAAACCUCACACUUUUUAACUUGGCAUACAGCUUCUUCUCUCACAGAAGCUGUAGCACAAUCCUCAAGUGCUCCUCAUGCUCAGCAUCACUAUGGGAGUAAAUUAGAAUGUUAUCGAUGAAGACUACUACAAAUUUAUCCAAAAACGGCUUGAAUAUCCUGUUCAUCAAAUCCAUGAAUGCGGCAGGGGCAUUCGUCAAUCCAAAAGGCAUGACCGUAAACUCAUAAUGCCCGUACUGAGUACGAAAAGCCGUCUUGGAAGUAUCCUCGGCCCUCAUCCUUAGCUGGUGGUAACCGGACUGAAGAUCAAUCUUUGAGAAGACGAAGGAUCCCUGCAACUGAUCAAAUAAAUCAUCAAUGCACAGCAGUAGAUACUUGUUCUUGAUGGUCACUUUAUUCAGCUCCCGGUAAUCCACACAUAACCUGAGCGAACCAUCAUUCUUCUUUACAAAUAACACCGGCACUCCCCAAGGCGACACACUGGGUCUCACAUACCCCUUGUCCAUCAGAUCCUGAAGCUGCGUCUUUAGCUCUCUCAGCUCUGCCGGCGCCAUCGGAUAAGAUACCUUAGAGAUUGGUGCAGUUCCAGGAACUACAUCAAUCACGAACUCAAUCUCCUUCAACUCAGGGGGAAACACAUCCGGGAACUCGCGAACUACAGGAAUAUCCUCGAGUCCCGGCGCCGCCGUAGGUACCUCUACUACCGUCGCCAGAGUCUGUCGACCGAAAUUUGAGAUACGUGCUCUUAUAUAUACUAGAUUACUAGUUGAGUGUACGUGCAAAUGCACGUAACAAUUAUUAUAAUUUAUUUCAAAUCGAUAUAAAUUUGUACAUUAUAUAUAUUCAAAAUUUUACAAUAAAAAUUAUAUUUAUAAAUAAAUAUGUUAUAUUUUAUUAGAAAAUAUUUACAAUAUGUUUUGUUUUUUAUAUACAUCGAACAUUUUUAUAUAUUUUUUGAUUUUUUAUUAAUCAAAUUUAAAUAUGUGUUUUAAACUAAAAGUAUCAAAAUUUAAUUCACAUUUACUUUAAAAUUUAAAAUUUAAUUUUGAUCCACUUAAAUAAAAAAUUAAUUAUUAAUUCAAAUUUGAUAUCAAAAAAUAAAUUUAAUUCAUAAUUUAAACUCAAAUUUUAAUUUUAAUGUAAAAUAGAUGAAUAGGAAUGCUAUUUUUUUAACAAAUUGAUCAUAACACUUUGUUUUUAUUUGAAAUAUUUUUUAACAAAUUGAUUAUAAUCAUUCGUAGGAUUGAAUUUACAAAUAGAUAGGAAUACUAUUUUUUAAUAGAUUGAUCAUAACUGUUCUUAUUUGAGAUUUUUUUAACAAAUUGAUCAUAACCAUUUGUAGGGAAUAGAUUUUUAUAUAUAGUAGAGAUUUAAUAGAUUGAUCAUAACCGCUCGUUUUUAUUUGAGAUAUUUUUAACAAAUUAAUCAUAAUCAUUCGUAUGAAAUAUUAUUUUAUAUUUAAUAGAUUGUUCAUAAUCGUUCGUUUUUAUUUGAGAUAUUUUUAACAAAUUAAUCAUAACCAUUCGUAGGAAAUAUUAUUUUAUUCUUUUUGGAUUCCGUCUGUCAUUGUUGGAAUUCCUAAUAUACGCUUUUAUAUAUAGUAUAGAUUUGAGAUAUUUUUAACAAAUUAAUCAUAAUCAUUCAUAUGGAAUAUUAUUUUAUAUUUAAUAGAUUGAUCAUAAUCCACUACAACAGAAUUAGGUUAUAGGGACACAUGUUUGGGACACUUUUGAGUAAGUGUCUCAUUUAUGCUAAAACAUAAAAACACAUCUAUUAAUGCCUAAAUAUAAAGCCCAAUCCAAUCAAAAAUAAAAGAUUACUCUACUCAACCCACCACACCCAGUCCAUUUGGCCCGAUUACAAACAGAAAAGAAAAAAAAAAAAUCAAUUACCAUCUUUUCUUAUCUCUUCACUCAAUCCACUGAAAUUCUAGACGAAGAGCCUUUACUGUCGUCCUCCUCCGCUACCGCAGCCAACGAGAUAGAGUUUCGGCGGUUGCUAAAUGUUUAAAUAAGUGUUGGUAAAUUAACAGCACUCUUUUAGGUUAUAGUGACACUCUUUAACUGUCACUAUAUACCUAGCGACCCCACAUAUAGCAACACUUUUUAAAAGUGUCGAAAUUUUAGCCUAGCUAGAUUUUUGACCUAUGUCCUAUCAUUUUAAAUGGUCGCUAUAGACCGUUUUUGUUUAGUAUAUCGUUCGUUUUUAUUUGAUUUUUAACAAAUUAAUCAUAACCAUUCGAGGCGAUAUAUUUUUAUUCGUUUUGGCAUUCCGUUGAAUUCCAUAUAGCGCUUUUUAUAUUAUUAGUAUUAGAUGAUGUAUAGUAUAGAUAUAGAUUGAAUGCCCUGAUUUUUAAUAGAUUAUCAUAACGCUUCUUUUUAAUGAUAAACUGUUCGUUUUUAACUAUUUCGUUUUUUAAUUGAUCAUAAUUCGUUGUGUAGGCCUCGAUAAAAUUAAAUUGUUACAGAUUUUGAUCAUUAACCGUUCGUUUUUUAAUUGAUGAAAACGAUGAAUAAUUAAAUUUGUAUCCAAUUAAUUUAUUUACGACUUUAAUUUUUUUUUAAUUAAAUUUAUAAUAUAAUUUAAUUUUGAUUUAUAUUAAAUUAACAAUUAUCAUAAUCGUUUCAUUUAUUAAUUGUAUCAAACACAUUCAUAGAUUGAAUUUAUGCUGAUAAGAAUCUCUAACUUUUAGCAGAUUGAUCUAACCGUUCAUUUUAAUUGAUACAACCGUUCUGUCGAUUGGAUUUAUAGAUGGAUAAGAAUGUUAUUUUUUAACAAAUUGAUCGUUCUUAUUUAGAUUUUUUUAAUAAACUGAUAUAUCUGUUUGUAGGUAAAUAUAGAAAAAUAUUUAUUUUAUCCUUUGGGAUUCUGAGAUUAUAUCGAUAGUACCAAGAUAGAAACUUAUAAUAUCAUAUACGGGAUAUAGGAAAUAUUAGUUUAUUCACUUUUAUAUAUAUAUAUAUAAAUAAAUAAUAUAAAAAUAAUAUUAUAUAUAUAUUAUAUAUAUUAUUAUUAUAUAUAUAUAUUAUUAAUAUUAUAUAUAUUAUUAUAUAUAUAGUAUAUAUAUAUAGUAGAGUCAGGUUAAUCAUAUAAAUAGAAAACUAUUAUUUUAUUCUAUUUUGGAUUGUGAAGAUAAUAUCGGAUAGCACCAAGUAGAAAACUAUAAUGAUAUGUCAUAUGGGCAUAUAGGGAAUAUUAUUUAUUCAGCUUUAAGUAUAUAGUAUAAUAGAUUCCGGUAGAUACUAUCCGGAUAGCACAGAGGCGGCUCACAUCAUGCCUAAUCAUACAUUUUUCAAUCAAAGGCUAAAGAAACUAAUAGCACCAAUAGCUUUGGAGCUCAUGAUAGUAUUCCAGGCCUAUUAUUAUUAUUAAUAUAUUUAAUAUAUAUAAUAUAUAUAAUAUAUAUAAAUAUAUAUCAUAUUCAUAUUUAUAGAGUCCAGGCUAUGUGCUUGUAAAAUACAAGUCCACUUAGUGCUUGUAAAUUUUUACCGUUAAUCUACUCGUCGGAUCAUUUUCAAUCAUUAGAUUAUAUAUUCAACCACCACCAUUCAACCUGAGGAGCUCCAAUCAUCCUAACCGCAUAUCUCUUCAAUUAAUGGUAAAAAUCUACAAGCACUUGAAACUUGUAUUUAAAAGCAUAGGAGCCAAUUACUUAUAUAAUUAUAUAUAUAUAUAUAUAUAUAUAUUAUAUUAUAUUAUAUAUAUAUAUUACUAUAUAUAUAUAGGUCUGGUACUUAUGCUAUGCAUGCACGAACAUCUUGGUGCCUACCAAGUUUUUCACCUUGUAGAUUUACCAUUUUUCAUCAUUCACCUGUUAGCAUUCAUACUAUUCAACCAACCCUACUCAACACCAGGGGCCCACAUCAUCCUUGAACGCACAUUUUAAUCCAAUGUGGCCAAAAACUUAGUGCACCACAUAACUUGGUCUAUAAUAGCAUAGUUAGUAUAUUGUAUAUAUAUAUUAUAUAUAUUAAUAUAUAUAAUAUAUAAUAGAGUAGAGCCUAGUGCUAGCCAACCAGAGAGCCUGUGCUUGGCAUUUGUACUGUGAUCGCUCGCCUCGAGAUCCGGCCGGCAGUAAAAGGUUGAACUAAGACGGACGCAUAAAUAGUCGCCUUACUCUCUCUCCUCUCUCUAACGUGAACCCUCUCUCUUUUCCUCUGGCAGAUCCACCCUCUCUCUCUCUCUCUUUCUCUGCGUCCCCACCAGAUCUAUAUAUCUUGUUUUUUUUUUUUCUUUUCUCCCUCCAAUCUUCUUUCCUCUUUCCCUUUCAUCACCGGAGCGCCCUCUCACGACGCCUUCCGGGCCGCGGCGCAUAAAGUGGCGUCCUCUCUCUCUUCUCCCUCUCUGGUUCCCAAACCAGACCAUUUUCCCUUUUAUUUUUUUUCAUUUCUCCCUCCAUCUCUCUUCUCUUUCUCCUUCUUGAUCGUGUGGUCUCACGCGACGCCUUCCGGCGUUGCAGCGCUACUCAUCCGGACGCGCCUACGCCUUCCGCCGACGCCUUCCAGCCUUCUAGCCAGCGCGCUAUUACGAUCGCUCCGGCCGCACUGCGCUCCCUGGCCGUGAGAGUGAUCGAUCCCGAGCAACGAUCUGAGGAUAGUUUUCUCAACCUGCGCAACCAGGUAUAUUAUAUUUAAGUGAAAAUGGCGUCUUCCUGGUGUGAUGGAAGGCACUACCAUUGUCCAUGCAUUAAAUUAGAUUAAGAGGAACUACCAUUAAAAGGACUUACAACUUGUAUUAUUAAGAUGCAAAUAUUUUUGUUGCCAUCAUAAAGGACUAACAUCAGGUGAUCUGCACAUUGUAUUUUGUUUGUCGAAAAUUGCAAUAUAAGUAUUACUCCGCCACAUAUAUACAUCAAUAGAUUUAAUUCUGGAUUGUUUAGAUGCCCAGAACUUAAUAUAUUCAUAUUAUUCUUCUUUUAACUUAUUUAACUCUUUCAUUAUUUGUUCAUUAGGAUUUAUUGGCCUUCCUACAAAGCAGCUAAGUAAACAAGAAAUGACCUUACACAUGACGAGAAUCCUACAGAGAGAAAUAAAAUCGGCUGUGCUAUUUGUCUGAUUUCGUGCUUCAUUUAUUGAAAUAAACUAUCUCUCAUUUAUUUACAAAAAAGGAGAAUGCCUGACACCAUGUUAAUUUAAUUAUUUGCGCAGUUGAUUUGAUGCAUCUACUACAAAUUUUCCUUGAAGAAAUAAACAGUUCGUCAAAUUAAUAAUAUAGCUUUUAUAAGACUUCACAGCAAGUUAGAAGUAAAGAAAUUUUUUGGAUGUGAAAUAUGGAAAGUAUAACGAUAAACUAUUGUGAUUUUUUUAUGUGGUGCGAUAAAGUGAAAUCCAAAGAACUUUUAGAACAAGAAAGUUCUACUCUUUUAAAUUUGAAGGAAAGUGUAGACUCUGAACUAGCAGCAUAUUCUCUAAAAGCUUCAAAUGAAGAGAUGCUUCAAUGUAUAAACUGUAAGUUGUCUAGUUUGGUUGAGCAAAUGGAGAAUCUGAAAAAUGGAGUUGAAGAAGCGUCUAGAAGGACAACAGCAAUGGUGGAAAGAAUUGAAGCUGAAAGAAAAAUUUUUAUUGUAUUCAUUUUAGUAAUUAUAUGUGUUAAACUUCUAUUCGUCUAAAUGUAAUAUGAUCCACUGUGUUCAUUUGAGGUGUAUGUAGGAUAUUUGCCUCACUUUUAAUUUAUGAACCAACCUUGACAAUUUCAUGUGAUCACUCGAUGAUGUGGUGCAGCUUCGUCUCAAUGAAUCCACUGAUUCAUCUGUGUUUAUAAUGUACUUCAAAAUUGUGUAUGCUUACAUUAAACUGCAUCUCCCAGUACUUGGCUGAUCAACUUGUCCGCAAUAAGAUGACCGAUCAGUUAGCUAGUCUACAACAGUUGGCUUGCAUGCCCAUCAGCCUUCAUGAUUUAGCAUUUUCCAAUUUUUUAGCUUAAUGUUAAUUACAAUUAUUUUACAAGUCCAGUUCAUUUCCAAUUUUUUGUCUAGUUCAUUUCCAAUUUCAAACUUUCACACAUUGAUUCAUUUAUGCUUCCACAAUGUCCGAAGAGGUCGUGUUCAAUGAAGUCUAUGCUAAAAAAUGCUCGGUUAAUAUAUCACAUUUAAAUCCCCCAACAACAUCUCUUUGAAGCAGAAGCACAAGCUCCGAAUUGGAGCUCUUGGUUUAGGGGCUCAGAAUCUUCAUUCAGCUUCUUGCCAAAGAAAAAGCUUCAGACUUCUCUAUUAACAGCAAAAAGAGAUAAUAUCAUCUAUUUUUAUCAAACAAAAACAUUGAACAAGGAAGCAUGAAACAGCAAAAAGAGAUGAUAUAACGAAACAAAGGAGCUAGCAAAGAAUACAGAAGGAAAAGAAAGAUUUUGCAUGAAGAACACAAAAAGUGAAAGUGCUCCCAUACGAGUAGUUUCAGUUUCUUAGUCCACAGACAAGGACUAUCUACAAGCAAAAGUCGAGGAGAUGAGCUUCAAUGAUUCAGAACAAAAAACGGACCUCGAAAUAACAAAAUGAAAGCAAAGAAAACGGUGAUCUAGAAUUGUUAUACAUAUCCAAAACAAUAAGCACAAUAAUGUUCAACAAUCUGCAAAUAAGUUGUGUGCACAACAAUCUGCAAAGUAAAGUCAGGUACAACACUGAUUUAGCACAACAAUCUCCAAAAACUUUGGCACAACAAUCUGCAAAGGUACAACACUGAUUUGUUCUUGCUUUUAAGUCUCUUCGUCAUCGGUUUCUUCAAGCCUCUCGCUAAAACUUGGAUCGUUAGAUGGCACUUCAUCAACAAUCUGCAAAUAAUAUUAAUAUUAGCAUAUUGUGAAUAAUAAGGAAUGUAAAAAUAUAUGAAGAAAAUAAAGAAAAUGGAAUUUAUUAUACCUCCUUACAAGUCCUAAUGUUGUGUCCUUUUUUACCACAUUGCUUGCAAGUUCUUGGCACCCUAAUCUUUUUUUCAAUGGAAGGCUUAAACCUUUGUGGUUUUCUCUUUCCUUUACAUUGUGAUUGAGGAGGAUCUUUAAUCGUGCAUUCUGAUGCAAGCAUAUUUACUUGGCUUGAUUGUGAAAUUACGAUUCUGUGAAGACUAAUUGAAGGCUCCUUGAUUGUCGCUUCCUCACUUUCAAACAUUUGAUUAAUUGAUGUUAGUGUAUCAAUUCCUUCUCUAAUUAUCUGACAUGCAGUUUCAUGUGCCUUAAGAUUUUUUGAACCUUCAAAGAUAAAUUUUUGCAUUUCUAAUGUAAGGGAAUCAAACCUUCGAGAUCUACAAAACGAGGAACCAUCACUCAUUUCUGUACUAUUGCUUGGUAUUCUCUUUUUUGCAUUCUUAGUCCACCUAUUUAAUAUAUAAUGAGGUGGGAUGUUAUAAAUCUCAAUAUAAUGCAUUACUUUAAGCGCAUGAGCACAUAAGAGGCCAUAAAAUUCAAACAAUUUACAAGUGCAGGAUACCAUAUUUUCGGGCCUUACAACAGUCACUAUAUAUGUGCACAUCCAUUGUCUUGAAGUGGACGAGUGUGAUAUAGAGCUGAUCUUAUAUAGUGAAUCUUUUUUCAACUCAAUCAACUUAUAACCCGUCGUCGCUCUUAAUUGAGUCUUAAAUUCUGAAAAAAUAUUUCUUGUGUAUAUGCGGCGUGCAUCUUUCUCAAUUGGAUCAUCUGACCAUAAACUGGGCUCUCUAUCCUUUGUCAUAAAAUCCUCUAAAUCCUCUCUCUCAUAUUGAUUAUGUGUCAUUUUCUCAAAUUGCAUGACAAACUUGAAUAUUGAUGUAUGUGCAUCUAACCAUAUUUUUGCAACGGCAUUCAUACUUUCACUACGUUGUGACGUAGACAUAUUGGCAAAGAAAGUAUCUCGAAAAUAUGCAGGAAUCCAUUGAUGUCGAAUAUUCCAUAGCAACCGAAGAUGGUUAUUUUCAUGCAAUUCAUAUUUAUCAAGCAUUGUUAUCCACGCAUCCUCAAACUCCUCAAUGCUUAAACUACAAUUUAUGCAUUCUUUCAAAUCAUUUUCAAAGCCAUCCUUAGUGUUAUAAAGCACACCAAAAUGCUCCUUUGCUUUUCUCAUCACAUGCCACUGACAACACCUAUGAACAGUGGUUGGAAAGACUUCCUCAAUGGCCUUUUUCAUAGCAGGAUCUUGAUCAGUAAUAAUAGCUUUUGGGUGUCUACCAUACAUGGCUUUAAUCCAUGUUUCAAACAACCAAGCAAAUGUAUUAGCAGUCUCAUCUCUAAUGAGAGCACACCCGAAAAAUAUAGACUGCAAAUGAUGAUUAACCCCUAUAAAAGGAGCAAAUGGCAUACUAUAUUUAUUCGUCAUAUAAGUUGUAUCGAAAGUGACAACAUCGCCAAAAUGCUCAUAUGCUAAUCUUGAUCUUCCAUCUACCCAAAAUAUGUUCCGAGCCCGCUGUUGGUCAUCAACAUCAAUAGCAUAGAAGAAUAACGGAUCUUUAGAUUGAAGCUCACGAAAAUAAUUAAGCGCACUUGCUACAUCUAUUCCAAUAAGGUUUCUAUUUUUCUCAGCAACUUUAUUACUUAAAUCUUUUUUACGAUGAAAGUGAAAUAUAUGUCUUCUCCUCCCCUUGCUUGCAUAAAGCCAUAAUUUUGUGAAAUGGAAAUAUUGUUCAUUCAACAUAUGAAUUAAUUCUUUUUGCCUCCUUGUAAUAGCACGAUGCGACUCGAUAAAAUCGAUUUUAGAAAGCUGAAACGAUUAAUUUCAGAUUGUGUUCGUUGUCGCCGACACCGACAGUAAUCACCCCAUUUUCUCAUGAUCAUCUAUCCUCAUACAAUCUGACCUUUCCACCACUCUCGUCGAGUUAGAAAAUUGCUUUUUAGGCUAUUGCUACCUUCUGAAUUUUUGGCAUGAACUUUUUCGAUAGUUGGGAUUUAGAAGACUGCUUUGAGAGAAUACAAUAGUUUAACAGAUUGAUGCAACAUGCUUUUUUGCACUUAUAAUGGUAUGUUUUUCUUAACUAAAACCACCCAAUUUAAAAGCAAGUCAUCAUGUGAACUUUUUAAGCAUCUUCUAUAGAGUUGAAUUCCAAACAAACGUGCUCUCAAGCGAUUGUAGUGUUCAUUCACAUGAUCUGUUCAGCAGUAGCAAUUUGUUCACAUUCUCAUCUAAGCAUCAUUUUCAACAUACAAUAUGUGGGCAAGCCGAGAAAACAAGAAGAAGCAAUUAGUCAGGAACCAUAUUCCGCUCAUUUAUUAACCUCCUAUAGAUAAAUCAAAUUAUAUUACUAUAAAAUAGCUCAAAUAAUAGAAAAAAAUUGAUAACUCUACAUUUAUAAUAAUGACGAAAUGAGUAGAAUAAAAUUAGAUAGCUAUCAAGUGACGGACAAUUUUUAUUUGUCGAUAUGCUGCACAAAUUUAUGCUCAUACAUAUUUGAGAAUACGCUCAACAAAAGAAUGAUUUUUUGCUUUCUAGAGGUGCUUCAACCUCAUAAUUCAUUUCUCAUGUAAAAAUGAAUACCUUAUGUAAAAAUGACAUAAUGACUAAUCCCAAGAACUGAGGAUCCAUGAGAUUAAAACAACAUCCCCAGCCAAAAAGGUAAUUUCCAAGAGCACUUCAAAAGAAAUGCUUCAUCUAGUUGACUCAAUUAUUCAUGUAUUUCCAUUCGUCACCAAACGAAAAAAUUAUCAAAAACCAAAUCAAAACGACAACAAAAACAAAGAUCUAGGCGAGAUGCUUACCUUCGAGAUUGCCGAACGGCGUAACGGACGAGGUGCGGGAACGCCACAGUGGAGAACAAAUCUCAGAUCGAUUGCCGCGGAUCGAAUCGCGAGUAGCUCACGGGCCGAGUGCCGCGCUCGUCAGGGAGCUGAUAUUGUAGCCGCAGGCCCGGGAAGGCGCGACGGCGGAGGGGUCUUCCGGGAUGAACUUUAGCGCGCGGCCCGGAAAGCUUCCGCGCGAGUCGGGUCGCGUCCAUCGAGAAUUGUUAGCGCCGCGGCCCGAAAGGCGUCGGCGCGGCAGGUGGCAGACUUACUUCGGCGAUCGUACGAGCGUCGAUAGGGAUAGAUGACGCACCAACGUAAGAGGGAAAGAGAAGAAUAUGGGAGAAAAAAAGAAUAAGAAUAGAUCUGGUGGGGAACUCAGAGAGAGAGAGGGAAGAGAAAGACGGGGGUUGUAGAGAAAGAAAAAAGAGAGCAGAAGUUGGGUUGCAGAGGGAAAAGAGAGAGGGGUUCCACGUCGUAGAGAGCAGAAAAGAGAGAAGAAGAGAGUCAAGCGCCGUUAUUUGGGCCUGCGUCUUAGUUCCACCAAUAAUAUGCGCGGAUCUCGAGCGAGCCGAUUCGCAAUGGUGAAAAAGUCCAACGCAUCAAGAGCUCGCUGUGACUUUUAAAAGCACAGGAGCUGCUACUCUAUAUAUAUAUAUAUUAUCUAUAUAUAUCUAUAUAUAUAAGUAGUAUACUAGAAGUGAGGCUACCUAUGGCUAUCGGAAGCAAGGAACUUCGAUGCUUCCCAGUUCGUUUUCGAUGUUGCGACUUUCGAAUCGAUGAUCGGCUCCGUUAAACCUUGAUCUAGAGUGUUUGAAGUACCUAGAAAAUAAUUUAGAUUUUACGAUAUUAUUUGUAGUGACGAGGGGCCAAAAUCAACGCUUGAAAAUAGAAAUCUUACAAAAUGUAACAAUAUACGACAUAAAAUUUUAAUAAAGAAUACUUGAUCUUGUUUUUAUAGUAGAUAAUAAGGAAUUUUCUAUCAAAAUUCUCACGUGAUUUCGGAUAUUUCUACACCAGUUAAAACUCUGCAAACGCAUUCACUACGGUCAUUGAAAUUCUGCUGAUUUUGAGUCCAUUACGAUCACUAGGCAAAUGAUAUUGAAAAUAAUAAAUCUAUAUUUCUAGGCACUCCAAUACUCUAGAUCAAGUUAAACGAGCCGUCAUCGACGAUUUAAAAAGUCCAACAUCGAAAACGAACUGGAAGGCACGAAGGCUCCGUGCUUCCAUAGCAUAGUAGCCAUUCACUCUAUAUAUAAAUUAUAUAUAUAUAAUAUAUAUAUAUAUAUAAUUUAGAAAUGCUAUAUACUAUCAUAGUCCAAGCGCCUUGCUACUCUAAAUUUUGGCCGUCGAUAAAAGAAUGUGCGGUUAGAUUGAUAGUGAUGCCGCGGUUAAAUUAAUAGUGGUCCCUAGGGUAGUGGGUGUUGUUAAUAGUAUUAUCUACGAUGGAAGAUCAAAGGGGAUAUUUUAAUGGUAGGAAACUACAAAUAGACCAAACGGUUUGCUAACUAUCAACUAUAAGAUGGUAAAAAGCGGACUAUAUAUAUAUAUAAUAUAAUGGAGUAAAAUAAAUAGGCUUAAAUGAACUAUGUCCUCAAACUAGAAUCAAGUAAAGUUUAGUCCGCCAAAUUUAAUUUACUUUAAUUUCUGACUUUACAUUUAAAAAAAAAUUUAUGCUAUCUAGUUUAUUCUUUUUUAGAAACAAUUUAACUAAAUAUAUUUAAUAAUAUAUAUAGUUUCGAACUUGAAGAAACUACAUACAACCACAAUUUGUGCACUUGCUCUAAAAUGGUUGGUAACUUUUCAUAAAUUAUGUAAAUUGUUUAUACAUUAUUGACUAAAUAUAAUGUUCACUGAUAUAAAUAAUUAUUAUAUAUAAUAUAUAUUAUACAUUAAUAAUUGAUAUGUGAAAUAUUACUGCACAGUCUGGCCGCAUGCUAUAUUAAUCAAUUAGAUGGGCAAUAUAUGAUAUUAUUAUAAGCAAUCAAAAGAAUCAACAUCAGAAAUAAAAAUUAAAUUUAAGGAUCAAAAUGCAUUAGAUUUCUAGAUUGGGGAUGGAAAUCUGGCAAUUUAGCCGUACAAUAGCUACUUGGUGGCAUUAGGGAAAUUGGAAUUUUCGUUCAAACAGCUUGAUGCGAUGAGUAGAAAAAUAAUAGUCACUUAGAGUUAAGCGUAAAAUGUCAAUAAAAUUGUAAAAUUAAAGCCACUUUAAAAUGGCACCAAUUGCAUUCUCUUUUUUUUGAAAUUAGCCCUUAAACAUUUUGUUAUAUAAUUGGCAUAUUCACUCUUGAACUUUUUUCACUUUAAUGCUGGUCCUCUAAUUUCGAAUUGUUUUCGUUAGGGAUAUUCGCCUCUGGCUUCAUGGUUGACCUUAAACUUUUUAUUUUAAUUUAACUUUUGUUAAGAAUAUAAUUGACGGCAUCCCUUAGAGCAAUGCAAAGGCUUGACGAUGGUACUGGAGGUCCUAGAGUUCAAAUACUAUGGAUUCACAUUCUUGCUAAGUUUAUUUAAAUGAAAAACAAGCGGGUAGCGUGCAAUGCUAGUUUCUCAGAAAAAAAAAAAAAUAAAAAAAUUUGUUAGAUAUAAAUUUUUUUUUGUAAUUAGAUUCCAAUGUUUAAACAACUCAUUCUAGAGCAAACUAUGUGGGCCAUACUAACAUAAAAUAAAAGUGGAAGAGCUGAUUUUUUUUUUUUCAACCCUACAAAAGAGCUUUACAUUAAAUAAACUAAACUUCGAAACCCAGGGGGGGGGGGGGGGGGGUGGGGGCGGGGGGGGGGGGGGGGGGGGGGUGGGGGGGGGGGGGGGGGGGGAAAAUAUAAUUAAAGAUUAAGGGCUGUGUUUUGGAUUCGCUUUUUUUUUCAGCAUCCUGAAAAAUCGGAAUCGGAAUGGAUAAUCCGUUGUGAGUAGUUUGGUAGGCGGAGUCCAUUCCGAAUUCCGAUUCCAAGAGUGAAUGUGACAUCCCAAUCACCACUUUUCAAUCCGGCCAUAAGAGACUGAUUGAAGUUGAAUCCGACGGAAUGGAUAUUAUUCGAAUUAAUUUUCAUUUUUCAAUUUUUUAAUAUAUAAAUGAUUAAAAUUUAAAAUUAAAAUAUAUAAUUUUAAAUAUUAAUUUAAACCUAAAUUAAAAAAUUAAAAUUUAAUCAAAGUAUUUCGAUCUAACUUAUGAAUAUUGAAUUUAAAUUAAUUUUAAUUUUAUAUAAAAUUUUAUUCAAUUUUAAUUUUCAAACUUAAAUUAAAUUUAUGGAUUCAAUUAAAAUUUAAAUGUAAUUUAAGUUUGAAUUGAAUCAUUAAAAUUUAGUUUCAUAUUUGAAUAUCCAUCAACUCAAAAAUUAUUUUUUUAAAAAAAUAGAUUUAAAAUUGACAUUGUUUCAAAAUUUUGAUGUAAUUUAAUAAUUUUAUUCUAUGAAUCUGAAUUUAACGUAUUAAUAUAUUUAUAAGAUAUGUUAGUAUACUAAAUUUGAUUACUUUUUAUAUCCACCUGAACCAAACACUGGAUAAUGGGAAUGAUAUUCGAUUCGAAAUUCGGUGAUGAACCAAACAGAAUUAGAUAAUUAAGUCAUUUGAUCCGAUUCAUCUUAUUUGAUUCGAUUCAUAUUCCGACUCCAACUUCGAACCAAAACCCUAACUAGUUGCCUCUCGCUGGCGCAGUGAAAACAUUUCCUGAGGGUAAACCAAACACUUUAGGUGAACAUAAUAUAAUGCAAUAAAGGGCAAUUAAUGUUUGGAGACGUAGCACAAACUUCAAUCAAAUUCGAAUCUCGUAAGCAAAUUAAGUAUGAUCCUCUUUACUGGAGGCUAUCAAUGGAAAGCAUUCUAUGCGAACUCACUAGCAAGUUAUAAAAAAGGAGAAGGAUGAUCCAUCUUACUGGGGAGGCCGUCUCAGUUCCCAAACGAGCAUAAGCUUCUUCAUUACUAUCAUGCUGUAAAAAGCACUUCUGCAAGGCUUGAAAAAGUAGAGCACAACAUCCAACAUGGGUAGAUAAGUUUCGAAAGAGAAGAAGUUUUCAUUAAAAAAGAGUUUGCAUCAUAGAACUUAAUGAAUAGCAACCAAUUACCAGAAGGCUCAAAAUUACCAUUUACUAAGGUAACAAGCGCAAAAAAUGAAAUAGUACAAAGCCAAAUGAACCAAAAAACUUCCGUUCCACCCCCAUCUAAUAAGGCAUACUUUUCGAAAAUAUUGCGGCAAUAGUAUACUUCACUCUGCGAAUGUUCUGUAGUUUUCUUAUACAUGAAAAAUAGUAUAAGGGAUCUAUUGUAAAUAAUUCUACAAUUUUCCACCCCGCGCCGUAAAAGUGAAAUCUGAGAACAACGAAUAAAACCUUUAAUUGUUAUCCGUCGCGUAAGAGGAGUAUUCUCAACUUUAACAAAGAGACAAUUAUAAACUGGUCGGUGCAAGGUGGACAAGUUUAUAGCCUAUUUGCGACCCCCAACCCCUGAUACACAAUGUAACAUACGGUUUCUUCCCGUCUGUUUAGAAUAAAAAGUUUCAGGCUUUCUGAAACUCCACGCAAUAUGUAUACUGUUUGUGAACGCAUCUCUCAUAUUCUACAUAAACAAGAGCAUUACAAAGCUAAAAAAGAAAAUCUCGUACACACAUGUGCAUAGAAUAAAAGGUUAUAAUCGUCAAAUGCAAUAACGGUAGAACCCUGCAGAUCAUCUAUCAACAUAAUAACCCAUAUAAUCAGAAUUUUAAUUCUCUCCCCAGAAAUCUGUUGCUCUUCAGUUAGUAACGCAUUUUUUUAGUGGGGGUGUCAUCCAAUUUCAUGUUGAGAAAGUUGGUUUUAUAUUAAGCAAAAACUUCUCUAUUGGGGACUUCCUGUAAAUAGAAAGGAUACAUGAAGGGUAAACGAUGUAUAAAAAUUCUCAUUUUGCAGGAUCUAUGUGUGAACGGAUCUGUCUAUCUCAAAGAAAACUGCAAAAAUACUAGAAGACAAAAAUAGCACACCGUUCUUGGUUUCAUAAUGUUGCAGCAUAGCUAUGAGAGGACUUCAUUUGUUGGUUCUGUAUAAAGAACUGAAUCAGAAUGAAAUUCCCAGAAAAUAUGAAGUAUUUUUUGCAAUUUAGUAAAAUUUCGAAUGACUUACCACCAAAACAAGCCUCUGGAUGGACAGAAAGAAUUGUUCUGCAAUGCAUACCUGAAGACCACAUGUUACAGAUGAAGCAAAAAUGAAUUAAUUGGUAGGAAUAGGUCCAUGUACCAUAAUGGCAGGGGGAUUUCCUCUGUAUUCAAAAAAAGUAAUAUUAAAUAUCAACACACCCUCUAUAGUCUAUAGUUGUAAAUAACAGACACCAGACACACCGUUUAUAACAACAUUUCCAAGUGAAAUGCCUUACCAUGCAUAAUCCAUUAAAAAAAACUAAAUUAAGCCUGUUAAGCAAUGGUUCAAUAUGGAAUUUCAAUUUGCCCUUACUUGAUUUAUCUCAUCAUGUACAGUAAGUCUCUAAAGGCUAAAGGGGUAAGCUUUAAAGCAGUUGUCAGACAUAGAUGGCCUCUUACACUAAAGGGACUUAGAAUGAUUAAAGAUAUUUACAAGGGAAUAAUCAUAAUUUCAACUUCAGGAGGGUAAUAUGAUAUUCUCUGGUAGGAUCCAGAGUUUACUAUUGUAAGUUUGAUAUACUAAUGGUAAAAUCAAGCAGCUGAAAGUAUAAGAAUAUCUAGGCAAAUUACUGCAUCAUGUUCUACUUGAUGAAGCAGGAGUCUCAAACUUACCACUGGAGGCUUAAACGGAUAGUCAAAAGAAAACGCAGCGAUUAGCUUUGUAGGUUAAACCUUCAUAUGGGAUUCCUUGCUCUUCAAUAGUACCGAAAAAAAAAGAGAAAAUGUUCUGCUUCAGAAACCGCUGAUACUCUGCAUCUAUCAUCUGUAACGCAGAGAAGACAAAACUAGGAAAAGACUACAGAAUAAAUUCGAAUAACAGAGAAGAGAAGUGAGCCAUGCUGAUUUUAUAUUUAGACAUUAAUAAACAUAAAAACAACAUUAACAUCAAACUAUAAAGGAAAUGUUAUUCUUUACAAUAUAAUUCUACAACAAUAAUGACAAAAUUACGGCGGUUUAGAAUUUUUCUGUGCCUUGUGAAUACAAACAAUCAACUCGUGAAUUGAUACAUUUUAACGGCAUUAAAUAUAGCACCUCUUGUGAAAUUUGCUGUAAUAUAAGCAUUACUCAAAACUAUAAAUCCGUACACGAAUUCUCCAAUUAGAUGAACCAAUUCAAGAGACUCCUAAUAAUAUAUAGAGAACCAAAGCACCCAAGUUAAGCAAAGUAUCUGGUUAUGUUCAGAUGAUGAAUAUUUGUUCAACAUAUUCUGCCUUGUUUACUCAAAGGGACACUGUUAAUAAUUGAUUUCGACAGGCUUGUUUUUCAGAACGAAUAGCAUGAUUCUUUUCUCGUAGCUGCUACAAAUUACCUCAAGGUACUCCUUAAAAAGAUCAGGAAACUAAGGUUUCACAACACAUAAGACCAAGAGCGUGCAUGUUAAUCACACAAAAAAAUCUCAUAAACACCAAGUAUCAUACGCUAAACAUUUUCUAAGUACCAAACAGAUAUACUACUACUGAGGCAUUUUCUUUUUCAAUUAUGUAAACUUUUUAAAUAAAUACCAUUAACUAUAAAGAUUAUUAAACAAGGAACUACGAAUCAAUAACACAAAACAGCAUAACAAGGGCUACCACCGCACUUUGCACGUGAUUCCAAUCCCAAUAAACGAUAUGAUAAAUCUCAUCUGUAAUAUUAACCAGAAUAAAUGACAUAAUUCAGACUGCUAAGGUUAUAUCAGUCUGGGUUUCUCCGUUAAUUCGCCUCUAAAAGGCAUUCGAAUGUUUUAACCUAAAUUUAACGCAUCUCGUCAAAUCCAUCGAGGCGAGCCAGAUUUACAAAAAGCACGCAUGACGAGAAAUCAAAACUUCCUUUCUGGGCCUGCAACGAGUUUGAAUCGCGGAUCCAAAAUUGAGCCCACAAAACGAAAUUCAAAAAAAUAGAAAAAAGGGUGCGACGCGAUCGAUCCGAUCCGGAUUCCCGAACCUCUGGAGACGGAGCGGCGUCGACGGGUUGUCGAGGUUCUUGCUGCUCGGCGCGACGCGCGGCGCCGCGCGCUCGGCGUGGCGUUCCGUACUCCAUCUCCGGUCUCCUCCUGCGAUCGAAUUCGAUCGAUCCCUCUUCGAAUCGGGAUUAUAAUAGUAUGAGAAGUGUAAAUGAUCUCGAGAGAAGCGCUUAAGAUGAGAUUGAGCCGAGAUCUAUCGAGAGAGGAUCGAGAGAGAGAGAGAAAGAGAGAAUGGGAUUGGGACAAUUGUCGAGUAAAGAAAAGCACGAGGAAAUGAGGGAACGGAAAAGUAAGAACGUGGUUCCACGUGUUUUACCUUAUCCUUUCUUUUUUCUUUUGUCCAAUUGUCGAAAAUUUUUUUAUUUUUUUUGGGUACUUCAUAUAUCAAUCUUGGUAUUAGUUUUUUUUUAAUUAUUAGCUAUGUGAUGUUAAAAUAUACUCUUUUUUUUUUCGUCAGCUUUUUUUAUUAAUAUUUAUUAAUUAUAAAUAUAUAUAAAAAAAUUUUAGAUAACAAUCCAUUUAGAUUUACCGGAAUAUUCCUUUAAUAUUUUCUUAGUUUAACUUUAUCACUGAUUUAAACAAAAAAAAAAUCUGACGACAGAAAAAAAAUAAAUAUCAUAGAAUAUUAAAUUAAUAUAUUUAAACGCAUAUAAUACUAAAAUGAAAAAGUACUAAACACAUAUUGGUAUUUAAAGUUUAUUUAUUUUUUAAAUAACCAACAGUACUAAUGCCGGUUUUGUUCAUUAUAAGAAAUAAUACUUGAGGUAAAAAGAAAAAUAAAAAAAAUAACAGCAAUAAAGAUACAAAUCAAUCAUUUGGAAUCAUCACCAAUGUAAUUUGCCCUAGUUUUUGAGAGGAUAUAUAAACCAUAUUGGCUCUUACAGUUUAUCAGGAUGAGAAUAGUUUUUUUUAUAAUUAUUGUAUGUAGUGCUGUGUGUGUUUACAAUAUUGUGCAGCAUAUUAAAAUAAGGGAUAAAUAAGAUAGAUGUAGAUUUUUUUUAAAAUAAUAUAAUCUUUAACAUCUUUGGCAUGGGACUGGUAUGUAUAUCAAAAAUAAAAAAUACAUUGCAACGUUGUUAUAAAACUAUAAUAUUGUACUCAGUUAAACGCGAAUCGAUAUUUUGUUAUCAAUAAAUUUGCACUAAGUUAAAUAGAAUCGAAUCAUCAUAAUCUGACUUGAUUCCGACGAUUAUUAUAUUAUCUAAUUAGACUAAACUUAAUUUAUUUUCAAUUAAAAAAUUAAUUAGAGAUAUAUUCGGCCCUAAUAUUUCACUUACCUUCUAUAAAUUAAAUUUAAAAUUGANNNNNNNNNNNNNNNNNNNNNNNNNAAACACGUGGUCUCCAACGGCAAACUCUAUAUCUUUCCUCCGUUUGUCGGCAUAACUCUUUUGCCGAGAUUGCGCCGUAGCAAGUCGUUGGCGAGCAAGACGAACUUUCUCCUCCGCCUCCCGUACUACAUCGGGGCCAAGACCCGCCCUCUCGCCCACAUCGCUCUAAUGAAUUGGGGAGUGACACUUCUUUCCAUAAAGAGCCUCGAAUGGCACCAUCGCGAUACUUUCUUGAUAACUGUUAUUGUACGCGAACUCUGCCAUCGGUAGAUGAUCAUGCCAAUUGCCCUUAUAAUCCAGUACACACGCUCGAAGCAUAUCCUCAAGUAUUUGUAUCGUCCUCUCCGAUUGACCAUCACUUUGAGGAUGAAAUGCCGUGCUAAAGUCGAGCCGCGUGUCCAAAGCCUCCUGUAGGCUCCUCCAAAAGUGAGAGGUGAACCUCGGGUCCCGAUCAGACACGAUAGACACGGGCAUCCCAUGAAAUCUCACAAUCUCGUCGAUAUAUACUUGAGCCAAUUUGUCCCCCGACCAUGUAAUAUGAAUCGGUAGGAAAUGCGCCGACUUCGUCAACCGGUCCACUAUAACCGAAAUUGCAUCGUGCCCACCUUGAGAUCGUGGCAAUCCGGUCACAAAGUCCAUAGCGAUAUUCUCUCAUUUCCAAACGGGUAUAGGUAAGCUUUGUAAUUUUCCCGCCGAAAAAUGCUGCUCCGCUUUUACUUGUUGGCAAGUAAGGCAUUGCACCACAAACUCCCCAAUGUCUUUCUUCAUGCCCGGCCACAAAUAGUGCAACUUCACAUCUUGAUACAUUUUGGUGCCGCCCGGGUGUAUACUAUAAAGGGAUUGGUGCGCUUCUUGCAUGAUCGCCCUGCGGAUGUCCUUAUUCUUAGGCAUACACCAACGGUUUCUAAACCGGAGUGCGCCGUCGGUCCCAAUGCCAAAAUCAUCGGCAGUACCGCUCUCAACUUUCCCGUGCACCUUUUGGAGAUAUUCAUCGAAAGCUUGCAACUCUUUAAUCUUCUCCAAUAGUGUCGGUUGAACAACCAACGCCGCAAGUGUCGCCGGCACUCCCGGCGCUACUACUUCCAAUCNAGAGAGAAAGAGAGAGAGAGAGAGGGUGGAUUGCCAGAGGAAAAGAGAGAGAGUGGGUUCACGUGUAGAGAGAGGAGAGAGAGGAACGGCGCUAUUUGCCGUUCCGUCUAGUUCACCCUUUUACUGCGCGCGGAUCUCGAGGCGAAGCGAUCCAACGGUGCAAAAAUGCCAAGCACAAGAGCUCCUGUGCUUUUAAAAGCACAGGAGCUCUACUCAUAUAUAUAUAGAGUCCGGCUGGGAUACUAUCGAUAGUACCAAGGGCUUAGUGCUAUCGAAUUUUCCACCGUUAGAUUUAACCAUUUCAUUAUUUUUACCCGUUAGAUUAUACUAUUCAACCAAUCACCCACUCAACCCUAGGGGGCCCAUAUUAUCCUAACCGCACAUUUCUCAAUUCAAGGGCUAAAAAACAAAUAGUACAAAUAGCUUUGUGCUAUUGAUAGUAUUCCAGUCUAGUUCUAUAUAUAUAUAUAUAUGUGUGUGUGUGUGUGUUAAAACAUUUUUCUAUUAUUUCAUAAGGACUUUUUUAUUUUCUUUCCAGUGCAAUUUUUCUGUGUUUAUAUUUAUUUUCUUCUCUUUUGAGACAAUCAUCUUUGCGUUGUACUAUUAUGUUCAUUUUUGAAAGAGUUUUUAAUAUUUGUACAAAUGUUUUUGUUCACGUUAUUAUGAAAGAUUUUUUAUUUUUUAUUUUUUUAUCUAUCUUCGAAGGAUUUUUAAGAUUGUUCAAAUUUUUUUUAAUAUUUUUGAAGGAUUUUUGAAAGAUUUAAUUUUUUUUUAUUUUUAGUGUUGUGUUUAAUAUUUUUGGAAGGUUUUUGAAAAAUUUUAAAUUUUGCAAAUAGAGCGCUAAUCUUUCGCAUCUAUAGAAUUACUAUAUUGUUCGAAUUUAAAGUGCAAAUCUUUUCAAAUCUAUAGGAUAUUUUAUUUCUUUCGGAGUGCUAUUUUUUAUUUUCUAUUUAUUUUUAUUUUCCUUUCUUUUGACCCAAUCAUCUUAUGUUGUAUUAUUAUGUAAAUUUCUGACGAAUCUUUUAUGUUGUUUGGAUUUUACUUGUUUACAUUAUUUUGGAAUAAAACUUCUUUUUUUAUAUGUUUCUUUUCGAAGAAUUUUUAAUAUUGUUUAGACUUUUAUAUAUUUUUGAAGGAUUUUUUAAAAAAAUUAAUACUUCCUCAAGGCUGAGACAUGAAACACAUCAUGUAAUAGAUUAUGUUCUACUGGAGGUGACUGAGGAGAUGAGCUUACUGAGCAACUGGUUCGAAUUCUUGCACGAAAGGUAAAAAAAUUGCGAAACCGAGUUAUUGCUUAUGUGAAGGUAUUAUGGAGUUAUCAGGCGGAGUGAGAGGCGACAUGAGAAUCUAAGCAUGCGAUGCGAGAAUCUUCCCUACUUAUUUGAGCAGCUAACGUGAUAUACAUUUUAAGUUUCAAGGACUAAACUUUUAAAGGAGGAGAAAUAUAAUGAAUCUUAGCAAAUAGACAAGGUUGAAGUGUCAUUUUUUUUAGUCAGUAUUUUUCUACAUUAAUGGAUUAAGCUUGCUCGGCUCAUUAUGAGUUCGAGCCGAACUUUACUUAAAGCUCGGAAAAUAAAACAAGUUCGAGCCGAGUAAAUUAAAGCUCAGUUCGAGCUCGCUCGGCUUAUAGCUCGGCUUGUGCUCAGCUUGCGCUCGGCCGAGCGAGCAAACGGUCGGGAUAAAGGCUGAGAGAGAGAGAGAGAGAGAGAGAGUUAGUUCUACUGUUUGCUCUUCCCUAUACCUACCUCGGGUGCACCUGACGAACGGAAUUUCUAUCGUUUUUUACGUUUUUUCGGGGAGUUUUGAUACAUAAAGUUGAAAUUAGGAAAUGUUAAUUUAGAACUCAAAAUUUCUAAUAAAAACACAGAUAAAGCUCGGUUUUGCAGAGGUUGAGUUAGUUCGNCUUCCUCGGUCCGAGAAUAUACCAAUACGUCGUCAAUGAAUACCACGACGCACCGGUCCAAUAGCGGACGGAAGACUCUAUUCAUUAAGUCCAUGAACGCCGCCGGGGCGUUAGUAAGCCCAAACGGCAUCACCGUGAACUUAUAAUGGCCAUACCGUGUACGGUACGCCGUCUUGUGCACAUCCUCGGGCCGUAUCUUCAACUGAUGAUACCUCGAUUGAAGAUCAAUCUUUGAAUAUACCCUUGACCCCUGCAACUGAUCAAAUAAGUCAUCGAUCCUCGGCAACGGGUACUUAUUCUUCACUGUGACCUUGUUCAACUCGCGGUAAUCCACGCAGAGUCGAAGUGUGCCGUCCUUCUUCUUAACGAAUAGCAUCGGAGUUUCCCAGGGUGACGCACUCGGCCUCACAAAGCCUUUGUCGAGCAAGUCUUGCAACUGUGCCUUGAGCUCCUUUAGCUCCGCCGGUGCCAUUCUAUACGGAGCCUUCGAAAUUGGAGCCGCCCCGGGUACCAAGUCGAUAACGAACUCGACCUCCCGGUCCGGUGGCAAACCCGGUAACUCCGCCGGAAACACAUCCGGAAGCUCACACGCCACCCGAAUACUACUAAGUUCCGGGUGCUCCUUCUGGGCUUCUACCAUGGUCGCCAAAUAGGCCUCACAACCACCCUUUAUCAUUUUCCUCGCCUGUGCCGCCGACACGGUCGCCGCGAAAAGCGAGCUUUUUGCUGCCUGAUACACUAGCUCCUCUCGAUUAGGCUCAUGAAACGUGAUCACCUUACUUUCACAAUCUAUCACGGCAUAAUACUUGGAGAGCCAGUUGGUCCCCAAGAUCACGUGAAAACCCCACAUUCGGUUUAACACCAACAGAUCAAUCGGCAUGACCGAAUCACCUAUCUGCACUGGGCACGCUACACAUUCUUCAUGAACAUGGAAAGUAUGCCUGACCGAAUUUACCGUCCAGUAGUCAUAAUGAUGCAUGAUCUUAAUGCCAUGAGUCCUAGCGAAUGAUGCAUUAAUGAAUGAAUGCGAUGCACCUGUGUCGAGUAAAGCUCUAGCUCUGGUGCCUCUGAUCAAGAUAAUACCUGCCACGAUGUCGUCGGGGACAGGAAUUGGCUCCUCCUGCACCUGAGUGGCAAAAACCCGCCCACUCGGUGCCCUCGAUGCCUCCGGCUGACGCGAUGAAGACGAACGCCCAGCCGACAUAGCCGGUGGUAACCCCGCCUGCUGUCUCGGGAUAUAAGGAACUGAUGCCGAGGUAGGCGCAGAUGAACCCCAGCUCGGGCACUCUCGUGACAUGUGCCCGGGCUGGCCGCACCUAAAGCACUUUCCCUCGCGCUGCGAGCAUACCGGCGGCCGAUGAUCACCGCCGCAAAUGACACAACGGAACGGCCUGCCACUCUUCGACUGCUGCCGGGGAUACCGAGGGGGUUUCUUUGUGUUUGACCGGCCCUCGGCACCGCCCGCCGCCCGCUUCUUCCCCUUGUCCCUUGACUCCGCCAUUGCCUCGCGCUCCUCUCGCAUGUGGGCGCUGCUGUGCUUCGCCCACAGGGCUCGAUCAAAGACCUCCGCAAAGGUCGUCAACUUGAGGAUUUUCACCUUCUCGUAAAUCCUCGGUUGGAGUCCUCGUAAGAACCAAUCAGCCCGGUCCGGGUCAUCACGAACAACCUCCGGGACGCAGUCGAUAAGGUGGGAGAACUCCUGCUCGUAAUCUGCCAUAGAGCGGUCCCCCUGUCGCAACUUGCGGAAUUUCUCUUGCAACUUCCGCUUCACCGUAUCGGGGAAGUAGUUGGCGAACACCGCCCUCCAGAACUCCUCCCACAACAUAGGCGGAAGAUCGGGCGAUCGAUCCCGCCUAACACGCUUCCACCACACCUUCGCCGCCUUCUCAAGGCAAUGUGUGGCGAGGUACACCUUGUCCUUCUCCAAGGUGUUAAGAUCCUCAAANAUAAGCUCGCUCGAGCUCGGCUCGUUUCCACCCCUAGUCGGAAAGGCGGUUGCGCGGGAAAAAAAAGAAAAAAGAGAGAGAGAGAGUGAGGCGAGCUUGGUUUCAAGCAGCGAGUCGAGCAUGCGUGAGUGUGUCUUUCGGUGUUUCGAAGUCCGGUUAUUAUCAUAAUAUUUUUAUUAUUAUUAUUUUCAUUUAGACUAUUUUGAUAAAUUUUGUAGAAAUUGAGAGUUCAAAAUUGAUUUCUAUAUGUUUUAAGAACUGAUUUCGCGUGAUUUUGACGAGAGAUUUUUGAGCUACUCUAGGGUGUUGUCAUUGUUGUUCAAGCUAGGAGAGCAGUAGUGGAUCGCCUUGCUAUUCUGAUAACUGUUCCGUUCUAUGAAUUUGCGAUAUACAUGGAUUCCAUAUUGUCAAAAUUGGUGAACUAACUUUUAUAUCCAUAUUAUAUUAUUUAGCUUAUGAGAUGAACUAUUGACAUAGUUGAGAUAAAGUAUUUUGACACCUACUUGUAAAGUAUAUUAAGAUAUGCAUAUUUUUAGGAGUGGCAGAUAGAGUGAGAUUAUAACUGUAUUUGGGAUACUAUAAUAGUAUUGUCAUGAUCUAUUUAAUCAUCGCAUUUGACUAUAGCCUACAUAUUAUUUUGAGCUUGACAGUGAUAUUAUACUCGGUUAGGGUAGCGCUCCGCGAGUGCACUCCGGAGGUUAGGUUAUGAGAUAUUAUUAUGGUAUGGACUAGAUAGUAGCUUGCGUGAUAGUGGACCACUAUAGGUGGAUGCUGGACACGAGGUGAUGUAGGCUAGACCUAACUGUUAAGUCAGACACUAUAAUUGGGUAUUUUUGCAUUAUUUUUUUCAGUAUCUAAUCAAUUGAUUAAUGAAAUAUAUAAUUCAUAGUUUUUAGUUAUAUUGUAGAGACAUGAUAGUAGUAUUUGCUUUUAGCAAUUAUUUAUAUCAGUCCCUUCUUUUUUCUACUGCUUAGUUAUUUACUAUUUCUACCUCUUAUGAACCUAGUGGUGUAGACCAUCGGCAAUGUCGACCAUACCCACUAAGGACUAUGGAUUAUAGUUCUCAUAUCUUUCUUAUUAAUAUUUUAUUUCAGAGCCUUCAGCACCAGUGACUGAUCGACAUAAGGAAAUUACGGAUAGUUAGCAUCUUUUACCCAGUUUGUGCGUGUAGCUGGACAAUCUAACAGUGUAUAUAGCAGUUUGUACAGUAUUUUAAGGUUAAAUUUAUUAGAGAUGUUGUACCAUUUUGAGAACUUGUAUGGUGAUAAUUGUAUAUUUAUAGUGUUGCUAUAGUACAUAUUUUUUAUUUUACUUUGAUACCUACUGUUGUUAGAAUUUAGUUAAUUAUUUUUGGACAAUCUCUGUUGACGCUUCAUAUAUAUAAGAUGUAUCCUUAUGCAUGCAGCAGAUUUGUUGAUGUAAUUCAGGCUUUCGCUGUAAUCCGGGACGUAACAAAUUAUAUGUUUAUUUUUGAAGAAUUUUUAAUAUUGUUUGGAAUUUUACAUAUUUUUGAAGGAUUUUAAAAAAUUUCUAAUUUAUGUUUCUUUUGAAUAUUGUGUUUAAUAUUUUUGAAAGGUUUAUAAAAACAAGUAUUUUGAAUUUGGGUUUGUGGACAAACCCCUUUUUUAGCAGGAAAAGAAUAUGGCCAAUUUGCAUAAAAAAUUCACUAGUUUUGUGCUUUUACAAAAGUAGGUCACCUAUUUUGAUUUUGCAGAUUCGGGCCGGAUUUUCAGCCGCUUGACCAAAAUGCCCUUCGUCUAUAUUCGCGUCUCGUGUAUUCCCUGAGAUACGUAUACUCUAACGUACGGUCCUAGCGGACAUUAAAUACGCCCCUUGCGCUUUUCGCAACGUCACUCUCAUCGAAACCCGAACCAAAUCAGCCCCGCUAUUCGCCAGCCCCGGUAUUUGCUGUUCAGCUUUAAGAAAUUAAAUAGUUGACAAGCUACAUGGCAAGAAAUACGCUGCCGGCAACAGGAAUAAUAGUGCAACGCUAAGAAGCAACGCGAAGAAAAAUGGUGGAACAACACUUCUAACAGUGCACCUUUCGGCAGGUACCAAUGCGACGUUGGCGUUCAAUCUUCUCCCUCACCAGGGCAACAUCCCACUCCCUUGGAAGGCAGUCAAGCAGUCUUCUUCCUAAACUGUAAGAAGCAUAGGGGAGUUUAUUCCAGCACUCGUUUGCAGAGGAGAAGUGGAAGAAGCGUGGUCGAGGGACAUGGCUUUAGGGUUUGGAAGUGGAGAAGAGAUGAAGGAGGAGGGGGUUCCGCAAAGGUAGUAGUGCAAAAAAAAAGGCUCUAUGUGGUGUAACAUAUUCCUAAGUAGUGCAAUGGUUUUAAGAAAAUGGUGCAACGAGUCUAUAACCAGAGAAAAAAAUUCUUAAAUUAGGUGUAAUAUUAACAUUAAUGGUGCAAUAUUUGGCAAACAUUAAUACUGCAACAAGUCCUUAUGUCACACCCCGAACCCGAUCCUAUUUGGCCGGUUCGAGCGCGUCAAACAGACGCCGAACGGACAAAGUCUCCCCUGUCCGCCCAAGGCUCAACAUCCUAUACAAAUAGAGUAUGNUAGUCCCUAACCACAUUAGAGACAUAUUACAUUAACCCAAUCAUAAGCUUUCGCUAUACAUUGUUCAACGUCACUCACGUUUCCUAGGUCCUUAAGGUCUUUCCAUUCCUAAGGGUCUCUAGGUCCAUCCUAUACUUUCACCUUUUGGCUCUUUACGCUCUGAUACCAUCUUAUCUGUCACGCCCCGAACCCGAUCCUAUUUGGCCGGUUCGAGCGAAUCAAACAGACGCCGAAAGAACAAAAUCUCCCCUGUCCGCCCAAGGCUCAACAUCCUGUACAAAUAGAGUAUGAAUUUUGCACCAAACGGAAGCAUACAUAAUGGCUUGCACGAGGGCAAGCAAUAGCCAAUAGUGAAAGAAUCUACUAAACAUCAUACAGGUAUUUGAUUAAAUUUAAAUCACAUACAUGCAUCCAACUAUAAUCAAGUUCUUUCACAUUUUUGCAUCAUUUCUUGUUACAUCUCAUUUCUUCCAAAGUAUAACUUUUGACAUUUAAAAUAAAUAUCCUUUACAUUAUUCAUUAGAGCAAGUUCAUGAUACUAAAAUCAUCAAAUACAAAAGAUGAUAGUAAGGGUAUGCGACUACAAAAUGAUAACCAUCUCGGGCGGUCUCUACCUAGGGCGCGAUGCCCUUACCGCGAUCAUCAGCCGGCUCGCUUGGUCCCGGCUCUGUGGAAAUAGUGGGGUGAGAACUACAACAAAGUUUCCAGUGGAUUCGGCAACCAACCACGCCGACUAUCCCACUAGAUCUAAUCAGGCAUAAUAGAAGAAAGAAUAGAUAAUAACCAACUAACAAAUGCAGAUAAUAUGCCUGAACGAUAAGUAAAACUAUGCUCGAUAGAAUGCAUAUGAUGAAUGCAAAAUUAACUUUUCAUUACCCAAUCUCAUGGCUAGCCCGUAGGUUUCGCCCUCACAAACUCACCAACCCAAAUUCCUAUUGUCGGGGAGAUAACCGCUACGACCCGACGGGACCGCCCUCUGGGGAGAUAACCGCUACGACCCAGUGAUGACAACUCCGGAGCACAUCGCCCGAGGGGGAGCUACCGCCCUCGAGCAAGGACUAUUAGGUGAGUACGAUCAAUCCUUAACUUUAAGGAUUCCAAAUUCAAUCCAUUCCUUGACUUCAAGGAGAACCAUGUUCAUAUGACCCUUUAACUCUAAGAUGUAUAUGUCAUAUUGUCUCUAACCCAAUUUACUUGCAUCCUCUAACCUCAACUAGUGUCAUGUACACUACUUAUUCUUGUUCCUGGUCAUUGACGCCACAAUUAUUUUCUAAGUGCUAUAUUCUUGUACUCAUGCCACACUCUAUGUCUAUGUCAACAUGUCACAUUUGUUUACUAACCCUUCUAGGUUCUUGUCCCUUGUUAUGCAUAUAUAUAGGGUUAACAAUUCUCAUUCAUUUACCAUAAUUUCUCAAGCAUUAAAACUCAUAUCAUGCAAUGGAAGCUCUCAAUUAACCCUACUAUGCAACAUGCUCAAUAUAAAUACAUAUGCUCAAAUAUGACACUUUAAAUAUAAAGAGAUUUCCGAUGUCCUUGGAAUGCACCACCCACCUUAGAUGGUUACCAGGAUGCUAUGGUGAAUUUCUUGGAAUUUUUGAAACCCUAGUUCGCGUGCUGCGGCUAUCUGUACGGAAAAUGACGUUUUUGUCAAUAACUUUGCGUACACUCAUCAGAUUGCCGAACCGAGCGUUCCAACGCGUUUAAAAUACCCUCAAUUAGGUUUCUACAUGAUCAAAAUAGAUCAAAACCCAACUUGGGCAAAACCCCUCUUUGGGAUGCCCUGACAUGUCAUUUUUGUAUUUUUCCUAGAUUGAUCUUGUCGCUAAGCAAAGAAUAGCUUAGAAUCACUUGGGAAGCUCUCUAAUAAGGUUUCUAAGCUUUUAGAAUCAUCCCUAGGGCAUCUACUUUGAGCCCUAGUGAUCCACCAUGAGAGCUCCUCAAGAAAGCCAUGCUUUCAUGGUGUUCUUGGCUCUAGGAGGUUUCUAAAGGAUAAAACAAGCUCAAAACUCCUAAACAUAGGGCUAAAACCCAAACCCUAGACUCAACUUGCAAAGAGACUCACCUUUGCCCAAGCCCUAGCAAGCUCCUUCUUGUUGGAGAGCCACAAGAUCCUCUCAAGCCUCCAAAACCACCUCUUCAAGCUUCUUGUCCACCUUCUCCACCAAACCCUAGAGUUAUAGAGAGAGAAAAGAGAGGGAAAAUGAGAGAGGGGGAUGUGGGUGGCUGUGGGAGGGAGAGAGAGAGGUGUUGGGUUGUUAACAUGUUGCUACAAUUGCAACUAGGCCCUCCAACUCUCUAUUCUGCAGCAGAUUCAUCCCUGCUGCCAAAACUGCUGUGUACCGGUACGCGGGUUUGUGUACCGGUACGGACCUGCGCAGAGGCCCAAACCCGAGAGCAAACUCUCUCGGUUUCGCAGGGUGUGUACCGGUACACGGGGUCCCGUACCGGUACACCACCCAGGCUGCCCAAACCCAAGAGCAGCCUGUGCUCGGGUCGCUUGCUGUACCGGUACAACCACCAUGGUAUACCGGUAUACAAUGCUCCAGAAUGCUGUUUUGGUUUCGACCCGACUCUACUUCGCAUCGUUCGAUGCCAAAACCAUUCCAACACUUCUUUAACUCAUUUUUGCCCUUCCAAACUUGUUGGAAUGCAAAAAAAAUGAAACUCACCAAUUCAUUUCUCUCGACACUUUAACCAAUUUGAUUAAAGUUCGAUUAUCGUUUUUCGGGUUUCGAUAUGUUACAUUCUCCACCCCUUAUAUUUAGUUUCGUCCGUGAAACUAGUUUAAUUUAAGCCCGAACUCGACUCGUACCUUAGUUCAGCUCGUCGAAGAGAUGAGGGUAAUGCUCCCGCAUUGCGCUCUCGAGCCCCCAAGUAGCUUCCCGGUCGUCGUGGUUACACCAACGAAUCUUUACGUACGGAAUCUUACGAUUUCGUAGUUUUCUUACUUCUCGAUCGAUGAUGUACGCCGGAAACUCCUUAUAGGUCAUGUCCUCUUGAAUCUUGGACGGUUCAAACGAGAGAACAUGAUCGGGGUCGUGAACAUACUUGCGGAGAUUCGACACGUGGAACACAUCGUGCACUCCUGCAAGUCUUGGUGGUAAUGCUACUCGGUAUGCCACCGCGCCGACCCGUUCCAGUAUUUCGAACGGUCCAAGGUACCGGGGACUUAGCUUCCCACGGAUUCCAAACAGCUUAAUCCCUCUCAUCGGCGAAAUCAUUAGAAACACGUGGUCUCCAACGGCAAACUCUAUAUCUUUCCUCCGUUUGUCGGCAUAACUCUUUUGCCGAGAUUGCGCCGUAGCAAGUCGUUGGCGAGCAAGACGAACUUUCUCCUCCGCCUCCCGUACUACAUCGGGGCCAAGACCCGCCCUCUCGCCCACAUCGCUCUAAUGAAUUGGGGAGUGACACUUCUUUCCAUAAAGAGCCUCGAAUGGCACCAUCGCGAUACUUUCUUGAUAACUGUUAUUGUACGCGAACUCUGCNAUUCUUUGCUAAAUAGUGUAACAAGUUCGUAAAUAGUCCAAAUUUUUCUCAACAUUUGGUACAUCUAGCAUUUUUGGUAGAAAAUAGAAACCAAAGAAUAAGAAGAUUAAUGAAUGAAAUAGACAAUGCACUCUCUAUUAAUCUGGGAGCAAGGAUUACAUUUUCUUUGAUGCAAAUUACACGAUUUUAUAGUACUUUGUAAUAUACAAGACAGGAUUUGCAUACAAUAUACCAUUUUCUCUAAACAAUUAAGAAAACAAUAAAGAUCAUUUGACCUUUUUUUGCGCUUCCAUGCACAGGGCGAUGCUAUUUUUUGUCAAGGAGGUGAAGGCGACGAAGGGCGUUCCCUCUAAACACAGCCGAUGCGGCCGUGGGGGAUGUGGCUCGUGCCUUCCUCGUCCUUAAUUGCUAUGGCGGCGGCGGCGGCGGCGGCGUCCGCAGCUCUUCCUCAUCGCGUUUGUUUCAGUGGUCCAGCCAGUGAUUACGGGGGGCAAAAAUUAAAGUCGUCGUGGUUGGUAGCGGUGGUCAUGCCGACGACGGCCGCGGCAGAAGGGGACUGAGGCGAAAGAGUGGUCGAGGAGAAGGAUGAUGUUGGAAAGUAUAGGACCAAGCAGAUCGACAUUAAGAUCGACUCGCACUACCUGAAGCGCUUCAGCUACUCCGAGCCCUUUGGAUCUCCGCUCUUCUAUGGUCGGAAAUAAGCUCACCGUUUAGUAAAAAAAUAUAAAUAAAUGAGAAAAUAAAAAAAAAAAACUGAAUAAAUGUUCGAACCUUUAAGAGAAGAGAGCUAAUGGGCUCGCGGCAAUUGAAGCACUCCAGAAAGUGGUGGUCAAUCUAAACCCCGACGUGCUAGAUACCCUUCACAAUAGUUGCCUCCUCGUCAACGACUGACUCGGUUCUCGCCCUUUCCACCACCGCCGCCAUGGGGACUACCCCCGCCGCCGGCAGCCAUGACGGCUUUAAUUUCCUCCUCCGGAACAACCACCUGCGGUGCCAAAACAAAUCUGAAGACANCCCGCUGGCGCUGCCGCAGCCACCACAGACAAGGAAAACGCUAGCCACAUCCCCCACAGCCGCAUCGGCUGUGUUUAGGGGGAACGCCCUUCGUCGCCAUCACCUCCUUGAUGAAAGGUAGUGUUGCCUUAACCUCCUUUUAUACUUGUUGGAUGUAAAAAAAAAAAAAAUACUUAUACUAUAUAUACAGGAAAAACAAUCCUAAUCAUAAUCAAAACCGGUUAGAUUCGGGCUCAUACAAUCCUAAUAGAUCUCAUGUUAACCAUGAAAUUUAAGGGCCAAUAGUUAUAAUUUAAAUCCACAAUAGACCCAUUAAUGAAUGUGAGUUGGUGGGCCUUAUGAAAGCCCGUUAAAAUUUUAAGCCUAUGGAAUAAUUCGGGCCUUAUGAAUAUUAUUAUUUGUGCCAAACAAUUUUCAUCAAAGUGGGAAUCAAUGACGGUCCAUAUCCACAUCCUAAAAUUCAAUAUCCAAUUAGAAAAUAUCUUUCAUCCAAACAAGCUCAUUCAAAUUUCAAAUCCCAACCAACUCUCAAAAUAUCUCCAAUUCAAAUCCCCAACCAAUUCCCAAAAUAUCUCCCAACCAACCAACCAACUCCCAAAAUAUCUUCCAACCAACCACAACCAACUCCCAAAAUAUCUCCCGUUCAAAUUCCGAACCAACUCCCAAAAUAUCUCCCAACUAACCAACCAACUCCCAAAAUAUCACCCAACCAACCACAUCUAUUCAAAUUUCGAAUAUUUAUCCCUCCAACUACUGAUUCAAAAUUCGAUUUCGAAUUUCGAAUCCCUAACCGACUCAAAAUAUCUCUCGCCUAACCCACAAAUCUCUCCGACUCCUCAAAUCUCCCCUUUUAUUAUAAAUGUGAGAAUAAAAAAAGAGGAAGGGAUACACACAGAAGAGAGGAUAAAUAGAUAGAGAGAGACGAUAGCGAUACGGAGAGAGACGACGAUACAAAGAGGAGAGAUAAUAACAUUUCCACUCCUUGCUACACGCAUACAAAAAAUUCAAAGGAGGAGAAUUUUUCGACCGCACCGCCGUGCCGCUUCAUCCAGCCCGUCAUUUGAUCAUCAGGUAAAGAUAAAAAAAAAGAAGAAAGAAAUAAAGAAAGAAAAUAAUAAUAAUAAUAAAGCAUAUCAAAAAAAUAAAAAAAAAUGAUCUCUUUUCCUUCCUCCCUUUUCUUUUUUUUUAGAUCCUGCUACCGUAGUCAUCCAUACCAUCUAAACGGCUUCGAUGGGAGAGUGGAGGGAAGCCAAUGGCUUUCUGUUUCUUCGGACCUCUCGAUACCUCAUUCGAAGCCGUUAAUUGAUGAAAUGGAUGAUCUACAUUGCUGCGACCAUCUCCAGCAUCGUCGGUUCGGUAUUUUCGAAAGAAGAGGGGAGGGGAAUUAAAGAUUCCCCGUUCUUCGGACCCUUCAAUCUCUUUUGAAAAUAUCGAACCAAAUUUGCCGGCCGAACAAAUCCGCACCACCGUCAUCAUCUUCACCGCUGUCAUCUCCAGUAUCGCCGGUUCAGUAUUUUCGAAAGAAGAGGGGAGGGGAAUCAAAGAUUCCCCGUUUCUUCGGACCCUUCAAUCUUUUUUAAAAAUAUCGAACCGAAUUCGCCGGCCGAACAGAUCCGCACCACCAAUCAUCUUCACCGCCGUCAUCUCCAGUAUCGCCGGUUAGGUAUUUUCAAAAGAAGAGGGGAGGUGAAUCAAAGAUUCUCUGUUUCUUCGGACCCCAAACCAAAUCGAACUGCAAAAUCAAAAGGGGAUUUCGUCGAAUCCCAAAUCUAAUUGCAAAAUCAAAAGGGGAUUUCUUCGAACCCCAAAUCGAAUUGCAAAAUCAAAAGGGGAUUUCAUUAGACCCCAAAUCGAAAUCAAAAUGGGAAUUUCCUUGGACCCCAAAUCAGAAUCAAAACGGGGAUUUCUUCGGACCCCAAAUCAGAGUCAAAAUGGGGAUUUCUUCAGACCCCAAAUCAGAAUCAAAACGGGGAUUUCUUCGGACCCCAAAUCAAAGUCAAAAUGGGGAUUUCUUCAGACCCCAAAUCAGAAUCAAAACGGGGAUUUCUUCGGACCCCAAAUCAAAAUCACAAGAAAUCAAAACGGGGAUUUCUUAAGACCCCAAAUCAGAAUCAAAAUGAGGAUUUCUUAGGACCCGAAAUCAGAAUCAAACUGGAGAUUUCUUCGGACCCCAAAUCCAAAUUGCGAAAAGGAGAUUUUUUCCGACCCCAAAUCAAAAUUGAAAUAAAUUAAAAGGGGAUUUCUUUGGAACCCAAAUCGAAAUUGCAAAAUUAAAAAGGAAAUUUCUUCGGACCCCAAAAUCGAAUUGCAAUAAAAUUCGAAAGGAAAAUUCCUCCGGACCUCAAAAUCAAUUUGCAGUGAAUCUCAAAAAGGAACUUCUUCAGAUCACAAAUUCAAAUUUGGAUAAGUCUAAAGAAGCCUUCUUCGGACCUUAAUUCUAAACAAAAAUAAAUACAGCCAAACCCACAAAUAAAAAACCCAAACCUAACCCCAAACCCAAAUCAAAUCCAGUCCACAAAUAAAAACCCAAACCUAAGCCCAUAAAUCCCAAACUCAAAUCCAAUCCGGAUCACAAAUAGAACCCAUACCAGACUUUCAACUUGGAUUCAUGAACCAAGUUCAUGAACCAAAUCCCAUAAACCAUGAACCAAGUUCGCAAACAAAACACCACGAACCAUACCCAAGUUCAUGAACCAAAUUCCAUAAACCAUGAACCAAGUUCAUGAAGCCAAAACAAGUUUGUGAACCAAACACCACGAACCAUACCCAAAUCCCAUAAACCGUGAACCAAGUUCAUUAAGCUUACCCAAGUUCGUGAACCAAACACCACGAACCAUACCCAAAUCCCAUAAACCAUGAACCAAGUUCAUACACCGAGUUCAUGAACCACAAACCAAGUUCAUGAACCAAAUGAACCAAGCUCAUGAACCAUGAACCAAGUCCAUAAACCAAGUUCAUAUACCAUGGACCAUAUCCAAGUUCAUGGACCAAAUCCUAUACACCAAACCCUAUGAACCAUACAUCAAGUUCAUGAACUAUAUAAACCAAGUCCAUAAACCAAGUUUAUAUACCAAAUCCAUGAACCAUUUCUAAGUUCAUGAACCAAAUCCCACAUGUCUAACCUCAUGAAACAUAAACCAAGUUCAUGAACCAAAUGAAUCAUGUUCAUGAACCAUGAACCAAGUCCAAAAACCAAGUUCAUGAACCAAAUGAACCAAGCUCAUGAACCAUAAACCAAGUUCAUGAACCAAAUGAACCAAGCUCAUGAACCAUGAACCAAGUCCAUAAACCAAGCUCAUACAUCAAAUCCAUGAAUCAUAUCCUAGUUUAUGAACCAAAUCUCAUGAGUCAUACACCAAACCCCAAUGAACCAUAUACCAAAUCUUAUGAACCAUACACCAAGUUCAUGAACCGUAAAUGUAACAUAUCGAAACUCGAAAAUGAUAAUCGAACUUUAAUCAAAUCGGUUAAAGUGUCGAGAGAAAUGGAUUGGUGAGUGAUUUUUGCAUUCCAGCAUGUUUGGAAGGGCAAAAAUGGGUUAAAGAAGUGUUGGAAUGGUUUUGGCAUCGAACGACGCGAAGUAGAGUCGAGUCGAAGCCAAAACAGCAUUCUGGAGCAUUGCGUACCGGUACACCAUGGUAGUUGUACCGGUACAGCAAGCGACCGGAGCACAGGCUGCUCUCGGGUUUGGGCAGCCUGGGUGGUGUACCGGUACGGGACCCUGUGUACCGGUACACACCCUGCGAAACCGAGAGAGUUUGCUCUCAGGUUUGCUUCUGCGCAGGUCGUGUACCGGUGAUACCAACCCGUGCACCGGUACGCGAAACCUCUGGCAGCAGGGAUAAGUCUGCUGCAGAAUAGAAAGUUGAAGGGCCUAAAUGCAAUUAUCACAAUAUGUUAUUUGACCCUAGCCCUCUCUUCACAGCAGCACACACCCCUCCUCUCUUUCCCUCUCAUUUUCUUCCCUUUCUCUCUCUAGAAAGCUUGGUCUAGGGCAAGGAGAAAGUGGAGAAGAAGCUUGGAGAGGAGAUUUUGGUGGGUUUGAAGGCUUUGGUGGCUCUCCAACAAGGUGGACCUUGGUGAGCUCGUGGACAAGGUGAGUUUAUUGCAUAAGAGAGCCUAGGGUUUGGUUUUAAACCUUGGGAUUUAGAGUUUUGAUCCUCUAAUUAACCUAGAAAUCCUCUAGACCAUGACUCCAUGAAAAACAUGGUUUUCUUGAAGAGCUCUCAUGGUGGAUCACUAGGGCUCAAAGUAGAUGCCCUAGAGAUGGUUCUAAAAGCUUAGAAACCUUAUUAGAGAGCUUCCCAAGUGAAUCUAAGCUAUCUUUUUCUUAGGAAUGAGAUCAAUCUCGGAGAAAUGCAAAAAUGACAUGUUAGGGCAUCCCAAAGAGGGGUUUUGCCCAAGUUAGGUUUUGAUCUAUUUUGACCAUGUAGAAACCUAAUUGAGGGUAUUUUAAACGCGUUGGAAUGCUCGGUUCGGCAAUCUGACGAGUGUACGCAAAGUUAUUGACAAAAACGUCAUUUUCCGUACAGAUAGCCGCAGCACGCGGACUAGGGCUUCAAAAAUUUCAAGAAAUUCACCGUAGCAUCCUUGCAACCAUCUAAGGUGGGUGGUGCAUUCCAAAGACAUCGAAAAUCUCUUUAUGUCUAAGUGUCAUUUUUUGAGCAUAUGUGCAUUUUUGAGCAUCUUGCAUAAUAGGGUUAGUUGUGAGAUUUUUAUAACCUAAUGUAAAUUCAAAUGCAUGUUAAAUGUUUGUAAGAAUGUGAGAAUGAUGAUCCCUAUGUAUGCAUAAAUGUGACAAGAACCUAGAAGGGUUAGUAAACGAAAAGUGACACUUUGACAUAGAUCUAGCAAGUAACAUCGACGAGUCUAGAACCCUUAAUAAACAAGUGUGGCAUUUGGCAUGAGAACAAGAAUCUAGCACUUAAAGAACAAGUGUGGCAUGAGUACAAGAACUUGAUAGUGUAUAUGACAUUAGUGAUAGUAACGAAUGCAAAGGAAAGAAUGAUUGAUAUAAUAUGACAUUUCAACCUUAGUGUAAGGGUCAUUUGAGCAUGGUCUUCCUUAAAGUUAAGGAAUGGAUUGAACUUAGAAUCCUCAAAUGUAGAAUUGAUCGUACUCACUUUUAGUCCUUGCUCGAGGUUGUGGUAGCUUCCCCUCGGGCGAUGUGCUCCGGAGUCGACAUCACUGGGUUGUAGCGAGUAUCUCCCCAGAGGACGGUCCCAUCGGGUUGUAGCGAGUAUCUCCCCGAUUAUUGGGAUUUUGAGUUUGUGAGUUUGUUGAGGGCGAAACCUACGGGUUAGCCAAGAGAUUGGGUAUUGGCACUAUGACCUUGCAUUCAUCAUGAGCAUUACAUUGUGCAUAUCAUUUUAUAUUGUUCAGGCAUAUUAGCUGCAUUAGCUAGCUGGUUACUUACUUUCUUUUAUUCUAUUAUGCCUGAUUAGACCUAGUAGGAUAGUCGGCGUGGUUGGUUGCCGAACCCACUGGGAACUUUGUUGUAGUUCUCACACCCCUAUUUCCACAGAGCCGAGACCCAGCGAGCCGGCGGACGAUCGCGGUAAGGGCAUCGCGCCCUAGGUAGAGACCGCCCGAGAUGUUUAUUUACUCUAGUUGCAUACCCCUUUUACUAUAUCAUCUUUUGUACUUGAUGAUUUGGUUAUUAAAGAAAAGAAUAUGUAUGUUGUAAAAGAUCCUUACAUUUAAAUGCAAGAAUGACAUUUUGAGAUCCUAUGAUGUAAAAGAAAAGAAAUGAUGCAAAGAUUGUAAUCCGUUCAUAAGUGUAGUUGUUUACCUUCACUCUUGGCUAUUGCUUGCCCUCGUGCAAGCCAUUGUGUAUGCUUCCGCUUAUGCAAUUUCUAUACUCUAUCUGUACCUGUUGUUAAGCCUUGGGCGUACAGGGGAAGCUCUGUCUGUUCGGUGUCUGUUCGACGCACUCGAACCGGCCAAAAGGAUCGGGCUCGGGGCUUGACAAUAAACCAAACCUCAUGAACCAAAUCCCAUAAACCAUACACCAAGUUCAUGAACCAAAUCUCAUGAACCAUGAACCAAAUGCCAUAAACCAUAUCCAAGUUCAUCAACCAAAUCGCAUGAACCAUAUCAAAUGCCAUAAACCAUAUCCAAGUUCAUGAACCAAAUCUCAUGAACCGUGAACCAAAUACUAUAAACCGAACCGUGAACCAAUUCCAUAAACCAAGUUUAUAAAUCAAAUGAACCAAAUUCAUGAACCAUGAACCAAGUUCAUACACUAAACCAGCGAAUCAUAUCCAAGUUCAUGAAUCAUAUCCCACAUACCGAACCUCAUGAACCAUACACCGAGUUCAUGAACCAUAAACCAAACCCCAUGAACCAUACACCAUGUUCAUGAACCCAAUCCCAUAAACCAUGCCUAAGUUCAUGAACUAAAUAUCAUGAACCAUACAUCAAACCCUAUGAGUCAUAAACCUCAUGAACCAUACACCACAUCUCAUGAACCAAAUCCCAUACACCAAACCCAAUGAACUAUAUCCAAAUUCAUGAAACAAAUCCAAUACCUAUGAACCAUACAUCAAGCUCAUGCCCAAAGUUCAUCAUGAACCUUUUCUUUACUCUAGCUCGUAUACCUAGAGUAAAAAAUCAAAUGCAAAAUCGACUACCCCUAAUAUAUAUACUUAGAGCUAAAUCAAUCACCUUAGUACAUAUAACUAAGGCAAAAUCAUCUCCAAAUCGACAGAGUUCUAAGUUAUAUAUUUAGAAUUCAGUCAACUGUACCAGAUUUUAAUAUAAAAUUAAGUGUAAAUAAAAGUAGUAUGAGAUACUAUUUUUAUUGGACUUAAAGAAAUAAAAUGUAAGUCUGGAAUGACUUAUGCUAAAAUUGGAAUGAAAAACAGGAGAUUUAGAAUUUUCUGUGAGAAACGGGACUAAUAUUUUAGCAGAAAAUGCACAGUGUCAGAACAUUAUGAAAAUGUAAGAAUAUGUCGGGAUUAUUUUUAUGAGGCUAGAUUUAAAAUUUCAUGCUAUUCUAACACCGGAAAAGUGAAAAAUAAAAUCCAACUACUAUCUGCUAGAGAUUAUAGUUCGGUAGGACUUUCAGUCACCAAAAAAUGGUCCAAACUGGAUAGUUAAGAUAUUUUAUUUUUUAUUAAGUAAAACCGAGCCUGACUGUCAAAUUUGAGAGAGAACGGACAUUCAGAAGAGCUCCGGCGAAGAGGAACAGAUUCUGAGCUGCUAAACUGCUAGUGUGAAUAGUGUUAAGGGGCUAUUUAUGUAACAGGACCCUUCUCCUUCUCCCUCAACCGAGCACCACCAGCACCAACUCACGCACAAAUGGAGGGAGAGAGAAAAUCUCCCUUUCUCUCUCUAAAUAUCUCUUUCAUCUUUCUAGAUCUCUCCCUCAAAUUCACGGCGUUGGCGGAGAGCGAGCUUGUGAACGCGUUGGAAGCAACGGUUCGAGUCUUCGUGCGUCCGGUUGAGCAGCGUGCUUUCGACCCGGCGUUCGCAAUUUCGGUAAGUGUUUAGAAUUUGGUUUAAUUCUUAAUGCUUAGUAUUCUAGUAGUCUCUAGAGUGUUUCUAGCAUGUCGCUGCAUUUAAUUUUGGAAUAUUAGAAGGUUAAUUGCAUGCUAGGGCUAUGUAAUAUACCGAAAAUUCGAAAAAUAAAUAUCGAACUUUAGUCAAAUUGACCAAAGUGCGAGGAUGGUACACUUCGGAAAGUCCGAAGGUGUUAAAAUGAUCAAAAACGUGUUAUGGGAGGUUUUCGAGAGCUAGGGAAUCAAAAAUCUGCAAACUGCAGCUUUUGAGCUCUCGGGGACCGGUCCCUGGUGGGAGAGACCGGUCCCCGAACGCGUAUGAAAUGAGACAGCCGAAAAAUCGGCUAAGUCCUGGAGGAUUAGCUCUCGGGAAUCGGUCUCUGUCUGAGAGACCGGUCCCCCAGAGACCGGUCCCACCAGAGAGGGACCGGAUGCAUUGCGCGCGGCAGCUCUAGCUGCGCAGGGUGGACCUUCGGGGACCGGUCCCUGCUCGGGGAGACCGGUCUCUGCCUGCGAAAACUGCCCAGUCCNNNNNNNNNNNNNNNNNNNNNNNNNGGAGACCGGUCUCUGCCUGCGAAAACUGCCCAGUCCGGGCUGUGUGAAAUAGUGAAAGCUGAAGGGUUUAUUUGCAUUUUUGCAACCCAUGGGUUAAGUGGAGGGCUGAGAGAGCCUUUUCUCUCAUUCUCCCCCUCACACACACUCUCUUCUCUCUCUCUCUCUCUGUAGAAGACAAAGGAGAAGAAGAAGAAAGGAAGAAAAGAAGGAGAAGAAGGAAAAGAAGGUGAAGAAGAAGAUCAAGGAGCAAAGGAGCUUCAUCUUCUUCCUCUCUAGUGCAAGAAUAGGAAGCUUACAAGGUAAGCUUUGAACCCUAAUGUAGUAAAACCCUAGAAAUGAGUUUGAAUGAACCUAGAAAUGGUUGUAAUGGAUUGUUUAGAGUUUUUGAAGCUUUCUCUUUGCUUCUUUAGAGAUCAAAACCUUGGUUUGCUUUAGAGGUGAGCUUGGACCACCUCUCAUGGUGAAAUCCAAACUAGGGUUUUGGAAAGCCUAAGAAUGGUUCUAAUGGACUAUUUAGAGUAUAAUGAAGCUACUUUUGCUUCCCAAUGAGAUCAAACCCUAGGUUUACACAUGCAUUGGAGCUAGGGCACCCAAAUUGGGGCUUUUGCUCAUAAGGGUUUCUAAGUGAAAUUGACCCUUCAAAAACCUAAUUGGGGGUAUUUCCGACGCGUUGGUGCGCUCGGAUUUACGUUACGAAAAGCCAAUGUAAAGUUAUGGCCAAAUAAGCCUAAUUUGGCUUCGUUAUGCCGCAGGUAAAGAACGAAGAGUCUAAAAAUCCCAAGAAAAUCAUCGGAGCACCUUUGAAGGCCUACGAGGUGGGUGGUGCUUCUCAAACUCGUUGAACUUCCCUCUAUGCCUAAUGUGUCAUUCAUUUGAGCAUAUAUAUAUAUAUGUUGUUGCAUGCAUUUUAGGGUAAAGUGAUGAUGAAAAUGUAAUGUGCAUGAUUGUGAGUACAACUUGCAUAAUAUGAUGAAUGAGAACCUUAUGAAUGUUAGAACCCUAUAUGUAUGCAUGAGAGAAAAGUGAGCACCCAAAGUGAGCAAAAGAACAGAGUGGCACAAUGACAUAGAUCGAGUGGCAUUUAAAAACGUAAAGUAAAGUGACACUAGAGUUAGUGUGAGCCAAAGAACCAAAGUGAGGUAAAGAAUCAUGAAAAUGACAAUGUGUAAAGUUAAAGUAAAGUGGGGCAAUAAGAACGAGAAAUGUAAAGAACAAGAAUGCUAAAGAUGGCAAAAGUAAAAGAAAAGUAAAGAAUGGGAUUGCAUGAGUUUGCAACAUAAAGUGAUGUAAAGGACACUAGAGCUAGUGUAAAGUCAAGAUUGAACUUAUGAAAUCCUUUGAGUUUAGGAUAUGAUCAUACUUGCUAUGAGUUCCGUGCUCGAGGGCGGUCGCUCCCCCUCGGGCGAUGCGCUCCGGAGUUAUGCAUCACGGGUUGGAGUAAACCCGAAGGACGGUCCUAGCGGGUGAGUUCCUGCGAUGAUGGACUUAAUGUGAAGCAAGUUAAUGUGGCGAUACCCCCGGGUUAGCCUUGAGAUUAAAGAACAAAGAGCAAAGAACAAAGUGCAAAGAACAAAGAACAAAGAACAAAGAGUAAAGUGAAAAGAACAAAGAAUUUGCAUAAUCUGCAUUUAUUUAAUGUUGAGCAUACUCCUUGCUUUAUUGUUCAGGCAUAUUAGCAUCAUGUAUAGAUUGGUUACUAAAUGCAGCUUAUUCUUUCUAUUAUGCCUGAGUUAGUCCUAGUGGGAAAGUCGGUGAUGUUGAGGCCGAACCCACUGGGAACUUUGUUGUAGUUCUCACCCCACUAUUUCCACAGAGCCGGGACCGAGCGAGCCGGCGAGCGACCGAGGUAAAGGUAUCGCGCCUUAGUCAGAGGCCACCAAAGUCGGAUUUCAUUUUGUAGUAAAGUACCCUAUGAUCAUCUUUUGUAUAUGAUGGUAAAUGAUGUAAAGAAAAGAAUGUAAUGUGUAUUUUGAGGUAAAUGUGAUGUAAGAAAGAAAUGAUGAAACGAAAUGUAAGGAAUUCGAAAAAUUACAAGUUGGAUGUAUGUAUAUGAUCUAAAUUGAAUCAUACUACAAGCGAAUGUUUAGUUUUCCUUUCUUUCACUAAUGGCUAUUGCUUACCCUCAUGUAAACCGUUUGUGUAUGUUUCCGCUAGUGCAAUUCUUGUUUGAAUUUUGUACAUGUGAUGAGCCUUGGGCGGAUAGGGGAAACUCUGUCCGUUCGGCGUCUGUUUGACGUGCUCGGGUCGGGCCAAAUUGGUAUCGGUCCCGGGGCGUGACAGGCUAGAAGAGGGAUUCUUGUAAAUAUAAGGGUUUGAUCUAAAUUGGACCCAUGUAAACCUAAUUGCUAGGUAUUCUGACGUGUUUGCGAAGACGGUUCGGCAAUCCGUCGAGGCUACGCAAAGAUAUUGGGAAAAUGGACCGUUUGGCUUCGUUUCCGCCUGGAGGGCCGAGGCGGCGUCCAAAAAUUACGAAAAUGGAUUCCUAGCAUCGCGGCAUCUAGAUGAAGCCCUUUAAAACUCGAGGCUGCGGAUUGACGCAUGGUUGGUGAUUAUUUGCAAGACCAGGCCGAACCGGACGACGAGUGCCGCGGGAGGCCGAUUGCAAGUGUCGACAAGCAAUCGGAGAGCGUUGCAAGGUGGGUUGUGCUCACCAAAAUAUUUAGUUCGCUUCCAUGUCGAAACAAAGUGAUGUUUAUUAUUGAUGCAUAUAAUGGUAGUUAAUUGUUAAACAUGUAAAGGCAUGAAAUGCUAGAAGAAUACAUGAGAUCAAUGCUAUGUUAGACUACCAUGAUACUAUAGGAAUGCAUGAGAUAUUAUAUGAAUGCAUGUCAUUUAGGUUAUAUGAAUGCAUGAAAAUGAUACUAUAGGAAUGCAUGAGAUGUUAUAUGAAUGCAUGUCAUAGAGGUUAUAUGAAUGCAUGAAAAUGAUACUAUAGGAAUGUAUGAGAUGCUUGACUACCAUUAGAUGACAAAAACAUAUACAUGUUAACAUAUUGUGGAUUGACAUAUUGUGGAUUAUGUUAAUUGACAUAUGCAUGUUGAACUUGGGUCGAAAACUCUAGGUUGAUUAGAGAGUUCGACAUUGAAAAAUAAGAAUAUGAAAACUGUGAUACUCGAUGUGGACUAGUAGAUUGUCAAGUAGAUCGAGUGGCAUUUGGACUAGUGUAGUAGAGACACUAUGACAUGAACAUAGGGAUAGAUGAUUUCCUGAGUCAUGGAUAUGUGCCACAUGAAACUAGUAUAGUAGAGACACUUGUGACAUUAUUGUUGGGAUUAGUGGAUUUCUCGUGUCGUUGUUAAACCUAGUAGACAGGGUAUCCUCGAGUAAGAGGAUUGGAUCAUACUCACUUAGUCUGUUUUUACUUGGCAUGGUGACUCCACCCAAGCAGUGGUCUCCGAAAUACUUCACGAUAGGGAUAGACGUAGUUGUCACGCAAACUGUCUCGGUGUACGAGUGCAGAUUCUCCUCACCUAUGAGAUUUUCAAAGUGAGUCGGGGUUUAACCUUUUGGUCAGCCAGUGAGAUUGGUGACAUUUUUAUGAGCUAUGGAUGAAUCCCAGCAUAGUGGAUUGGCAUCGCAGUUGGUAUCCCAGUUGAGUGGAUUUAAGGCUAAGGUGCAAGUGAGAUGUCCUUUACUUUGAGCCUGGCUUUGCGCGGUAUUCCGCGGAUGAUUGACUCAAGACCGAGUCGAGUGGAUAGCUUUGUAAAGGUUGAUGAAACCUUGUGAGCAACAGUAAAGAUAGAUGAAACCUUAUGAGCAGAAUUGUAAUUGACAUGAAUCCAAAAUAGGGAAAAACUUAGAUGUCAAUUCGAUGAGCUGUGAAUAGCGAGUAGAAUUAGUAGAUCUACUUACCUCAUUGCAUAUUGAGUUGCAUGAUUUGUAUUGUUGCAUGUUGCGAGACAUGAAUGUGAUAAAUGUUAGUUGCAUAAAAUAUUUGAUGAAAUAUAUAUAUAUAUAUAUAUCUGUGGAUACUUGUUGGACUAACAUGUUGCAGUGCCUCCUUCGGACCUGGUGGGUCGAGCUUUUCCCUUGGGUGGCCGUACCCACUGGAAACUAUGGACAAUAGUUCUCACCUCCGUGUUGUUUUUGGGGGUACAGGUUCACACGUGAGCCGCGCGGCGGUGCGAGGACACGGCGUAGCUUCGUAGAUAGCGCUCUACCACUGAGACCAAAGAUAGCGGUACCCCGAGUCAGCCUACCUAGGGGUGUAGAAAAGAGAAGGAAAUCAUUAUUUAUGUAAUCUUGAUUGUAUUUGGGAGAAAGGAAAAUGAAAAUAUAAUAUGUAAAAAGCAUGUGAUGUGAAUGCUUGUAAUAGCUUAGUUGUUUUAUGUUUUUUAUACCUCCUUAUGCAAUCUCUGCGUGAAAUCUAUUCUUGGUUGGAACCUCGCCCUUUGUAUUGAUUGUGACGCCUAGGACGUACAGGGGAAACUCUGUCCGUUCGGCGGUCUGUUAGCGGGCCCCGAAUCCGACCAAAUAGGGGGGUCUCGGGGCGUGACAUAUACACUCAGGAAUUAGCCAUUCUCUACUUUCGGGUAAUAUCAAAUCUGACCUACCUCAAUACAUAUACUUGGGGUAUGGUCACAUCUCCACCUUAGAAUAUACAACCAAGGUGAAUAUAAUCGGACUCUAAGACAUAUACUUAGAGCCAAUUAGACUCUAAUACAUAGAGUUUAAUAUCGACUAGAUCUUAACACAUAUACUUAAGACCUAGUCAAUCUCAAAUCCAACUGAAUCCUAAUACAUAUGCUUAGGAUUCAAUAAACCAAGAUACGAUUCAUUCAAUCCCACCUAUAAAGGUCUCUUAAUCGAAUGUGCCCCAAUGCGACGGGGGUAAUUAACACUAGAUGCUUGCAUCUAUUGAAAGCCAUGGAUCCGCGAUACCUGAUACCCAUAUACAUAUAAAUACUAAUCUGAAUCAUGAAUACUACCCCACGGCCAAAUCCAUCGACCGUGCGAGGUGCGUCAUUCGUGGUGGCAGACAAUACUAGGGAGGAACCGUAAAUCCAAAAAGAAAACAUUGUAUCAAACAAUACGUCAUUUGUACUUAAACGAUUGAAUUUCAUACUUAAAUAGACGAUUAAAACUAAUAGUCUAUAAAUGGUGCAACUUUCCUUGCAAUAGGUUAUUUUAUUGCAUUAAUCGUUCAAAACUGAAAGCAAUAGUGCAAAUGUUGUGUCAGUAGAAUCGAAAAUAGUGCAAUCUCUACGCUGAAGAGUGCAAAAUAUUUGUAGAGAAAUGCAACGGAGAGGAGCUGUAAGCGGUGGGUAAUACGUUCAAGAAUCCUGCCCUUGGGGUGUGUAAUAGCCACUUUCCCUUCCCGAGGAAAGCUCUAAAUUCGUGGGCAUUAAAUGACCGUGAUCGUGGUUACGCAACCUCCCAGUCCUCGGUUGGUGAACCAAAGAGGCCACGCUAUUGGCUAGCCCCGGUGUUUGCUGUAUAUUAUUUCAAAUUUUUACAUUUUGAAGAUAAAUGUGACCCGUAUCAGGAAUAAUGGUGCAACAAGCACCAAAAUAAUGCACCAACCCUUAUAAAGGCGCACCUACGACCACAUAAUAGUGCAAUAUUGGUCUCUAAUAGUGCAACUAUGUGGCAAUCUGUGCAAGACAGUUUCAAUGAGUGCAGCGUCCCACUUCCCUCCAUGCAAGCCGUGAGUUUUGUCUACUUUUGUCCGUCUCGUUCGGCGUUUGCAAAGGAGAAGUGGAAGAAGCGUGGAUGAUGGACAUGGCUUUAGGCUUAUGAACUAGAAGUCGGAAGAUGGAGGAGGGGGACAAGGUGGUGACCAGUAAGGCGCUACGAAACUGCUGAGCAUCAAAAUAGUGCAACAUUCUGUCCUAAAUAGUCUAAGUAGUCCCUAACCAGUGCAAUUUUUUCUCUGUAUUUAGUGAUAAUUUGAAGGUAAUAGUGUAACGUAAAAAGCAAAUAAUAGUGAAACUUGGAGAAAAUGGGUGCAACAAAGCUUGUAAGUGUGCAGUGCAGUUGUAAUACUAGUGGAACAUCCACCGUAAUAAUGCAAUGCUAUUCAAACCAGUGCAACAUAAGAGUGCAACACUUGCUGAAUUAAGUAUUUGGCUAAAUUACAAAAAACUCCUUUGUCAAAACCCAAUUUUUUACUUUUCCUCCCUGUCAUUUAAAAACCUACACUUUGCCCCCUUGUAAAAUGAAAAAUGUUUACUUCACCCCCUGCCGUUAGUAAUCCGUUAGGGUUUCGUUUAUAAAAUAUUAUUAUAUAUUUUUUUUAUGCCAAAAAUACCCUCAGCCUUCUCUCUUGUUGCUAAAAAUGGUGGGGGGCCAAAUGGUCAUUUUGUCAUCACAAUUUACACCGUAAGUCCCUGUGACCAUUUUUUAUUUUAUAAGGGGGCAAAGUGUAGGUUUUUAAAUGACAUGGGGGGAAAGUGAAAAAUCGGGUUUUGACAGAAGGGUUUUAUGUAAUUUAGCCUAAGUAUUUUAAAACUUAAAAGUGUAACCCAAUAUUAUAUGGUGCAAUAUACAGCUGGAGCUUUAGCAAGUCUUCACUAACUAUUGAAAAGGCUUUCUUUAUUAAUUUUGUACCAAAGAUUAUAUUGUCUUUGGCGAAAAUGCAACACAAAAGACACGAUUUGCAUACAAUACCAGGUUCUAUUACAUCCACUGUAACAAACUCCUCAAAAUAAUUAUUUAACAAAAGUAAAAUUUUUUCCAAAAAUAUCAAAUCAUCUAACCUUUUUUUGCGAUUCCACGCGCACGGAGCUAACACUACUUUUCGUCUAACAAGUAUAGGCGGCCAGGGAAGAGAGCCGAAGGAGACUGCGAGGAGGCAGCAGCUCGCUCGGAAGGGUACGAUCCAACAACGAGGUGUUAAAAUAGAUCCGCACUAUUUGGAGUGUUUUAUUUGCCACGAGUGCUUUGGAUCUCUGCUCUACCAUGUUCGAAUAUAGACAGUACAAUCAGUAAAAUAUUAGAAUCGAUCAAUAAUAAUAAAAAUUUGCAAGAAUUUAAUAACCUGGAAGAGAGGAGGGCCAAUUGGCUCGGGGCAAAUAAAGCACUCCAGAUAGUGCGAAUCAAUCUUAACUCCUCGUUGUUGUAUCGUACCCUUCCGAGUAAGCGGCCUCGUCCUCAAACUCUGCUUCGGCUCUCUCCCCUCAUCACCUAAACCUCCAGGACGAACAGUACUAUCGUUGCCGUUACCUCCUUCGACUCUGGCACCUUCCGUCGCCACACCGGUUGCCCUCGUUCGCCUUUACGUCCUUUUUAUAUGUAGCAAUGCAACGGAGAAUGCAUCUGAAGAACCAUUUUUUAAAAAAUGAAAAGUCGUUUGAAAAGCCGCUUUCCCUUCCUGAGGAAACUUCGAUAUGCCCACUGGUGUCUCUUCGCCUCACAUAAUCGAGGAGAACGUAUACGUUACUGUACGACCUUUUGUCGCGAGCAUUAAAUGCAACCUGUGCAGGAAACGCAAUCUUCGAAAUAUCGCUAUGCGAACCAAUUUUGCCAAGCUACUCGCCAGACCCAGUGUUUGCUGUUCAGUUCUCUGAAAUUUGGAAGAAAACACCACCGACGAUGGGAAUAUUGAUGCAAAUGGAAGUGAAAUAGUGCAACAACCUUAUAACAGUGCAGUGCACACUUUAUAUUAGUGCAACAAUGUGGCAAACAAUACACUAUUCAAACAAAUAUUUUCCACAGUAGCUAUAAACCAAGCAACAAAAGAAGGAAAGAUGUUCAGCUUUUCCCCUGUUAGGUCGCCCCACUUUAAUUCAAAUUUUCUCGACAAGGAUAAAUGGUGCAGAAUUUUUCCUGCUCUUUGCACUGUUUGCCACUGUGUUGCACUAUUUGCCACGAUUUUGAAUAUCUUUUGUCAUUGUACGCUGUUGGCUAUUUGGUGUGCUAACACGUCAGGACAUUUCUGGAUUCUUACGCUGUGUGAUGAAUAGGUUGUCCUAAACGAGCAUCCCACUAGCUAUCAACCGAUGGUUGCUCCCAUUACCCUAUUCUAACCCUUUACGUACUAUCCACCGCAUUAUACCUCCUAUUACCCUAUCAACCACUUUACUGUUUGUAACCACUAUCGUCUGCUUCGAAGCCCAGUGGCCGCUACACUCUCAAUCUACGUUUCUUGCAAUGGUGUUGAAGUCGUCACAAUCUACUAAUUCAUCGUCUGACGCCACCCGAAAGGAGCUGUCGCGGCCAGUUACCGGUGGCCCCGACGGUAUAUUCAUUGUGAAUUCGAGGUGUUUCAUAGGAGCGUAUAGGAAGAUUUACACGUCGGUCGUGAAGCCCCAUCAUCUUCCCGUCAUCCACAAUGCCACUUUCGCCAAUAUCUUACACUUUCCCGACAUCACCUCAGAUAGGCCCAUACUGGAGUUCAUCCUCUGACAUUGGAAUGAGUGUGUAGAAUUCAAAAUAGGCUCGCAGAUCAUAUGCUUCACGCUCCAAGAGGUUGUAGUUCUGCUUGGAUUAUCCAUGUCGGGUCAAAUAUUAGACCUAAAUAUGAAAGUUGAAUGGGAUAUUCAAAAUCGUUACCAUGGAGGGAAAAAGGUCGACCGCAAAAACCUCGAGGUGGUAUUGAAGGAGAUGUCACCCAAGGAGGAUGAAGACGACAUUAGCGACUUCGUGAAAUUACUUAUUCUCUACUUUUUUUGUUGCAUUAAUUUCUUUUCACAAAUACCAACAAUCUCUGCCCCAAAGGUUUGGUGGCUCUUGUCGAUGAUCUCCCCGCUCUGGGAUGCUACAAUUGGCUGGAGGCAGUACAUCGGCUUAUCAUUGACAGGCUAUGUUUCGCCACCAUUAAAUUGCAAGUUAAUUCGAAGCAGGUGGGAUAUGUUCUUGGAUGCACCUCCUCUUCUCCCAAUAAGUGUAUAUUGUGAAAAAAUAUUCAGGUAUUUAUCAUAUUGCAAAGUAGAAGAACAUUUAGGACAUCUCGCAAGUAAUCGUGCAAAAGAACUCUAUUGUAUAUGUCAAUCGUGUAAUUUUGUGAACUAUAGUGUAAUAUUGUGCUGAUUAGUAGUAUAAUAUUGUCUUUGCAAUCAGGUGUGGAUAUAUGAACACACUGGGUACUGAUGUCCUCUACCUUUCCGUCGUGCAAUAUUUUUUCAUGUCCAAAGAUAGGAUACAAUUAGAUGGACUCAGCGUUCACGGGGAUCGUCGAGAGUGAAGGAGGAUUUUAACUUCACUAGGUACCAACGCAGGCUCGACCUCUCCCCAGAAGAACAACGGCUGCUCGGGGUCGUGGCUGAUGUUCCAUAUCGCUAGUGCCCCAGGAAUGAGGAACCUCCAGGGGACUAUAAAGAGGUGAUGGCAGCAAUUGCCCGUCUAGAUGGCGUGGUGUACAGUCUUGCCACCUCCGUGGCCGCCAUACUAAGCAAUCCGCUCUUCUACCAACACCAACAUCAUCACUUGGAAGUAAAAAGAUUAAAAAGAGGCACAAAAGCGUGCAAGUACCAACCCCCCCCCCCCGGGGUCUAAAUCCUAUAGGAGCUCCUCACAGUGUCAAAAAAUAAAAGUUAGCACCGUCCAUCUUGGCGAUGCCCGCAGCGAUACGGCCAAUAUCGUGAAGCCAGAAUUCGUGUCAGAACGAAUGCGGAGUUCAUCGAAAUUUAAAAAGGAUGGGGCUCGCCAAAAACUACGGAGUCUACCUAGAGUUCCCCAUGAGUGUCGUGAGAAGCGCACGUCGAGGAAAGGCAAGUGAACUAGGAACCCGUACCUCCUCCGACUGCUCUGGGGAUGAAAGAAGAACAGCGACGACCUAAUUGCCGACGGAUGUAAUGCGCUUAUUAAUUUACAUUCUCAGUAAUAGUAUGAUUCUUAUGUUACAUUCUCAAUACUAGUGUGAUUGUACUACACUGAGUUUAAUAAAAGUAUAUUUUAAUUGUUUAUUGGUACAUAUUGUAAUAGUGCAUUAUUUAGUCAAGUAGUGUAACAUACAACCGCAUCAAUUGUAUGCAGGUUGUGCCACCGAGAGAGAGCGCACACCUGCGGCCGCCGAGAGAGAGCGCACAUGCGCGCCCGGUCAUUUUAUUUGACGAACAAGUCGAAAAGAUGACCGUACAAUAGUUGGUCUUUUCGCCGGCGACGUAGUUCUGGAAUGCGACGAAGUAUGUAAAUGUGUAAUCGUUGCUGAAAUAGUGUAAUUUCUAAACUAAUAGUUCAAUUGACUCCAAUUUUUACAACAAAAUUUCAGCUGCAUAACGUCGUCAUCCAAGUAUGUCACGACUUCCAACCAUUAUCUUCGCUACCAGAGGCGUCGGAACCCUCAUUGCCGAGAGUGUCGAAGUUCGGCGAGGCGGGGGAACUGGAGGAGGCGGCGGACCUGGAGGCGGCGGCGGGGGAACCGGAGGUGGCGGCGAAAAAGGCGGCGGUGGCGGCACCGAGGGUGGCGGCGAAACUGAAGGCGGCUGCGGAAAUGACGGCUGGGGCGUAACCGGAGGCGGUGGCGCCGGUACCGAUCUAGGUGGCGAAACCAGAGGUGGCGUUUGACGGAAGAGGAGAAGCCCGCCGAGGGGGCGGCACCUGCAAUAGCGGAUGCGCCGAAGCCUGCAAAGAUGGCUCGUACAACUAAAAGGGUAACUAAAUAUUACGCCGAUACUCUUUAAUUAAUGUAAUAUUUUUUCUAUUUGUGUAAUAGUUCCCUACUUGUUGCACUAUUUUAUUUUCCUAUGAAGAGGCGGCAGUUUUUAUUGACAACCCCCUCCCGGCGGAUACUCGCAAGUCGAAGAGACUCCAGGCUCGUGAUGCACCGGCUUCGAAGGCAACUGUGUAAGAAGCAAUGUUUGCCAAGCCGGAACCCAGUAAUACAGGGUUAUGUGAAUCUUGCAACGAUACUUUUAAAUAAUGCGAUAUUGCUUCUAAUAGUGUAAAAACGUGCAGCAAUGGUGUAGUUUCCUAAAUGUUACACUCUUUGAUUGAUUUGUGAACAGCCUCUGGUAACCAUCGACAUCCCCCACUCGGAAGAUACAUGCAAAACCAAAAUAGGCCAAAAACUAUAGGUCGCAAAAGCGACAUCGCCCAAGGAAUUAAAGUACUAUGGUAAAGAAGUGCUAUCACAAGAGGAUCGGGAGUUAAUUGAAAAAUUCCUUACAAGUGGCACCCAAGCGAUAAGCGUGCCUUCGAAAAACAUUAACAUUGGUCGGAAGGACUUCGUCGACCUUACAAGUUACAUGGUCUUCGUCAGCUUCGAUAUUAUUGACUCCUACCAACAUCUACUGGAGGAGACAGAUGGCCAGAGGUGCAUAUACUCCACAAGCAUCCUUUGCCAGACCAUUAGUACAGAUUUCGGUUCGGAUAUAUUUAUAACGAAUGUGACCAACGGGCGAUUAGUGACACAAAUUAUUGGUUUAUCCCGCUCUUCGACUUCGAGCACUGGUACUUGCCAGCGGUCGAUCUCCAAGAAAGGAAGUGCCUCCACUUAUCGUCGAUUAAAAAUGUUAAAUAUAACGCUGGAUUUGAAAAAGUAGUAAAUAUUGCCUUAAUAGUGUAAUAUUGUGCUAGGAUUAUUCUAUUAUCUUCUCUAAUUAGUGCAACAUUCCCUUAUGCAGUGUAACUUUGUAGGAAAAUUUUGGAACAAAAUUUUUUCAAUUUGUUUUGCCGUCGCGCCACUCGUUCAACGGGGAGAAUAUCAACAUGAAAGACAUCCCGAUACAAGAUCAGUUAAAUAACUGCUCUAUCUUCCUUUUGGCAUACGAAGAAUACCUGCAGAAUGGAUGGAACAUGAACUUCUCCCAAAAGGAUGUGACGAAGAAACACAAUGAAAUAGCAACAGAAUUUUUGCGGCAUUUUUACUCGCAAUGAUUUGAUUAAUAUUUUUUUAUUUUUUUCUAAUUUUUUUUUCACAUUUGAGCAUUUAGUGUAAAUUUUUAAUUUUUUUCCCUAUAAAUAUAUGACCCAAAAUUUCUCUGUAAUAGUGUAACACAGCAAGCAAUUGCACAAAUUUGUUCAAAAUAGUGUAAAUUUGUAUAUCUAGGAGCCAAGCAAUGACCGUUAAGUUUUGUUAUGGAUAAAUCUAACGGUACAAUAUUUGUCAGUAUUAGUGUAGAAUCGUCUUUAAAAUUUUCCUUAAUUGUGUAACAAAACAAACAAUUGCACAUAUUUGUUCAAAAUAGUGUAAGUUUGUAUAUCCAAGAGCAACAGAUUGACUCUACUGUGGGAAAUAUUUGCUUGAAUAGUGUAGGCUUUUGUUUGUGCACAUUUCACUAUUAUCGUUCUUGCAUAUAGAGAGCAUUUGCACUGGUUCUACCCAAGCAACCUACGGCGAUGACGAUGAGAACAUACGGUGGACUACAAAAUAACCGAGUUGCACUGCUUAGAGAAUGAUUACACUAGUUAUCAAAGAAUGUUGAACUAUUUUCAUUUUCGUAACACCAUUUACACACUUGUUUGCACUACUACCUAAGCAUAAACGUGCCUACUGAUGUCGUCGCGCACUACAGGACCUCCAGAGGCUGCUUUCCUCUGGCCAGAGGAGGGUUCGUGCAUGACCGUUUGUUGUACCCCCACCUUGGCAAUUCCUGCACCGCUUCUUUUCUAGGCCGUUAGAAAUUGACUACUUCCGUGCAAUCUUCCUUCUCCCCGAUUGUAUGCGCACGUUUGGCGGCCGCGGCGGCACAACGGUGUUUGGUAUAGGUGGCCAGUGCUCUUUGCCUCUGGUGGGAGGGACGUAGUCGUUGUAGGUUACGUGAUAAGUUGUGGUCUUGAACCAGUCAUCGAUAAAAUCAUAUGGAUCUCGCAGCCUACAUGAGAUUGCUCCUAUGGCGUGCUUAUAUGGGAUGCCAUCAAUGUCCCAACGCUUGCAGAAACAUGUCAUUUUAGAAAGAUCCACGACCUCCAUACUGGUUGGUGUGAUUGCCUGUUAAGGAAAAAUAUAAGCCAUAGGCAUAAGUGAGUCAAAUAAUGCAACGAGUAGUGAAAUAGCACAUAAAAAUUUCACAAUAAUACAACGUUAUGUGAUUUCAUAUAAUAUGUUUCGACAUUAGUGCAACAAAUGGUUAAAAUAGUGCAAAUAAUUAUUAAAAUGGUGCAAAUUAGUCAAUAAGACCUGAAAAAGCACAUCAGUCGAAGAGUUCAGGGUGUAAAAGCGAGACGCUUCCCUCGAGCUCUCUAUUAUCUUCUCUUCAUACGGUGUUAAAACACUAGUCAUCUUCUCCCCAGCAUUUUUCCUCUGGUAAAAAUACCACGCCGUUUUCUUUCGUGUUUCCUCUACUAGGUAUGUAAUUGGAAUGCCCUUUAAAUGUCGUAUAACACUGUUUAUCAUCUUGGCACAGUUGGAAGUGAGCAUUGAAUAACGCCUUCGAAGGAACCAAUGGAUAGCCCCCCCUAUGCUGAGGAAGCUUGACUACACACUUGUACUGUUCCGGGUUCAAAUCAUUCAUCUUCUCUAUUAUUUCGUUGAACUCCGCGACAGUGUAAGCAUGCGUCGCCGCCCAAAAUCUUCUCCACGCAGGGGUAUUUUUUGUCGCGUGCGGGGGAUUGGUAGACAGGUGGUAUAUGCAAUAACCAUGAGCUGCAUCCGGAAAAAUAUCGGCAACAGCUUCAAUAAGACCUUUUUAUCUGUCGAAGACAAAAAUAAGUAUAUAGUUUUGUCUGCGGACCUCGCGUUCACCAACGACACCAUCCUGCAACUGUUCAAGAAACCAGUGAAUAUCGAUUUUCACCGUCAACAACUGUCCACACCAAUGGCAGGAAAUAGUUAUUUUCAUCGAUACAUAAAACCGUCAGCAGAGUCCCUCUAAACUUAUCCAUUAGGAAAGUACCUGAAAGUAAUGCAAAACGUGUAUAUUAGUUCAUAAUCGUGCAAACUAGAUUAUUUUGCAUCGUUGUAAUAUACAAUAGUGCAACCGAUUUAUAUAAUGGUGUGAAAUUUGGCAUAUUGGUGCAAAAUCGUACCAUCCAGUUCAACUAGCGGCCUGCAGUGCUUCCGAAAUGCACGAAUUGAUGCACCAAAUGCCCAGAUGAAUUGGUGGAAACGACCCUCGUCCUGGUAAAGUAGUUGAAGUCAUGCAUCCGCGUCACCCAUCCUCAGCUCUCGCAUGUAUGACAAAAAUGCAGCGAACGAGCCCUCAAAAUCUUCGCGGAUCUUCUGAAGGAUCCUUUCUCUGGCCCGGUAGGCAUUCCAGUAAGAAAUUCUGACGUCAUGCUGGCGCAAAAUCUUAGUCUGAACCAUCUUUGGCAUGUAUUUCUCGUUCGCCACGACCUGCUCCAUAACAAAAUAUGCGAUAAACUCCUCAUCGCAAUUCCUGUGGCUCAAAUCCCCUAUUGCUCGGCUAUAAGUGUGUUUCGAAAUAAAUUUCUUCACCCACCAUUGUGUAAGUCCUGGUAGGUAAUGCGCCUUUAUUCUCCACGGGCAAUCUGCGACACGACAUCUCGUGGUUAGCUUAAGGUCGUUGCAUUUGGUAGGGGCGUACUCGAAACCUCUUUUCAUUGUGUAAGCUUUGAGAGCUCUUUUGAAGUCGGCUUGCGUUUUGUAGAGCUGGCCCUCGUGGACAUCGUCCACAUCUGUGAUGGUUCCAACUGACUCCAGCGUAGUGCUGUUCACAAUGAGGUUUUCUUCCAUCUCGUCGUUGUCGAAUUCCUUAGCCAAAAGUCCCACUACGUCACUUUGGUGCAAUGGGACACAUCCAUCGUGUUGUACGUUCGAUGAAAUUCAUUGGAAGAGAAGGCGACAAUAUGGAUGCUAUCAUUGGAAUUUAUCUCGUUUUUCAUAUCAACGAUACAAGUACCUCCAUCACUGUUUGCUGCGUCGUCGAUGAGAAUAGGAUGUCAAGAUCUGCAAUAUCAGUGUAAAGCAAGCAGUGUAUUGUAAUGAGUUAGUAGUGCAAAAAAAUGAAGUAGUACAAUCGUUCAAUAUAAAGUGCAUUCGGGUGCAACAGUUACAACUUAAUGGUAAAAGAGUAGCAAUAGUGCAACUUAAGAGCCAACUAGUUCAAAACUUGGCGGCUGAGGCGUAGAUGCAUCCGUGGACCGGAUACUAAUCAACAAUUCCAGCCGUUCGUUGGUAAGCGCCUCAUCUAUCUCAUCGGGAUCACAUGUAGGAACCUUUUUCUCAACUACGUUCCUCACGAUGUUGUCACGCCCCGGGGCCCAGCGGAAGCCCGCCCAGUGCGUGUCCAGACCCGCCAUAUGCCUACAACAUAUAAGACGUCUAUAACAAAGCGAUAAUUAAAGCAACGAUAAAUAAGCAUCUAGAGAUAUCAGAGCAAGAUUACAACUAAAUUCUAAUAGCAAGAGGAAAUAAAAGAACUAACAUAAAAGUAGAGAUAGAUACAACAAGAUCCAAAUAGAGGUGCUAGAUAUACAAAAAUGGUGGUCUGUACAUAAAGGUACAAAACUCUCAUUCUCUCAAACAUAAACAAAAGGAGAAAAUGAACCACCUAAAGCAAGACCCCUAGGUAACUAGCUCGAAGCGACACCCUUGCCGCGGUGUCACGCCCCGGGACCCAGCAGAAGCCCGCCCGGCGUAUGCCCAGACCCGCCAUAUGCCUAUAACAUAUAAGGCGUCUAAAACAAAACGAUAAAUAAAGCAAUAGAACAAAGGGAUCUAACGAUAUCAGAGCAAAAUAAGUAACUAAGUUCUACAACAGAGUGAUAAGUAUAAAACUGAAAUCCACUAAUAAAGCCAUAAAGUAGUACAAUGGAAAUCCCAAAUCCAAAAGCUAAACAUAAAGAGUAUAUAGGUGGUCUCUCUAUACAUGGUACUCAAAAUCUCUCUCUCUCACAACAACAAAAGAAAGAAGAAGGAACAACCACCAAGGAGCAAAACAAGCUCCUCUCUAUCUAGUUAGGCGACACCCUUGCUGUCACGCCCCGGGACCGGCGAAGGCCCUCCCGGUAGCGUGCCCAGACCCGCCAUAUGUCUACACAUAUAAGGCGUCUACAAUAAAAAGCGGAAGUAAAGCGAGAGAUAGAACAAAUAACAAGAAGUAAAAUAACUAGCAACUAAUGAUAUUAGAGCGAGUAAAGUUCUAUCAUCUACACCAAAGUAAAGAAAUAAAGCUAGACAAUAAAAGAAAUCAUAAGUAGUACACUAUCAGUCUCAAAAGUACAAAAAUGGUGGUCUCUAGUACACUGGUAAAACCCUCAACCUCUCGCAAAAAUAAAAUAUAUAUCGAGAGGUAGACCACCUAGCAACUCGACCUCGAAGGAAGCUAGCUCGAAGCAACUCCCUUCCCGCGAUCCCUGGCCUCACCCUGCGUGGAAGGCUCUGAAAAACAUCGAGAAAAAGAGGGCGUGAGAACUAUAAUUUAUAGUUCCCAGUGGGCAAUUACUGACCUCAGCUCAUUGCUCCACUAGGCCCCAAAAAAAAAAGGGGGGGUAAGUCCAACAAUAAUAGUAACGAGUAAAUUGCAUAUAAGAAAGCAUAAUUAAGAUGCUAAGCUACAACUUGCAAUUAAACAUGGCAUUUAUAAUGCGACUUUAUCUUGUCAUGGAUAAUAUAUAUCUACAUGUUCACAAGUAAUAUCAUGAUUUACUUUAUACAGAUAUGAAAGUGAUACUUUGUCAUGACUACAAUGCAUAUAAGGAUGCAAUAAACAACAUCUCCUAGCAUACUACAUGUAUGUAUGAAUACCCAAAUGUCCACAUCUAUGCUAGAAGCAAGUCCAAGUAAUCCAGCUACUACUCUCUGUCUAGUAGUGAUUAUCACACACUCAACAUUGUGUCGGUUUCCAUUUCCAAUUAGGGACCUACCCAAGGUAGUCCAGCUUGUGCCGCCUAAGUGCCUGUGGUAGCCCGACAUCCCUACUCUUGGAAUGUGUCUGUCCCACUCGACCCCGUAGGCUUCUCAAUACCGCACGAGCGAACAAAAGUCGCGUAGGCUAACUCCGGAGUGCCGGCUUGUAGGGAGCGACCCUCACAAGCAUGUGCGAAUGAGCACAAAUGGCAAGCAAGCAUAGUCCAAGUCUCAAGUAUCCAAUCCUCAUGUCUCUAACAUGGUAUAGUCACUAGCAUCCCGAAGAUCUAGUUUAAGUCACAACAUGAAGUUCCAAUACUACUAAGUCUUGUGCCCCUUUAUGACACUUAGACAUUUUAAUGAACAAGUAUAUCCAACUCUCUCAAUGGCACUAUCCACUAGGUUCACACAUGACCCGAGCUCGAUGCCCCUUCAUGACAUUAGCCCAAUUAUUCACAAAUAGCACAAGUCCCCGAGCCUCUUUAUGGCUUACCAAGAACCUUUAAGUUCAAUAUAGGAAUAACUUUAAAUGCAUGCAAAAGAUGCUCAUUUUCACAAUAGGAUUUAUGAUUCCAAGUCUCAAUAGGAUGCCAAACAUAUGCGAGUACCACAUGCUAGUUCUCUACUAUAUGGAGGUCCGAACUUUCCUUACACAUAACAUAGGCAUAUUAAGCAUCCUAAAAUUCACAAUAAAUAUAUCUAACAUGAUUAUGCAUGCUUUUUCAAUUAACGAUACUUAAUUCAUCACAAAUGAGAAUUUCUCAUUGUGUGGCUAGGUCAAACCCACCGAACCGUCGCGUAGGGCCUCGUUUCGCCGAACGAAGUUGUCCACGAGUCUCAAAAUACCCUAAAAGUAUUGAGCGAAGAGAUACACGGGCAUUACGAUCAACUAUAAGAUCAAACAUUAACAAUUAUAGCAAAAGGGUUAAAACUCACCUAAGGAGUGGAAAAUCUCUCUCAAGCUCCAAAAGAAGGCUAGGAUCCUUCCAAUCUAACCCAAAGGAGGGUUCUAAUCCAAGAAAUCUAGCUUCAAAAGCCCUAGAUCAAAAAGCCCCAAAAUUGAACCCUAAGUCUCAAUCUAGGGUUUCAUCACAAAAUCCUCAAUAAAACUCUAUUUUAGAGGAAGAGAACAAGUGGAUUACCUCUUGGAAGCUUUAAGUCAAGCUCUAAAUGCUCUAAGUCCCAAGUUCUUCCCUCAACAAGGCCCCAAAUCCAAGCUCUUGGCUUCAACCAUGGUGAAAUAGCACCAAAAGGGAAAAAAGAGAGAUUAAUCCAAGAAAAAUCCAAAAGAGAGGGACCAAAUCACCAAGAGAGCAAGGAGGAACUCCCCUACCUCAAAUCCCAGAGUUCUCAGCUCAGGGGAAUGCCCUAGGGGCGUGGGGGUUCUAAUAGAAGUGCUACAAAAGCAAAAAUACCCCUGCAGUUUCGAACUGUGCGAAGUCUGCCGCCUUGUACCGGUACACGGGCCCUUGUACCGGUACAAGGUCCACGAAAUCCAAACCCGAGGCUCGGGUUGCUGGGCUCUGCGGCUCUGUACCGGUACAAGCUCCGAUGGCUGUACCGGUACAACCAUCAACCUUAUACCGGUACAAGCACAACCUUGUACCGGUACAAGCACAACCUUGUACUGGUACAAGCCCGCCAGAACUCAAUCCGAGAGUCAGCCAAAUCCCCUUUUUUCGGAUUUUGGUGCAAGGCUUUGUACCACAAAUCUCGGGACACGUGCCAUAGGUCGGAACACAGUCAACGACCCACCAGAAAAUCUGAAAAAGCUCAGAACACAGCCAAUCACUCGAAGCUCGCAAUUUGCAAAGGUCCAGUGUGUUACAUUCACCCCUCCUAAAAGGGAGGUUCGUCCGCGAAACUCAAAACAAACAAAAUACCUCAAGCCUCCAUCUGAAAAAGAUGGGGAUAUCGCUCCCACAGUGUGCUCUCCAACUCCCAAGUGGCCUCGCGCUUGCCGUGGUUGCUCCAAAGCACUUUCACGUAGGGAAUUUUCCGGUUCCGCAAUCUUUUCACCUCGCGAGCCAAGAUCCUUAACGGCUGCUCCUCGAAGCUCAAAUCAUCCCUCAGCUCCACAAGCGUAGCGUCCAACACGUGAGACGGAUCAUGGAUGUACUUCCGAAGGACCGAUACAUGGAAUACGUUGUGUACACCCGAUAGGUUUGGCGGUAGAGCGAGUCGAUACGCUACCGGGCCUACACGCUCCAAAACCUCAUAUGGUCCAAUGUAUCGGGGGCUCAACUUGCCCCGGAUUCCAAAUCGUCUAAUCCCCCGAGUCGGCGAGACCUUCAAGAAGACAUGAUCUCCAAUCUGAAACUCCAACUCUCGUCGACGCUGAUCAGCAUACUCCUCUGCCUACUCUGGGCUGUCAACAGUCGCUCCCGAGCAAUGCGAACCUUGUCCUCUGCUUCCUGGAGCACAUCUGGGCCUAAAGCCAAUCUCUCGCCAACUUCACUCCAAUGAAGUGGCGAUCUACACUUCCGUCCAUAGAGUGCCUCGAACGGUGCCAUCUUGAUGCUUGCUUGAUAACUAUUGUUAUAAGCAAACUCUGCCAUCGGUAGAUGCUGCGACCAUCCUCCCUGGAAGUCGAUCACGCAGGCUCGAAGCAUGUCCUCAAGUGUCUGUAUAGUACGCUCCGACUGCCCGUCACUCUGGGGGUGGAAAGCAGUGCUGAAAUCCAAGCGCGUACCCAAAGCGUCCUGUAGGUUCCUCCAAAAAUGGGAUACAAAACGGGGGUCUCGAUCCGAUACUAUAGAAGUAGGUAUCUCGUGCAGUCGCACAAUCUCAUCCAAAUAAACCUGUGCGAGUCUUUCACCAGUCCAAGUAGUGUGGAUAGGUAUGAAGUAUGCCGAUUUCGUCAAUCUGUCCACGAUCACCCAAAUAGCAUCAUGCCCGGCCUGAGAGCGAGGCAAUCCCAUCACGAAAUCCAUGGUGAUCUUUUCCUAUUUCCACACUGGAAUCGGUAGGCUCUGCAGCUUUCCCGCAGGAACUCGGUGCUCAGCCUUCACCUGUUGGCAAGUUAAGCAUCUAGCAACAAACUCACCAACACCUUCUUCAUCCCGGGCCACCAAUAAAAUAACCUCAAGUCCUUGUACAUCUUGGUACCUCCCGGAUGUAUAGCAUACGGUGCUCGGUGUGCUUCUUGAAGAAUGUCCUCUUUAAUGCCCAAGUCCGUCGGUACACAAAGUCGUCCGCAGAAACGCAUCAAUCCAUCACCAUGUAAAGUGAAGUCGCCGGUGCAACCAUCAACCAUCUUAGCUCGUAUCUUUUGCAACUCCGAGUUGGAAGCUUGCUUUUCUUUAAUCCUUUCCAAAAGGGUAGGUUGCACCACGAAAACUGUCAGCCUCAAGGGUGUAUCAGGAGCCACCACCUCCAACUCCAACCGCUUUAUCUGCUCGAUUAACGGUGGUUGAGUAACCACAAGCAUCGCUAAGUUCUCCGUCGAUUUUCGAUUUUGCGCAUCCGCCACCACGUUAGCCUUGCCCGGGUGGUAAAGUAUCGUCAAAUCAUAGUCCUUGAGUAGCUCCAACCAUCUGUGCUGCCUCAAGUUCAACUCCUUCUGAGUGAAAAGAUACUUUAAGCUCUUGUGAUCCGUAUAUACUUCACACCACUCGCCAUAUAAGUAGUGGCGCCAUAGCUUCAAUGUAAAGACUACGGCCGCCAACUCCAAGUCGUGAGUGGGGUAAUUCCUUUCAUAAUCCUUCAAUUGGCGAGAUGCAUACUCGAUCACUUUCCCGUCCUGCAUCAACACACAGCCCAAUCCAUUAAAGGAAGCAUCACUAUAAAUCACAUAUCCUGCUCCAGCAGUUGGCAAGGUUAGGAUCGGGGCGGUCGUCAAUCUCUGCUUCAACUCUUGGAAGCUUCUUUCACAGGCAUCAUUCCAAAUAAACUUGGUGCCCUUAUGCGUGAGCCUCGUGAGGGGGGUAGAUAACUUUGCAAAUCCCUCAACUAACCGUCGAUAGUAGCCGGCCAAACCAAGAAAGCUCCGAAUCUCCGUGACACUCGUCGGCCUUGGCCAAUCCUUGAUAGCCUCAAUUUUCCUCGGGUCCACGGCUAUGCCUGAUCCUGAAAUCACAUGGCCCAAAAACGCCACCUCUCUAAGCCAAAAUUCACACUUUUUCAACUUGGCGUAGAGCUUCUUUUCCCGAAGCACUUGAAGUACAAGUCUCAAGUGUUCCUCGUGAUCCGCAUCACUCUGGGAAUACACUAAGAUGUCGUCGAUAAACACCACGACAAACCUGUCUAAGUAAGGCUUGAAAACACGGUUCAUUAAAUCCAUAAAAGCUGCCGAGACGUUAGUAAGCCCAAACGGCAUAACGAUAAACUCAUAGUGUCCAUACCGUGUUCUAAAAGCCGUCUUCGAUACAUCCUCAGGUCUAAUCCUCAACUGGUGAUAUCCCGAUUGCAAGUCAAUCUUGGAGUACACACAAGAUCCCUGGAGCUGAUCAAAUAGGUCAUCAAUCCUCAGCAAUGGAUACUUGCUCUUAAUUGUGACUUUAUUGAGUUCACGAUAGUCCACACAUAAGCGACGUGAUCCAUCCUUCUUCUUCACAAACAAAACCGGUGCUCCCCAAGGUGACACACUCGGUCGCACAAAACCCUUAUCCAGAAGAUCCUGCAACUGUACCUUCAGCUCUUUCAAUUCUGCUGGUGCCAUCCUAUAGGGCGCCUUUGAGAUUGGAGUAGUCCUGGGAACGAGAUCUACCACAAACUCAAUCUCCCUAUCAGGAGGCAUAUCUGGAAGCUCCGCUGAAAACACAUCUCUAAACUCCCGCACUACGGGGAUAUCCUCAAUCCUAGGGGCGUCAUCCACACCCCGCAACACAACAGUAGCCAAGUAGGCUACGCAGCCUCUACUAAUCAACUGCCUAGCUCGAGAGGAGCUAAUCGUCAUCGCAAACAACGAACUCUGGCAUCCUCGGUACACAACCUCCGCCUGCCCUGGCUCUCUAAAAGUCACCGUUCGAUCCUUGCAAUCGAUAGUGGCGUAGUACUUAGUCAACCAAUCCAUGCCCAACACAACGUCAAACUCCCCGAGUUUAUGCAAAGCUAACAAGUCUAUGGGCAUGAUCCAAUCUCCAACCCGAAUAGGGCAGCUGGGGCAAAACUCCCGAAUGUCCAAAGAAUGAUCAGGUACAACAACUCGUCCCAGGUGCAACAAGGAUACAAGUGGGAUGCCAUGCAGCUCGGCAAACAGCCGAUCAAUGAAUGAAUGCGAUGCACCGAUAUCAAACAAAGCUCUAACUUGAAUACCAUGAAGUAAAAUGAUACCUGCGACCACAUUCUCGGCUGCCGCCGCCUCCUCAGUCUGGGCCGCAUACAUGCGCCCGCUCCGGGCCUGUCGUGACCCCUCCGCCUGCCGCAGAACUGGCGGCCGCUCUGCCUGGUGAUGCGCAAAAGAUGUCCCCUGACUGAGACCUGGCGAUGCUGGUGUAGAUGCCGAAGAUGGCGCUGGCAAUGGACUCCUCGGGCAGUCCGACUAAAAGUGGCCCUCCUGGCCACACAAGAAGCACCUACCCCGGCUGCGUGAACACUGCCGCGAGUAAUGAGGACCGCCACAAAUCACGCAGCGGGGUCCUGGCGACGAUCGGGUCCUCCUCGCUGAGUAGACUGGCCCCGUCCUCGAGACUGGCUCCUACUCCUGGGAUGCCUCGGCGGCCUCUGUGAGUGCGUCCGACUCGUACCCUCAGCCGCGGGCCUCUUUCCCUUGCCCUUGUCUAGGGCCUCGCGUCGCUCCUGAAGGUCUGCCGCUCCAGCCUCCACAAUAAGUGCACGGUCCACAACCUCCCGGUAGGUUUGGAGGUUAGAGGACUGCACCAACCGAAAGAUCGAAGACCGCAAUCCACGCUAAAAAAUGCGGGCCUUGUCCUCGUCAUCUCGCACCACAAAAGACACACAAUGGAGUAGUCGAGAAAACUCCCUCUCGUACUCGGCCACGGACCGCUCAUCCUGGCGCAAGCUGCGCAAGUCCUGCUCCAUCUUCCUCUUAACGCUGGUCGGGAAGUAGUGCGCCAGAAGAAGCUCCUUGAAUCGCGUCCAUGUGAUCGCUGUCAAGUCGGUGCUGGGAUUGUCCUGGAUAUCCAACCACCAACGAUAGGCCUCGCCGUCAAGAAAAUGAGUGGCGAGCCAAACCCUGUCCAUCUCCUCAACGAAGGUGUCUCGAAACAGCUUCUCCAUAUGCAUCAACCACUUCUCAACAAUCCAGUGGUCGACGUUCUCGCCAUCAAACAUCCUCGGGCUGCACCUCCUGAACUCACUGAGGCGCUCCAUGAGCCGAUCCCGCUCGGCUCCCUCGGCCAUCACGGGGAAUGCCGCCCAUGUCGCUGGUCUCUGAACUGGGGGUACCGCAGCCACCUCCUCCCGAGGUGUGGUCGCCGGCGCCGCACGGGAAGAACUGGGCGCGGGGGACUGCGCUCUCGGUGCGACGUCCACCACGGGUGCUGGCGGUGUGAGAACCUGGGUCUCCCUCGAAGCUGCUGCCUGCUGAAGUAGGAGGUCCUCAAGAUGCUUCAUCUGCGCCUCUUGCCGCUGAGCUACCUCAGCCUGUCGCUGCGCCGCUGCCGUCUGCUGCGCCAACAGGUCAGUGAGAACCGCAAGCUGGGCCCUCAAGUCACGGACCUCACUAGAUCCGGAAGUAGCGGAGGUCUCGACCUCCUCAGGGUGUGCCGCAUCAUUCGCCCCAGCAGACUGGGAGCGUGUAAUCGGCAUCGUCACUACAUAACAUAAAAGCGCAAGUUAGUAACCCACGCUAUCGCAUCCCCGCUCAAAUAGAUAAAACCCAAAUCAUGCGAAAGUAAGGAAGUGUCCUUCACUACUAACUCCGGAUGUUACGUUGUCGGCCGCCAACGUAACCCUCCGCGAAGUUAGAAACCAUACACUCCGAUCAAACUUUAACUUUUUAGAGUUGUCAUAAACCUAAUCAUAAAACUUUCGCUCACAAGUCAAUUAGACCUCGUCUCUCACGAGCCUAAUUCCUAUAGUCCAACCGGCCUAAGGUUUGCUAGGUCCUCUAAAACUCAACCCUAGGCUCUGAUACCAAAUUAAUCUGUCACGCUACGGGACCGGCGGAGGCCCUCCCGGUAGCGUGCCCAGACCCGCCAUAUGUCUACACAUAUAAGGCGUCUACAAUAAAAAGCAGAAGUAAAGCGAGAGAUAGAACAAAUAACAAGAAGUAAAAUAACUAGCAACUAAUGAUAUCAGAGCGAGUAAAGUUCUAUCAUCUACACCAAAGUAAAGAAAUAAAGCUAGACAAUAAAAGAAACCAUAAGUAGUACACUAUCAGUCUCAAAAGUACAAAAAUAGUGGUCUCUAGUCCACUGGUAAAACCCUCAACCUCUCGCAAAAAUAAAAUAUAUAUCGAGAGGUAGACCAUCUAGCAACUCGUCCUCGAAGGAAGCUAGCUCGAAGCAACUCCCUUCCCGCGAUCCCUGGCCUCACCCUGCGUGGAAGGCUCUGAAAAACAUCGAGAAAAAGAGGGCGUGAGAACUAUAAUUUAUAGUUCCCAGUGGGCAAUUACUGACCUCAGCUCAUUGCUCCACUAGGCCCCAAAAGAAAAUGGGGGGGUAAGUCCAACAAUAAUAGUAACGAGUAAAUUGUAUAUAAGAAAGCAUAAUUAAGAUGCUAAGCUACAACUUGCAAUUAAACAUGGCAUUUAUAAUGUGACUUUAUCUUGUCAUGGAUAAUAUAUAUCUACAUGUUCACAAGUAAUAUCAUGAUUUACUUUAUACAGAUAUGAAAGUGAUACUUUGUCAUGGCUACAAUGCAUAUAAGGAUGCAAUAAACAACAUCUCCUAGCAUACUACAUGUAUGUAUGAAUACCCAAAUGUCCACAACUAUGCUAGAAGUAAGUCCAAGUAAUCCUACUACUACUCUCUGACUAGUAGUGAUCAUAAUAAACUCAACACCGUGUCGAUUUCCAUUUCCAAUUAAGGACCUACCAAAGGUAGUCCAGCUUGUGCCGCCUAAGUGCCUGUGGUAGCCCAACAUCCCUACUCUUGGAAUGUGUCUGUCCCACUCGACCCCGUAGGCUUCUCAAUACCGCACGAGCGAACAUAAGUCGCGUAGGCUAACUCCGGAGUGCCGGCUUGUAGGGAGCGACCCUCACAAGCAUGUGCGAAUGAGCACAAAUGGCAAGCAAGCAUAGUCCAAGUCUCAAGUAUCCAAUCCUCAUGUCUCUAACAUGGUAUAGUCACUAGCAUCCCGAAGAUCUAGUUUAAGUCACAACAUGAAGUUCCAAUACUACUAAGUCUUGUGCCCCUUUAUGACACUUAGACAUUUUAAUGAACAAGUAUAUCCAACUCUCUCAAUGGCACUAUCCACUAGGUUCACACAUGACCCGAGCUCGAUGCCCCUUCAUGACAUUAGCCCAAUUAUUCACAAAUAGCACAAGUCCCCGAGCCUCUUUAUGGCUUACCAAGAACCUUUAAGUUCAAUAUAGGAAUAACUUUAAAUGCAUGCAAAAGAUGCUCAUUUUCACAAUAGGAUUUAUGAUUCCAAGUCUCAAUAGGAUGCCAAACAUAUGCGAGUACCACAUGCUAGUUCUCUACUAUAUGGAGGUCCGAACUUUCCUUACACAUAACAUAGGCAUAUUAAGCAUCCUAAAAUUCACAAUAAAUAUAUCUAACAUGAUUAUGCAUGUUUUUUCAAUUAACGAUACUUAAUUCAUCACAAAUGAGAAUUUCUCAUUGUGUGGCUAGGUCAAACCCACCGAACCGUCGCGUAGGGCCUCGUUUCGCCGAACGAAGUUGUCCACGAGUUUCAAAAUACCGUAAAAGUAUUGAGCGAAGAGAUACACGGGCAUUACGAUCAACUAUAAGAUCAAACAUUAACAAUUAUAGCAAAAGGGUUGAAACUCACCUAAGAAGUGGAAAAUCUCUCUCAAGCUCCAAAAGAAGGCUAGGAUCCUUCCAAUCUAACCCAAAGGAGGGUUCUAAUAAAAAAAAAUCUAGCUUCAAAAGCCCUAGAUCAAAAAGCCCCAAAAUUGAACCCUAAGUCUCAAUCUAGGGUUUCAUCACAAAAUCCUCAAUAAAACUCUAUUAUAGAGGAAGAGAACAAAUGGACUACCUCUUGGAAGCUUUAAGUCAAGCUCUAAAUGCUCUAAGUCCCAAGUUCUUCCCUCAACAAGGCCCCAAAUCCAAGCUCUUGGCUUCAACCAUGGUGAAAUAGCACCAAAAGGAAAAAAAGAGAGAUUAAUCCAAGAAAAAUCCAAAAGAGAGGGACCAAAUCACCAAGAGAGCAAGGAGGAACUCCCCAUACCUCAAAUCCCAGAGUUCUCAACUCAGGGGAAUGCCCUAGGGGCGUGGGGGUUCUAAUAGAAGUACUACAAAAGCAAAAACACCCCUGCAAUUUCGAACUGUACGAAGUCUGCCGCCUUGUACUGGUACACGGGCCCUUGUACCGGUACAAGGUCCACGAAAUCCAAAUCCGAGGCUCAGGUUGCUGGGCUCUGCGGCUCUGUACCGGUACAAGCUCCGAUGGCUGUACCAGUACAACCAUCAACCUUGUACCGGUAGAAGCACAACCUUGUACCGGUACAAGCCCGCCAGAACUCAAUCCGAGAGUCAGCCAAAUCCCGUUUUUUCGGAUUUUGGUGCAAGGCUUUCUACCACAAAUCUCGGGACACGUGCCAUAGGUCGGAACACAGUCAACGACCUACCAGAAAAUCUGAAAAAGCUCAGAACACAGCCAAUCACUCGAACCUCGCAAUUUGCAAAGGUCCAGUGUGUUACACUUGCCGCGAUCCCGUGCCGAAGGCUCUGAAAUAAAACCAUAAAACAGAGGGCGUGGGAACUAUUAAAUAAUAGUUCCCAGUGGGCAAUUACUGACUUCAGUGAAAUGCGCCACUAGGCCCAAAAGCUACAAAAGAGGGUCAGUAUAAGUAUAAACGAAAGCAAAAUAAUGAACAAGUAUGGAAUCAUGAGUACUAUUCUACCAUGAUAUCUCUACUUAGCAUGAACUGCAUAAGUAAUAAACCAACUACAACAAGUAUGUACAUGAGUGUGACUAACAUAUAUAAGCAUGGGUAUGCAACCAACACAAUGUCCUCGAUGCAAAUAGUAAAGAUAUCAUUAUUUACUAUUCUAGUCAAUGUCCACUUGUCACUUAACUGUUAAAAGUUUAAUCUUAUAAAACCCACUCGAAGGCUGUCUGGCAUGAAGACCCACCCGAAGGCUGUCUGGCCUGUAAGACCCACCCGUAGGCUGUGUGGCUGGUGCCGUGCCUAAUGGCCCCGUGGUAGUCAACAUCCCUACUCUUAGGAAUGAGCCUUUCCCACGGCAAUUCACAUCGGCGCCCAAUUCCGCACGGCGAAUAUGUAUCGCGAUGGCUAACUCCGGAGUGCCGGUUUGUAGGGAGCGACCCUCACAAGCAUGUGCGAAUGAGCACAAUGGCAAGCAUGCGUAUAAGUCUGUCUCAAGUCUCAAGUCCUCAUGUCUAUGAACAUGGAAUGUAUCGAAUAUCACAAAGGCCUAUCACUAUGUCUCUUUGUUGCAUUUUCAUAGUUUACUACCUUCAAGUACCCCUUUAUGACACUUUUGUUCAACGAGUCCAAGCUUGAUGAUUAUGUUCAUGAAUACAUAAUUCUAACCAUUUCUAGCAUAAGAGACAUGUUCUCAACUUGAAAAGAUGCACACCUUUCACAUGCAUGCAAUCUACACAUAUAGCUCUACUAUAUAGAGUGAUAUUCAUCUUACACAUAGUACAUGCAUUUCAAGGGUUCUAAAAUUUUCAUAAAUCAUAUCUAGUAUGGAUUUACAUUCAAAAAGACUUUACGACGAGUAUGUAAUGCAUAGGGGCUAUUUUGCCCUAAUUUCAUGAAGUCAAACCCACCAAAAAUCGAAACUUUUCGUUUCGCCGAACGGAGGUGUCCACAAGUCUCCUAGCACCAUAAAGAUGUAGGAACAAGAGUUACACAAUCGAAACGAACAUCGAAAAGCUCAAUCUUAACCAUCUAAGCAUAGAGGGCAUAACUCACCUCUUGUGAUGAAAUCCCUUCCCAAGCUUCCAAAGAGAGCAAUAACCUUUCCAACCCAACCUAGAGUAAGGUUCUAAACCCAUCAAUUAGGUCUCUAAGCCCUCAAAUCAAAAAUCCCCAAAAUAAACCCUAAAAUCCAAAUCUAGGAUUUCAUCUCCCAAAAUCUACCAAAAAUAGGUCUAGAGGGGAGAAAUAAGCAACUAACCUCAAGAGAAGAUCCAAACCAAGCUCCAAAGGCUCUAGGGUUGUAGAUUGAUCCUCUACCGAGCUCCUAGCCCAAGCCCCAAGCCUCCAAAAGUGAGAGAUGAGGAAGAGGGAGAUGCUCCAAAGCCUCCAAGCUUGCUCUCCUUCUCCUCUUCUUCUUCUUCUUCUUCUUUUUCUCUCUCUAGAGGAUGUGAGAGGGUGAGAAAUAUGAGAAAGAGAGAGGAGAAGUGGCUCUAAAAGCCCCCUCAUGCACAAAAUCCACCUAGGUCCCCCAACAUUUCAAUCCUUGCAUCAGCCCGGACUGGGCAAUUUCGCCCAGGGGGGCCGAUCUCUCCCCGCAUGGGACUGGUCUCUCAGGUCGAACCCGAAAAUCCAACGCUCGGGAACCGGUUUCUCCCCGCCAGGGACCGGUCUCUCGGACCCUUCACGCAAAACACGCGUUCCGGAACCGGUCUCUCCCAGCCAGGGACCGGUUGCCUCAAGCCCUGCCGCAGCACUGUUCUGAGGGGACCGGUCUCUCAUAUCAGGGACCGGUCCCCGAAAGUGAAAACUCUCAGGACUUGCCAAAAUUCUAGAGAUCGAACUUUUAGGUCGGAAUACCAUCUACGACCUUCCACCAAGUGUGGAAAAGUUCUGGAUACAUAUCAAACACUCGAACCUCGCAAUUUGCAAAGGUCCAGUGUGCUACAUUCACCCCUCCUAAAAAGGAGUUUCGUCCGCAAAACUCAAACGACAACACAUACCUCAAAGCUCCAUCUGAAAAAGAUGGGGAUAGCGCUCCCGCAGCGUGCUCUUUAGCUCCCACGUGGCCUCCCGCUCCCCGUGGUUGCUCCAGAGAAUCUUCACAUACGGAAUAUCCCGAUUCCGCAGUUUCCGUAUCUUGCGAGCCAAAAUCCUCACUGGUUGCUCCUCGAAGCUCAAGUCGUCCCGCAACUCCACAGGUGUAGCAUCCAACACAUGAGUCGGGUCGAAGACAUACUUCCGAAGGACCGAUACAUGAAAGAUGUUGUGCACGUCCGAUAAGUUCGGUGGUAGAGUAAGUCGAUACGCUACCGGACCUACACGUUCCAAGAUCUCAUACAGUCCAAUGAAACGGGGGCUCAACUUACCCCGAAUCCCAAAUCUCUUGAUCCUUCUAGUCGGCAAGACCUUCAAGAAAAUAUGGUCUCCUACUUGGAACUCCAAGUCUCGCCGUCGUCGGUCGGCGUAGCUCCUCUGUCUACUCUGCGCCGUCAAAAGUCGCUCUCGAGCAAUUCGAACCUUGUCCUCAGCUUCCUAGAGCACGUCAGGGCCUAAUGCCAAUCUCUCGCCGACUUCACUCCAAUGAAGUGGCGAUCUACACUUCCAUCGAUAAAGUGUUUCAAAUGGCGCCAUCUUGAUGCUUGCUUGAUAACUGUUGUUAUAAGCAAACUCAGUCAUAGGUAGGUGCCGCGACCAUCCUCCCUGGAAGUCUAUCACACAUGCUCGAAGCAUAUCCUCUAAAGUCUGAAUGGUGCGCUCCGACUGUCCGUCACUCUGAGGGUGGAAAGCAGUGCUGAAGUCGAGUCGGGUGCCGAAUCAAUAGUUCCUAGUGGGCAAACCGCUGACCUCAGCGAAAUACUCCACUAGGCUAAAGAGGCGAAAGUAGAAAGAGAACUAUAAUAAACAAUAUGUAUGUGAAAUACAACAAUUAACAUGGCAAUGCUACUAUGCCUCAAGUUUAGCAUGAUAUUAAGCAUGAAAAUUACUAAUCUAUCAUAAUCGAGUAUAUCCAAGGAGUAUACUAGUAUACUCUAAACAUGAUCAUCAUAAAUAUAAAUAUGCACCAAGCAUGGUUCACCAAUAUACCACUAUGUCCAACUACUGUAAUAAUGUGCCCAACCAAUACCUACUAUCAAGUAGUAAAUGUCACUUAGUUGUUUCAUUGUCAUUUUCCAUUCCAAUCUAGGAACUACACAAGUGUAGUCCUGCUUGUACCGCCUAAUGGCCCCGAGUAGUCCAGCAUUUCUCUAGGAAUGUGACUGUCCCACAGUGAUCCAGUAGGCCCUCAAUCGCACACAGGCGAGCAUAUGUCGUGUAGGCCAAGUCCGGAGUGCCGGCUUGUCGGGAGCAACCCUCACAAGCAUGUGCAAAUGAGCACAAAUGGCAAGCAAGCAUAAUCAUCAUCUCAAGUCCAUGAGCUAACCUUUAACCAACCCAACAUUAGAUCAAAAUUCACCUUGUAUGGUGUAGAACUCUUCCAAACUCCAAAUGGUGGCUAGGAUCCUUCUAAUCCAACCUAAAUUGAAGUUCUACACCGAUCAAUUUAGCCCUAAAGGCUACAAAUCAAAAAUCCCCAAAUAAAACACUAGAUUCUACAUUCUAGAUUUUCUACUCAAAAAUCCCCCAAAACAAGAUCCAAAGGAAAGAUCAAGCCUACUAACCUCUCUUGAAGCCCCAAACCAAGUUAGGAGUGAGCUAGGGUUGAAGAUCAUUCCUCCAAUGAGCUCGAAACAUCAACUCUAGGGCUUCUCCAAGGUGGGAGAACCAACAUGAAGUAAAAAAGGAGCAAAAAAAGGUGAUCAAUCCAACAAAACCCAAGCAAAAAGAGGAGAAAAAGCAAAGAAAAUGAAAACGAAACCCACCUCUCCUCCGUCUCUGGUUGCAGCACAAGAGCCCCUGCCCAAGGGGUAUGGGGUAUAUAAAGUGUUGGGAUAAUUACAAAAAGAACCUCCAAAAACUGGCAGUCUGCGGACUGUACUGCGUACCGGUACGCGGGCUGGAGUGCCGGUACCCCGCAGCCGAGCUCACCAAACCCGAGCCUCGGUCAGGCGAGAAAACACGCUGCGUACCGGUAUCCGUGCAAUGCAGUACCGAUACUAGGUUCAGUAUCGGUACUAGUAUCGGUACUCGGGCAAUACAGUAUCGGUACUCUGCCUCGCAGAGCUCAAACUCGAGAGCACUCUUCUCGAGUGCGCGAUGCCGUUCUGGUACCCCUUCUCUAGUACCGGUACCAGCAUCCCAGAACCUACAGUUUGAAGGUUUUGGUGCUAAGUACUCAUCCUCGCUCCUCAAGACGCGAGUAAUGGGUCGGAACACAGUCAACGACCCACCAGAAAACCUGAAAAAGCUCAGAACACUAAUCAAACACUCGAACAUUGAAAUUUGCUAAAGUUCAGUGUGUUACAGACGUACAGUUCCAUCAGAAAUGCAUGGUUUUUAUACAGUCUUGACAUGUUUUGGACAUCAUCGUCUCUACAAUAUCGAUGAGUUUGUUGAUUUUCCCACUGUAGCAAAGUUUAAUUUCGAUCUUGCAGCUCUCCGGUAAAGUGUUCAUGAAUUCGAAGAUCCGCGCUCGCAGGGAAUUAAAACGCUCACCUUGCCCGAUGAAAGCGAGCCGGUAGGAUCCUCCUACAUACUUGACAUUUCCUUCAUCUUCUGAAAAGAAGCCAUUAAAAUAGCAGUGCACUGGAACUUCAACGUUAUCCAUGAGUUGGAAGCAAUACAGUUAGAUGAUAGUAAUGCAAUGCCACUCUUUUAUAAAAAUAUAAUCCAGUUAACUUGCAUAAAUUGGUAAGUUUUGAAAAAUGCGGAAAACAGUAGGUCCAUUCCUGCCAUAAUUCAUUUCCGACAUCUCUGCAUACAACGUUGGCAUAGCCUUCGAUCAUCGAUAGUUGUUAAUAAAACGGCGCAUCGCUUGCACCAUUUUGGUGGAUUAUUACAAUGCUUGCAAGCAUAUUACACUAAUUGCGAGUAGUAUUACACUAUUUUGUUAUACAUUGCACCAAUAUUUCAAAUUGUCGUGCUGCAUUUCUGUUUUGGUAUUAGCGCCAUUUUAUAUUUUUUCAACAGUACCUCAACAAGAAAUAUCAUCAGCAACAUCAUUCAGAUUACGUUCUGUCCUCGAGAUACAUCAUAAGGGGAAUGUCAAAAGGCUUUUCUCCUCGGGAAGGGAAAGCGGCGGCUACAGAACCCAAUGAUUACAAGCGCCUUUUCGCUUUAUAGCCAACGGUUCUUCAGAUUCAUUCCCCGUUGCAUUACUACAUAUAAAAAAAAGGACGUAAAGGCGACGAGGGCAACCGGUGCGGCAGCGGAAGGUGCCAGAGCCGAUGGAGCUAACGGCGACGAUGCUACUGUUCGUCUAGGAGGCCGAAGCAGAGUUCGAGAACGAUGAGGCUCGCUUGGAAGGGUAUGAUACAGUAACGAGGGGUUAAGAUUGAUUCGCACUAUCUGGAGUGCUUUAUUUGCCUCGAGCCCAAUGGCCCUCCUCUUUUCCAAGUUCUUAAAUUCUUGCAGAUUUUUAUUGUUAUUGAUCGAUUCUAAUAUUUUACUGACUGUACUAUCUGUUUCCGAACAUGGUAGAGCGGAGAUCCAAAUGGCUCGUGGCAAAUAAAGCACUCCAAAUAGUGCAAAUCUAUCUUAACGCCUCAUUGUUAGAUCAUACCCUUCCGAGUGAGCCGCCUCCUUCUCGCAGUCUCCUUCGGCUCUCUCCCGUGGCCGCCUAUACCUGUUAGCGUCGGCUCCGUGCGUGUGGAAUUGCAGACAAGCUUAGAUGAUUCCGUACUUUUCUUAAAUAAUUAUUUUGAGAAGUUUGUUACAUUUGAUGUAAUAGAAUGUUGUGUUGUAUGCAAAUCGUGUCUUAUAUAUUGCAUUUUCAUCAUUUUUGCUAAAGACAAUGUAAUAUUUGGUACAACAUUAAUAAAGAGAGCAUUUUGUUACAGUUGAUAUAAUAGAAUCUUAUAUUGUAUGCAAAUCGUGUCUUAUAUGUUGCAUUUUCGUCAAAAAAAUAUAAUCUUUGGUACAACAUUACUAGAGAGAGCAUUUUGUUAAAAUUGAUUUAAUAGAACCUUAUAUUGUAUGCAAAUCGUGUCUUAUAUGUUGCAUUUUCAUCAAAGUUGAUAUAAUCUUUGUUACAGCAUUAAUAGAGAGAGCAUUUUCAAUAGUUAGUGCCGACUUGCACUAAUUAUAGCUGCGUAUUGCACCAUUUUAUAUUAGGUUGCACUAUUUAGUUUAAAAAAAACUUAAUUCAGCCAGUGUUCCACUUUUAUGUUACACUCGUUGGAACUGCAUUGCACUGUUACGGUGAAUGUUGCACUAGUAGUAAGAAGCGCACUACACUCUUACAAGCUUGGUUGUACUCGUUUUCUCCGUAUUGGACUAUUAUUCGCGUUUUACGUUGCACUAUUAUUGUACGGCUAAAUCAAGCAAGUAAGCAUUUUUAAGAGUUGUUGCACGAUAGUUUUUAAUCGUUUAAGCGUUAUGCUGCACAGCUCAAACGCCCCCCCGUGGCGCCACAGCAACUGGGGACGAGAAAUACAACGACCCUCCACCGCUUCGUCUGCAUUCGCGGUAAAAUAAUUUACGGACUUAUUUGCACUAUUAUCUUCAUAUUAUAUCAACAAAUAGAGAGAAAAAUUUGAACUAGUUACGGACUAGUUACAUUGCUUAGCAAAGAAUAUUGCACUGUUUUGAUCUCUGUUACGCCAUUUACAAACUUGUUUUCUCUAUUACCUUCUUCUUAUCACCAAAUACAGAGAAAAUUUUGCACUAGUUAUGGAUUCGUUCACCAUUUCUGUAAAAGUUAUGGACUUAUUGCACUAUUUGCGUUAAAAUAUUGAACAAAUUGCACCAUUUUCUUUUAUUUAUUUGCUAUCGAUAGCAUUCCAACUCAACUCUAUAUAUAUAGAGUUGAGCUGGAAUGCUAUCGAUUGCAAAAGGGCUCCGUUGCCACCCUUUUGUUUUCGAUGAUGGAGCCUUCAAAUCGAUGAUCGGCAUCGUUGAACAUUGUAAUAUACUGAAACUUCGGUAGAGUACUCUGGACUUUAGCCGAAUUGUCUAAAGCGACCGAUAGAAAAAGUUGGAUAAAGUCAAAUUAAUAUUUCAACAAUGUUGGAAGGGUUAAAAAUGAGUUCUAAAAGAAUUAGAAAGGUUUUAAUAUCGAUCGGCGCGAAAUAGAAUCGAAAAAGAUGCAAAACUGAAAUUCUGGGACUUUUGUUACCGGUUUAACAUCGAGUUAGUAUCGGUACUGCAUUGUAAACCGAGAGAAACAGCUCUCGGGUUUGCCUCUGCGAAACCUUGUAACCGGUGACAAACUGAUUUAGUACCGGUACCAAGUGUAUUAACCCGAACGGAAUGCUCUCGGGUUGGUUCUGCGAAAUCGUGUAACCGUGACAGAUUGGGCCGUACCGGUACCAAGUCUGCUUCGCAGCAGAAUGAGAUUUGCUGCAAAUAUGAGUUUUGGGAGGGUCUAAAUGCAAUUGUAGCAUCUUAUAAAAGCCCCCAACACUCCUCUCCUCUGGUCCACAACAGCAAACACCUCUCUCCUCUCACCUCUCUCUUUCUUUCUCUAGAAAUCUCUCCAAGGAGCAAGAAGAAGAAGAAGGAGAAGGAUUUUUGUAGGAGAUUUGAGGUUUUUGGAGGUUUGGGUCUCUCCUACAAGGUGGACUUUGGAGAGCUUAGGGCAAAGGUGAGGUUUCUUUGUGAGAUUAACGUUAGGGCUUGAAUUUUAUGCCCUAAAUCUUUGGAUUUAAGCUUCUUACAAGUGUAGCAACCUUCUAGAGGCUAUAGAACACAUGAAAACCCAAGGUUUUUCAUGAGCUCUCAUGGUGGAUUUCUAGGGCUCAGUUUGUAUGCCCUAAAAAUGGUUGGAAAGGCUUAGAAAAGGUUCUAAAUUAGUUCUUAGGAGUUCAACAAGCUUUCUUUUGCUUGUUUUACAGAUCAAACCCAAAGAUUGAGCAAAUAGCAUUGUUAGGGCACCAAAAUUUGGAGCUUUUGCCCUAGGAUGGUUUUGAGGCAAAUUGGCCUUAUAGAAACCUAAUUGGGGGUAUUUCUAACUAGAAUAUGAAAUCGGUUCGGUGAUUCGACGAGUGUACGCAAUGAAAUUAAUAAAAAAGUCUAUUUUGGUACAGAUUGCCGCAGCACGCCAAGUAGGCGCCCGAAAAUUCUAAGAAUUGAACCGUAGCACUCUUGCAACCAUACAAGGUGGGUGGUGCUUUCUGAAAUCAUUGAAUUUUCUUUUAUGUCGAAAGUGUCAUUUUUGAGCAUGUGUAUGUAUUGAGCAUUGUGCAUAGUAGGGUUGCUUUGAGAGCAUAUGUUGCAUGUUGUGAGGACAAAUGCAUGAGAAAUAAUAGUGAAAGAGUAAGAACUUGUGUAACCCUAUGUAUGCAUGAUCAAUGACAAGAACCUAGUUGAGGUAGAGAACAAAAGUGACAUGUUGACAUAAAUGUAGAGAGUGGCAUUGAUGAGUCUUGAAUACUAGUGUUACAAUAGUGACAUUACUGAGACAAGAAUGCUAGAGUUAAACACUUAGAGGACAAGUGUGGCAUUAGUAAAUAAAUACAAAGAACAAAGUAGUGUAUAUGACACUAGUGAAAGUUAAAGAAUGCGAGUAAAGAGAGAUAGUGACAAUAUGACAUAACAACCUUAUAGUUAAGGGUCAUGUGAACAUUGCAUCCUUAUAGCUAAGGAUUGGAUUGAAUUUGGAAUCCUUAUAGUUAAGGAUUGGAUCACACUCGCCUAUUAAUCCUUGCUCGGAGGGUGGUAGCUCCCCUUCGAGCGAUGAGCUCCGGAGUUGUCAUCACUGGGUCGUAGUAGUCUCCCCAGAGAAUGGUCCCAUCGAGUCGUAGUAGUCUUCCCGAUGUUUGGGAUUUGAGUUGGUGAGUUAUGGAAUCCGGCAGGAGGAAGUUGAGGGCCUGACGGGUUAGCCACGAGAUUGAACGAUGUAAAGUAAACUUGCAUUCAUCAUGAGCAUUUCAUUGAGCAUAAGAUUGAGUAUAUAUUGUUCAGGCAUAUUAGCUGCAUUUGUUAGUUGGUUACUAUUUAUUCUUUCUUCUAUUCUGCCUGAUUUAGACCUAGUGGGACAGUCGGCAAGGUCGGCGGCCGAACCCACUAGGAACUUUGUUGUAGUUCCCACCCCCCUUUUUCCACAGAGCCGGGAUCUAGUGAGCCGGCGAACGAUCACGGUAAGGGUAUCACACCAUAGACAGUGACCACCCGAGUUGGUUGUAUUUUGCUAGUUACAUACCUUAUAUAUCAUCUUUUGUAUUUUGAUGAUUAGAGAUGUUUAAAUAAAAGAACAUGAAUUUAUGGUUAAUGUAAAAGCUUAUCUUUUGGAGGAAAUACACUAUGUUCAUUUUGGUGAUUAUGUGUUGUAUAAAAGAAAUGAUGCAAAGAAUGUAAAGGAAUUGUAUUAAAGAUGUAUGCAUGUAUGUGAUUUAAAGUUAAUCAUAUUACUUGUAUGUUGAUUAGUUAAUACUUUCACUUUGGCUAUUGCUUGCCCUCGUGCAAGCCACUAUGUUUGCUUCCGCAUGUGCAAAUUUUGUACUCUAUUUGUACUUGUUGUUGAGCCUUGGGUGGACGAAAGAGGUGCUGUUCGUUCGGCGUCUGUUCGACGUGCUCGAAUCAGCCAAAUAAGACCGGGUUCGGGGCGUGACAAACAUGAUCUAUAUCACUUGAAGUAUCUAGAAAUCAAAUUUCAUGCUUUUUCAAUAUUGUUGUCUUGUUCAUCAAGUGGGCGUAAAAAUAAACGGCUGAAAAUUAAUAUCCUCUAAAAAGUGAUGAUAUGAAUUUUGUAAUCAAGAUCGAGAGUAUAGAUCUUGUUUUAAAUAGUUUAAAGAAUUUUCUAAAAAAAAUUCAAUUGAUUUGGAUAGUUUUACACCGUUAAACGAGAAAACGCCUCAUAUUGACCAUUAAAAUUAUAAAUUUUGAAACCCUUUGAUCAUUAGGUCAAUGAUGUCGAAAAGAUUUGAAAUUUGAUUUCUAGAUACUUCAAGUAAUAUAGAUCAUGUUCAACGGUGCCGAUCGUCGAUUUGAAGGCCCCAUCAUCGAAAAUAAAUGGGUGGCAACGGAGCCCGUUUGCUACCGAUAGCAUUCCAACUCAACUAUACUAUUAUAUAUAUAUGAGUAGGGCUACUAUACUAUUAUGAGUAUUGGGCCCUUCGUACUCAUAAGUUAUUUUCGAUGAUGGAGCUUCCGGAUCGACGAUCCACUCUGUUAAAUAUGAUCUAGAGUAUUUGAAACUUCUAGAAACUAAUUUCGUAAUUUUUCGAAAUCAUAAUAAAGUCCAUCAAGCAGGCAUAAAAUGAACGGUCAAAAUCGAACGAUGUCUUAAAAAGGAUGAUCGGAUCCUUCAAUUUAAGAUCGGAGUUACUGAUCUUUAUCUAGGUAGUGAAUAGAAUUUUCUAUUAAAAAUUCCACCUAUUCCAAUUCUUUUACACCGUUAAACUAGUAAGUAUCCCAUACCAGCCAUUAAAAAUUGUCAAUUUUGGUACCCCAUAUCGACCGUCCCUAGAGCAAGUGGCAAAGCGCUUGGUGGUUGGUAUCCAAGACCGUUGAUUCACAUUUCCAGCUAAGUUUAUUUCUAAAUGAAAUAAACGAAGCAGGUAGCGUGCUACCUAUCUCUCAAAAAAAAAAUUUGUCAAUUUUGUGAACUUUUGAUCGUAAGGUAAAUGAUAUCGAAAAAUUUAAAAUUUGAUUUCUAGAAGUUUUAAAUGUUUUAGAUAAUGUUUAACGGUAUGGAUCAUCGAUUCGGAAGCUCCAUCAUCGAAAAUGAUUUAUGAGUAUGAGGGCGAUCGUGUACUCAUAAGAGUAUAGUAGCCGGACUCUAUAUAUGUAACAUACCGGAUUUUGAUAUAAAAGUAAAAAAUAAAUAAGAAUAGUGUGAGAUACUAUUUUUUAUUGGACUGAUAGAAGCAAAAUGUAAGUCUGAAAUGACAUAUGCUGAAUCGGAAUGAAAACAGAAGAUUUAAAAUUUUCUGUGAGAGACGGGGCUGAUAUUUUAGCAAAAAAUGCACAGUGUCAGAAAAUUAUGAAAAUUGGAGAAUAUGUCAGAAUUAUUUUUAUGAUGUUAGAUUUAAAAUUUCAUGCCAUUCUGACACCCGAAAAGUGAAAAAUAAAAUCCGACUGCUAUCUGCUAGAGAUUACAGUUCGGUAGGGCUUUCGGUGACCAAACAGGGUCGAAACUGAAAGAUUAAAAUUUCUUUCGUUAAGUUAAGUAAAACCGAGUAUGACUGCCAAAUUUGAGCUCAAACGGACUUUCGGAAGGGCAAGCGAAAAAUAUCUGUACCUGAGCUGCAAAACUGAAUGUAAAUACUGUAUUGUUGAGGGGGCUAUUGUGUAACAAAAGGAGUUUUUCUCCUUUCUCCUUCAACCGAGCAACACCCACACCACACACUCACACGCAAGGAGAAGGAGAGAGAGAACCUCCCUUUCUCUCUCUAGAUCUCUCCUAAAAUUUAAAGGAUUUGGUGGAGAUUGAAGCAAAGAAGGUGGAGCUUCAUCUUCUUCAUCUUCUUCCUUGUGUUGGAGUGAGCUCUUGAGGUGAGCUUCAUGAACCCUAAUGGUAGAUCUUUAGAGCUUUCUUUAUAUGCUCUAGGAAUGGGUUUAGAGGACUCCCUAGGUGAUAGCAACAUGCUAUCUGCUUGAAUCAUAAAUCAAUUUGGAGGUUUAUUGCAAUAGUAGCAUGUUAGGGUUCAAAAAUAGAGUUUUUGUAAAAUAUUUGGGUUUGAUCUAAAUUAAUCCUACGUAAACCUAAUUGCUAGGUAUACGAACGCGUUGGCGAAGUCGGUUCGGCGAUUCGUCGAGCCUAUGCGAAGAUAUUGAAGAAACGGAUGUUUCGGCUUCGUUUCCGCCUAGAGGGCCGAGGCGGCGUCCAAAAAUCAUGAAAAUGGAUCCGGAGUAUCGUGGCAUCAAGUUAUAGACUUUUAAUUUUCGGAUUGUGGAUUGGUGGCCGUUUGGGUGGUCGCGCGCGAGUUCGGGCCGAACCAGUCAACGGGUGCCGCGGGAGGUCGAUUGCAAGUGACUACAAGCAAUCAAAAAAUGAUUUGAGGAGGGUUGUGCUCACCGAAGUUAUUAGCUCGCUUCCAUGUCGAAGCGAAGUGAGAAUUGUUAUUGAUGCAUGUAUGGUAGUUAGUGAUAAAACAUAUGAAUGCUAUGUUAAACUACUAUUGGAUGCAAGAAGAUAUAAUGAAGACAUACUAGAUGAAAAGUAUAUAUAUGUAAUUGGUAGGUGGCCUAUGAUAAUGUGGAUGCAUGAAUCCUAUUAUGCUUAAUGUUUAUUACCUACCAUUGAGAUGAAAGCAUGAUAAACAUAAUGUAGAAACAUGCUAGAUGAAUGCAUGAUGUACAUGUUGUAGGAUAUGUGAGAAGAAUGCAUGUUGGCCUAAUGUGAUAAAUGCUAAAGAAUGCAUGUGAUAGAUGCUAAAUAACAUGAGCUAGAUGUAUGAGUUAUGGGAUAAAAUGUAUAUUGAUUGCUAUAUGAUAAGAACGUAUGCAUAUGCAUGAAAUGCUAAAGAACACAUGUAUGUUGACAUAAUGUGAGACUAUGUUAGAUUUGUUUGAAAGUGAACUUGGAUCGAUAACUCUAGGUUGAUAGAGAACUCGACAUUGGAAAGUAAGGACAUAUAGACUACAUCCUAGAUAUGGAUAACUAGGAAGGUAAGUACAUUGAGUGGCAUGUCAGUUAAUAAUUCUGAGUGUGAAUAACUAGGAUAACAAGCAUUGUGAAUGUUGGACCUAGUGUUAUUGAACAUAAAUAAAUGAUGAGUGGCAAUGAACUUAGAGUUAAGUAAACCUAGGUUAUGGCAUGAGUGACAUUGAACCUAGAGUCAAGUGAACCUAGGUAGUAAAGAACAUCGGACCUAGUGUUAUGGAACCUAGGCAAUGAACAUAGUGACAUGGGAUCUAAUGUUAGUAAACUUAGGUCGAAUAAUGGCUUGAACCUAGAAAGGUUGACAUAGGGUCAGUCCAACCCUAGAGAUGUUGAAAGUGGAUUCCGGAAUCCCAGGUCUUGUGGCCUUAGUGAACAUGGUAUGCUCAUGGUUAUGGAUUGGAUCAUACUCACCUAUAAGUCCAUACUUGAGGGUGGUCGCUCCCCCUCGAGCAAUGAGCUCCGCAGUGAUUAUCACUGGGUUGGAGUUUCCCCAGAGGUUGAGCCUGUCGGGUCGUAGCGAGUAUGUAACAUAUCGAAAUUUCGGUAGAAAAUAUUGGACUUUAGUCAAAUUGACUAAAGCGUGCGAAUGAAGUGGUUGGACAAGUUCCAGUUAGCAUUCCAACAAGUUGAAAGGGUUAAAAGUGAGUUCUGAAAGAGUUAGAAGGGUUUUGGCAUCGACCGGCGCGGAAUAGAAUCAAAAUGGAGCAAAAAACCAAGUCUGGGCAAAGUGUACCGGUACAACCAUCGAGUUGUAACCGGUACAGAAAUUGUACCGGUACAGCAUUGAAAGUGUACCGGUACAAAUGCUACGAAACCGAGAAGCAACUCUCGGGUUUUGUCUCUGCGCAAUCGUGUUACCGGUGACACGAGGAAGUGUACCGGUACACUUUGGGCAGACAGCACAGAUUUGGUCUGUUGCAAAUAAGAAAUGUUGGGGGGCUAAGUUGCAAUUGUUGCACACCAUAUAUGAUCCCAUCUCUCCCCUCUCUUCACAGCAGCGAGGAGAACCCUUCUCCUCUUAUUUUCUCUCCCUCUCCCUCUCUAAAUGCUCUCUAUAAGGUGGAUUAGAUGUGGAUUUGGAGGAGAUUAAGAGGAGAUUUGGACUUUAGAGGGGAUUAGGUCUCUCCAACAAGGUGGAGCUUGGUGGGCAUUUUGGCUAAGGUGAGGUUUCUUGUAAGAUUAGGAUUAGGGUUUGGUUUUAAACCCUAGAUCUUCGGUUUUGAUCUUCUUACAAGUGUAGAACCUCGUAGUAGCCGAAGAACACAUGAAAACCAUGUUUUCUUCGUAGUGCUCUAAUGGUGGAUUUCUAGGGUUUGUUCUAAACACCCUAAGUAUGGUUCGAAAGCUUCUAGAUGAGCUUCUAAAUGUUGAACAAGCUUUUGCUUGUUCUAGAGAUCAAACCAAGACAUUUUGUUAUAUGUCACAUUAGGGCACCCAAAAGAAGGAUUUUGCUCAAUUAGGGUUUUGAUGUAAAUUAAUCCUAUGCAAACCUAAUUGCUAGGUAUAUAAACGUAUUGGCGAGGACGGUUUGACGAUUCGUCGAGCCUAUGCGAAGUUAUUGAAGAAACGGACCGUUAAAGCUUCAUUUCCGCCUGGAGGGCCGAGGCGACGUCCAAAAAUCACGAGAUCGGAUCCGAAGCAUCUUAGCAUCAAGUUAAAGACCUUUAAUUUUCGGAUCGGGGAUUGUGGCCGUUUGGGUGGUCCCGCGAGAGUUCGGGGCGAACCGGGUCAUGGGUGCCGCGGGAGGCCGAUUGCAAGUGACUACGAGCAAUCGGAGAGUAAGUUAAGGUGGGUUGUGUUUAUCGAAGCGACUAGGUCGCCUAUAUGUCUACGACUAGUGCUUACUAUUGAUGCAUGUAAUGGUAGCUAGUGGAAGAACACAUAAAUGCAUAAGGUGAAAUGCUAUGUUAGGCUACCAAAUAAUGCAUAUGGUCAUAAUGUCAGAAUGCUAAGUAAUGCAUAAUGAUAUAGUGUAAAUAAUGCUAAGUGGAAAGCAUAAAGUAAAUGACAUAUGUUAGUCAUGUUGCUUGUAUAGAAAUGCUAAUGUAAGAAUGCUAAGUGGAUGCAUAUCGAUAUGAAAUAAGAAUGCUAAGGAAAAUGUAUGAUAAGCAUGUUGUAGAGAUGCUAAUGUAAAAAUGCUGAGUAAAGGACAUGUACUUGUGGACAUAUACAUAUACACAUAGAUCGAGUGGCAUUGAACCUAGAGUCGUGAUCCUAGGUUGAACAACAGUGAUAUUGAACCUAGUGUUAAUGAACAUAAGUUAAAAAAGAAUGGCAUUAAACCUAAUUUUCGACAAUAUAGGUUGAGAAUGAACCUAGAGUUAAGUCAACCUAGGUUGUGGUUAAAGAUAAUGAACCUAGUGUUAAAGUAAAUCUAGGUUAUGUGAUAAAAGUGUUAAACCUAAAGUCAAGUGGACCUAGGAUGAAAAGGAUAAUGGACCUAAGUAGGUCGAUACCAUAGAGUUAAGACCAACCCUUGAGUUAUGUGGAAAUGGAUUCCGGAAUCCCAGAGCUUAUAGAGCACCCAAGGUGGUGUUGGGCGUGUGCGACGAUUUCGCCGUCCGGGGCUAUACCAUCGACGUGGCGUGUGCGACGAUUUCGCCGCCGGAUGGGUGAGCCGAAUUGUGGUUUAUACCGGUUGAGCCGGGUUGUGGAUUAUACCGCUGGUUGACUCGAACCACUGACGUGGCGUGUGCGACGGUUUCACCGCCGGGUGGCUAGGUCAUAAAGUGUGGUGAGCUGUGGAAGGCUGAGGUGUAAGUAAGAGUUCCUUCACCUCGAGCUUGACAGAGUGCGAAUUAUCCGUAGUGAAUUGACUCAAGACCGAGUCGAGUGGCAUAGUGUGACUAAGGUAAGAGUAACCUUAGGUAAGAAUGACAAAUGAGUAUAAUAUGGCUAAAGUGUGAGUACCCUAGUAAAGAAUAAAGAAUAGCUAAUGAAUAAGAAUAGCUAAUAAAGUAAAAACGGUUACAAGUAAAGAAUGGCUAAUAAUAUGAAGUAGAAUCAAUUAAUCUACUUCCAUAAGAUACAGGACUUGUAUAUUGCAUAUUGUGAGGUAUGACAUGUAGUUCAAUAUCGAGUAAAUGUAUAAAUACCUGUUUUAUGUUAUUGGACUAACCUGUUGCAGUGCCUCCUUGGACCUAUUGGUCGAGCUUUUCCCUUGGGUGGCCGUACCCACUGGGAACCAUAGAGUUGGUUCUCACCCCACGUUGUUUUGGGGUGUUACAGGUUCGCACAUGAGCGGCACAGUGACGCGAGGUAAGGGCGUAGCUCCGUAGAUAGCGGCCCUACCCCCAAGACUGAGAUAGCUGUACCCCGAGGUGGUCUAGCUUAGGGGUUUGAAGACAAAUAUACCAAACUUGUAAUUAUUGUAUUUUGGAAGUUGAAUGUAAAAAAAAAUUGUGAUGUAAAAUACACCUAAGAUUAAUUUUGUAAUAACUUAGUUGUUUUAUAUUUUUGAUACUUCCUUAUGCAAUCUUUGGUUAAAUUCGGUUCCUGGUUGGAACAUCGAGAAUUGUAUCGAUUUCGACGCCUUGGACAUACAGAGGAGACUCUGUCCACGGUACAGAAAAACCCUGUCCGUUCGGCGGUCUGUUGGCGUGUCCGAACCCGACCAAAUAGGCCGGGCACGGGGAGUGAAAAAUAAGAUGGUAUCAGAGAAUAAAGUAGAGAAUGGGAUGGCUUAAGUGAACCUAGGAGACCCUAGAAUAGUGAAACCAUAGAGGUUAAGGCUCGUGAGAGACGAGGACAUGUGACUUGUGGCGAAAGGAUUAUGGAUUUGGUCGUGUUAUAAACCUCUAAGACGUAUAUUAGAGGUAGACUCGAGGUGUCGCUUAUUCUCAACCGAGAGUGUUCAUGUUGGGUCGACACAACAUGAAACCGAGUGAUGAGAAUAGACGCCCUUGCGUGACUUUCGCCCGAUUGACUCUUGAGUCGUUGUUGGUUGUCUCGUGUUCGACCCAAGAUGGUCAAGAACUAAUCGAGUUGUCAUGUUUCAUGAAACGAUGGCACCGCGUAGGCGAUCUUCAUCUAGAUCGGCGCGGGAUGGAACGAGUGGUGCUCCUGAGCAAACCGACGCGAGCGGAGACUCAGAGCUUCGUGAUCAGUUGGCCACACUCAUGGGAGUGAUGAGGCAACAAGCGCACUUGGUGCAACAGCAGCAGGAGGCUACCAUGCGCCAGGAGGAGCGAAUGAAAAGACUCCAAGAAAUGGUGGAUCGGCUGGUGACAGCACCAGUUGUGGCUCAUCGUGAACGGCCGGGAGUUGCGGAGGAGAUGUUUCCUUCGAGGUCGGGUGAUCCGACUCCUAUUAGUUCAGAGGUAGAGGCAGAGAAGGAGCGACCUUUGGCGGCCCUUAUGGCUUUCAAGAAGUUUGAUCCGCCUACUUUCGAUGGAGAGGAUACAGAUCCGUGGAUCGUGGAGAUGUGGAUUGAUUCCAUGGAAACACUCUUCGAGGAUCUGUACACGGUGGAGCGGGAUAAGGUAAAUCUAGCCGUGCACUACUUGAAACAGUCGGCGAAGGUGUGGUGGAAGGGCAUUAAGCGAGAUCGAUUGCCUAAUCUCCCUCCUAUGGCUUGGGAAGAGUUUCAGGGAUGCUAUUCUCUGUUUAUUUCCCCGACAGCGAGAAAAUAAAGCUUCAGGAAAGGUUCCGAAAGCUGCAGCAAGGAGGCCGCUCGGUCAGGCAAUACGAGCGGGAAUUUUUCUGUAUCGUGCAUUGUAUCCCGAACGUGGUACUGGGUGAUAAGGAUAAGGCAGACUGCUUUGUGCGUGGACUUCGGCCAGACCUUUAUAAGGUCGUGCUUGUACUUAAGUUACAGACUUUUGCUGAAGUCCUGGAUCAGGCCCUGUGGAUAGAACAAGGCAACGCCAUUAUACAGGAGGAGCGCGAGUCAUAUUACAAGGAAAAGGGAAAAGGACGACCAACGAGUGGAUCCGCUGGUCAGUCAAGUUCCCAACAGACUUCGACGAGUUCGUGCUCGCGAUCCCGAGCUCCGGGGACAUACUACAUUCGAACCUCGGCGAGAUAUGUUAUUGGUGGAGGCCUUCAUUUUCCACAACAGUGUGGGCAGCGUGAGGGCAAGUGCUUCAAGUGUGGGCUGCCGGGUCAUACGCGGGACGAGUGUCCGCAAGGUGACGGCCAGGCCUUGAUGCUGGCAACGGCCUAUUCCUCUCUGGGAUAGCCUCCAGGUGUGCCACCUGCGGCAUGGUCAGGAGAGCGGCCGUUGAGGACGAUGCAACCUGAGUGUUCGCGGCGAGUACCAAGUGGCCAUGGAUACGCGACCCAAGUGGUGGAAUCUGCCGCUGCUGACGACAUCAUGGCAGGUAUGAGUUAGUUAAAGCAAACAUAUGCUCUGCAUGAUGUUGAAAUUGGUGCAUAGCAUGUAUUUUAUCGAAUGGUUAGUUGCUACUAGUUAUGCAUUAGCAUAGUAGGGACCGGUGGACGAGUAAAGGUAGAUCCCCGAGCAUGCUUGCAUUGUGAUAGUGUGGCGCCUGCUGGAGCAGGUAGAGAGCCGAGUGGCACUAGCAAAUGGCUAGUAAUGAUUCUUGGACAAGAAGUAGGACUCGUGAUAAAGAUGAGAUGGUGAAGCAACUCUCAAGGCAAUGGAUAGUAGAUUGCGAGAGUUGAGCUAGGAUACGUGAGGAUACCCGAGUACUCCGAGAAUUUCGGAUGUCGUUCUGAUAGAUCGAACAGUGAAAGUGAAUCACUGUUGAGAGAGCAGUUGGUUGAAGCCAAGUUUGGCCUGUGGGUCUAGUAGUACCUCGAGUUGAGGUGAAUGAGUCGUGCCUGUGUGGCUAGUUGCAUAGGCAGGAUUGCCUAAUGCUUGACAUAGUUGGAACGCUAUAGAGGCGUGUAGAGCGCUCGAAUAUAGGUACUCGUGGUGUGCGGUAUUGAUUCAGCUGGGAGUGUGUUGGCAGUAGCACUUUAGCCUUGCUAAGUGUGAAGCGGGCCAGGGAUCACUCAUGGGGCUGAUGGCUCGCACUAGAUGCUUAGGAGCCGGUAGUGGUACGUGACUCGAUAGAGUAUGUCGUGUAGGACGACGACGGCGGGUAGUGCUUGGGGACGACCCGUGCCUAGACCAUGUGUGUACUGUGGAGCCUGGACCCAUUGGGCAGGCGCAGUCAGCUGUGAGUGACAGCGGCCCGGUACCUACGGAUAGGGUUUUGGUCAGGGCGGUAGUCCGAGCUUAGACCCAGUGACGUGGAAUGCCACGUGAUAGAUCACGAGAUCGAGGAUGCACCGAGUGUGUAGUGACCGAACUCGUAGACUUGACGUGGUUUGGGGUCUUGAUUACUCCUGGUUGGAGUGUGUGCGAAUUCUCAAGUGAGAAUUUCGCCCGAAACGUUGAUUCGGUCUGCGCCUGCGAGCGAGAGACGUUGCAUGUAUCGAGACAAGUUAGGCAGUAGGCCUACGUAGGGUUGGCGGUCUAUGGACCACUUAUGGAAAACGAGGGAAGCGGCUUGGCCGGUAACUCUGUUGAGGAGUUGGGAUUAGAAUUCACGAGCGGAGUCUUCGCGUGUGUCGAUUGCGACAACGAAGACGAGCUAGUCGUGGCUUAUGAUGGCAAGGGAUGAAGUGCUCUUAUGAGGCAUUGAGCUAGUGGAAGCCACGUGGGAAUUGGAGUUUAGGAUAAUACUCUUUUAUGGACUAAGUUGGAGAUAUGCCGGAGUGUGCCAUCUCGUGAUGGAGCAAGGAUCCGGUUGGGAUUGGAGCACUCACGAUAGAGCGAUGCACCAACGAUAUUGCUUCUGUGCAAUACCAGUGAUCGAAUCAGAGUGAACUCCCGAUUGAGUGUGUAAUGCAAAGAAUGGUUCUUUACAUGAUGGAAUGCACUUUUAGAGUUAUACGUGGUAAAGACGAGUGAGUUUGGUCUCACAUCCCCCGUAAUGGGUCUUGAAGUUGGUUCAAAAGGUGAAAAGCCUUACUAGAAUGGAAAUGCAUUAGUACCCUCAAUUGCCCGAAGAGCUGAAUUGCGGGUGGAUUGAAUUUUGCGGACGGAAUUCUUUUAAGGGGUGGAGAAUAUAACAUACCAAAACUUCGGUAGAAAAUAUUGGACUUUAGUCAAAUUGACAAAAGCGUGUGAAUGAAGUGGUUGGGCAAGUUCUAGCUAACAUUCCAACAAGUUGGAAGGGUUAAAAGUGAGUUCUAAAAGAGUUAGAAGGGUUUUGGCAUCGACCGGCGCGAAAUAAAAUCGAAACGGAGCCAAAAACCAAGUCUGGGCAAAGUGUACCGGUACAACCAUCGAGUUGUAACCGGUACAGAAAGUGUACCGGUACAGCAUUGAAAGUGUACCAGUACAAAUGCUACGAAACCGAGAAGCAGCUCUCGGAUUUUGUCUCUGCGCAGUCGUGUUACCGGUGACACGAGGAAGUGCAACGGUACACUUUGGGCAGACAGCACAGAUUUGGUCUGUUGCAAAUAAGAAACGUUGGGGGGCUAAGUUGUAAUUGUUGCACACCAUAUAUGACCCCAUCUCUCCCCUCUCUUCACAGCAGCAAGGAGAACCCUUCUCCUUCCAUUUUCUCUCCCUCUUCCUCUCUAAAAGCUCUCUACAAGGUGGAUUAGAGGUGGAUUAGGAGGAGAUUAAGAGGAGAUUUGGACUUUGGAGAGGAUUAGGUCUCUCCAACAAGGUGGAGCUUGGUGGGCAUUUUGGCUAAGGUGAGGUUUCUUGUAAGAUUAGGGUUAGGGCUUGGUUUUAAACCCUAAAUCUUUGGUUUUGAUCUUCUUACAAGUGUAGAACCUCGUAGUAGCCGAAGAACACAUGAAAACCAUGUUUUCUUCGUAGUACUCUAAUGGUGGAUUUCUAAGGUUUGUUCUAAACACCCUAAGAAUGGUUCGAAUUGUCACGCCCCGGGACCGAUUCCAAUUUGGGCUGGCCCGGACACGUCAAACAGACGCCGAACGGACAGAGUUUUUCCUGUCCGCCCAUGGCUCAUCACCUGUACAUUUUCAAGUAGAGAAAAGCACUAGCGAAAACAUACACAAACGGCUUACACGAGGGUAAGCAAUAGCUAUGACUGAAAGAAAGGAAACUAAACAUCUGCACAAAUACUAUGAUUCUCUUUUUGAUCACAUAUAUUCCAUUCAUAGUUCUUUACAUACUUUUCAUCAUUUUUUUUUACAUCACAUUCUCCUCGAGAUAAACAUUACAUUCUUUUUCUUUUACAUCUCAAUUCAUCAAAUACAAAAGAUGAAGUAAGGGAAUGCUACUACAAAAUGUAAACCCGACUUGGUAGUCACUGUCUAUGGCGCGAUACCUUUACCGCGGUCGCUCGCAGGCUCACUCAGUCCCGGCUCUGUGGAAAUAGUGGGGUGAGAACUACAACAAAGUUCCCAAUGGGUUCGGCCCCAAUCUCACCGACUUUCCUACUAGGACUAACUCAGGCAUAAUAGAAAGAAUAAGCAGAUAAGUAGCCAACUAUAUAAAUGCAACUAAUAUAUCUGAACAAUGCUAUCAAUAAGAUGCUCAAUAUAAAUUCAUGAAGAAUGCAUGGUCGAUGUUCUUUGUUCUUUGUUCUUUGUUCUUUGUUCUUUGUUCUUUGUUCAAUCUCAAGGCUAACCAGGGGGUAUCGCCUCAUUAACUCACAACUCAAAUCCAUGAUCACGGGCCCUCAGCUUCCUCCCGCUAGGACCGUCCUCUGAGUAACUCAACCAGUGAUGACAAACUCCAGAGCGCAUCGCCCGAGGGGGAGCGACCACCCUCGAGCAAGGACUUAUAGCAAGUAUGAUCAAUCCUUAACUCUAAGGAUAUUCAGUUCAAUCUGUUCCUUAACUUUAAGGAAUCAUGCACAAAUGACCCUUAGCUCUAAGGUUGAAUGUCAUCGUGUCAAUCUCAUGUUCUUUGCAUUCUUUAUCUUUGAUCAUGUCAAUACACUAACUCUAGUGUUUCUUUACAUUCUUUACUAUCAUUCAUGUCAUACAUUAACUCUAAUAUUCCUUGAUGCCACACUUUGAUGCUAACUCUAGCUAUUGUUCUUUAUGUCACACUUUUGAUGCUAACUCUAGCAUUUAAUGUUCUUUAUGACUCACUUAUUCACUUGAUGCCACACUUUUCUCUUUGAUGUCAUACACUAACUCUAGUGUUUUUAUACAACUUUAGGCUAUCUUUAGUUUUUAUUCUCACAUUUCAUUGUCCUCAUGUCAUAUGUCACUUGCUCUUUAACUUUACCAAGUUCUCAUCAUCAUACAUGCACAUAUAGGGUUAUUACAUUCUUAUUAGUUCUCAACCAUCUAAUGAUGCACUUGAACUCACAAAAUGCAAACAUUCACAUAUUCAUAAUCUCAUUACCCUACUAUGCAUGCAACAAUAUACUCAUGGAUACUCAAGAAGUGACACAUUAGACAUAAAGGGAAUUCCAACAAGUUUGGGUAGCACCACCCACCUCGUAGGCGUACUGUCACGCCCCGGGACCGGCGGAGGCCCUCCCGGUAGCGUGCCCAGACCCGCCAUAUGUCAACACAUAAAAGGCGUCUACAACAAAAGCGGAAGUAAAGCAAGCGAUAGAACAAAUAAAAGAAGUAAAAUAACUAGCAACUAAUGAUAUCAGAGCGAGUAUAGUUCUAACAUCUACACCAAAGUAAAAAAGUAAAGCUAGACCACAAAAGGAGUCAUAAGUAGUACAAUAACUGUCUCUAGUACAAAAAUGGUGGUCUCUAAUACACUGGUAACACCCUCAACCUCUCGCAAAAUAAAAUAAGACAUCGAGAGGUAGACCACCUAGCAACUCGUCCUCGAAGGAAGCUAGCUCAUAGCAACUCCCUUCCCGCGAUCCCUAGCCUCACCCUGCGUGGAAGGCUCUGAAAAACAUUGAGAAAAAGAGGGCGUGAGAACUAUAAUUUAUAGUUCCCAGUGGGCAAUUACUGACCUCAGCUCAAUGCACCACUAGGCCCCAGAAGAAAAGGGGUAAGUACAAUAAUAAUAGCAAUAAUGACUGCGAUAUAAAGGCAUAAUUAAAAUGCUAAAUUACCAAACUCAAGUAUAAACGAUGUCAUGGUGAUGUACAUCUACGAUAUCAAAAUAGUAAAUCAUUAACCUUUAUGAAUACAUUAUGCAUAAGUUCUGUCAUGGCAACCAAGUAUGCUUUAAUGCAAAAGGAGACUAUCAAGUAUACUACAUGUCUCAACACUAUGCUAAAAGCAUAUAAAUGUAAUUCAACUACUAAACCUAUCUAGUAGUGAUUAACCAUUCUCAACACCGUGUCGAUUUCCAUUUCCAAUUAAGGACCUACCAAAGGUAGUCCAGCUUGUGCCGCCUAAGUGCCUGUGGUAGCCCAACAUCCCUACUCUUGGGAUGUGUCUGUCCCACUCGACCCCGUAGGCUUCUCAAUACCGCACGAGCGAACAUAAGUCGCGUAGGCUAACUUCGGAGUGCCGGCUUGUAGGGAGCGACCCUCACAAGCAUGUGCGAAUGAGCACAAAUGGCAAGCAAGCAUAGUCCAAGCCUCAAAUAUCCAAUCUUCAUGUCUCUAACAUGGUAUGGUCACUAGCAUCCCGAAGAUCUAGUUUAAGUCACAAUAUGAAGUUUCAAUAUUUGCUACGCCUAGUGCCCCUUGAUGACACUUAGGCAAUUUGACGUUCAACAUGUAUUUUAAAUCCCUCAAUGACCCUAUCCACUAGGUUCUCACAUGUCCCGAGCUCAAUGCCGCUUGAUGACAUUAGCUCUCUAGUUCACAUACCUUCUAAAUGGCAAUCUUGAUAACUUUCAUGUCUCAAUAAACUUAAGUUUAAAUGCAUGAAUCCAAUCUCAUUUACACUAUAGGAGCAUGAAAACACGUCUCAUAUAGAAUGCUAAAUGCAACUAUGGGCCUAACAAGCUACUCUCUACUACAUAGAGGUCCAAAAUUUCAUCAUAUAUAACAUAGGCCUUUUAAGCAUUCUAAAAAUCAUAAUAAAUACAUAUAACAAGAAUGUGCAUGCCUUUUCAUUUAACGAUACUUAAUUAAGCACAAAUGAGAAUUUCUCAUUGUGUGGCUAGGUCAAACCCACCGAACCGUCGCGUAGGGCCUCGUUUCGCCGAACAAAGUUGUCCCCGAGUCUCAAAAUACCCUAAAAGUAUUGAGCGACAAGAUACACGGGCAUUACGAUCAACUAUAAGAUCAAAUUUUAACAAAUUUAGCAAAAGGGCUAAAACUCACCUAAUGUGUGGAAAAUCUCUCUCAAGCUCCAAAAGAGAGCUAAAUCCCUUCCAAACCAAGCCCAAGGAUGGUCCUAAUCCAACCAAGUUAGCCCCAAAAGCCCUAGAUCAAAAAUGCCCAAAAUAAGCCCUAAGUAUCAAAUCUAGAGUUCCAUCUCAAAGAAACCUUCAAAAAUCAAAUCUAGAGGAAAAGAUCUAGUCACUUACCUCUAGGAAGCUUCAAAUCAAGCUCUAAAUGCUCAAGGUCCCAAGGUCUCUCCUCCACUUAGCUCCAAGUCCAAGCUCCAAUGGUGAAGAAGCCUUCAAAGGAGCAAAAGAGAGCAAAAGAGAGGGUUUAAUCUUUUAAAAACCCAACCGAUAUCAAGAAAUCCAAGGGGGAGAGUGUGGAGGGCUCCCUUACCCUUCUCCUUGCUGGUGCCAAGCUCAGGGAGAGCCCUAGGGGCGUGGGGGUACUAAUAGAGAUGCCACAAUUGCGAGAAACCCCCUGCAGUUCAAACUGCUCAGAUUCUGCCAAAGUGUACCGGUACACGGAAAAGUGUACCGGUACACAUCCUACGAAAAUGCAAACCCGAGGCUCGGGUUUGAAAUUCGCUACAAGUGUAUCGGUACAACCAUCAAGGGUGUACCGGUACAAAAUGUGUACCGGUACAGCCAUCGACCUGUCACCGGUUACACCUCGUGCAGAAUGCAAUCCGAGGGUAGCCUAAGUCCAACUCUUUAGUGACCUUAACGCUACAUAAAAUACUACAAUUCUCGGGAUGCGAGCCAUAGGUCGGAACACUGUCAACGACCCACCAGAAAGUCUGGAAAAACUCGGGACACUGUCCAAACACUCGAACCUCGCAAUUUGCAAAGGUCCAGUGCGUCACACGUACUAGGAUGCUACGGUGAUUUUCUUGGAAUUUUUAGCCUCUUAGUUUGCUACCUACGGCAAAACAAAGCCCUAUUAAGCCAUUUUGCUCAUAUCUUUAUAUUGGGUUUUCGUAACGUUAAUCCGAGCGCACCAACACGUUGGAAAUACCCCCAAUUAGGUUUCUAGAGGGUCAAUUUCACUUUGAAAUCCUCCCGAGCAAAAGCCCCAAAUUUGGGUGCCCUAGCUCAUAGUACAUAUCAAACCUAGGGUUUGAUCUCAAAGAUAAGCAAAAGAAGCUUCAAUCUACUCUAGAGACUCCAUUAAAAUCAUUCUUAACUCUAUCAAGACCCUAGUUUGGAUUCCAUUAUGAGAGAGGUUGAAGCUCACCUCUAAGUUUCAUCACAUAUACCCAAUCCAUGGUUUUGAUCUCUUAAAGAAGCAAAAGAAAGCUUCAAAUACUCAAAAGGUUCUACUAAAAUCAUUUCUAGGUCAUUUGGUUCUCAUUCUAGGGUUUUACCAUGAAAGGGAUCAAAGCUUACCUCAAAGCUCUCCUUUCUUUAUGCUAGAGGUGAAGGAGAAGGAGUUGCUUCACUCUUUCUUCUUCUUCUCUACCUUCCUUCUUUUUUUCUUCUUCUUCUUUUCCUUUCUUUCCCUUUCUUUCUUCUUCUCCUUCUUGUCUUCUAGAGAGAGAAAGAGAGGAGAGAGAGUGAGAGGGUGAGAAUGAGAGAAAACACCUCAUAACCCCCUCAACAUAACCCAUAUAUUGCAUUUUCGCAAAUAAACCCCUCAGCUUUUACUUUAUUAAACUGCCCAAACUGGGCAGAAUUCGUGCUCGGGGACCGGUCUCCCCGACUUGGGACCGGUCCCAGAGAGCUCUCCCCGCGGGCAGCAAAGGCCCCCGCGCAGUGCAACAGGUCUCUCCCAGAGGGACCGGUCUCUCGGGGACCGGUCUCUCCUCGCAGGGACCGGUUCCCGAGAGCUGGUAUUCUGGGACUUAGCCGAUUUUCAGCUUUCUCAGUUAUCACGCGUUCGGGGACCGGUCUCUCCCACCAGGGACCGGUCCCCGAGAGCACAAAACCUGCAGAAUGAAGAUUUUUAAUUCUUUAGCUCUCGAAAACCUCCCACAAUACACUUUUGAUCAUUUUAACACCUUCGGACUUUCCGAAGUGUACCAUCCUCGCACUUUGGUCAAUUUGACUAAAGUUCGAUAUUUAUUUUUCGAAUUCUCGGUAUAUUACACGAAUGCUUCUAGAUGAGCUUCUAGAUGUUGAACAAGCUCUCUUUUGCUUGUUCUAGAGAUCAAACCAAGACAUUUUGCUAUAUGUCACAUUAGGGCACCCAAAAGAGGGAUUUUGCUCAAGUAGGGUUUUGAUGUAAAUUAACCCUAUACAAACCUAAUUGCUAGGUAUACAAAUGCGUUGGUGAGGUCAGUUUGACAAUUCGUCGAGCCUAUGCGAAGUUAUUGAAGAAACGGACCGUUAAAGCUUCGUUUCCGCUUGGAGGGCCGAGGUGGCGUCCAAAAAUCACGAGAUCGAAUCCGGAGCAUCUUAGCAUCAAGUUAAAGACCUUUAAUUUCCGGAUCGGGGAUUGGUGGCUGUUUGGGUGGUCGCGCGAGAGUUCAGGCCGAACCGGGUCACGGGUGCCGCGGGAAGCCGAUUGCAAGUGACUACGAGAAAUCGGAGAGUAAGUUAAGGUGGGUUGUGUUUACCGAAGCGACUAGGUGGCCUAUCUGUCUAAGACUAGUGCUUACUAUUGAUGCAUGUAAUGGUAGCUAGUGGUAGAACACAUAAAUGUAUAAGGUGAAAUGCUAUGUUAGGCUACCAAAUAAUGCAUAUGGUCAUAAUGUCAGAAUGCUAAGUAAUGCAUAAUGACAUAGUGUAAAUAAUGCUAAGUGGAAAGCAUAAAGUAAAUGACAUAUGUUAGUCAUGUUGCUUGUAUAGAAAUGAUAAUGUAAGAAUGCUAAGUGGAUGCAUAUCGAUAUGAAAUAAGAAUGCUAAAGAAAAUAUAUGAUAAGCAUGUUGUAGAGAUGCUAAUGUAAAAAUGCUGAGUAAAGGACAUGUACUUGUGGACAUAUACAUAUACACAUAGAUCGAGUGGCAUUGAACCUAGAGUCGUGAACCUAGGUUGAACAAGAGUGAUAUUGAACCUAGUGUUAAUGAAUAUAGGUUAAACAAGAAUGGCAUUAAACCUAAUGUUAGAGAAUAUAGGUUGAGAAUGAACCUAGAGUUAAGUCAACCUAGGUUGUUUGUUAAAGAUAAUGAACCUAGUGUUAAAGUAAACGUAGGUUAUGUUAUAAAAGUGUUAAACCUAGAGUCAAGUGGACCUAAGAUGAAAAGGAUAAUGGACCUAAGUAGGUCGAUACCAUAUGGUUAAGACCAACCCUUGAGUUAUGUGGAAAUGGAUUCCGGAAUCCCAGAGCUUAUGGAGCACCCAAGGUGGUGUUGGGCGUGUGCGACGAUUUCGCCGUCCGGGGCAAUACCAUCGAUGUGGCGUGUGCGACGAUUUCGCCGCCAGAUAGGUGAGCCGAAUUGUGGUUUAUACCGGUUGAGCCGGGUUGUGGAUUAUACCGCUAGUUGACUCGAACCACUGACGUGGCGUGUGCGACGAUUUCGCCGCCGGGUGGCUAGGUCAUAGAGUGCGGUGAGCUGUGGAAGGCUAAGGUGUAAGUGAGAGUUCCUUCACCUCGAGCUAGAUAGAGCGCGGAUUAUCCGUAGUGGAUUGACUCAAGACCGAGUCGAGUGGCAUAGUGUGACUAAGGUAAGAGUAACCUUAGGUAAGAAUGACAAAUGAGCAUAAUAUGGCUAAGGUGUGAGUACCCCUAGUAAAGAAGAAAGAAUAGCUAAUGAAUAAGAAUAGCUAAUAAAGUAAAAACGACUACAAGUAAAGAAUGACUAAUAAUAUGAAAUAGAAUCAAUUAAUCUACUUGCAUGAGAUACAGGACUUGCAUAUUGCAUAUUGUGAGGCAUGACAUAUAGUUCAAUAUCGAGUAAAUGAAUAAAUAUCUGUUUUAUAUUAUUGGACUAACCUGUUGCAGUGCCUCCUUGGACCUAUUGGUCGAGCUUUUUCCUUGGGUGGUCGUACCCACUGGGAACCAUGGAGUUGGUUCUCACCCCACGUUGUUUUGGAGUGUUACAGGUUCGCACGUGAGCGGCGCGGCGGCGCGAGGAAAGGGCGUAGCUCCGUAGAUAGCGGCCCUACCCCCCAGACUGAGAUAGUUGUAACCCGAGGUUGUCUAGCUUAGGGGUUUGAAGACAAAUAUACCAAACUUAUAAUGAUUGUAUUUUGGAAGUUGAAUGUAAAAGAAAAUUGUGAUGUAAAAUACACCUAAGAUGAAUGUUGUAAUAAGUUAGUUGUUUUAUGUUUUUGAUACUUCCUUAUGCAAUCUUUGGUUGAAUUCGGUUCCUGGUUGGAACAUCGUGAAUUGUAUCGAUUGCGACGCCUUUGUCGUACAGGGGAGACUCUGUCUGCGGUACAGGGAAACCUUGUCCGUUCGGCGGUCUGUUCGCGUGCCCGAACCCGACCAAAUAGGCGGGGCACGGGGCGUGACAAAGGAUCUCCCCGAUUGAUGAGCUCCGGAGUAGUCAUCACUGGGUCGUAGCGAGUAUCUCCCCAGAGGACGGUCCCGUCGGGUUGUAGCAAGUAUCUCCCCGAUAGUAGGGAUUUGGGUUUGUGAGUUCUGAAGCGAAACCUACGGGUAAGCUUAGAGGAUUGGGUAUUGAUUUUGGCAAUUGUCAUGCACCAUGAGCAGUAUAUAUAUUGGUUCUCCUCGCCCAUUAGGCGAUGUGGUUUGAGGAUUUACAGUUGAGGUGCAUGUGAGACGUCCUUCACCUUGAGCUUGACAGAGCGAGGCAUAUCCGCGGUUGAUUCACUCAAGACCGAGUCGAGUGGCAUAGUUGGCUAAGAUAAAGUAAUCUUAGGAAAGAUUGGUUAGUGCUAAAGAAUAGCGAAUAGUAAAGAAUUGCAAUGAAGAAAGAACGGUUAAUGCUAAGGAAAAGCAAAUAAUAAAGAACGGCUAAGAAUUAAAGAAAGGCAACUGAAAGAAAGUAGAAUUAGUUAACCUACUUGCAUAAGUUGCAUGAUUUACAUAUUGCAUAUCCUAAGGCAUAAACAUAUAUUUAAUAUUUGUAUUAAAUAUCUGUCGAUAUCUGUUGGACUAACAUGUUUGCAGUGCCUCCUUGGACCUGGUGGGUCGAGCUUUUCCCUUGGGUGGCCGUACCCACUGGGAACUAUGUACAAUAGUUUUCACCUCCGUGUUGUUUUUGGGGGUACAGGUUCACACGUGAGCGGCACGGCGGCGCGAGGAAAGGGCGUAGCUCCAUAGAUAGCACCCUACCACCAGACCAGAAAUAGCAUUACCCCGAGUCGGCUUAGCUAGGGGUUGUAGAAAAGAUGUAAAACAAUAUUGUAAUAAUCUUGUGAUCGAUGAUUGUAUUGGAAGGAAAUGUAAUCGAAAAUUGUAAAUGUAUAAGUUGGGAUGAAUGCUUGUAAUAGCUUAGUUAUUUUAUAUUUUUGAUACUUCCUUAUGCAAUCUAUACUUGAUUUCUGUUCCUGGUUGGAACAUCGUGAAUUGUAUUGAUUGUGACGCCUAGGACGUACAGGGGACACUCUGUCCGUUCGGCAGUCUGUCGGCGUGCCCGAAUCCGACCAAAUAGGCGGGCUCGAGGCGUGACAGAUAAAGUGGUAUCAGAGCAUAAAGUAGAGAAUAGAAAAAUAGUUUAGAUGGACCUAGGAGACCCUAAAAUAGUAAACCAUAGGAGAUUAAGGCUCGUGAGAGACGAGGACUUGAGACUUGCGGCGAAAGGAUUAUGGAUUGGGUUAUGUAGUAAACCUCUAAAACGGAUGUUAGAGAUAGAUUCAAGGUGUGGUUUAUUUUCAACCGAGGGUGUUCAUGUUGGACGCGUACAACAUGAAACCGAGUGAUGGGAAUAGACGCCCUUGCUUCACUUCCGCCCGAUUUGAGUCGGUAUUAGUUGUCUCGUGUACGACCCAGAGGGUCGAGGCUUAACGAAGUUGUCGCGUUUAGGAAGCGAUGGCACCGCAUCUUCGUAUUGAUCGGCGCGGGAGGGGACAAGUGGUGUCCAUGAGUAGUUGGAGGCGAGCGGAGGCUUGGAACUUUGCAAGUAAUUGGCCACUCUCGUGGGAAUGGCAAGGUACGAAUCGAUUAGGUGCAGCAACAGCAGGAGGCUGCCAUGCGCCAGAGGGAGCAAGCUUUGGCGGCCCUCAUGACCUUGAAGAAGAUUAUGAAUCCUCGUCGUGUUAAACCACUUUUGGUCAAAUUGACCAAGUGCGUCGAGAGAAAUAGUUGGACAAAGUUAAAUUAAUAAUCCAACAGUGUUGGAAGGGUUAAAAAUAAGUUCCAAAAAAGUUAGAAAGGUUUUAGCAUCGAUCGGCACGAAAUAGAGUCAAAACGGCGCGAAAUUGAAAUUUUGGAACUUGUGUUACCGGUUUAACACCAGGGGUGUACCGGUACAGCGUGGUAAGCCGAGAGAAACAGCUCUCGGGUUUGCCUCUACGAAAUGCUGUAACCGGUGACAGACAAAAAGUGUACCAAUACACAGUGUAAAAAACCCGAAACAGCAGCUCUCAGGUUUGGCUGUUGCGCGAUUGUGUAACCGGUGACAAGAUCACCUUGUACCGGUACACAGUGUCCUAGACAGCAGGUUAAGUCUGGCACAGAUAAGAUAAAUUGAAGGGCUUAAAUGCAAUUGUUGUGGCUUAUAAAAACCCCCACAACCUCUUCUCUCUCAUUCAUAGCAGUGAGAACACCUUCCUUACUCAUUUUUCUCACUCUCUUGGAGCAUUUUCAAGUGUGGAAUGGCGAAGAUUAGGGGAGCACGAGUCUUAUUGCAAGGAAUGGGACUCGUGGUAGAGAUGGAAUUGGCGGACCAACUCGCAGAGCAAUGUAAGUAAUUGAUCGCGAGAGUUGAGUCAUUACACUUGUGUACACUCAAGUAAUCCGAGUGUUUCGAAUGUUGUUUCGGUAGAUCGAACAGUGAAAGUGAAUCACUGUUGAGGGAAUAGUUGGUUAGUGCCAAGUUUGGCCUGUCGGCCUAGUUGUCAUACGUCUAAAACAUAUAAGGCGUCUAAAAUAAAAUGAUAAAUGAGACAAUAAAAGAAAACAACUAGAAGUAUCAGAGCAAUAUACAACAUCUAGAAAUUAAAGCAAUUUGAAGAGUAGAGAGCUAAAAUCACUAAAUAAACCAUAAAGUAGUACAACCAAAGAUCCAAAUACAAGAACUAAAAGAGUACAUAGGUGAUCUCUAUACAUAAUAAACAAAAUCUCUCGCUCUCCCAAAACAUAAAAAGAGGGAAAACCACCUAAGAGUAAAAGUAAAUCCUCGCUAUCUAGCUAGCGAUCCCCUUGCCGCAGUCCCGUGCCUCCGCCGGUGCAGAGGGCUCUGAAAGGAAAACAUAAAACAGAGGGCGUGAGAACUAUUAAAUAAUAGUUCCCAGUGGGCAAUUACUGACUUCAGUGAAAUGCACCACUAGGCCCAAAACUAAGCAAGUAAGGUAAGUAAGGCAGAUAAGAAUAAUAUGAACAAAUAAAUCACUGAAAUGGAAGCUCACUAUAGCAUGAUGUCACUACUUUUAUCAGUAAUAAUCUACCACAUGAUCUCUAUUUAGCAUGGAUUUGCAUAAGUAAUAAACUACCACAUGAUCUCUACUUAGCAUGAAUUUGCAUAAGUAAUAAACUAUCAUAGCAUAAUUGCAGAAGUAUAAGCCGAACACAAUAAUCACAAGCUAGAAUGGUAAUUUGUCAUUAUCUACUAUUCUAGUCAAUGUCCAAAAGGUACAAUAUGUCACCAGUAAUCCAAUCCUGUAGAAGCUACCCGUAGGUAGUCCGGCCUGCGCCGUGCCAACAAUGGCCCCGUGGUAGUCAAUAUCCCCACUCUAGGAAUGAGCCUCCCCCACGGCAUCCCAUUUUGGCGCCCAAUCCCGCACGGGCGAGCAUAUGUCGCGAUGGCUAUCUCCGGAGUGCCGACUUGUAGGGAGCGACCCUCACAAGUAUGUGCGAAUGAGCACAAUGGCAUGCAAGCGAAUAAGUCCGUCUCAGGUCCCAGUGGUUCAUCACUGUUUCAUCGGAUUUAAAACCCGGAAUACAGCACAUGUCCCAAACGCCUGCCUCUAUGUCAUCGUGUCUAAAACACGGAAUAUAGUAACUGUCUCAAUGGCCUAUCUCAAUGUCAUCAUGUCUAAAACAUGGAAUUUAGUAGAUUUUCAGUGGCCUAUCAUCAUGUCUCUAAGUUGCAGUUCAACAAUUUUCUAGUUCAAGUGCCCCUUUAUGACACUUUUGCUUACUAUGUCCCAAUAUGAAUAAUAAGUCUAAAAGCUUGUCAUUCUAAUCAUUUUCCACACAAGAAACAUGAUCUUACAUCAUUUGUUAGAACAUUAAACUCAUGCAUACUAACAAUGCAUAUGCUUCUCUCUACAACAUAGAGUCAAUUUUUCAUGAUACAUAACAUAGGAGUUUUAAGCAUUCUAAAAUUCAUAUAAAUUCUAUUCAACAUGGAUAUGCAUACAUUUAUAGUAUACGAAAAUAUUUAACCACGUAGGAGGCAUUUCCCCCUAUUUCAAUGAAGCCAAACCCACCACAACUCUCGCAACUCCUUUGUUUGCUCCGACGAAGGUGUCCACUAGUCUUCUACCACCCUAGAGGUGUAGAAACAAGAGUUAAACGGACCUUACGAACAACCAUAAGGUUGAUCAUUAACCAUCUCGAGCUAACGUGGAGAAAAACUCACCUAGAUGAAGAAAUCCUCAAAUAAAGUUCAAAUGGAAGCCAAAUCCCUUACAAAGUAACCUAAUCCAAGGUUCUAAACCCAUCAAUAGAGCUCUAAAAGCUUCUAAUCAAAAAGCCCCAAAAUAGACCCUAAGUUCCAAAUCUAGGGUUUCCAACAUGAGAAAUCCAUCAAACCAUGUAUUAAAUGGAAAAUACAUGCUACUAACCUCUUAAGUAGCCUCAAACCAAGUCCAAAAUCAGCUAGGGUUGAAGAUCUCCUCUCAAACAAGCUCCUCUCAAAGCUCCAAGUCUUCAACAAUGGAGAAAACCCAACAAGUAGCAAAGAAGAGAAAAAAAGGAGAGAUCAAAACACCAUAAAAUCCACCAAAAAUGGAGAUCAAACAAAGGGAGGGAGACUCACCUUGAUCUCCACUGGUUAGGGCUCAAAAUGAGCAGCUAUGGGGGCUGGGGUGAUAUUUAUAGAGGUUGUAACAAUUGUAAAUACACCCCUCCCCGAACUUAGCGCAGUCUGCAUUGUGUACCGGUACACGGGAAAGUGUACCGAUACAGUUCCUGCGAAACUGCACAACCCGAGCCUCGGGUUGGCAGAAAAUUCGAAGUGUACCGGUAUGACAUCGAGGCUGUACCGGUACACUGCGUUCCGGUACAACUAUCAAGGUUGUACCGGUACACAAUCCUACCGAGGUAACCCGAGAGCACACCAACAAUCCUACAUUUUGGGAUUUUGGCCACAAGCUUAAACCCACAAUUCUCGGAAUGCGAGCCAUAGGUCAGAACACUGUCUACGACCCUCCAGAAUAUCUGAAAAAGCUCAGAACAUAGAUCAAACACUCGAACCUCGCAAUUUGCAAUGGUCCAGUGCGUUACAUUCACCCCUCCUAAAAAGGAGUUUCGUCCGCGAAACUCGGAAUACAACAUAUCUCACGACUCCAUCUGAAAGAGAUGGGGAUAACGCUCCUGCAGAGCGCUCUCUAGCUCCCACAUAGCCUCUCGCUCCCCCUGGUUGCUCCAAAGGACCUUCACAUACGGAAUAUCCCGACUCCACAGCUUCUUCACCUCGCGAGCCAAAAUCUUCACUGGUUGCUCCUCGAUGCUCAAAUCCUCAUGCAGCUCCACUGGUAAACCAUCCAAAAUGUGAGCUGGAUCAUGAAUGUAUCUCCGAAGGACCGAUACAUGAAAAACGUUGUGCACGCCCGAUAGAUUCGGCGGUAGGGCAAGUCGAUACGCUACCGGGCCUACACGUUCCAAAAUCUCAUACGGUCCAAUGAAACGGGGGCUCAACUUUCCCCGAAUCCCGAAUCUCUUGAUUCCUCUAGUCGGCGAGACCUUCAAGAAAAUAUGGUCUCCAACUUGGAACUCCAAGUCUCACCGCCAUCGAUCAGCGUAGCUCCUCUGUCUACUCUGCGCCGUCAAGAGUCGCUCCCGAGCAAUGCGAACCUUGUCCUCAGCUUCCUAGAGCACAUCAGGGCCUAAAGUAAGUCUCUCGCCAACUUCACUCCAAUGAAGUGGCGAUCUACACUUCCGUCCAUAAAGUGCUUCGAAGGGCACUUGAUGCUUGUUUGAUAACUGUUGUUAUAAGCAAACUCCGCCAUAGGUAGAUACUGCGACAAUCCUCCCUGGAAGUCAAUCACACAUGCUCGGAGCAUAUCCUCUAAAGUCUGAAUAGUGCGCUCCAACUGCCCAUCACUCUGAGGGUGGAAAGCGGUGCUGAAAUCCAGUCAGGUGCCUAAGGCGUCCUACAGACUCCUCCAAAAAUGAGACACAAACCGAGUGUCUCGAUCAGAUACAAUCGAAGUAGGCACUUCGUGCAGUCGCACAAUCUCGUCAAGGUACACUUGUGCGAGCUUCUCCCCAGUCCAAGUCGUAUGAAUAGGUAUGAAGUGCGCCGACUUCGUCAAUCUGUCCACAAUCACCCAAAUGGCAUCAUGCCCGGCCUGAGAACGAGGCAAUCCAGUCACAAAAUCCAUGGUGAUCUUCUCCCACUUCCAUACGGGAAUCGACAAACUCCGAAGUUUUCCCGCGGGUAACCGGUGCUCAGCUUUAACUUGUUAGCAAGUUAGACAUCUAGCAACAAACUCACAAACAUCCUUUUUCAUCCCGGGCCACCAAUAAAUCAACUUUAAAUUCUUGUACAUCUUGGUGCCUCUCGGAUGUAUAGCAUAGGGCGCCCUGUACGCUUCUUGAAGAAUAUCUUCUUUAAUUCCCGAAUCCGCCGGNAUAGCAUAGGGCGCCCGGUGCGCUUCUUGAAGAAUAUCUUCUUUAAUUCCCGAAUCCGCCGGAACACAAAGCCGUCCUCGAAAGCGCAUCAACCCUUGGUCGUCCACGAGGAAACCGCCGGUGCAACCAUCAACCAUUUUUCCUCUAAUCUUUUGCAGUUCCACAUCGAAAACUUGCUUUUCUUUGAUUCUAUCCAACAAUGUAGGUUGCACUACCAAUGUCAUCAACCUCAAGGGCGUGUCAGGAGUCACCACCUCCAUCUCCAACUGCUUCAUCUGCUCGAUCAAUUGCGGUUGAGCCACAAUAUGCAUCGCCAAGUUCUCCAUCGAUUUUCGACUUAGUGCAUCAGCCACCACGUUAGCCUUGCCUGGGUAGUAGAGAAUGGUCAAAUCAUAAUACUUGAGCAGCUCCAACCAUCUGCGCUGCCUCAAGUUCAACUCCUUCUGAGUGAAUAGGUAUUUCAAGCUCUUGUGAUCCGUGUAUACUUCACACCGCUCGCCAUAAAGAUAGUGGCGCCAUAGCUUCAAUGCAAAGACUACGGCCGCCAACUCCAAAUCAUGUGUGAGGUAAUUUCUCUCAUACUCCUUCAAUUGGCGGGAAGCAUACGCGAUCACCUUGCCAUUCUGCAUCAAAACGUAACCCAAUCCAUUAAAUGAAGCAUCACUAUAAACCACAUACCCGGCUCCAGCAACUGGCAGGGUUAGGAUCGGGGCGGUCGUCAAUCUUUGCUUCAACUCUUGGAAGCUCCUUUCACACGCAUCGUUCCAAAUAAACUUAACACCUUUAUGCAUGAGCCUCGUGAGGGGAGUAGAUAACUUAGCAAACCCCUCAACAAAUCUCCGGCAGUAGCCGGCCAAUCCAAGGAAACUCCGAAUCUCCGUGACGCUUGUCGGUCUCGGCUCCCUGAUAGCCUCAAUCUUCUUGGGAUCCACUGCAAUACCUGAUCCCGAAAUCAGAUGCCCAAGGAAAGCCACCUCUCGAAGUCAAAAUUCACACUUUCUCAGCUUAGCAAAGAGCUCCCUUUCACGAAGUAGUUGAAGUACAAGCCUCAAAUGCUCCUCGUGAUCCGCAUCACUUCGGGAAUAAACCAAGAUGUCGUCGAUAAACACCACGACGAACCUAUCCAGAUAAGGCUUAAAGACACUGUUCAUUAAAUCCAUAAAAGCUGCCGGGGCAUUAGUAAGCCCAAACGGCAUAACUGUGAACUCGUAAUGUUCAUACCGUGUUCUAAAGGUCGUCUUCGAUACAUCCUCGGGCUUGAUCUUUAACUGGUGGUAUCCCAACUGCAAGUCUAUCUUGAAAUACACACACGAUCCCUGAAGCUGAUCAAACAAGUCGUCGAUCCUCGGCAACGGAUACUUAUUCUUGAUCGUGACUUUAUUAAGUUCACGAUAGUCCACACAUAAGCGAAGCGAUCUGUCUUUCUUCUUGACGAACAAAACUGGCGCUCCCCAAGGCGAGACGCUCAGCCGAAUGAAGCCUCUGUCCAGAAGAUCCUGUAGCUGUGCCCUCAGCUCCUUCAGCUCCGCCGGUGCCAUCCUAUAGGGUGCCUUUGAGAUUGGGGUAGUCCUAGGGACGAGAUCUACCACGAACUCAAUCUCCCUAUCAGGUGGCAUACCCAGUAGCUCAGCUAGAAACACAUCCUGAAACUCUCGUACCACCGGGAUAUCCUCAAUCCUAGGGGUAUCAUCGUCGCCCCUCAUAACAACACUAGCCAAAAAGGCUAUGCACCCUCUGCUAGUCAGCUGCCUAGCCCGUGACGAGCUGAUCGUCAUCGCAAAUAGCGAACUCUGGCAUUCUCUAAAUAUCACCUCAACUUGCCCCGGUUCUCUAAAAGUAACCGUGCGAUUCUUGCAAUCAAUCGUGGCAUAACAUUUGGUUAGCCAAUCCAUACCCAAAACCACAUCGAACUCCCCUAGCUUGCGCAAGGCUAGCAAGUCCACGGGCAUAAUCCAAUCCCCAACCCAAACAGGGCAACUGGAGCAGUAUUCCCUAAUAUCCAAAAUAUGGUCGGGUACUACAACCUGUCCUGGAUGCAACAAAAAAACCAUCUGGAUGUCAUGCAACUCGGCGAACAGCCGAUCUAUAAAUAAAUGUAAUGCACCGGUAUCAAACAAUGCUCGAACUCUAAUACCAUCAAGUAAAAUGAUACCUGCAACCACAUCCCCGGCUGUCGCCGCCUCCUCGGUCUGAGCGGCAUACAUACGGCCACUCGAGGCCUGGCGUGAUCCCUCGCUCUGACGCUCGACGGGUGGCCGCCCAGGCUGGUACUGUGCCGAUGGAGUCACCUGGCUAGCGGCUGGUAGAGCCGGUGCCGAUGCAGUCGAUGGUGCCGGUGACGAUCUCCUCGGGCACUUAGUCCGGAAGUGGCCCUCCUGGCCACACAAGUAGCACCUGCCUCUCCGCUGUGGACACUACGGUGGAGUGUGAGGACCACCGUAUAUCACGCACUGGAGAGGUCGGCAUCGAUCAGGACCUCCUCGCUGCGCUGCAGGGCCGCGCCCAUGCUGUGGCUCCCAGGGUGUUUCGGCGGCCUCCUAGAGUGCGUCUGGCUCACACCCUCCGCCGCAGGCCUCCUGGCCUUACCCCUGUCCAAGCCCUCUCGCCGCUCCUGCACCUCUGCCACGUCGCUUUCCACGAUGAGCGCGCGAUCCACCACCUCCCGGUAGGUUUGGAGGUUAGAGGAUUGCACGAACCGGAAGAUCGACGAUCGCAACCCCCGUUCGAAGAUGUGGGCCUUGUCCUCGUCGUCCCGCACGACGAAAGGCACACAGUGAAGAAGCUGAGAAAACUCCCUCUCGUACUCGGCCACAAUGCGGUCUCCCUGGCGCAAGCUGCGCAGAUCCUGUUCCAUUUUCCUCUUGACGCUAGUCGGGAAGUAGUGCACCAGUAGAACCUCAUUGAACUUCUUCUAUGUAAUAGCCGCCAAGUCGGUGCUCGGGUUCUCCUAAAGAUCCAACCACCAGCGAUAGGCCUCGCCGUCCAGAUGGUGAGUUGCGAGCCAAACUCGAUCUCUCUCCUCCACGAAGGUGUCGCGGAAGAGCUUCACCAUAUGCAUCAACCACUUUUCCAUGAUCCAGUUGUCGACCCUCUGUCCGUCGAAAAUCCUGGGGCUGCACCUCCUGAACUCAUUGAGGCGCUCCAUCAGCCUGUCCUGCUCUGCUCCCUCGGCCAUCAUGGGGAAAACCGCCCCCGCAAGAGGCACCUGAGUUGGUGGUGCCGCAAUCACCUCCUCCCGUGGCGCUACCGGAGGCAUCGUCCGAGAUGUGUCGAGUGCAGGGGACGAUCCUCGGGGUGCAACCACCUCCACUGGCGUGGGUGGUGUAGGAACCUGAGCCUCCCGAGCCUCCUCCUGUUGCAGUAGGAGGUCCUCCAGACGCUUCAUCCAUGCCUCCUGUCGACGCGCCGCCUCCGUCUGCUGCGCCACCAUGUCAGUGAGGACCGCAAGCUGGCUUCUCAACUCGCGGACCUCGCCGGAUCUGGAGGUAGCGGAGGUCUCAACCUCCUCCAGAUGUGCCGCAUUAUCCGCUCCAGCAGAUUGAGAGCGAGUGAUCGGCAUCGCACUACAACAUCAUAAAAGCGCAAGUUAGUAAAACUCACACUAUCGAAUCCCUGCUCAAGUAAAUAAAAUCCCAAAUCAUGCGAAAGUAAAGAAGUGUGCUUCACUACUAACUCCCGAUGUUACGUUGUUGGCCGCCAACGUAACCCUCCGCGAAGUUAGAAGCUAUACACUUCAAUUUAACUCCACUUUCUAGAGUUAUCAAAGAUACCCAAUCAAGAUACUUUCGCUUACAAGUCGAAUAGACCUCGUCUCUCACGAGCCUAUUUCCUAUAGUCCAACCGGCCUAAGGUUUGCUAAGUCCACUAAGACUCAACCCUAGGCUCUGAUACCAAAUUAAUCUGUCACGCCCCGGGACUCAGCGGAAGCCCGCCGGGCACGUGCACAGACCCGCCAUACGUCUAAAACAUAUAAGGCGUCUAAAACAAAACGAUAAAUGAGACAAUAAAAGAAAACAACUAGAAGUAUCAGAGCAAUAUACAACAUCUAGAAACUAAAGCAAUGUGAAGAGUAGAGAGCUAAAAUCACUAAAUAAACCAUAAAAUAGUACAACCAAAGAUCCAAAUACAAGAACUAAAAGAGUACAUAGGUGGUCUCUAUACAUGGUAAACAAAAUCUCUUUCUCUCCCAAAACAUAAAAAGAAGAGAAACCACCUAAGAGUAAAAGUAAAUCCUCGCUAUCUAGCUAGCGAUCCCCUUGCCGCGGUCCCGUGCCUCCGCCGGUGCAGAGGGCUCUGAAAGAAAAACAUAAAACAGAGGGCGUGAGAACUAUUAAAUAAUAGUUCCCAGUGGUCAAUUACUGACUUCAGUGAAAUGCACCACUAGGCCCAAAACUAAGCAAGUAAGGUAAGUAAGGCAGGUAAGAAUAAUAUGAACAAAUAAAUCACUGAAAUGGAAGCUCACUAUAGUAUGAUGUCACUACUUUCAUCAGUAAUAAUCUACCAUAUGAUCUCUACUUAGCAUGGAUUUGCAUAAGUAAUAAACUACCACAUGAUCUUUAUUUAGCAUGAAUUUGCAUAAGUAAUAAACUAUCAUGGCAUAAUUGUAGAAGUAUAAGCCAAACACAAUAAUUACAAGCUAGAAUGGUAAUAUGUCAUUAUCUACUAUUCUAGUCAAUGUCCAAAAGGUACAAUAUGUCACGAGUAACCCAAUCCUAUGGAAGCUACCUGUAGGUAGUCCAGCCUGCGCCGUGCCAACAAUGGCCCCGUGGUAGUCAACAUCCCCACUCUAGGAAUGAGCCUCCCCUACGGCAUCACAUUUUGGCGCCCAAUCCCGCACGGGCGAGCAUAUGUCGCGAUGGCUAUCUCCGGAGUGCCGACUUGUAGGGAGCGACCCUCACAAGUAUGUGCGAAUGAGCACAAUGGCAUGCAAGCGAAUAAGUCCGUCUCAAGUCCCAGUGGUUCAUCACUGUUUCAUCGGAUCUAAAAUCCGGAAUACAGCACAUGUUCCAAAGGCCUGCCUCUAUGUCAUCGUGUCUAAAACACGGAAUAUAGUAACUGUCUCAAUGGCCUAUCUCAAUGUCAUCAUGUCUAAAACAUGAAAUUUAGUAGAUUUCCAGUGGCCUAUCAUCAUGUCUCUAAGUUGCAGUUCAACAAUUUUCUAGUUCAAGUGUCCCUUUAUGACACUUUUGCUUACUAUGUCCCAAUAUGAAUAAUAAAUCUAAAAGCUUGUCAUUCUAAUCAUUUUCCACACAAGAAACAUGAUCUUACAUCAUUCGUUAGAACAAUAAACUCAUGCAUACUGACAAUGCAUAUGCUUCUCUCUACAAUAUAGAGUCAAUUUUUCAUGAUGCAUAACAUAGGAGUUUUCAGAUAAAUUCUAUUCAAUAUGGAUAUGCAUGCAUUUAUAGUAUACGAAAAUAUUUAACCACGUAGGAGGCAUUUCCCCCUAUUUCAAUAAAGCCAAACCCACCACAACUCUCGCAACUCCUUCGUUUGCUCUGACGAAGGUGUCCACUAGUCUUCUAGCACCCUAGAGGUGUAGAAACAAGAGUUAAACGGACCUUACGAACAACCAUAAGGUUGAUCAUUAACCAUCUCGAGCUAACGUGGAGAAAAACACACCUAGAUGAAAAAAAUCCUCAAAUAAAGCUCAAAUGGAAGCCAAACCCUUCCAAAGCAACCUAAUCCAAGAUUCUAAACCCAUCAAUAGAGCUCUAAAAGCUUCUAAUCAAAAAGCCCCAAAAUAGACCCUAAGUUCCAAAUCUAGGGUUUCCAACAUGAGAAAUCCAUCAAACCAUGUAUUAAAUGGAAAAUACAUGCUACUAACCUGUUAAGUAGCCUCAAACCAAGUCCAAAAUCAGCUAGGGUUGAAGAUCUCCUCUCAAAUAAGCUCCUCUCAAAGCUCCAAGUCUUCAACAAUGGAGAAAACCCAACAAGUAGCAAAGAGGAGAAAAAAAUGAGAGAUCAAAACACCAUAAAAUCCAUCAAAAAUGGAGAUCAAACAAGGGAAGGGAGACUCACCUUGAUCUCCACUGGUUAGGGCUCAAAAAGAGCAGCUAUGGGGGCUGGGGUGAUAUUUAUAGAGGUUGCAACAAUUGCAAAUACACCCCUCCCCGAACUCAGCCCAGUUUGCAUUGUGUACCGGUACACGGGAAAGUGUACCGGUACACUUCCUGCGAAACUGCCCAACCCGAGCCUCGGGUUGGCAGAAAAUCCGAAGUGUACCGGUAUGACAUCGAGGCUGUAUCGGUACACAUUGCGUUCCGGUACAACCAUCAAGGUUGUACCGGUACACAAUCCUGCAGAGGCAACCCGAGAGAACACCAACAAUCCUACAUUUCGGGAUUUUAGGUACAAGCUUAAACCCACAAUUCUCUGGAUGCAAGCCAUCGGUCGGAACACUGUCUACAACCCUCCAGAAUAUCUGGAAAAGCUCAGAACACAAAUCAAACACUCGAACCUCGCAAUUUGCAAAGGUCGAAUGCGUUACACUAGUUGUACCUCAAUGUCACGCCCCGCGCCCCGCCUAUUUGGUCGGGUUCGGGCACGCCAACAGACCGAUGAACGGACAGGAUUUUUCUAUACCGCGGACAGAGUCUCCCCUGUACGUCCAAGGUGUCGCAAUCGAUACAAUUCACUAUGUUCCAACCAGGAAUCGAAUUCAACCAAAGAUUGCAUAAGGAAGUAUCAAAAAUAUAAACCAACUAAGUUAUUACAACAUUCAUCUUAGGUGUAUUUUACAUCACAAUUUUUUUUUACAAUCAACUUCUAAAAUACAAUCUAGUUAACACAAUUAUUACAAGUUUGGUACAUUUGUGUUCUUUGUCUCAAACCCCUAAGCUAGACCGCCUCGGGGUACCGCUAUCUCAGUCUCGAGGGUAGGGCCGCUAUCUACGGAGCUACGCCCUUUCCUCGCGCUGCCGCGCCGCUCAAGUGCGAACCUGUAACACCCCAAAACAACGUGGAGUGAGAACCAACUCCAUGAUUCCCAGUGGGUACGGCCACCCAAGAAAAAAGCUCGACCAAUAGGUCCAAGGAGGCACUGCAACAUGUUAGUCCAACAGAUAUAUAUACAAAUAAGGAAAAACAUGCUAUGUCUCACAAUAGCAAUAUGCAAAUCCUGUAACUCCUGCAGGUAGAUAAAUUGAUUCUACCUCACAUUCUUGGUCAUUCUUUACUUGUAGCCGUUCUUUACUUUAUUAGCUAUUCUUUAUUCUUAGUUAUUCUUUAUUCUUUAUUCAUAGACACAACUUGCUCAUUGGCCAUUCCUUUCUAAGGUUACUCUUAUCUUGGUCACACUAUGCUACUCGACUCGGUUAUGAGUCAAUCAACGGCGGAUAAUUCGCGCUCUGUCCAGCUCGAGGUGAAGGAACUCACACAUACACCUCAGCCUUCCACAGCUCACGGCGCUCUAUGACCUAGCCACCCGGUGGCGAAAUCGUCGCAUACGCCAUGUCGAUGGUUCGAGUCAACCCGUAUGAUCCACAAACCGGCUCAACCGGUAUAAACCACAAUUCGGCUCACCCAUCCGACGGCGAAAUCGUCGCACACACCACGUCGAUGGUAUAGCCCCGGACGGCGAAAUCGUCGUGCACGCCCAACACCACUUUGGGUGUUCCAUAAGCUCUGGAAUUCUGGAAUCCAUUUCCACAUAACUCAAGGGUGGGUCUUAACUCUAUGGUAUCGACCUACUUAGGUCCAUUAUCCUUUCCAUCCUAGGUCCACUUGACUCUAAGUUUAACACUUUUAUCACAUUACCUAGGUUUACUUUAAUACUUGGUUCAUUAUCUUUAACUCACAACCUAGGUUGACUUAACUCUAGGUUCAAUCUCAACCUAUGUUCUCUAAUAUUAGGUUUAAUGCCAUUCUUGUUUAACCUAUAUUCAUUAACACUAGGUUCAAUAUCACUCUUGUUCAACCUAGGUUCACGACUCUAGGUUCAAUGCCACUCGAUCUAUGUUUGUAUAUGUUCACAAGUACGUGUCCUUUACUCAGCAUUUUUACAUUAGCAUCUCUACAACAUUCUUAUCAUACAUUUUCUUUAUCAUUCUUAUUUCAUAUCAAUAUGCAUUCACUAAGCAUUCUUACAUUAGCAUUUCUACACAUGCAACAUGACUAACAUAUGUCAUUUACUUUAUGCUUUCCACUUAGCAUUAUUUAUACUAUGUCAUUAUGCAUUACUUAGCAUUCUCACAUUAUGACCAUAUGCAUUAUUUGGUAGCCUAACAUAGCAUUUCACCUUAUGCAUUUAUGUGUUCUACCACUAGCUACCAUUACAUGCAUCAAUAAUAAGCACUAGUCUUAGACAUACAGGCGACCUAGUCGCUUCGGUAAACACAACCCACCUUAACUCGCACUCCGAUUGCUUGUAGUCACUUACAAUCGGCCUUCCGCAGCACCCGUGACCCGGUUCCGCCCGAACUCUCGCGCGACUAUGCGAAUGGCCUUCAAUCCACGAUCCGGAAAUUAAAGAUCCGCGGUUAGUUGUCAUGAGCUCACGAUUCCGUUUUCAUGAUUUUAGGACGUCGCCUCGGCCCUCCAGGCGGAAACAAUGCCAAAAAUGUCGUUUCUUCAAUAACUUCGCGUAGGCUCGACGAAUCGCCGAACCGACUUCGGCAACGCGUUCGUAUACCUAGCAAUUAGGUUUAUAUAGGUUCAAUUUAAAUCAAACCCAUCUACUAGCAAAAAUGCCAUUUUUGAGCCCUAGCAAGUUACAUAGCAAGAAGUCACCAUUUAGCUUCAUGAUUCAAGCAUUAAUCCUCUAUUUAGCAUCUAGGAGUUCCACUAAAUCCAUUUUUAGAGCAUAUAAAUGAAGCCCUAAAGAUCUACCAUUGUUGCUAUCAAAACUUACCUCUCAAGCAAGCUCCAAUGGAGAGGAAGAAGAUGAAGGAGAUGAAGAUCAAUUUCCAAGCUUGCUUCUCCACCAAAUCCUUCUCUUGAUUCCACCUUCAAGAGAGAGAAAGAGAGGGUUUUUCUUCUUUAGUUGCAAGUGUGAGGGAGGGGGAGAGAAUGUGUGCGUGUGUGUGUGGGUGCGCAUGCUGCCAGCCACAUAGUAGGGGCUGUAACAAUUGAACAAAACCCCCCAACAAUACACUAUUCACAUCAGUUUAGCAGAUACAAACUGUUUUCGCCGGAGCCCUUCUGAAUGUCCGUUUGCACUCAAAUUUGACAGUCAGGCUCGGUUUUACUUAAUAAGUACAAAAAAAUUUUAAUCUUUCAGUUUUGACCAUAUUUGGUCACCGAAAACUCUACCGAACUGUAAUCUCUACAGAUAGCAGUCGGAUUUUAUUUUUUACCUUUCGGGUGUCGGAUUUACAUGAAACUUUAAAUCGAACCUCAUAAAAAUAAUUCCAACAUAUUCUUCAGUUUUCAUAAUUUUCUGACACUGUGCAUUUUCUGCUAAAAUAUCAGCUCCGUUUCUCACAGAAAAUUUUAAAUCUUCUGUUUUCGUUCUGAUUUCAGCACGAGUCAUUCCCGACUUAUAUUUUACUUCUCUAAAUCUAAUAAAAAUAGUAUCUCACACUAUAUUUAUUUAUAUUUUUACUUUUAUAUCAAAAUCUGAUAUGUUACAAGCCCAAAGUGUGCCGGUACACUUCCUCGUGUCACCGGUAACACGACUGCACAGAGACAAAACCCGAGAGCUGCUUCUCGGUUUCGUAGCAUUCGUACCGGUACACUUUCAAUGCUGUACCUGUACACUUUACUAUACCUGUUACAACUCGAUGGUUGUACCGGUACACUUUGCCCAGACUUAGUUUUUGGCUCCGUUUCAAUUCUAUUUCGCGCUGAACAAUACUAAAACCUUUCCAACUCCUUCUAAACUCACUUUUAACCCUUCCAACCUUAUUGGAAUGUUAAAUAGAACUCAUCCAACCAUUUCAUUCGCACGCUUUAGUCAAUUUGAUUAAAGUCCAAUAUUUUCUACCGAAGUUUCGGCAUGUUACACUCAAUGUGAGGUAAGAGAAUGUGUUUGGUAGACGGUGCACGGGGGCAAUCUUACCAAAAGCCAAGACUUAGUGUAGAACGUUAUAGUAGCGUACGACGCCCGAGUAUGGGUACUCGUGGAGUGCGGAUUCAAUUCAGCCGAGAGAGCGAGUUGGCAGUAGCACUUUAGCGUUGCUAAGUGUGAAGCGUGCCUUGGGUCACUCAUAGGGCUGGUGACCCGCACUAGGUGCAUAGGAACCGGUAGUGAUACGUAUGGCUCGGUAGAGCUGGUCGUGCGAUUGAUAGUAUACCGAGAGUGCGAUGGUAACCCAACCCGGGGAUCUGUAACGGUUUGGAAUUUUAGUUGCUCCUGGUUAAAGUGUGUGCGAAUUUUCAAGUGAGAAUUUCGCCCGAUGAUGAUUGGGUCUGCAUUUGUGAGCGAGAGACGCUGCAUAUUGAGACAGGUUAGGCGAUAGGCCUUUGUGGCACUGGCGGUCUGUGGGCCACCUAUGAAAUGGAGAAAAGCGAUUUCGCGGAUAGCCUUAUCGAGAAGUUUGGCUUGGAUUCACGAACGGAGUGUUCGUGUGAGCUCAUUGCGAAAGUAAUUCGACAUUGAUUGUGGCAUAUGAUAUCAGAAGAUGAAUUGCUCUUGGUGAGACCUUGAGCUAGUGGCAAGCCACGUGGAGUUUGAGGAUUAGAAUUGGGACAUGAUGAGAUAGGCCAUCUCACGUUAGAGCUAAAGGUCAGUGCGAAACUGGAGCACUCAUGAUGUAGCGAUGCACCGGUGAUAUUGCUUCUAAGCAAUGUCGGUGAUCGAAUCGGAAUAUAUUCCCUGAAGGGAAGGUAAAUACAAGGAAGAGUUCCUUGUGUGCCGAGUGCCGAGUGGUGUUGGAGCGCGUAGAGUCGUCCAGUUUCGACUUGCGCUGCCACCGAGAGUUAUGGAGACCGUAAUGCACUUUAAGUGCUACGCCUUUCAAACGUGUAUGCGUUUGAUUCUGUAUCCUCCGUAGCGGGCCUUCGAAUCAUUCUAAUGAACGUGAGGCCAUCCCGGAGGGGGAAAGUGCAUUGGUGCCCUCAAUUGCUCGAGGAGCUAAAUUGAGGCGUGGUUUGAAUUUCGCGGACGAAAUUCUUUUAAGGGGUGGAGAAUGUAACAUACCGGAUUUUGAUAUAGAAGUAAAAAAUAAAUAAAAAUAGUGUGAGAUACUAUUUUUUAUUGGACUGAUAGAAAAAAAAUGUACGUCUGAAAUGACCUGUGCUGAAAUCGGAAUGAAAACAGAAGAUUUAGAAUUUUCUGUGAGAGACGGGGCUGAUAUUUUAGCAGAAAAUGCACAGUGUCAGAAAAUUAUGAAACUGGAGAAUAUGUCAGAAUUAUUUUUAUGAGACUAGAUUUAAAGUUUCAUGCCAUUCUGACGCCCGAAAAGUGAAAAAUAAAAUCUGACUACUAUCUGCUAGAGAUUAUAGUUCGGUAGGGCUUUCGGUGACCAAAUAGGAUCGAAACUGAAAGAUUAAAAUUUUUUUCAUUAAGUUAAGUAAAAUCAAGCAUGACUGCCAAAUUUGAGCUCAAACGGACCUAGUGUUAUUGAACAUAGAUAAAUAAUGAGUAGCAAUGAACUCAGAGUUAAGUAAACCUAGGUUAUGGCAUGAGUGGCAUUGAACCAUGAGUCAAGUGAACCUAGGUAGUAAAGAACAUCGGACCUAGUGUUAUGGAACCUACGCAAUGAACAUAGUGACAUGGGAUCUAAUGUUAGUAAACUUAGGUCGAAUAAUGGCUUGAACCUAGAAAGGUUGACAUAGGGUCAGACCAACCUUAGAGAUGUUGAAAGUGGAUUCCGGAAUCCCAGGUCUUGUGGCCUUAGUGAACGUGGUAUGCUCAUGGUUGUGGAUUGGAUCAUACUCACCUAUAAGUCCAUACUUGAGGGCAGUCGCUCCCCCUCGAGCUAUGAGCUCCGAAGUGAUCAUCACUGUGUUGGAGUUUCCGUAGAGGUUGAGCCUGUCGGGUCGUAGCGAGUAUCUUCCCGAUUGAUGAGCUCCGGAGUAGUCAUCACUGGGUCAUAGCGAAUAUCUCCCCAGAGGACGGUCCUGUCGGGUUGUAGCGAGUAUCUCCCCGAUAGUAGGGAUUUGGGUUGGUGAGUUCUGAGGCGAAACCUACGCGUUAGCUGAGAGGAUUGGGUAUUGAUUGUGGCAAUUGCCAUGCACCAUGAGCAGUAUAUAUGUUGGUUCUCCUCGCCCAUUGGGCGAUGUGGUUUGAGGAUUUAAGGUUGAGGUGCAUGUGAGACGUCCUUCACCUUGAGCCUGACAGAGCGCGGCAUAUCCGCGGUUGAUUGACUCAAGACCGAGUCGAGUGGCAUAGUUGGUUAAGGUAAAGUAACCUUAGGAAAGAUUGGUUAGUGCUAAAGAAUAGCGAAUAGUAAAGAAUGGCAACGAAGAAAGAACGAUUAAUACUAAGGAAAAGCAAAUAAUAAAGAACGGCUAAGAAUUAAAGAAAGGCAAGUGAAAGAAAGUAGAAUUAGUUAACCUACUUGCAUAAGUUGCAUGAUUUACAUAUUGCAUGUCUUGAGGCAUAAACAUGUAUUUAAUAUUUGUAUUAAAUAUCUAUAGAUAUCUGUUGGACUAACAUGUUUGCAGUGCCUCCUUGGACCUGGUGGGUCGAGCUUUUUCCUUGGGUAGCCGUACCUACUGGGAACUAUGGACAAUCGUUUUCACCCCCGUGUUGUUUUUGGGGGUACAGGUUCACACAUGAGCGGCGCGGUGGCGCGAGGAAAGGGCGUAUCUCCGUAGAUAGCGCCCUACAACCAAGACCAGAAAUAGCAUUACCCCGAGUCGGCUUAGCUAGGGGUUGUAGAAAAGAUGUAAAACAAUAUUGUAAUAAUCUUGUGAUCGAUAAUUGUAUUUGGAAGGAAAUGUAAUCGAAAAUUGUAAAUGUAUAACUUGGGAUGAAUGCUUGUAAUAGCUUAGUUGUUUUAUAUUUUUGAUACUUUCUUAUGCAAUCUAUGCUUGAUUUAUGUUCCUGGUUGGAACAUCGUGAAUUGUAUUGAUUGCGACGCCUACUGUAACAUAUCAGAUUUUGGUAUAAAAAUAAAAAUAAAUAAAAAUAGUGUGAGAUACUAUUUUUAUUGGAUUUAGAGGAGCAAAACAUAAGUCAGAAGUGACUUGUGCUGAAAUCGGAAUGAAAACAGAAGAUCUAGAAUUUUCUAUUGAAAACGGGACAGAUAAAUUAGCAGAAAAUGCAUAGUCUCAGAAAAUUAUGAAAAUUGGAGGAUAAGCCAGAAAUAUUUUUAUGAGACUAGAUUUAAAGUUUCAUAUUUUUCUGACACCCGGAAGGUGAAAAAUAAAAUCCGACAAGUUAUUUGAUAAAGAUUACAGUUCGGUACAGUUUUUGAUGACCAAAUUGGGUCGAAACUGAAAACUUAAGAUAUAUUCUUACUCAGUACGUUAAACUGAGCCUACCUGUCAAAUUUGAGCUCAAACGGACAUUCAGAAGGGCUCCAACUGUUCCGAACUGCUAAACUGCCCUGGGGUGAAUAGUGUCUUGGGGUGUAUAAUAAAGAAGCAAAGUGCUUCUUCUUCCUCUCCUUUAGCUCGAGCACACACACGCACGCACGCAUGGAGAGAGAAGAGAAACUCUCCUUUCUCUCUCUAAAGAUCUCUCUUAUCUCUCUACAUCUCUUGCUCAAAUUCGCGGCGUUGGCGGAGAAGAUGCUCACGAACGCGUUGGGAGCGACGGAUAGAGCUUUCGUGCGCCCGUUGGAGCGGCGUGUUUUCGUCGCGGCAUUCAUAUUGUGGUAAGCUUUUGGGAUUUGGCUUAAUCCUUAGCUUUAAGUGUUCUAAUAGCCUCUAAUGAGCAUUGUUAGCAUGUUGCUCCAUUUAAUUUGGAUUAUUUGGAGGUUAAUUGCAUCUAGGGCUCAAAAAUGCUAGUUUUGUAAACAUGAGGGUUUGAUCUCAUUUGACCCUCUGUAAACUUAAUUGCUAGGUAAACGAACGCGUUGGCGAAGUCGGUUCGGCGAUUCGUCGAGCCGUUGCGAAGUUAUUAAAGAAACGGGCGUCUAGGCUUCGUUUCCGCCUGGAGGGCCGAGGCGACAUCGUAAACUCAUGAAAAUGGAUUUGAAGUAUCGUGGCACAUAACCGAAGACCUUUAAUUUCCGGAUCGUGGAUUGGAGGCCGUUCGGGUGGUCGCGCGAGAGAUCGGGCCAAACCGGGUGCCGGGUGCCGCGGGAGGCCGAUUCCAAGUGUCGACAAGCAAUCAGAAUGCGAAAUGAGGUGGGUUGUGUUUACCGAAGCGAUUAGGUCGCUUUCAUGCCAAAGUAUAGUGUAUUUCACUAUUGAUGCAUGGUGAUAGUAAAAAUACUAAGUAAGAAGGCAUGAUAAAAAUGCUAAGUAAUAAUGCAUGAUAAGAAUGCUAAGUAUGAAUGUAUGUGAUAGAUGUUAAGUAAUGCAUGUAAUAUGUGCCAAGUAAUGAACGUAUAAGAUGUAUGCGAAGGAAUGCAUGUUGUCACAAUAGGAAAUGCUAAAAGAAUUCAUAUUGACAUAAAGUAGAAAGCAUGUUAGUGGUGAUGAAUAAUGAUAAGAUAAGAAUGUUAAGUAAAUGCAUUGAAUGAUGUUAGCUAAAGGCAUGAGAUAAGUGGCAUUGUAUGUUAACGUAAAGUAGAAAGCAUGUUAGUGAUGAUGCAUAAUGAUAAGAUAAGAAUGCUAAGUAAAGGAUAUGUGUAAGUAGACAUAAAUGCACGUAUAGAUCGAGUGGCAUUAAACCUAGUGUCAAGGACAUAGUUUAAACAAGAGUAAUAAUGAACCUAGUGUCAUUGAAUAUAGGUUAUUCACGAGUGGCAUGUCAAGUAUAAUUCCUAGGUGUGGACAACUAGGAAAACAAGAACAUGAGUGGCAUUGAACCUAGAGUCAAGUAAACCUAGGUUGUGAACAUAGUGACAUGGAAUCUAGAGUCAAAAGAACCUAGGUGGUAAAGAAUGUUGGACCUAGUGUUAAUGAAUCUGGACUAAGAAGAUGAUGACGUUGAACCUAAUGUAUUAACUUAGGUUGAGUAAAGGCUUGGACCUAGAUAGGCCGAUAACAUAGGGUGAGACAAACCCUUGAGUUAUGUAAAGUGGAUUCCGGAAUCCCUGCCACUAGUGCAGCGGCUACUAGUGCAGCAUACAAGCUCGAUAGUUCUUGGCCGUGGGUGCUUGUGACAUAUUCCUCUCCCACCGGAAGAACUUCGAGGCUUGUUAUUGAGCAAUAAUCAUGAGCGCUAGGGUGCAUGUGGCAUGUUCCUCUCUCUAUCGGGGAUCUCGGCUGCGGGUGUAUGCGGCAUGUUCCUCUCCCACCGGGGGAUCCCUGACCACGGGUGUACGCAGCUCUGGGCGACCCGUUGGGCGAUGUGGUUUGUGGAUUGAAGGCUGAGGUGCAUGUGAGAGUUCCUUCACCUCGAGCCGGACAGAGCGCGGACUAUCCGCAGUUGAUUGACUCAAGACCGAGUCGGAUGGCAUAGUUGGCUAAGGUAAAGUAAUCUUAGGAAAGAAAGGCUAAUGUGUAUAAUAUUACUAAGGUGUGAGUACCCUUAGUAAAGCGUAAAGAAUAAAGAAUAAAGAAUAAGGAAAGGUUAAUGCUAAAGAAUGGCAAGUAAUAAAGAAUAAAGAAAGGCAAAUGCUAAAGAAUAGCUAGUAAAGUAAAGAAUGACUAAAAGUAAAGAAUGGAUAAGAAUAAAGUGUAGAAGCAAUUAAUCUAUUACAUGAGUUGCAUAAUUUACAUAUUGCAUGUUGUGAGGCAAAAACAUGGUAAUGUUAGUUGCAUGAUUUACGAUUUCAUAUCUAUCUAUUGGACUAACAUGUUGUUUGCCUCUUUUGGACCUGAUGGUCGAGCUCUUUCCUUGGGUGGCUGUACCCACUGGGAACCAUGGAGUUGGUUCUCACCCCACGUUGUUUUGGGGUGUUACAGGUUCACACGUGAGCGGCGCGAGGCAAGGGCCUAGCUCCAUAGAUAGCGCCCUACCACAGAGAUCAGAAAUAGUACGUGGUACCCCGAGUCGGCAUAGCCUAGGGGUAGAGGAAAAUUGAAGAACAAGAUGUAUCAAACUUGUAGUAAAUUUGUAAUAAUUGGAUUGUAUUUGGAAGUUGAAUGUAAAAGAAUGUAAUUUGUAAUGUAAAAUGUAAUAUGUGAGAUGAAUGCUUGUAAUAACAAGUAGAAUUAUGUUUUGAUACUUCCUUAUGCAAUCUUUGGUUGAAAUAUGUUCCUGGUUGGAACUUCGUACAUUGUAUUGAUUGCGACGCCUUGAAUGUACAGGGGAGACUCUAUCCGCGGUACAGGGGAAACCCUGUCCGUUCGGCGGUCUGUUGGCGUGUCCGAAACCGGCCAAAUAGGCGGGCUCGGGGCGUGACACCUAGAACGUACAGGGGGGACUCUGUCCGUUCGGCGGUUUGUCGGCGUAUCCGAAUCCGACCAAAUAGGGCUCGGGGCAUGACAAUAUAUAUAUAUAUAUAGAGAGAGAGAGAGAGAAGAGAGAGAGAGAGAGAGAGAGAGAGUACGUCUCCUGUGCUUUCGAAAGUACGAAGGCCUCCGUACUUGUAAGUUGUUUUCGAUGAUGGGAUAUCCGAUUCGACGAUCAGCUCCGUUAGGAAUGAUCUACGCUUUUAGAACUAUUUAGAAAUCAAAUUUCAUAAUUUUUUGACAUCAUUUACCAAGCGAUCACAGAGUCUUAAAAAUGACUAUUUUAACGGUCGAUGUGGCAGAUGUGGCACGUUUUUAAGUUCAACGGUGUAGAAGUAUCGAAAUUACAUGAAACUUUAAUAGAAAAUUCUACUUAACAUCAAGAGCAAGAACAAUACUUCCGAUUUGAAAUUUGCGUCAUUUAUCACUGUUUUUUAUGAGAUUUUUAUUUUCAGCCGUUCAUUUUGAGGCUACUCGUUCACUAGGCAAACAAAGUCAAAAAAUUAUGAAAUUUGGUUUCUAGAUAGUUCCAAUAGCGUAGAUCAUGUUUAACGGAACCGAUUGCCAAAUCGGCCGUCCCAUCAUUGAAAACAACUUACAAGCACGGAGGCCUCCGUACUUUCGAAAGCAUAGGAACCUAGAUAUAUAUAUAUAUAUAUAUAUAGAGAGAGAGAGAGAGAGAGAGAGAGAGAGAGAGAGAGAGAGAGAGAGNNNNNNNNNNNNNNNNNNNNNNNNNNNNNNNNNNNNNNNNNNNNNNNNNNNNNNNNNNNNNNNNNNNNNNNNNNNNNNNNNNNNNNNNNNNNNNNNNNNNAGACCAAAUUCGGAAGUCCGUCAAUUGAUAAUUGCAUUUACGAUGCAAUUUUUCAAUUUCAGUUACUUCUUACUUCAGUAACUUGUUCAAACCUUUCUAAGCGUCUGUCAAACGUCAUAGAUCAUGUUCAAAAUUCCAUUCCAACCCUUAACUUGUCAAUAGGCCCAGAUUCGUAUAUUACAUUCACCCUCUAAACUAGAAGUUUCUUGUCCGCGAAACUAGAACUGAAUCUUCAUUGAAAUCAUCUAACAAGGAUGCGGAAAUCCAUAUCAUCGUUGUUCAUGAGUUCAUAUCACAUUGUCUGGCCAUUAAAACUCUUUUCCAUCAUAGCAUCCAUGAUUUAAUGCGAUGAAAUUCCAUUCCCACUGUUUUCAAUAAUUCGAUGUGGUAAAAUCAACUCUUUCAUCAUGUCAUCUGCAGGGGUUUAACCAUGUCAUUUCAAGAAGAUUCAAGGGUACCCUUUUUCAAAAGUGCUUAGUAGUUACACUUGUACCAUCUGAGUUUCCAUAAGAAUUAUCAUUAUUAUUAGCAGAAUGGAAUUUUCAAUAUUCACUGAUUCUUAAAGUCAAAACCUUUAAAGACUUCACUCCAGUGCAAUUCUAUUCAAAAAGAUGAUUUUUCCUAUUUCUCAAUUAGGUUGAGGUUGAGCCCAACUCUGUCCUGUCUUGAUUAUAUAAUUAGAGCCGUAACCCAUUCCUUAAUAGGCUUCCUAGGUUUACGCUUGAUGUUACAAUUGUGUUUUACAAGGUGAUCAAAUACCAAUGAUUACUUUUGCUUCUCCACAGUCACAACUUUCUACAUUACAUCUUGUAUGGCUCUAUAUUUACUAUAUCCUCAUGUUAUACAGUUGAUAACAACUAUUAUUCCUGUAGAUCCCCUUCAAUAGCACUUUGAAAUGAUUAUCCAUCAUAUCCAUUUAAAAUAUUUCUGCAUGAUUACUAAUUCAGCAUUAUUCAUCAAUUACCUUAGCUAUUCUUAUUUCUUCGCCACAUGGCGAGAAUCCCAAUUCACAAUUAAUGGAUGCUGCUCCACAUCACUACUAUAUUGUUCAGAUAAUUCCAUUAAUGCUGUCUUACAGCUUUACUGCUACCAUUAGGAAAAACAUUCCUAUUCAUCAAGUUCACAAUUGUGAUUGUGUAAGAAUAGCACAACACUACUCAAGAACUACCUUCACUUAGGGUUCUUACAAUUUAGCAGUAUCAGCAAUUAGGCUCCAACCUUUCUAUAAUUACCUAAUUUAGGUAAAUGACCAUUUCUCACAAUCAGCGAGGCUAACCUUCAAGAUGCAUUGCCAUAAUGUUCAGAGUUCAAGGCGAAUCAAUUUCGUUCGCACAAGUCAUAGUACAAAUAUCUCAGAACUAAGUUUCAAUCAAAACCAUUCUAUUAUAAUCAUCUACAUGCAUUAAGGACAGAAAUAAUGCUAUUCGACUCAGCCAACAGACAUCAGAGAUGCAAACUAAAGCAAUCAUUAUAAUUCAUAUCGACUCAUAGGAACAUUGCAUAAAAUACUUACCUGAGUAGUUAAUCCCUGCGUCGUAUCUGACUCUAUGAUUCCGUCGGCGUCUUCACCCCGGUACUUUUUGCAACCAAGUCGGUUGAGAUACCUUAUCAACAUGUUCUUUCUGGGCACUGAGAGCGAAAAUGGCCUCUUGACCACAUACAAAACACUUUCCUUCCGCUGUGGACAUUUGGGGGACAUGCGGACCUACACAAAUUACACAUGCGAGGUAAUCGUCUCCUCAUCUUCUUUACUUAGAAAAAGAACACGUUUCCAAGGUUGAUUCUUCUUUAAUUUUCUUGAUGAUUUCUCCGGAUGUAAUUUGAUCGCCCUUGGUAGCCUCUUUGGCGUCUUUAGUGCAUUUCCAACUCUUUUCUUACGUCAAGGUACGAUCCGAAACCUCGUGGAAUUUCUUUGAGAUCAGCCGUCUGUUGAAUCAACAGUUCUCUAACGUCUGAUUCUUCAUCCUGUCGGUGGCAAAGCCUCGGCUUGAAGUAGGCGUCACAUUCCGUUGUCGCUCCACCACUCCAACUAGAGUAGCCAGCUGCUCUUUUAAUUCCUGAAUCUCGCUAGAUUCAGAAGGUUCAUUGUCUUUCUGGUUAGUUGCAUCAGUUGCCGUUAGGGUGCAUUGUGACAUUGCAGAGUGCCUGCAACAAACAAAAUAGGCACAGCGUUAAAAACCUAUGCUAUCGUAGCCCCACUCAAAAUUGUUAAAAUCCCAAUCAUGCGAAAAGUAAUGAAAUGACGCUCGCACUAUUCCCCAAUAUCACGUUGUCGGCCGCAACGUGAUUUUGGAAGGAUAUAGAGGUAUUCAUUUCAUCGAAACUCCAACAAUUUUGGAGUUAUAAAUAUGACCAAUCAUAACACUUUCGCUCAACAUAGUUGCAAAAGACCCCGUCUCUCACCUCCUAUCCUGAUCGUUCAACUGCCUAAGGUUUACUAGGUCCACUAAGACUACACCCUAGGCUCUGAUACCACUAUAAUCUGUCACGCCCGGUACCAGCGGAAGCAUAUCGGUCGCGUUGCACAGACCCGCCGUGUAACACCACAAUCAAGAAUACACAAGGCGUCUACAAACCACAUAGUAAAGCAUAUAAUUCUACUAGGUAAUCAGAGCAGACUUUAAAGUUUAAACAUAUAUACAAUCCAAACCUUAACAGGAAUAAGAACAAAGUACAAUCUACAAAACUUAAUAUACCUUUCUGUACUAAACUAUAUAUAACUGCUGGAGGUGAUCUAGUACACGUCCAAAAAGGCUCUACUAGUCGCUGACCCUCGCCAGGACCUAGCCUUUUCCCGCUGUGGAAGGCUAUGUAAAAACAACAACAAGAGGGCGUGAGAACUAUUAAACACUAGUUUCCAGUGGGUAAGCCGCGAGAGUGGCGAAGUACACCACUAGGUCAACUAUGGCAUGAGUAGAUAGUAAUAAAUAAGCGAGUAAAUACAGAUAAUGCAAGUAAGUUGCAAUAAGCCGUUAAAUGCAAUAAGCAAAUGUAAAAGUAAAUACUCAUGCUAUUUGCUCGACAUCAACUAAAUAUCGAUAGACUGCAGGUAUCAAUUAUCACGAUGGAUUCUAUCAAUCAUCUUACUUGACAAUUUAACAAUCAUAUACCAGAUUGCCAAGCAAGCUAAUUCUUAUUACCGGAAUUACAGAUAAUUCAUGUAAUUACUUCUAAUUAGCAAGAAUUUACAUUCUUUAUGUCUUUAACAAUCAUGAUGUCAACUUCUAGGUUAUUCGAGCACUAAGCUCACUUUAGAUGUCAACUUCUAGGUUAUUCAGCACUAAGCUCACUUUAGAUGUCAACUUUUAGUCUGUUCAUCAAUAAGUCCACUUAACCCAAGAAUAUAGUAACUUACUUAGUCUGUCCCAGCUAAGGUAAAGUACUUGACAUAACCAAUUUCCAACGACUUACACAAGGUAAGUUCAAGCCGCGCUCGUGCACUAAUGGCCCCGUGGUAGUCAACAUCCCCACUCGAGAAUGAGCUCCCACGGCAUUCCAUUUCGCGCUCACUUCGUACAUUUGCGAGCAUCUGUCGCUAAGCUGUGUUCGGGAGUGCUGGCUUGGGGGGGAGCGACCCCAAGCGUGUGCAAAGCGCCACAAUGGCAUUGCAAGCGUAGUCCAUUGUACCAGUCUCACAACGCAUCAUGUCCCUGACAUGGAAUCUCAACUAAGCACUCCGGAACGCGGGGCUUGGGGCCGCGACCACCGCAAGCAUGUACGAAAGAGCAUAAUGGCAUUGCUACUAUAGUCCAGGGUACAAAUAUCUCAACAGUCAUCAUGUCUCUGAUGGAGUCUCAACUCGACCAGGUAGGCACUGUAGUACCAAUCAUUAAGUCACUAUCAACAACUUGUUGACAAGAUUCUACCAGUCGUUAAUAUAACUUGACAGUUAAAGCUUUACUCACACUAGUGAUUUAUCAGGACUACUCUGGUCAGCUCACGCACAAUCUCUCACUACUUCCUUACACAUAAGGAAAGUGGUUUACUAAGGUUCUGUUCAUAGACUCCUGGCACAUACCUGAAGUUCAAUAUAAACUUCUAUUACUUGAAGCAAACAAAUAUGAAACAAUCACCUUCUACUUGACUAUACAAGUAUGUCAUCAUAUUUAAAUCUAGUUAUUCUACUAGAUUAUAUUCAGUUGUAUAUUCAUUCAAUUAUACCCCUAUAUAAACUUCUAGUUACUUACUAGAAUAUGUACCCCAAUAUGAAUUAUCAUAUGGAGUGUAAGAAGCUAACAGAGAGUAAUACAAGCAAGGAUAUAAACGAUAAAAUACAUUUCACAUGACCUCCAUGCCAUUCCUUCUACAAUUAGAAAUGCAUAUGCAAACACAAGUUCUUUACCUGAUCUUUCAGAGUUUAGCCAUUUAAUUGUUUAUAUACAUUGCAUAGCUCAAUCCAAGUAUAUCUGUCUCUUUGUUGUUCAACAGAAAACUAAUUGUGUCCAUUCACGAAUUUUACCGUUCUAUCCUCGUGGAUAACAUCAAAGCCAAAUUGCAUAUGCAAGCUACUAGUAUCAUGAAUCCAUAGUACUUAACAAGUAACCAUGUAAAAUGGAUAAGUCAUGAAGCUUUCAUACCAUUUAAAAAUGCUAUCAUUUCCGAUAUGAUCUACAUAUCAGUGCAUGUCUCAAUGCCUUAAACUAUACAUGUAUUCACUUGAAUAUGAAAUAACUUCAACUCAGAUGUCAAAGGAGACAUAGAGGGAAUUCACCCAUUUCGGGAAGGUCCGACCCACCUAUCACCAAGCUCAAUCCAGCCAAAAGGAGUCCCGAAACUCUGCUCAACGAAGCCCCAACUCUGCUGAAAACGAAACACGAAAAGCGCAUCAAAACUACGGCCGAAAUGUCCAAUUUCGGUACAAUUUGCACUUAGUACAAAGUAAUAACUUAAAUCCCUGUUUUGGUUUCAGUUUAAUACCUUAAGUUAAGCUUCUAAUUGCUCUCCAAUGCCAACUGAUUGUGAUCCAAAGGUUGGUCGCACCCUCGCUGCGAACAAUCGUCAAACGGCAUCAAAACACUUAUUUGCUAGCUAGUAAAGCCGGAAUCUUGCGAAAUCAGGUUUCUAAUACAAAUUCCUGCUUACCUCAGGUUAGAACACCUUCUAAACCAGUCCCAAAGGUCACCACUUAAGCUUAAAUUAAUCCGCAAACCUGCUGCGAAGAGCACAAUCCAAACUGCAUCAAGUUGCAUAAGUAACUCGCGUUUAAUUCCGAAUCAGUUUCAUAAUGGACCAAUUAUCUCUACGAAGCUUCAAAGUAGCUUAUUCCUGAUCUAAGGAGGUUCAUUUACAGCUAAGUAAAUCAUCUUUAUUUGCCGAAACCUCAGUUUAAAACAGUUGGAAGCAAAAACCCGAAAUCAAUACUCAAAUCGACUAAUAGAACGUCGAUAACGGAAAAAGCGAGUCGAUUACCUUCUCAGGCUUCCAACCAGCACCUCACUGGCUCAGGGCUGCGAAAAAGCCUUCCAAAUACUCCCUCACACAUCCACAUAAGCUCCGCGACACUCGCAACCAGCGAAGGACCAACGGCGCGACGAAAACGAGCGAAAUCGUCGAAUUCUAAGUAGAGAGAGAAACCCUAGAGAGAGAAGGAGAAAGAAGGUGGGAGAAGCCUUCUCAGAUCUCCAGCAUGCAUAUCUGAACAUCAGGGGUCGAGCUGGGGUGAUAAGGAUGGAUAGAAGAAGUGAAAUGACCAAAAUAACCUUGCUGCCACGCAGCUGCAGCUUCUGAUGCAUUGUGUACCGGUACACAAUGAUGGCUGUACCGGUACAGCAAGCAGAAAAAUGUUGAUUUCGCCAGAUCAAUGCACUUUCUUACUUUUAGUCAUCCAAUCACUCUCUAACUUAUACAAAAACUUGUCCAAGCCCUUUAGAAUAUGUAGGGUAGUUUUAUUUACCAUUUCCCACAUUCGAACUUCGUAAUUGACCAAAUUCGAAGCGUUGCAAUUGAUAAUGCAUUUACGAUGCAAUUUUUCAAUUCCAGUUACUUUCUUACUUCAGUAACUUGUCAAAACCUUUCUAAGGUCUGUCAAACGUCAUAGAUCAGUUCCAAAAGCCAUUCCAACCCUUGAACUUGUCAAUAGGCCCAGAUUCAGUAUAUUACACGAGCUUUCCGAAUGAGUCUUUGUUCUCCAAUUUGAAUCUUUUCUUCAAACAUCCGCGAUCAAUUCUUCAAGACUCCAUUCAACUUUACGAAAUCCACCAACUUAUAAAAUCCUUAACAAUCUCCCCCUUUGGCGAUUUCGUGACAAAAGAACAUUACAAAGCUCGUACACAACUCAGAAACAAUAAAAAGAAGAUCAUCGCAAUCACCAAAUGACAAUCUCCUGCAUGAUCGAUCCAAUAAAUGAAAAUUAUAUUUUUCACAACCUUAAUACAGACUCUAUGACUUAGACAUGGAGUCUUGAAGUCUUGAAUAUUCCUGCAAAAAUAUUCUUAAAGCACAAUCAAGAUUCAAGCAUACUUAUCAUAAAAAAUCAAACAUAAAGUCAAAGCAAUCAAUCAAAGCAACAAGUCAUAGUCAUAGUCCAUAGUUCAUAGUCAAGCACCUAAACAACCAUCUAAAUUUACACAACUAAGCUAAAAGCAUUAAAAGCAAAAAAAUCAUCAAAAGACAUCAUCAUCAUCAUGAGCCAAUCAUCUCCCCCUUUUUGUCAGAAAGCGCCAAAAUGACAAAAGGUGGAACCCCACACAGUCAGUCGGAAUCAUCUCCCUGCGGAGGAAGAUCUGAGCUGCAACAUCCCAGUUUAUCAAAAAUGGCCUUCAUCAAACGCUUGAUUUUGCUGACAUCCUUCCAUAUCUGAGCUUGAUCCGCAGAAAGUUUUUGAAGCUCCUUAGAUAACCUUUGUUGUUCCCGAUAUACUGACGAAACCGAGACAUCCUCCUCAGAUAUAUCCAUGGAAGGACGGGAAGAAGUAGCAGCAGCAGGAGGUGGAGCAGCAGAAGGUGAAGAAGCACGCUGGGACGGAGUUCGAAGCUGCACAGAGCAUUUCACGAACGUCCCCUCAUUGAUCCUUCCCAGACUAUGCUCAUACGAUGUACAACGAACAUCCACGUCAUAAAGUCGCAGAAUCCUCAUGAUAAUUAAUGGAAAUGGCAACCGUUCAUUUUGUCCAGAAGUUUUGAUGUCCUUUGCCAUUCUCCGCCAGAUCAAAAAUGGGAUAUUCAUGUUGAUAUUUUUCGCACUUACAAUAUCAGGCCUAGCCAAUAGAUACAUGCAUAAGAUGCGAUCCCAUCUCAAAAUCUUUGUGUUUGUGAAAGGCAAAAUGUUGUAGCAAACCACGAAGUUCAAGAACCUGUACUCCAUUUUGAAAUCCUUCGACAAAACCAUAAUUCCGUUUGACUCUGUUCCCGGCACGCAAAUAGAGUUCACAACACGGUUCCAAUCGCGAAGUGAGUCAAACCCGGCCUAUAGAUAUUCCACUCCUUCAGUCCUAGCUUCCAGUCCUAGCACAGACGCUAUCGUAUCAGGAGUAAUUGAUAACUCAACACCACGUACGGAGGUGAUGAAUACAUAUGGGCCGCCGUCGGAGUCACUCAAGUGACCUGCUCUCAUAUAGAAUUCUCUAAUCAAUUCCAAACAAAACCCAGUUUGUUCCGAAAAAUCACAAAUCUGAUGAAGAUUUCCCUUUUCAAAUAAAUCCUGAAAUCCUAGUACACAGUCAAUGAUACUGGCGACGCCAACAUCGCGCUCACCAAUACAAUGUUUCGACGAGUACAUUGACUGACGAGCAGACGGAACAUCCUGUAGACUGAGAUGCGGAGGCUCAGAACCCGGUUCUCUAAUCUCAACACCUCCAGAUUUCCGACGACCGGUAUAUCCAGAUGCCUUUCCUUUUCCUUUAUCCAUGGCUUUGCCUUUCCCUUUAUCAAUGGCUUGUCCUUUCCCCUUUCCUUUUCUUGUAUCCUUUUCCUUAGCCAACACCUCAGGAGUAAAAGCCUCCCAGUCGAGCUCAUCCUCCUCAGAGUUGUCGCCAGGAGCAUAUUCGCUCCCUUCAUCCUCCGGUUGUUGCUCAACCGGCCGUUUACUUGAAGAGCGUUGUCGUUUACUUUCGCGACCACCCCCGGCCAUCAGGACCACAAGCACAAGUAACCAUGAAAACAUUUUGAAGAAAUCCCCUGUUAAUCAUAAAGAUUUUCACAUAUGAAACAUAAGAACACUUAAUUUUUGAUUCCAAAAAAAAAUUCCAGCAAAUUGAUAUAUAAAUGCUAGAUAAUCCUAAGGGCUACAAACUCAUGAGAAACAUGAACAACUUAAGCAACAAAAAUCAGUAAAACCACAUGAUUCCCAAAAAUUCUAAAAAAAAAUUAGUUUUUGAUGAUAAAAACCUACAAAAAAUGACCAAAAAGAUGAAGAAAUACAAGAGAAAAGGUAAACAACAGGUCUAAGAACAAGAUCGAAGCACAAAACUGCAGAUUUAGCUAGAUCUCUAGAAAAACCACCAAUAAAUCUGAAAUGAAACAUAUUUUCGGAGUAUACAAUAUAAAAGCAACAAAAUCCGAAGAUCAUACCUAAGAUCAGUGCAAAUCGGCGAGAAAUGUGAGUAAAAACCGAUCUGGAGGCAAGGGAAGCGCAAGAGAGAAAAUAGGGAGAAGAUCGAAACGCACAAAACACAUCGAAGGAAAAACCCCUUUAUCGGGUCGGGCGGAGGGACCGGUCUCUCCUGCCUGGGACCGGUCCCAGAGCCAGGAACUUAAAAAAAAAUUUAAAUAAGCUCGAAAAUUCCAGAAAAAAUAUAUGUUAGCCCUUAAUGUUUAACCAAUAAAAAUAACCAAUUUCCAUCCAAAAACUUCAAAUAAAAUUUCAUAAAUAAAUUUUAAAAAAUCAAUUUCAAGGAUAUUCAAAUUGUCAAAAAUUGUUGACCCGAAAAUUAAUGAAAAAUUCUAGAUACAUAUAAAAUAAAAUCUCACACAUCAUACAAGAUCUAGGAAUUUAUUGUAUUGUCUUCUCAUCAUAUUUGUUAAAGAAAAUGUAUAAAUAAUUCACAGAAUCGUAAAAUUAAAAUAAUAUGUUCAAAUUGAGUUAUGCACAAUAUUCGAGACAGGAGUGGCUCUUUGAGCAUCUUUUUAUUAACACUCCACCUUAUAUCACCUUCGAGAUGUAUGGCUCUUUGAGCAAUUCUUUCUCUCUGAAAAGUAUUUUUCUUUUGUUCUAUAGAGAUGCUUUAAUCAACAUGUGGUAGCUGCACACACUGACCGGACGACCGGGGUGGUAGCUCUUUCCUCCAUGUGGUGGUAGUUUUCACACUCCCAGCAGGGAUGUAACUCUUUCCACAUCUUGAAUUUCAGAAACUUUCAUAACCAAAAAUGGAAAGACUCCCCCUAAAUUAGUGCAACCCUCAAGUCAAAAAUAUUAUUUCAAUUUCAAAAACAGAGAAAGAGUUAUUCAUCUCAAAACUCAUAAUCAAACAAACAAUAGCAACAUUCAAAUUUCGAAGCAUGAGGUGUUGAAUUUGAUUCAGUAUGCUAAACAGAAUUUCAAUGAUUUGAUCGUUCAAAAAUUAUGACAAUAUAGAACAACCUUGACAGUGAUCAAUCAAAAAUUAAAUAUGAAAUAAUUAAAGUUACGGACCAAUUCAUCUCCCAAAAGUAGCAACAUUAUUCAAGAAAUUCAAUCAUCUCUCAAGCAUAAUCAGGAAAUACCGGAAACCAUGCACAAAAACAAAAUGCAACAUGCACAUGAUCUAUGGCCCAAGAGAAUAUAUCUAGAUUGAAGGAUUCAUACCAAUCGCCUUUCUUAAAUGCAGAAAACGUUUUUGAUCCAAAGGUUUGGUUAAAAUAUCUGCAAGUUGAUUUUCAGUCGAAAUAUAUUCAAGUUGUAGGAUGUUUGAUUCAACCAGUUCUCUUAAAAAGUGAUAUCUUAGUUCAAUAUGUUUUUGUUCGUGAAUGUAAAACAGGGUUUUUAGAAAUAUUAAUGGCACUUGUGUUGUCACAAAGAAUAGUAAGAGUGGUGGAAGGGAUUCGAUAGUCGCUCAGUAAACUCUUCAUCCAGAUCAAUUGAGUAGAGCAACUCCCGGCCGCAAUGUAUUCAGCUUCAGCAGUGAAAAGAGCAAUACAGUUUUAUUUCUUACUAUGCCAAGCAACCAGACAGUGUCCAAUGUAGAAACAAGCUCCACUGGUACUUUUCCGAUCAUCUGCAGAGCCUGUCCAGUCAGCAUCUGAGUAGCCGAUUAGAUCAAGAGAUGUUCCCAUAGGAUACCAGAGUCUAUAUGCGGUUAUACCUUUAACGUACCGAAUGAUCCUUUUAACCGCUUUCAGAUGAACUUCCUUAGGGUUCGCUUGAUAGCGAGCACAAAUUCCAACACUGAAAGCAAUAUCUGGUCUGCUCGCAGUUAAGUACAGUAGGCUUCCAAUCAUGCUUCUGUAUUGUUUCUCAUCCACGCUCUGUCCUUCCGAAUUCACUCCAAGUCCUUUGUUACUUGUACCCAUCGGAAUGUCAAAAUCCUUUGCACUGUCCAAUCCAAAUUUCUUAACCAAAUCUUUCGCAUAUUUGGAUUGAUACAAGUGAAUUCCAUCUUUAGUUUGUUUAACUUGAAGUCCAAGGAAAUAGUUAAGCUCCCCCAUCAUUGACAUCUCAAACUCGCUCGUCAUCAAUUUUGCAAAAUUAUUGGCAUCCUUAUCUCUAGUUGCCCCGAAGACUAUGUCAUCAACAUAAAUUUGUGCCACAAAGAAAUCAUUCUUUAGGUGUUUUACAAAGAGAGUUCUAUCUGCUCCCCCUCGAUUAUAGCCCUUUUCCAAAAGAUAUUUUGUCAAGCGCUCAUACCAUGCUCGCGGAGCCUAUUUUAGUCCAUAAAGUGCCUUUUUCAGUUGAAAAACGUGAUUUGGAAAUUUUGAGUCUAUAAAACCUUUCGGUUGUUCAACAUAAACUUCCUCUUUUAAAAAUCCAUUUAGAAAAGCACUUUUAACAUCCAUUUGAAAAAGAGUGAUUUUAAAAUGGCAGGCAAUCGCGAACAAGAUACGAAUUGAUUCAAGACGGGCAACCGGGGCGAAGGUUUCAUCAAAGUUUAUUCCCUCAAUUUGUGAGUACCCCUGAGCAACAAGUCUCGCUUUGUUUCGAACAAUAGUACCAUCCUCAUUUUUCUUAUUCGUGAAGAUCCAUUUGGUACCUAUGAUGUGUUGUUGCUCAGGACGAGGCACUAAUUCCCAUACAUCAUUGCGAACGAAUUGACCAAGUUCUUCUUGCAUUGCAUUUAUCCAAUAUUCAUCACGUAAAGCUUCGUCAAUAUUCUUUGGCUCAAUCAAAGAUACAUAGCAUGAAAAUUCACAUUGUAGUUGACUUCUUGUUCGCACACCAACGUUAGGGUCCCCAAUUACAUUCGAUAAAGAAUGAUCUCUUGAUUCUGUUAGGGAUGUAGUCUCGGGAGUUAUGCUAGGGAUUUCAGAUGAAGUGCUUUGAGGCUCAGAUGAAUCAUUUGAUGCAACAUUUUCAGAAGAUGCAAUAGAAUUAUCAAGUGCAGAAACAUCAUCAUUCACAGGCAAUACAAACGGAGAAUCAUUAUCAUCAUCAUUCACAAAUGAGUAAGAAGAACCAUUCACAGAAGAACUUACUGAAGAAGCUUCAUCUACUUUUAUAUUGAUGGAUUCAAUCACCGUCUUAGAUCUUAAAUUGUACGCACGAUAAGCACGACUUGUAGUUGAAUAACCAAGAAAAAUCCCUUCGUCACUUCGAGAGUCAAAUUUUCCAAGAUUUUCACGAUCCCGAAGGAUAAAACAUUUACUCCCGAAGACACGAAAGUAUUUAAUAUUAGGUUUCCUACCAAGCCAAAGUUCAUACGGAGUAUUCAGAGUACCCGGGCGCACAUAAAUCCGAUUGAUAACAUAGACAGCCGUGUUAACUGCUUCGGCCCAAAAGUGUAAAGCGAUUUUCUUACUAUGAAGCAUAACACGAGCCAUCUCCUGUACAACCCGAUUCUUGCGUUCAACCGCUCCGUUUUGUUGGGGUGUAUGAGGAGCCGAAAAUUCAUGUUUUAUGCCAUUUGAAACACAGAAAUCAACAAAUUUUGAAUUUAUGAAUUCUCCCCCUUGAUCACUUCGAAUACGUACAAUUUUAUCAUUCCAUUCAGUCAUAAGACGAAGACAAAUUUCAGAAAAAGAAUCAAAAAUCAGCUUUUUCUCGUCAGAAGGCACUCCAUACAAAACGAGUGAAAUCAUCAACAAUAAGCAAGAUAUAUCGUUUUCCACCCAAACUUUGAAUCCUAGAAGGUCCCACUAAGUCCAUGUGAAGUAACUCUGAAGGUUUAGAUGUCCCUAAGUGGUUCAAGUUCUUAUGUGCGGAUCUAGUUUGUUUCCCCAAUUGACAACCCCCACGCACAGUGUUCUCUUUGAAGUCUAUCUUAGGUACACCUCUAACAACCUCCUUCUUUGUUAUCUUGGAUAGAUCCUUAAAGUUUAUGUGACCUAGUCAUUCAUGCCAUAAAGUUUCAGUCUCUAAUGACGCUACGUUACAAUGUUCAGUCGAAGAACUAGGAACUACAUAACAAUUAUUCUGAAAUCUAACGCCUUUUAAGAAAAGAUUGUCACACGAGUCACAUGGCAUUCUUUAUCGAAAAAAUUCACAGAAUACCCAUCAUCACACAGUUGGCUUAUGCUUACGAGAUUAGAUUUAAGCCCCUCAACAUAAAAGACAUCAUUCAACGUAGGGCCAUCUGAGAUAGUCACUGUUCCUUUUCCUACGAUUUUUGACGAUCGACCAUCUCCAAAAACAACAAGUCCUUCGGAGAUUUUGUUCAAAGAAGUAAACUAAUUUUUAUCUCCGGUCAUAUGACGGGAAUAGUCACUAUCCAGAUACCAUGAAGUAUUAUCGUAAGCAUGAAGCGAAGUGUGAAUGACUAAGCAUGGGAAGAGUUCACCUUUGCGCACCCAAACCUUACGUGUUUUGGGUUGCGACGAUUUGCUUGCUUUUGUUGAUGUUGGCUUGUCGACGAUUUGAAUUGACUUCUUCUUCAUAUCCUCCUUCUUUGGUUUCUAUGCUUGUUUUGCCUUUGAUUUCGGCGCAUUUGGUGUCCAAGUUUGUUUCUUCUUAUGAUCAAACUUCUUUGGAGACCAAGUUGACUUCCCUUUUGAUAUAGGAUCAUUCUUCAUGGGUGAUGUUCUUUGGUUCACGGGUGUUGUUGAGUUCUUUCCGUUUUGUUUGCAAAACUUCUUUAUGUGUCCUAAAACACCACAGAUAUGACAAGUUUUGUUAGUCAAAUUAUUUUUAGGAGGGACGAACUUACCAUAAAGUUUAGGAACUAUUUUCGACGAAUGUUCAUUCUCUUUCUUUGUCGCUUGAUCAAUAUACGUCCGUUCGUACCCAAUUCCAAGUUUAUUUGUUUGACCGAGUCCAAGAAUUUUAUCAAGUUUGCUCGAGCCCGAAGAAAAUUGGUUCAAAUCCAACUUCAAUUGAAUGAUCGUCUUGGUGAAUUCCAUAUUUGCUUCUCUAGUUACCGAGUAUUGCUUGGUGAGAAAAUCGAUGUUUUCAACAUGAGUCUCUUUUUUCUUUUCAAGUAAAGAACAUUUCUCAAAUAAAGAAUUGUAGGCUUCAGUCAACCCUUCUCUUUCUUGCUCUAGAUCUUUUGAUAGUGAGGCCAAUCUCAGAUUUUCUUGUUCCAUCUCAUGUAGACUCCGCCGCAGCCUCUUGUUAUGUUUUGCCACCUUCUUUGACUCGAUUACCAGUUGAUGAUAUGCUGCGACCAUGUCAUCUUCGUCCGAUUCUUCAUCCGAUGAUUUCUCCGAAGAAGAAUUUUCAUGUAUAGACGACAUUGAGAGAGAAUCUGCAGAUGCCAAACACAUGAAGGUUGAAUCCUGUGCUAUCAGUGCCGUGGCAUUGACAUCCUCAUCACUUGAAGUUGAAUCGUCAGAAGAGGAGUCAUCCCAAGUAAUAGCCUGCAUCGCUUUCUUCUUCAAAGAUUUUUUAUUUGGACAGUCCGAUGCAAUAUGGCCAAAACCCCUACUUUUAUAGCAUUGAAUUUGGCCUUCACUAUUUUUCUUCUCUUUAGAAGAGUCCUUUUGAGGGUUUUUCGAUUUUCUGAAUUUUGAUGAAGACGAAGACGAACUCCCUUUAGAUUUGCUUGUGAGAUAUGGAUCCCAAGGAUCUAAAAGGUAAGAAACACCUAGAGGGGGGUGAAUAGGUGUAAAUCCGACAAACUUGAAAAACUCGAUGCAAACAAAACAAAGUAGCGAAAAUUAAAAUAGCACACCGAGAAUUUAACGUGGGAAAACUCCAAAUCGGAGUGAAAAACCCACGGGACCGAUCACGCAAAGAAAAUCCACUAAGAAAACUUGAGUACAAGUGAUUUCGAUGAAAAUACACGACUCAAUUUACCGAUUUCUUGUUGACGGUGAUCUUUGCCAGUCCUCGAUCGAUAGGAAUCCACCAAUCGACCUUGCUGCAACUCCACGCAGCGUCAACGCCUCAACUCCUCGAAGCGUCCACCGAAUCCUCGGCUUCACGCGAGAUCCACGCGCCGAACCUCCUUCCGGAGCUUGUAGAAUCGAAGAUUUGUGGUGAUUUAACUUUUGAAAACCAUAAGCUAUGGGAGUUCACCUUUUAUCAAACAUCUACUUGAUUCUCGUAAGAAUUAUUGAGUAACAACGAAGAAUCAAGCCGAUGUUGAUUGCUAGAAACUCGUUAUGUAAAUCUAAGCAUUGAAACGGAGAGAAAAUAAGUUUCUAAGGUUUAGAAUUGGUAAAUAUUCAAAGCCUUAAUUUUUAGAUGACCCACAUAGCUUAUUUAUAUGUUUAGAAGACUUAGAAGUAGACUAGGAUUGCAAAAAGUCGUUUUUAAAAACCUGUGUCGUCCUCAGAGACCGGUCCUCUCGAGGAGACCGGUCUGUGAGAGACCGGUCUCUCAAGUGAGGAACCGGUCCCUCUCUGCAUGACCAAAAUCCCAACGUUCGGGAACCGGUCUCUCAAACAUGAGACCGGUCCCUCGCUGCGCGACAGAAACACCAUGGUUCGGGAACCGGUCUCUCAUCUCAGGGGACCGGUUGCAUCACGGUUCACGCAGUGAGGACCUUAGGGGAACCGGUCUCUCCUUUUCAGGAACCGAUCCCAGAACACAUGAAAGUUCAGAAAAAAUUAUUUUAAAGCAAUCUAAGCCUUCUGAACUUAUUCUAAUUAGGUAUUUUCACCACAAAUGAUCUUUUCUUCAUACCUUAGGUGUCGAGCUUUCCGAAUGAGUCUUAUUUCUUUAAUUUGAAUCUUUUCUUCAAAACUUCCGCAAUCAACUCUUCAAGACUCCAACCAACUUUACGAAAUUCGCCAACCUAUAAAAUCCUUAACAAUCUCCCCCUUUGGCGAUUUCGUGACAAAAUAUACUACAGAGUUCGUAUACAACUCAUAAUUCAUAAAAAGAAGAUCAUCGCAAUCACCAAAUGAUAAUCUUCUGCAUGAUCAAUCCAAUAAACGAAAAUUACACUUUUACAACCUUAAUACAAACUCUAAGACUUAGACAUGGAGUCUUGAAGUCUUGAAUUAUUCCUGCAAAAACAUUCUCAAAAUAUAAUCAGGCAAGAUUCAAGUCAUAAUCCAUAGUAAAACUAUCAAGACAUACAUAAUUCAUAGUUCAUAGUCAAAGCCUAACUUGUCAACCUAAAGUACUAAGUCAACUAAAGUUCAUCUUAGCUAAAUACAUCAUCUUAGCUAAAUACAUCAUCAAGAUCAAGAAAAAUGUGCAUCAUCAUCAUCAUCAUCAUGACCAUCGCCAUACAUCGCCAUCUCCCCCUUUUUGUCAGAAAGCGCCAAAAUGACAAAAGGAGAAACCCAGUGACGCCUAGUCAGAAUCAUCCCCUGGAGGUAAAUCUGCCCGGCAAUAUCCUAACUUGUCAAAAAUCAUAUUCAACAACCUCUUCAUCUUGCUCACAUCCUUACGGAUCGCAGCUUGUUCCGCAGACAACUUCUGAAGCUCCUCAGAUAGACGUUGCUGCUCACGAUACACCGAGGAAACGGAAAUAUCUUCCUCAGAAAUGUCCAUAGAAGGACGUGAAGAAGUAGCAGUAGCAGGAGGUGGAGCUGCAGGAGGGGAAGAAGCACGCUGAGACGGUGUACGAAGCUGCACCGAGGACUUCACAAAUGUCCGUUCAUUUAUCCGACCCAAACUGUGCUCGUAUGAUGUACAACGAACAUCCACUUCUCGAAGUCGCAGAAUCCUCAUGAUUAUCAAAGGAAAUGGUAACCUCUCAUUUUGCCCGGAAGUCUUGAUAUCUUUUGCCAUUCUCCGCCAGAUCAGAAACAGAAUAUUCAUGUUAAUAUUUUGGCACUUACAAUAUCCGGCCUACCCAAGAGAUACAUGUACAGAAUGCGAUCCCAUCUCAAGAUUUUCGUGUUCGCGAGAGGCAUGAUGUUGUAGCAAACCACGAAGUUCAGAAACCUGUACUCCAUUUUGAAAUCUUUGGACAUAACCAUAAUACCGUUUGAUUCAGUACCCGGCAUGCAAAUAGUGUUCAAGACACGGUUCCAAUCGCGAAGUGAGUCGAACCCGGCCUGCAGAUACUCCACUCCGUCAGUCUUUGCUUCCAUCUCUAGCACCGAAGCUAUUGUCUCAGGAGUGAUGGAUAACUCCACACCACGUACGGAAGUCUUAAAUACGUACGGACCGCCGUCGGAGUCACUGAGGUGACCUGCUCUUAUGUAAAAUUCUCUGAUCAACUCCAAACAAUAACCGAUUUGCUCCGAAAAAUCACAAAUCUGAUGAAGAUUUCCCCGCUCAAAUAAAUCCUGAAAACCAGGCACACAACUAAUGAUACUGGCCACCCCAACAUCUCGCUCACCAAUGCAGUGUUUCGACGAGUACAUUGACCGUCGAUUAGAUGGAACAUCCUGAAGACUGUGACGUGGUGGCUCAGAGCCCGGUUCUCGAAUUUCAACACCCCCGGACUUACGACGACCGGGACGCUCUGUGGCCUUUCCUUUGCCUUUAUCCACGGCUUUUCCUUUUCCUUUGCCUUUCGCAGUAUCCUUAUCCUUAGCCAAUACCUCAGGAACAAAAGUCUCCCAAUCCGGCUCGUCCUCCUCAGAAUCGUCGCCAGGAGCAUAUUCGCUCUCUUCAUCCUCCGGUUGACACUCAAUCGGCCUUUUAGCUUUUGAGCGCUAUCGCUUACUUCCACGACCACCGCCAGCCAUAAGAACCACAAGAACAAGUAGCCACGAAUACAUUUUUGAAGAAACCCCUGUCAAACACAAUGAUUUAUACAUUUUGAACAUAAGAACAAUCGAUUUGUGAUUCCAAAAACUUUAGCAAAUUGAUAUGUAAUAUGCUAGAUAAUUCUAGGGCCACAUAACCAAGAAAAUCAUUGACAAAUCAAGCAUCAAAAAUCAAUAAAAUCACAUUUUUCGAAAAAUUGGAAAAAUUAGGUUUUGAUGAAGAAAACCUAUGUUCGAUACGGGUGCCACGCAUUCAUUUAUUAGUAGAGCAUUUGCACGCAUGCAUGACAUACCCAUAGAAGCAAGUGGCAAGUGGCGAGUCGAGGGUCCCGAGUUAUCAUUUAACACCUAUACGGAGUGCUCGUCGUGUCCGGUGCAAGUGGGUGAUUGGAUAAUGCCCAUUUGGAUGUUGGAACUCACUAAACUGGAGGCGUACGACGUUAUUUUAGGUAUGGAUUGGCUCUCGAAGUAUUACGCCACGAUCGAUUGUAAGAAUAAAUUGAUCACUUUUCGGGAGCCCGGACAGAAGGAGGUCGUUUACCGAGCUUGUCGGAGUUCUUGCUUCGUCGCGACAGUAUCGGCGACGAGAGCUAGGAAGUUGGUCAGCGGCGGUUGCGCGGCAUUUUUGGCGACCGUCGUGGAGGUGGACCGGGUGGUGCCGAAAUUAGAAGAUUUAUCGGUGGUGCGGGAAUUUCCGGAUGUGUUUCCCACGGAGUUAUCGGGGAUGCCGCCGGAUCGGGAGAUCGAGUUCGUUAUAGACUUGAUUCCCGGGACGGCGCCGAUCUCAAAGGCCCCAUACCGCAUGGCGCCGGCAGAGUUAAGAGAAUUGAGGGAUCAGUUACAAGAUCUUCUCGACAAAGGGUUUAUCAGGCCGAGCGUAUCGCCGUGGGGAGCGCCGGUGUUGUUCGUGCGCAAGAAGGAUGGCUCGUUUCGACUCUGCGUGGAUUAUCGAGAGUUGAAUAAGGUCACAAUAAAGAACAAGUACCCGUUGCCCCGAAUCGACGACUUAUUUGAUCAAUUACAGGGGUCACGAGUGUACUCGAAGAUAGACCUACAAUCCGGCUAUCAUCAGUUAAAGAUCAAGCCGGAGGAUAUUCAGAAGACCGCGUUUCGCACGCGUUAUGGACACUAUGAGUACACGGUUAUGCCUUUCGGGCUCACUAAUGCCCCGGCUGCAUUCAUGGACCUGAUGAACCGUGUGUUCAAGGCGUGCUUGGACCGAUUUGUCGUGGUCUUCAUAGACGACAUCUUGGUCUAUUCGCGGGACGACGAGGAGCACGCGGAGCAUUUGCGGACGGUGCUUCAAAUCCUUCGGGAGGAGAAGCUAUUCGCAAAGCUGAAGAAAUGUGAUUUCUGGCUUCGAGAGGUUGCCUUCUUGGGGCAUGUGAUUUCCGAGGGCGGUGUUUCGGUUGACCCGAGGAAAGUCGAAGCGGUCGAGAAUUGGCCACGCCCGACGAACGUCACGGAGGUCCGAAGCUUUAUAGGCUUAGCGGGCUAUUAUCGACGGUUUGUGGAGGGCUUUUCGAAAAUUGUAACUCCACUUACCGGUUUGACUCAGAAGGGCGUCAAAUUUAUUUAGAGCGACGAAUGUGAUCGAAGCUUCAACGAGUUGAAGAAAAGAUUGACGUCGGCUCUAAUACUCGCCUUAUCGGUACAGGGCGAGGACUUUGUGGUUUAUAGCGAUGCAUCCUAUCUGGGCUUGGGGUGUGUCCUGAUGCAGGACGGGAGAGUGAUAGCUUAUGCAUCCCGUCAGCUGAAGGACCACGAGAAGAAUUACCCCAUCCAUGACUUGGAGUUGGCGGCGGUGAUCUUUGCGCUGAAGUUGUGGAGGCACUAUCUAUACGGUGCACACUGCGAGAUCUACACCGACCACAAAAGUCUGAAGUAUCUAUUUACCAAGAAGGAGCUAAACAUGCGACAAAGGCGGUGGGUAGAGCUAUUAAAGGAUUACGAUGUUGAUAUUCUCUACCACCCCGGCAAAGCAAAUAUGGUCGCGAAUGCGCUUAGUAGAAAGUCGACGAAGAACCUCGCUUUUGAUGUUACCCGGCAAACACCCCUAGGGCUGGAGAUGGAGCAACUGGAUCUCGAAGUGGUCGCUCCCGAGGUCCCGGCUCAGCUGAUGGCGCUCGUUAUUCAACCGACCUUAUUGGAGAGGAUCAAGAAAUUACAACCCGCAGAUCCGAAUCUCCAAAAGGUGCGGCGCAACAUCGAGGAAGGACGAGAUGGCGGUUUUGGUGUGGACGCAGGUGGCGCGCUCCGGUUUCGAAACCGGUGGUGCGUGCCCGAGAAUGAAGAGCUUCGCGAGUUGAUCUUCCAGGAAGCCCACCGGUCUCCAUACGCGGAUCAGCUGGGCGGCACCAAGAUGUAUCAUGAGUUGAGAGCACUCUAUUGGUGGCCGGGGAUGAAGGCUGAUAUUGGCCGCUUCGUGGCAAAGUGCUUGACUAGUCAGCAAGUAAAGGUGGAGCGCCGGUUUCCAGCGGGGAAGCUUCAAAGCCUACUUAUUCCCGUCUAGAAAUGGGAGGAUAUAUCUAUGGAUUUCAUCGUUGGCUUACCUCGCUCGACAGGGGGACACGACGCGAUCUGGGUGAUUGUGGACCGCUUGACAAAGUCAGCACACUUUUUACCGAUCCACACCACCUGGGCGGGAGACAAGUUGGCGCAGGUAUAUCUUGACGUAGUGAGGUUACACGGGGUGCCGAAAUCGAUUGUGUCGGAUAGAGACCCCAAGUUCACUUCACAUUUCUGGAAAAGCCUACAGGAGGCCCUUGGCACACGGCUCGAUUUCAGCACCGCAUUUCAUCCCCAGACAGACGGACAGACUGAAAUAACCAUUCAGACUCUGGAGGAUAUGUUGCGAGCGUGUGUCAUCGAUUACAAAGGAGGUUGGUGUAAGUAUUUGCCAAUGGCCGAGUUCGCCUACAACAACAGUUAUCACGCUAGUGUGGAGAUGGCACCGUUCGAAGCUCUUUAUGGGCGGAAGUGCCGCUCUCCCAUUUAUUGGAGUGACGUGGGCGAGCGCACGGAAUUUGGCCCCGAUGUGCUGCGGGAGGCGGAAGAAAAGGUCCGCCUUGCUCGCAAACGAUUACUCACGGCGCAGUCUCGACAACAGAGCUAUGCGGAUAGGCGCCGACGAGAUCUAGAGUUUGCGGUGGGCGACCGUGUCUUCUUGAAGGUCUCGCCUAUGAGGGGUGUAAGGCGAUUUGGAGUUCGGGGAAAAUUGAGUCCCCGAUAUAUUGGCCCCUAUGAGAUCUUGGAGCGGAUUGGGACGGUGGCUUAUCGGCUCGCGUUGCCGCCGAAGCUUGCGGAUGUGCACAACGUAUUCCACGUCUCCAAUCUUCGCAAAUACGUUCCCGAUCCCGAGCAUGUAAUGCUAUAUGAGCCGCCGGAACUUCAGGAGGAUCUGAGCUACGAGGAAUUCCCGGUGGCAAUUACCGCUCGUGAAGUGCGCAAGUUAAGGAGUCGAGAGAUUCCUUAUGUCCGAGUCCGGUGGAGCAAUCAUGAUGAUCGCGAAGCCACCUGGGAGCUCGAGGAGGAGAUGAAGGCGAAUCAUCCUCGCCUGUUCGAAGGCUAAAUUGAGGUAUGAAUUUAGAAUUUGAAAUUCUAAUCAAGUUUUGGAGUAUUGAGUUCGUUUCGAGGACGAAACUCUUUUAAGGUGGGAAGGAUGUAAGGAAGUGAAUUCUCGAAACUCGAGGAUUAGACUUCGACCAGAAUCGACUAUUCGUCGAGUGCGUAGGCUUCGGAAAGUCCGAAGGCGAUUAUAAUGCAUAAAGUGCAUUAAAGAAGGGUCCGCGGGAGCACCAGUGCAAAAUCUGCACUGGAGCAGAAAUGCUCUCGGGGACCGGUCCCUGGCAGGGAGGGACCGGUUCCAUCAGGCUGGGUUGCGGAGGUCUCUGAUGAGACCGGUCCCUGGUGGGCAGGGACCGGUUCCCGAACGUUGGCCCGACGAGAUUUAGCCAAAUUUGGCUAAGUCCCGAGAAUGCAGCUCUCGGGAACCGGUCUCUCGGACAAGGACCGGUCUCCCGGGGACCGGUCUCUCAGGCAAGGACCGGUUCCCGAACGCGAAAAUCCCUCUGCUCGAAAUGGCAGCCUUCGGGGACCGGUCCCAAGUCGGGGAGACCGGUCCCUCCGCGCGAAAACUGCCCAGUGAGGGUAGUGCACUAGGGUGAAAGUUGAGGGGCUUUUAUGCAAAAUGGCCUUUAUUAGAGGUGGGGGACCCCUCUCUCUCACUCUCAGCUGCUUUCUCUCUCUCUCUUACCCUCUUUUCUCUCUCUCUCUAAGAAAGAAAAGAAAAGAAAGAGAAGAAGGAGAAGAAGAAGAGGAAGGAGAAGAAGAAGAGAAAGAAGAAGAAAGAGAAAGAGAAGACUAAGAAGAAGAAGAAGAAGAAGAUAUCUUCUUCUCUCCCUCUCCCUCAAGCUUGAAGGAACCUUGUGUAGGGGUAAGCUCUAAACCCUUUAAUGGUGUUUCUAGGGUUUUGGGGUUUUUAUGGUUUGAAUGGGACCUAAUGGAACUAGGGAGAAGGUUCGAGCUCGCAAUUGAAGCUCGCACCACGGAUUUCUUCCCCGUUGCCAUCCUAGGGCACGGAAUUGGGUUUUUGGUAAAUCUAGGGUUUUGAUCUAAUCUAAUAGGUCGCAAACCUAAUUGCUAGGUCCCGGAACGCGUCGGCGAAGUCGGUUUCUCGAUCCGACGAGCGGGUGCGGAGAAAUCGCCGAAUCGGGUACUCGAGGGCUCGCUUCGCCCCGAGGAGUUGAAGCGGCGUACAAGAACCCCAACGUCGAGUUUUCUACUAUCACGGCAUCGCCAAGAGGUGGGUGGUGUCCAUCCCGAAGCAAUCGGGCUCCCUUCUAUGUCUUAGUACAUUUCGAUUCUGCAUCUUGUAUUAUUGCAUUAUAGGAUGAUUGUGCAUUGCCUUUCCUUAUGCUUUCCUUGAUGAUAUCGUAGCAUGUAUUGGAUACUUGACAUAGUGGAUUGAUAAGGAUUGGGUCGAGACUUGUGAAUCCUAUAGUGCAGAGAAAGUGAUAGGCUCAAUGGUUGGUCUAAUGAUGAACAAAGAACGAGUGGCAUCUAGUCAAUAGUAAACCAUGGAGGAGUGGCAAUUUAGUUAAUAGUGUAUAAGAAAACGAGCGAUGCAUGUUAAACUUGGUGUAUACGACGCCUAUGGACUAUAUGAUGAUUGUUGUAAUAUACCGAAAAUUAGGAAAAUAAAUAUCGAACUUUAGUCAAAUUGACCAAAGUGCGAGGACGGUACACUUCGGAAAGUCCGAAGGUGUUAAAACGAUCAAAAGUGAGCUACGGGAGGUUUUUGAGAGCUAUAAAAUCAAAUUCUCCAAAACUGCAGAUUUUGAGCUCUCGGGGACCGGUCCCUGGUGGGAGAGACUGGUCCCCGAACACGUAUGAAAUGAGGCAGCCGAAAAAUCGGCUAAGUCCUGAGAAACUAGCUCUCGGGAACCGGUCCCUACCUGAGAGACCGGUCCCCGAGAGACCGGUCCCACAAGGAGAGACCGGUUGCACUGCGCGCAGCAGUUUUGGCUGCGCUAGGACGACGUUCGGGAACCGGUCACUGAAGGAGAGACCGGUCCCCGCCUGCGCGAACUGCCCAGUUCGGGCAAUGUAUUAAAGUGAAAGUUGAGGGGUUUAGCUGCAAUUUUGCAACCCAAUAGGCUAUAUAUUGGGGUAAAUGAGGGAUUUCUCUCAUUUUCACCCUCUCAAUCCCUCUCUUCUCUCCCUCUCUCUCUCUAGAAGACAAAGGAGAAGAAGAAGAAAGAAAGAAAGGAAGGAAAAGAAGAAAAAGAAGGUGAAGAAGAAGCUUUUGGAGCAAAGAGGCUCCAUCUCCUUCUUCUCUAGUGCAAGAAAAGGAAGCUUACAAGGUAAGCUUUGAAUCCUAAUGUAGAAAAACCCUAGAAAUGGAUUUGAAUGAACCUAGAAAUGGAUUCUAAUGGAAUAUCUAGUAGUUGAAGCUUUCUUUUUGCUUCUUUAAAGAUCAAAACCAUGGUUGAGCUCAAGGUGAGCUUCAACCCACCUCUAAUGGUGAAAUCUAAACUAGGGUUUUGGAAAGCCUAAGAAUGGUUCUAAUGGACUACUUAGAGUAUAGUGAAGCUACUUUUGCUUCCCAAAAGAGAUCAAACCUAGCUGUUUGAUAUACAUUGGAGCUAGGGCACCCAAAUUGGGGCUUUUGCUCAUGAGGGUUUCUAAGUGCAAAUUGACCCUCUAGAAACCUAAUUGGGGUAUUUCCGACGCGUUGUGCGCUCGGAUUAACGUUACGAAAAGCCGAUCAAAAGUUAUGGGCAAAAUGGCCUAAUAAGGGUUUCGUUUUGCCGCAGGUAAAGAACGAAGCAUCUAAAAAUCCCAAGAAAAUCGUCGGAGCACCUAAAUAGACCUACGAGGUGGGUGGUCUCUCAACUCAUUGAACUUCUCUCUAUGCCAUAAUGUGUCAUUCAUUUGAACAUGUGUAUAUAUUGUUGCAUCAUAUUAGGGCAAAGUAAUGAUAAGAAUGUGAUGAUAGCAUGAUGUGAAGUACAAACUUGCUUAUAAAUGAUGGUAGAGAACCAAAUAAUGUCAAAAACCCUAAGUGUAUGCAUUAGAAGAAAAGUGGCACCCAAAUGAGCCAAAGAAACAGAGUGACAUCUAUGACAUAGAUCGAGUGGCAUUUAAAAAUGUAAAGUAAAGAGACACUAGAGUUAGGUGAUGCAAAGACCAAAGUGAUGAAAAGAAUGAUGAAAUGACAAUGUGUAAAGUAAAGUAAAGUGGGGCAAUAAGAACAAGUACUGUAACGAACAAAGAAUGCUAGAGUUAGCAAGAGUAAAGAAAUGUAAGAAUGUAAUUGCAUGAGUUUGCAACAUAAGUGAUGUAAAGAACACUAGAGCUAGUGUAAAGUCAAGAUUGAACUUAUAUCCUUUGAGUUAAAGGAUAUGAUCAUACUUGCUAUGAGUUCCGUGCUCGAGGGCGGUCGCUCCCCCUCGGCGAUGCGCUCCGGAGGUUGGCAUCCGGGUUGAGUAAACCGAAGACGGUCCUAGCGGGUGAGUUCCUGCGAUGAUGGACUAUGGAAGCAAGCUAAUGUGGCGAAACCUCGGGUUACUUGAGAUUAAAAGAACAAAGAACAAAGAGCAAAGAUAAAAGAGCAAAGUACAAAGUAAAGUCAAGAACGAAAAAGAAUUGCAUAAUCUGCAUUAUUUAAUGUUGAGCAUACUUCUUGCUUUGUUCAGGCAUAUUAAGCAUCAUGUUUGUAGAUGGUUACUAUAUUUCAGCUUAUCCUUUCUAUUAUGCCUGAGUUAGUCCUAGUGGAAAAGUCGGUGAUGUUAGGCGCCGAACCCACUGGAACUUUUGUAGUUCUCACCCCACUAUUUCCACAGAGCUGGGACGAGCGAGCCGGCAAGCGACCGAGGUAAAGUAUCGCGCCUUAGUCAGAGGCCACACCAAAGUUGGGGUACAUUUUGUUAGUAACACCCUUUUAUCAAUCUUUGUACUUGAUGAUUAAUGAUGUAAGGAAAAGAAUGUAAAGCUUAUUUUGAGGUAAAUGUGAUGUAGGAAAGAAAUGAUGAAAUAUGUAAUGAAAUAAAGAUCCUAAAUUUACGAAUAAUGCAAUGUAUAUGAUCUAAAAUGAAUCAUAUUACUCGUGAAUGUUUAGUUCCUUUUCUUUCACUAAUGGCUAUUGCUUACCCUCGUGUGACCGUUGUGUAUGUUUUGCCGCUAGUGCUUUUCUCUAUGAUGAAAAUGGUACAUGUGAUGAGCCUUGGCGACAGGGGAAACUCUGUCCGUUCGCGCUGUUUGACGUGCUCGGGUCGGGCCAAAUUGGGUACCGUGCCGGGGCGCGUCGACAAUUGUAACGCCUAGAGGAUAGGGUAUUCUCGAGACGAGGAUUGGAUCAUGCUCACGGUCUGUUUUUAAAUCUUGUGAUGGAAGCCCCACACAAGUAGUGCGCUCCGGAGUUAGUCACGUAGGAUUGCCUAUUUUGGGUCGCAAGGGAUUGCCUAUUUUAGGCCCCGGCAGACGGUCUCGGUUCGUUGUGCGAGUUGACCCUCCCUACCUUCGAGAUGGCUAGUGAGCAGUAGGCUCCUUCAGGGAAGCCACGAGAUUAAGAAACAAGUAAUUGAGAUUGAUGAACGAGUAAAUAGCUUUACCUUUGGACAUGAUAAUGGGUUAGUUGUUUAUCUAUUUCAUUGUACAUGCAUUCAUAUAUUUAUGAUUGGGCAUAGUAGCGUAGCUUUACUUCUGUCAUUUACCGCUUUCCUUAUCUAUCUAUCUAUCGAUUAUCUACUUUUGCCCGCUUGGACCUAGUGGGGAGAUCGGCGGAGUCGGCGGCCGAACCCACUGGGAACUAUGAAAGAUAGUUCUCACCCCACUUUUUACAGGUUCGAGUUUGGGCGUCCCCGGUGAGCGUGAGGAUCGUGGUAAGGGCCCGGCGCUCUAGUCGCAUUAGCUACCUCCCUUUUGCAUUAGCUGUCACCCUUUUUGUAUUUGAGAGUAGAUGUUGUAUAGGGUGAGGUUCGAGUGAUUGUAUUUAUAUCUUGGAAGAAUGUAAAAGAGGUAAUUAAAUAUAGUAAGUCAAAUGAAUGUAAUAGAUAGCUUCUUCUCUCUUUAUGUACUCGUAUAUAUUUUUAUACUUGUAUCUUCCUCUCGUCUUGUGGCACUAGUGGUGCUUCUUGAUCGUGUAUUUAUGAAUUGAUUACUGGAUAAAUUCUUAUACAUGAUCUGUUGGUUAGCCUUGGGCGGACAGGGGAGGUCCUGUCCGUUCGGCGUCUGUUCGACGCGCUCGGGCCGGGCCAAAUUGGUAGCGGGCUCGGGGCGUGACAACAUGCCUCGCGAUAUGCAAUAUGAAUAUAUGCAACUAUGCAACUGUAUAAACAACUAGUAGAUAUGUUGAUUCUACGUUUACUUUGCUAACUUUAGCUCUUACCUUUAUCACUAGCUUAUAAGGUUUCUAGUAACCUAAUCAAGCUAACCACCCGACAUGGCCUCGAGUCAAUCAUCCGCGGAUAGUCCGCGCACUGGCUGCAUCUCAGCCUGGCUGCCGUCACAGCCUACCGUAAAUCUGACUUAACCAUCUGGUGGCGAACUCAUCGCAUCGAACCCAACAACAACUCAAGUCAUGACUUAGCCAUCUGGCGGCGAACUAAUCGCACCUCACCCACCAAUGGUUCAAGACGUGACUUAGUCAUUUGGCAGCGACCACAUCACUCUUUCCCAGUAAGGUUCAAGUCAAUCUAGGCGGCAUCAUCCGAUAAGCUAAUGGGCGAGGAGAACCACACAUACCCAAUUCUAGCUUAUUCUCAUGGCAUCCCGGGCGAGGAGAACCACACAUACCCGUUGAAUCACUGCCAGGCGAGGAGAACCACACAUACCUGCAGUUAUGAUUCGCUUGCCAUCUCUUUUACCACAAUUUCCACCGCUCCAUGUGCGACCACAUCACUAGGGAUUCCGGAAUCCACUUCAUAUCGCUCAAGGGUUGGUUUCAAACCCUAUAGUAUUGACCUAUCUAGGUCCAAUGUCCUUUUCACCCUAGGUCCAAUUGACUCUAGGUUCAACGUCUCUAUCACAUAACCUAGGUUUACUUAACUCUAGGUUCAAUCCAUAACCUAUGUCCUUUAACACUAGGUUAGAUGCCACUCAUGAUUCAUCCUAGGUUCAACAACACUAGGUUCAUUGUCAUUCAUGUCCAACCUAUGUUUUAUACACUAGGUUAGAUGCCACUCGACCUAUGUUCAAUAACACUAGGUUAGAUGCCACUCGAUCUAGUUCACAUGACUCUAGAUUCAUUCACAACCUAUGUUCUUUAACACUAGGUUAGAUGCCACUCGCUCUAAUUCACAUGACCCUAGAUUCAUUCACAACCUAUAUUCUUUAACACUAGGUUAGGUGCCACUCGAUCUACUUGACAUCCUAUUGUCAUCUCGAGUCUACAUGUACACGAAUCUUAUCCAACAUGCUCAUUAUACACAUAUGUAUUAAUAUGCAUUCACUUACUAGCAUGGUUUCUUAUCAUAUUAACAUGCACAUUACAUUUAGCAUUUCUAGACUAUGUCAUCAACAUGCAUUUCAUUCUAUGCAUUAUAUUUACAUGCAUCCUUCUAGUUUUCAUGCAUAUAUAUAAUCUUUUAUAUGCAUCUACUUUAGCAUUUACAUCAUAUCAUGCAUUACUAGCAUUACAUUAUUAUCAUGCAUUACUAGCAUUAUGUAACUUGCUCACUAUGCAUUUCUACUUAGCAUUCACAUUAACAUGCAUUGUUUAACACUUAUAUGCAUCAACACGAAUUCUUAAUAUUCUUAGACAUAAGGGCGACCUAGUCACUUCGGUAAGCACAACCCACCUUAACUUACUCUCCGAUUGCUUGUAGUCACUUGCAAUCGGCCGCCCGCAACACCCGCGACCCGGUUUGGCUCGAACUCUCGCGCGACCACCCAAACGAUCUCCGAUUUGCGAUCCGAAAAUUAAAGGUCUUCAGUUAUGUGCCACGGUGCUUCAAAUCCGUUUUCAUGAUUUUACGACGUCGCCUCGGCCCUCCAGGCGGAAACGAAGCCUAAACAUCCGUUUCUUUAAUAACUUUGUAACGGCUCGUCGGAUUGCCGAACCGUCUUCGCCAACGCAUUUCGUUACCUAGCAAUUAGGUUUACAUAGGGUCAAAAUAGAUCAAACCCAUCUAUUAGCAAAAAUUACAUUUUGGAGCUCCAGGUUGCAACUAUACAAGAAAUCAUCAAAUCCCUUCAUGAAUUAAGCAUCAAUCAUCUAGAUAGCAUGCUAGGAUUCCUCUAAAUCCAUUUUUAGAGCUUAAAAAUCAAACUAGAGAAAAAUGCCAUUAAAGGGUUUGAAGCUUACCUUCAAAGCUUGCUCUAAUGGAGAGGAAGAAGACGAAGAAGAUGAAGAUCAACUUCCAAGCUUGCUUCUCGACCAAAACCUUCAAUUUUGGGAGAGAUUUAGAGAGAAAAUGGGUGGGUUCUCUCUUUCCCUCUCCAAGCAUGUGUGCGUGUGUGGCGUGCGGGUGUGUGUGGCGCACGGUUGAGGGAGAAGAAGCAUCAGCUUCUUUAUAAUACCCCUCAAACACUAUUCACUCCAGGCAGCUUGAAAUCUGAUAACUUUCGCCGGAGCUCCCUGAAUGUCCGUUUGAGCUCAAACUUGACAGUCAUAUUCGGUUUUAUGUACUGAGCAAGAAUAUAUUUUAAGUUUCCAGUUUCGACCCCGUUUGGUCACCGAAAACUGUACCGAACUGUAAUCUUUAUCAGAUAGCUGUCGGAUUUUAUUUCUCACUCUACGGGUGUUAGAAAAAUAUGAAACUUUAAAUCUAGCAUCAUAAAAAUAUUUUUGACAUCUCCGCCAAUUUUUAUAAUUUUCUGACACUGUGCAUUUUCUGCUAAUUUAUCUGCCCCGUUUCUUACAGAAAAUUCUAAAUCUUCUGUUUUCGCUCCGAUUUCAGCACAGCUCAUUCCCAACUUAUACUUCAGUUCUCUAAAUCCAAUAAAAAUAGUAUCUCAUGCUAUUUUUAUUUAUUUUCACUUUUAUAUUUAAAAUCCGGUAUGUUACGUUCCACCGCAACCUCACCGGACCCAUUUAAAUAUACACCGUAACUUCAUAGUUUUAGAAGUCUGGUACCCUACAUCGCUCAUACUAUUUUUAUUUAUUUUUACUUUUAUAUUUAAAAUCCGGUAUGUUACGUUCCACCGCAACCUCAUCGGACCCAUUUAAAUAUACACCGUAACUUCAUAGUUUUAGAAGUCCGGUACCUUACUGCCGGCCACUGUGGCCAGCGCGCGAGCGGUGCGAAGAUCAGCGGAACAGCACGCACAGCGCUAAAAUUGCAUUAAUCUCGCUAACUAGGGCAUAUCUGCUCGUAACUGGGGUGAGCACGAUGUUCAGCACGAGUUGUAGAAGGCUUAUCGGAUCACCAAAAAGGUGAUCGGAACCUCAGAAUUAAGUCCUGGAAUUUAAUCUGCAGCUUACCAGACCCGAGGGAGCUAGGGUUGGUCGCCAGCGGCCGGACGACGGGCAGUCCAGCCAGGGGAGGGUGCUGCCGGUCGGUGGGGUCCGGGGCACCUGCUGGCCGGCGGCGGGAGGCAGCCGGUGGCGCGGCGGAGGAGAUCAACUCCACAAGGUUGCUCUCGAGUUCAAGGGCGCCAGCGGCUAGGUGGCAGCCAGAGGAUCACGGGACAGUGAUGACCCAUUGCCGGAGGCCGAGAGGGAGGUGGCACACACGGCGCUGGGCGGCGGCGGCGCACGGAGGCGGUGCGGGUCCAAGCUUGGCCCGCACGUGCUCAGGAUGGCUGCAGAGACCUCCGGCUACGGCCGACGGCUUCGGGGCAUCCGGGGAUGCACGCCGGGGGUCGUCAGAGGUACCUGGAGAGCGGCGCGGCCGGCGGGGAGCGAUGGCAGCGCGCAGACCUCGAGCCCAAGCCCGCUCGGUCUAGGCUGACCCAACUUGGCCGCGGCUAGCUCAGGCGGCGUCGGCGGCGCGCGCAGGUGGCAGCGGCCAUUCUGGCCGGACGCGGUGGUGCCGGCGGUCACGAGGAAGGUCGCCGAUGUGGUCCAUGGCGGCAGUGGCGGCGCACGAGAAGCAAACCAGCCUGGGCUUGGCCCAAGCUGGCCCAGCUCGGCCAUAGAACGCCCAGGCAGUGAUGGCAAUGCGCGUGGACGGCGGAGGCCGGCGGGGGACGGCACCGGGGAUGGGCCUCGGCCAGAGGAUGACUGCUCCAAGGGGUUUAGAAGUUUCCUAGCCUACUCAGGGUUCCACGGCCAAGGAGAAAGCAAUGUGGAGGGAAAGAGAGUGGAGAGGGAAGCCGGGGAGGCUUUUCCGGCGGCCGGAGCAGCCUGCCGGCGGCCGGGGCAUGCACACGAGGUGCACAGGGAGGAGCUGAGGUGGCUAGGAGGCUGGGGUUAGCUCAAGAUGGUUUAGGGUUAGGGUUUCCCAUGAAAACCCUAGCUCUUUAACUUUAUACAAAUUGACAAUUAUGCAAUUUAGUCCACCCCUGUUCAUUCCUUUCAACUCAGCCCUUGCCCAUACAUGUAUUAUGCAUACAAGCCCCUCUAUAUUUGAAAUUACGCAAAACGGCGCAUAAAAUAUUAGGUUUUUUGUGAAUUUUCAGAUUUUGCCAAUUUUCGACCCCUUAGCAGGUAUCUCACUAUUUCCGAAGAUUCGUCCAUCGGAUUUCCAAACGGAUUGCACCAGCGCGUUCAACACAUCGGGGGCAUCGAAUCUAGCAUUUCGUUUCGUCCGAUUUGCUCUCCGAUUCACGACGAAACCUACCUUCAUUGUUUCCACCAUAAAACCACAUAUUUAUAUAUGUAAAACCGAUCAAACCCCUUUUUCUCGACAAAUGUGCAUCAGAACCUAAUUCCGUCAGUGCCAUUGGGUCCAAAAUAGUCAAGCCGUUGAAAACGAGCUAUUGGAGUCCUAUGUUCAGAGUCCAAUAUGCACCAGAACCCCUCUCUACUCACUAGCUCAUCCGAGAAGCCGGAGUUACUAUUCACUUUAAGUCAUCAGUCCUGGUCGCGUAACUUCUCCAUUCUAGCUCAUUUUCUCCUGAAACUUGGCGAGUGCUUAUGUAAUUAAAUUACGCACAAAAUCAUCGUUAACAGAGAGUUUAGUUGCACUGCCAAAAUCUCAGUCCUUACAUUAUUUUCCCCUUAAAAGAAGUUUCGUCCCCGAAACUUGACCACGUACCCACCGUAAACGAAUUUAGAUAUUACCCCACCACUACAGUAUCACCCUUCAGUAUUGGACAAUUACAUUUGGAUAGAUCAACCUCCGAAGGAGAAAAAUAGGACUGUGUUUCCACUUGGACAAAUCGAGGGAAAACGUACCAACCAAAAAUCUACGGACCAAACUCACCGGGAUCAACACCAUCCUAUAACCUGCGGACAAAGACAGUCCCGUGACCAGAAUUAUCAGAUCCCAAAUUACCAACUUUGAGAUAAAAAUUCUCCACUCAGAAACUCUAGAUACACUCUACCUUGGUCCCCAUACCAGUAACCGACUCGACUACGUCGAAGGUUCACGUAGAAGAGACACGAGUCAACACCACAAGUCUAGAGUGUAUUUUCAUAGACCGAAAAGACACACUCUAACUAGCCAACAAUGUCAACCUGCUCACCACGAGCGAAUACGAAACGUUGUUUUAAGACCUGAGUCAAAACUAUCACCUUGGAGACCACAGUCUCCUACCAGUAACUACACAAACUACCAAAACCUCCAUCAACGGAAAGUCACCUGCGACAAUCUAUAGUCCUAGGUCCAAGACCUCACAUUCCACUUGACCAAAAGGUCCAACUGAUAAUACCAAUUGAGCUAGACAAUUUUGUCUCCUCAAACUUAAUUCGGUACCAACCGACCACUAAAAGUUCUUUGCAAGUCCAUCACUUGAUGCACAGGUCGCCAAUCGCAACUGCAAUAAUAACCGUCGGCGAUGCUCAACAUCUGUCUCCAUGAGACCCUGUCGCUGCCAUCCUAAAAAGGAUCCUAGCGAUCGAUGUUCCGAGCAACGCCAAAUACCUAUCUCAUUGAGACCCCGGCGCACCUGUCACCAAUUAACAGGAGAAGCAUACUAUUCCAAGGUUGCACACUAAGCCGUGUCACAACCUUAUACGCUAUCACAUACGGUGACAAUCAAAGCCAACAACCAGGCUCAAGUCACUCCACAAUUGUGAUUCCGAACCUCUCAACAACAGACUGAGACUACUAAAUAACCAAACCUUUUAGUUGUAACAGGUACAACUAAAGAACUACGAACACCAAGACUCGAACUAGAGUCAAAGCCCUCAGUAGAGAUGAUAAAUCAACUGUGCAAAAUCUGCCAGGGAAUAAUCCAAGGCUCGCUAUGUGGCCAGAAAAGACCGACGACACUCAAGCUUUCCCACGAGACAAUCUAGAGAAAGAUACCGACCCAAUUCAUGAGUCCCAAACGGGAAGAAGGUAUUUCAUCCCAACUUUCGAUAAUACAUUGUCUGCACCCAAUGUACUUAUCAAAAGAGAAGCGAAAUAUCCAAAGAUCCACUACCAACAACAAGUUUGAAGCGCGACACAUCGAAGUAUCAAGCCACCUGAUACCUCUUCACUGAACCAAGAGUCCACAACCAUUACUAUCGAACAUCGACUUUACAAGUCGACAUUCGAAAUCAGAACGACCCUAAACCGACUCACAGGGAGUCCUAUAACUUUCAACAUUCAAAAGUUGCUAGCAACACUAAGCCGCGCACCGUACCAACUGAGGCUUUAGGAAACGGUUUCUCUAACCGAUUUUCGCACCUCAACCGAGCUAUAAUCAAAGCUCCAAGAAUUUCGAUAAUAAUUUGGAGUCUGUCGAAUCAAGACGAAACCUAUCGCCAACAACAAACUAACCCACAACACACCAAUUUAGGUGUUAGAAUAACCGCAUACGAUGUAUGCCUCAACGAAAACUUGACACCAAAACUGUGUCAAUCCGACUCUAGUACACGUCAAUUUGAUGAACGAACUAGUUCAAGGUCAAAAGACCCAAACCGCUGAUUCCAAUCAGCAAUCAAGGAGGAGAGGUAGGCAUCGCAACCCUACCCAAAGAUCUGCGGAAGCAACACUAACAAUGCAGUCGCCUAAACGAUCGCUAUCCAAACCCUGGGCUACACCCUAGUAGCCCCACUGAAGUCGUGACCGUAACUGGUCUAAGUACGGUCUCCGUAGAGACACUCGCAGUAGCUCUCGUGCCCUUAGUAGGAAGAGUGGCCUGGGUGUCGACAGUUAAGACACUCGCCUAGGCUGAAGAUCACCUAGUGUCACGCCCGGGUACCAGCGGAAGCAUAUCCGGUACGUGCACAAACUCGCCAUACACCUACAGUAUAUAAGGCGUCUACGAAGAAAGCAAGUCGAUAGGAAGUAAAAUAAAGAAAGUCCUAUCCCGAUAUCAGAGCAAUGUACAAGUCGAUAUACUAUCAGUAAAAGAACAAAGAGUGUACAAUCCAAAAUCUCGACUAAAGAGUAAGUAUCACAACAGAAACAUCGGGAUCAACAGUAAAUAUACAUCACGGAGUAUACAAAAAUAGGUACAAUGGUGGUCUCUCUAUACAAAGGACAUCACCCUCGGCCGUAGCCCGAGUAGCAAGGUGAUCGACUAGCACGCUCCUAGCAAAGUCUAGCUAGACGCGACUCCCUUGCCACGAUCCCUAUCCUCUCCUGCAGAUGGCUCUGUAAAAACAACCACCAAAAGGGCGUGAGAACUAUUAACAAUAGUUCCCAGUAGGUAAGCCGCCAGCCUCGGCGAAUUACACCACUAGGCUCAUGAUGUACUGUGGUGGGUUGUACUGUUUUACUUCGUGUACGUGCGUUGUGACCCUGUCAAUAUAGGGAGACUUUGUCCGCAACGUGUACAGUGGAUCCCCUGUGUUCGUGGCGAUCUCGCAAUAAACCUGGGUCCAGGCUUUUAAAAAAAAAAAAAAAAUUUCAGAAGCUUUUUCGCUAUAACUUUAAAACUAAAAGGGACCCCGCGUGAACAGAAUAAAGUGGUAUCAGAGCGAGGUUACAACCACAACACCAUUCACAGUUUUUUUUGAAAGUAAUGAUAACUGAAUCCAUGACUAGGUUGACGCUUAGGAAAGACCUACGGUGUAUGAGGCAACUGAGUGCGGUUUUGGACUCGGUGUCACUGGGCUUGCAUUCGAGUUGGGUAAACAGCCCCCCCCCCCCCCCCCCCCCCCCCCCCCCCCCCCCGAAGUGCAUGGUGUUUCUGUAUGUGUUACGGUUCGCACAAAAGCUGGUUGUCCUGCAGUUGGAAGUAGUGGCUGGUGCUUCCUUGUGGACUAUCGAAUGGUGGGGCGACAUCCCCAUNNNNNNNNNNNNNNNNNNNNNNNNNAAAUAAGUAAAUACGCACAAAGUAGCAUGAUAUAGAAAUAAGCAUAAUAACCGGUAACAGGCAUUAAUUCACAUGUAAACAUGAUUUCUGUCAUGUAAUGAAUCAACUGAUAAAGAAUAUCAUAACUAACUCCCUAUACCAGAACAUAAACAUAAAAUCAUAGAAGUGUAAGUACUUGCUUGUAAUACAACGAUACUCAUCUCAUUACUAUUAUAUCAUUUCAUUUCAUUUUUCGAUUCACUAGAACCUACUCAAAAUAGUCCAGCUUGCGCCACUGCCUAAUGUCUCCCGUGUAUUAUACCACUCCCCACAAUCCAAUUUCGAUCACCCAAUCCCGCACGGGCAACAACCGUCCGUAGGCCAACUCCGGAUGCCGCUUUAAGAGCUACCCUCUACAUCUGUGCGAAUGAGCACAUGGUCUAAGCAAGCAAAGUCCAUUGUCUCAAUUCCUCAAAUAUCAUAUUUUCCUUGGUCAAAGUUCUUCACCCUCGAUCCUACUGAUCGAAUUUCAAUACACAAAAUAGUAAACAAACUAGUACCACUAAUUGAGACAAGUAAGGGUAAAAAGCUAAAUCACAUGGCAUUCAUAAACAUAGCAUGAGCAUGUCAUAGUUUCAUCUACUUAGAGUCAAGAGAAUGUCAUUGUUCCUACUUUAAAGUGCAUCGCUAACUUGUUCAUAAGUCAUCAAACUUAUUGAAUAAAAAUAAAUACUUUCAUGUAAUAUUCUCUACUUAUAGAGAUUUCAUUCUACUUAAGCAUCAAACUCACCGAUAUAUCGUUCAAUCUCUAUCAAUUCACAUAAGCCCCAUGCAUACCUAUUGCGAUUAGUCCUAGAUUCUAUAGAUACAUAUAGAACAUAGGGAGUCCACUUGCUCAGUUAGGUCCGCCCACCCUAGUACUAGGCCCAAAUCAGUCCAAAGAUCCCAACAGUAUCAGGCUUCCACUAAGUCUCACCUUCGCUUACACGAAACAUCAACAUCCGCGUCAAAAAUAACGACCCUGGUAAUAUCCGAUUUCGCCUACAAUUACAGCUUAGGACAAAUAACUGCUUUAAAUCCUGUUUAGGGACUAGUGUACAAUACUCAAAGAUGAGUCUCCAAGAGCUCUCACAAUACAACUAACGAUGAUCCAAGCCUCGAUCGCACUCAUCUCGGCUGGCACAAAAAAUAAACGCAUCAAACUCCACAUAUAAUACAAUUAUAGUCAGAAUCUCUUGCAAUUUCAGCUUCCUAACGAAAUCUUGCUUACCUCAGGUAACAACUCCUAAACCAAGCCUACAAAGAGUACAUAGUUCAGCUUCAACGUAGGCUCGAAGACCUGCCUAAGCUAAGAAGUAAUCCUAAUUUGCAUCAAUUCCGCGCAAAUAAGUGCAAUUAGUUCUAAUUUAGGUUCAUAAAUGCUACUUCUCCAAUAAUCUUAAAGAAACUUAUCCCUAGUCAUUAGGAGCUUAAUCACAGCUAAGUAAUAUCAUUAUACUUCUGAACCUCAGAAGAAUACAUCUAAAAGCAUAAACUCAAAAUCCAUACCUCAACCGCGCUAAUAGAACGUCGAUUUAUACGAUUAUAUAUAUUACGAUUACCUUUUCAGACUUCCCACCAUGAGUCUAAAUGGCUUAGGGCUGCAAACGCCUUCCAAAAAUACUCUCUCCACUGCUCACCGUAAACUCCCGCACACAUCGAACCACGAAGAACCAACGUGCAAAAAACGAGUGAUUUAUUACUCGAGCGAAAUCUGCGCCAUUCUUUGUUAGACGAGAGAAAAACCUAAGAGAUGAGAGAGUGAGGAAGGUGGGAGAAACACUUUUCUCCUGAGCUCCAGCGACAUAGCAUACUCCACUGAGCUCCGGGGUCGUGCAUGUCGAUAAUUAGAUCAAGUUGAAAUUACAAACACUCUUGCCAAGCACAAUCUGCACAGCUGUAUUCGUAAAGUAAUGUUGCAAGCAAAAAAGUAUAUACUCGCCAUUCAAUGCCACUUUUCUUGCUUUUAACACCUCAAUCACCUCUAACUUGUCAAAAACUGUCCAAUCAAUUAAACAGUAGAAUAAUCAUACCUUCAUUCAUCAACACACUCGAUGCCAACUCUGGACAAAUACAAGACACAGUGUAACAUUCACUCCCAAAAACUUUCGUCCGCUGAAACUUUAAACAACUUUACCCUGUCCAAGAUUCUAUCGAUAAAGGUAGGGUAAACACAACACCACACUUCCCAAGUUUCACCGUUCAUCAUGAUUGCUAAAGAUCUUUACUAGGUGAAUCUCGCGUUUCGAAGCUGUUAUUUACUUUCUUCCGACUAGUAUCCUCACGGAUGCUCCUCGUAUUCUCACCAUCUUCUGUAAAUCCACUCUGGUAUCUCCAUAUGUGAGACAUAGCUCAAAAAACAUAAAAUUUCUGUAGAGUAGAGUACAUGAAAUACAUUAUGUACUCCGAAGAUUCGCGCAAAGCAAAGCUCGAUACCUACGGCCCUAAUCCGCCUCAACACUUCGAGGUCAAUGAACCGAGAGACAUCACUUUCCUCGAAUGCCAAAUCUCUAAACUCCUUUCUGGAACCUUUAGAGAAUACAUGAAUUCGCCAACUCUUUGAAAUUAGUUUCUCCCCGCCGACGUUGUCCGCUAUAACUCUUUUGUCGACUUGGGCGCUGUCAGUAAGCGUUCUCGCGCAACGACUACUUUAGCUUCACUCCUGUAAUACGUCUGGAGCGCCAAACCAAUCUCUCACCCACUUCACUCCCAUGAAUUGGGAUCUGCACUUCUACGAUAAAGGCUUCAAAAGUGCCAUUUGAAUACUGCUGAUAACUAUUUGAAAAAAGCAAAUUCCAGACCAUAAGCAAGAACUGUGCCAACUGCUAAUGGUAAUCAUCAACACAGGCCCCAACCAUAUCCUCAGGGUCUGGACGUACGCUCAGACUACCACAUCACUCUAAGUAGAAGCAGGUAUAACAAUUCCAAGAGUACCCCAUCCUCCUGUAAACUUUUCAGAAAUGUGAAACGAAAUCGGGUUCCUCGAUCUGAAAACAAUCGAAGCAGGUACUCCCGUGCUAAUCGAGCACAAUUAUCAUCAAGAUACACUUGCGAGUGCUUCCCCCGUCCACACUGUAAACUUGGAAAAAAGGGCCAGAUUUAGUCAAUCGAUCCAAACAAUUACCGCAAUUGCAAUGUGACCGUCUUGGUGACGAGUAAUCUCACAUGAAAUCAUAGUGACCUCUCCCACUUCAUCCACUGGUUAUGGUAGCUCUGAAGGUUUUCCCGCAGGAAGUCGAUGUUCAUCAACUUUAACCUGCGACCACUUAAGUCACUUAGCCCCACAAAGUCUGCAACUUCUUUUAUUAUAUAACACCACCAAUAAUUAACUCAAAAAUCCUUAUACAUUUUCGUACCCCCGGGGACAGUAUAACACCCCCCCCCACGCCCCCGAUGUGCUUUCUACGAAUCCUCUUCUUUAAUACCAGAUCUCCGUCAACACCCAGACCUUACGUCAACAAUCUGACAUGCUACUAAAAUCACAUCAUGAUCACCUAGUGAUCUUUUCUGAAUCUUUCUGCAGGAAUUUCACCAUACUUGCAGUUUUCUUUUUCUUAAUUCGAUCGAUCAGGGUAUGUUGACCACUAAUGACAUAAGUUCCAUAGGCCGUAUCAGCAGAGCUACAACUUUCAAAUUCAAUUGCUCCAUUUCCUUAACUCUAAACAAUGGUUGCAUUUUAUCGAUAGCCAAAUUUUCCAGUCGUUUUCGACUUAAAGCAUCUCUUACGACAUAGCUUUUCCAGAUGAUAGAGGAUAGCAAAUUAUAAUCCUUGAGUAAACUCCAUACCAUCUACUUGCUCAUGUUUACAUUCUUCUGUUAACGAACUUUAACUUUAGAUCUGUAAAACUUCGCAACGCCGCCGUAGAGGUAUGUGGCGCCAAAAGCUUUAAAAGCGAAUACACAGCUGCUCACUCAAGAAUCCAACAUGUAGGCGUAGUUCUUUCAUAAUCUUUCAAUUUGCGAUAACGCAUAAGCAAAUACUCGCAUUCUGGGAUAAGAACACAAUUCCCUAACCAUUCAGUGAUGCACGUCGUUGUAAACACAUAACCCUAUCCGGUAACAGCAAGCCCAGAAUCGGGCGGUAAGUCAACCUUUCCUUUCACUCUUGAAAGCUUCCUUUCACAAGUUCGUUCCACAGAAACUUAGCUCUUUAGUUAGUCGAAGUGAGAGGAAGUGACAUCUCGCUAAUCAUUCCUUCUACAAAUCUUUCGUGUAUACCUGCCAAUUCCAAGAAAACUCCGAAUUUCAAUGACAUUGUUGCUACGCCAUUCUUAUGCUUCCAAAUCUUCUGGAUCCACAAGCUAUUCUGCCAUUUCUGAAUCACAGGCCCAAAAAAAUGCCACUUGAAGCCAAAAUUCGCAUUUCUUAGCUGGCAAUAUUCUUUUCUCGAAGUACUUGUAACAUCUACUCUCAAAUGUCUAUUCAUGCUCCUUUCACUUCUCGAAAUAUAUCAAGAUAUCAUCAUGAACACCGACCCAAACUAUCCAGAUAGGCGUUAAGGACACGGUCAUUAAAUCCAUAAAAGCGGCUGGGGCAUUAGUCAAUCCAAAACGAUGACUUGUAAAUUCAUAACCCAUAUGUGUUCUAAAAGCAGUCUUAGAAACAUCUUUAGCUUAAUCUAACUAUAUAUUCCCUGAUUUGCCAUCGUAUUUUGAGUAUACUUUCGAUCCUUGCAGCUGAUAAAUAAGUCAUCAAUUCUGGCAUGGAUAUUUAUCUGCUUGACUUUGUUGAAUUCUCGAUUAAUCACGCACCAACUCCAAAGGAAUCCAUCCUUCUCUUGACAAAUAACACGUGCUCCCAGGCGAUACCCAGGUCGAAUGACUAUCCUUUACUAACAGAUCUUGUAACUAUGGCCUUCAAGUCUCUCAAUCAGCGGGUCCAUCCUAAUAAAGCGCCUUUAGAAAUAGGGGUCGUUCCCAGGACCAAGACUAUCACAACAACCAACUUCCCUAUCAGGUGGCAUGCCUCGGCAUUCACUGAAACUACAUCCCCGAACUAUCGCGCACACCCGGAAUAUCAUCAAUCUCGACUCUUAAUCCUACCACAAAAUGCUACCCAAAGGCUACGCAUCCUCUCCGAAUCAACUGCGUGCUCAGCGAAGCAAGCUAAUGGUCAAUUGCGCAACAAGAACCUGACACCCCUAAUAAAAACAACCUCCUUUUGUCGCCGUUCCCUAAAGGUCAACCGUUCUGUCGAAUGCAAUCUAUGUGCAAAUACGUUCAACCAAUGCCAUACCCAAUACCUACAUCAAACUCUCACCGUAGUUUGUUGUAUGCCAAUAAAUCCACUGCAUAAUCCAGUCGCCUACCCUAACUGGCACGAGGGCAAAACUCACAACAUCUAGGUAUGGUCAUGUACAUAUCACUCGUCCGACGAUGCAAAGUAAGGUGCAAACGAAUGCUAAUGAACUCGGCGAACUGCCGAUGCCAAAUAAAAAUGCAAGCACCAAGUAUCAAAUAAUACACGAACUACAAAUAUCAUAAAAGCAUAAUAAACUGCUACACCUCCUUGUGCUGCUUGCGGCGCCCUCGGUCCUGGGCGCAUACAUCGCCCACUAUAACCUGCUGCGAACGCUCCGGCCGCUGUAAUACCACGAACUUUUGCAAAUUGCAAGUUCGAGUAAAUGUGAAUGUGUUUUGGAUCAACUCCUACAUUUCUAAAAAGUUAGAACAAGUUUUAGAUAAGUUAAAAGAUGAUUGGAAUCGAAAGUGAGAAAGUGCAUGAACUGCGACAAAUCAGCCUUUUCUGCUUGCUGUACGUACAAGCCCUAAUGUGUUACGCGGUACAGCUCAGGCAAAUGCUCGUGCACAGCAAGCUAAUUCGGUCAAUUUAACACUUGAAUACCUACCACUUACCCCAGCUCGACCAGGAUUUUCAGUGGAGGUGCUGGUCAGAGAAAGGUUCUCCCACCUUCCUCACUCGUCUCUCUCUAGGGUUUUUCUCUCUCUACACUCCGAAUUCGCCGAUGUCUUCUCGUUUUCGUCGCCUGAUGCCGCCGUUCUUAAAAGCUGUUGCAUCGUCCGCAGCAAGUUGUACCUUGUUACGUGAACAAAGAGCGUUUUGGAGGAAUUUCGCAGCCCUGACAGUGAGUGCUUGAACAUUGAAAGUAAACGCUUGAUUUUUCCGUUACAGCGCUUUAUUGUCGAUUUGUGUAUGAUUUCAGUUUGUUGCUCCACACUCGUUUAACCUGAGAUUUCAGCAUUAUAUAUGAGGUUCAAUAGCCUUGAAUUAACCUUCUUGACCAGGUAAGCACUUUAAAGCUUAAUAGAUAAUUAGCCAUUUACGAAGCUAUUUCGGACUAUACACACGUUUAUCGAUCAAAUUGAUGCAGCGUUGUAGUUGACUUCGCACACUCUUUGAGCACCUCGUUGAGCUAACAGGUACUGCCGUUGAACUUAUUGGAAGUUGUUCACCCUAAUAGUAAUAAACAUGCUCAGUUAGUAACCGAAAUUGCAAGAUCCCACCAUAAUUGCUAUUAUUAAUGAUUCUAUUCGUUUCGGAAAUUGUUCGCAGCAAGAGGCGGUGUUUACCCUUGGAUAGCCGCGCAUUCAAUUUCACUUGAGGGCCUUCUGGAAGCUUAACGUAGGUAUUGAACUAACAAAACAGGAUUUAAGCUAUUCCAAUGACAAAGUGUAAUUGUCGUCGCCGAAAAUUGGUCUUUACUCGUAAUUUGAUAACGAUAUGUACCUUCGUGUUCAGCAGAUGCGACCUAUUGAGCUGAUCCUUAGAACUCCAUGGACUGUUUUGGAGCCUAGUACCUGGUCGACCUAACCAGAGCAAGUGAAGCUCCUCUAUUUUAUAUUAUAUAGAAAUAUUUUAGUUGUGUGCUUAUUAUACUAAAGGCUCUUGAGAAUUCCAUCAUAACAUUACUAUCUUACAAUAGCAUCGCCUAUGAAUAAGAAUCCUACGCUAAAUGUAUUCAUAUUCCUAUUGUUAGCUGAAUAACAAUGAGACAGUCUCGUUAUUAUGCUCAGAAAACGAGAGAACAUGACAUUCUCUUUUUACUCCUUGAUUACAAUAGAGCACAAGAUAUUCUCUUGACUAACAUGAAAUAGAGAACCUAAUGACAUGCUUGUGCUAUGUUAUAGUGCCAUGAUAGAAAGAUUCUAAUGCCAUAUGUAAAUUAGCAUUACUCCUGCAUUCUUUUACUAAACUAUGAUUCUAGUGUUGUUACUUUUGUUAUACUUAAAAUUCGAUCAAGAUCGAGAGGCGAGAACGCGCAAUAAAAUAUGAGAAUUGAGACAUGUUGACAUGAAACUAUGCUUGCUUGCCAUCGUGCCAUUCGCACACGCUGUGAGUGUCGCUCCUACAAGCCGCACUAUUGCCUGUCCGGAUUUCCUCGCGCAGUUGCUCGCUCCCCGUCGGAUUGGGUCCGAAGUGUACUUGCCGUGAAGGAGUGUAUACUACCACUGGGCCAUUAGGCGCUGGCGCAAGCAUGGACUACCUAUGUAGCCCUGUAAUGAAAAGGAAAGUACUAAAGGAAAAAAAAACAGUAAAUGAAUGUUAUUACUUAAAUACAAUAGUCCUAUGUUCUGCUUAACUAUGUCUAUGUCUUAUACAAAGUUGUUAUAUCUUUUAUGCAAAAUGUCAAAUUACUGAGAAGCUAUUACAGUUGAUACAUGCUUAUUACUUAUAGCACAUCUAUAAAUCAUUGCAAUUAAUUCGUUUUUGCUUUUCAUUUAGUACAAUCUUGACUAGAUGGUGAAUUCGCCUGAGCUGGGCUACCCACUUGGAACUAUUGUAAUAGUCCACGCUCCUUUUGGGUUGUUUUUACACGAGAACUCACAGGCAGAGGCUAGGAUCGUCGGCAAUGGAGUCCGCGCCUAGCUAGGACUACAGGAGCUGCUAGUCCGAUCACUGCCUAACGCAACGCGAGUGAUGUCCCUAGUAUAGAUACGACCACGUUGUAACCUAUUCUUUGUAUACCCGUGAUGUAUAGACUUUGGACAGUCACUUUAGUUGUAUACUCAUCUUUGUUGAGAUUUUUGACUAUACUCCUUUACCUAUUGUUGAUAGUAUUGUUGACUUGAACUUUGCUCCUGAUAUCAGGAUAGAAUUCUAUAUCUUCUCCUAUCGGACUUGCGAUUGUAACCCUUAUAUACAAGUGUAUGCGGUCUUUCACUAUGUACCGAUACUGUAACGCCGACUUCCCAGGAGGUCACCCAUCUAGACUACCUCCUCCUACCACUCUUAACUCUCUUAACUCUCUUGGGUCUAGCCACACCAACAUAUGCUUAAGCCGGCUUAAGAGUUUAGUAGGCGCCCUAUUAUAUUCUCAUAUAUAGGACUAUCUGGGUCUCACAAUCUCUCCUUCUUAAAAUAGUUUCUCCUCGAAACUCAUUUCAUACCUUAAAACUCCCCUGACAAACAGAUGGGAGAGGUUAUCUGACACCUGUAGAGAGAGAAAUACAUCUGAAUUAUCCUAUAAAAAGAUACAUCGGCUGACAUUCCAUGAUCAAGUACGGGCGAAACUGAAAGGUUAAAAUAUUUCAUGACUUGUUAAUAAAAACUGAACAUUCCUGCCGAAAUUGACCUCAAUCGACGUCAGGCGCUUACGAAGGUAUUGAUCCCGAGUUGCGCUAACGACUUAAUUCAGGCAUUUGAGUAAUUUCCGCAUGCUAUGGAUUUCCACUAACAUUCCUGCCCUCAGUGAAACUUCGAUCUCUUACCCUCACCUCUUGCCCUCUGCACGUAAGAGAAGAAAGAGUCAGAGAAGCAUAAAAGAAAGAAGGAAACGAGAAGAAAAAAGGAAAAGAGAAAAACAAAGAAGAAAAAAAAAGGUGCGACUUUUAUUUCUCAUCGCCUCCUUUGCUAUGGCCUUUCUCUCUUCCCUCUGCUUGCAGUAGUUCAGCUCGGCAGCAGUUAGCUCAGCAGGGCAGUACAGUAGAACAGCCUCAUAGCUCUGUCAGCACCUUGCAGCAAGCACUACAGCCACUUAGCACAAACUAGCAGUCACACAGCACUCAGAAACUGGCUGAGCCAAGUCCAGCAGCCUCAGCAACAGUGCGCACAGUCAGCAGCACUGCUUGUCAAGGCACAUGCGCAGAGUACAGCAAGCAACAGCCAUUCAACCAGCACAGGCAUGCAACAGCAGCUCCUGUCAUCAACAUCACAUUCAGCAGCACAGCAAGCUACAUUCAUUCAGCUGCAGCUGCAGCCUUAAAAGCGAGCAGCAGCAACGCUCCGCCAGACUGCUGCCGUAGCAGCAAGCACGCCAGAGCAUUCGCCAUCCACACACAUGCAAGCAUAGCAAACAGCAGCUCAGCUGCGUGAGCCUCAAGCACAUGGCAGCGACACAGCAUAGCAGCAUAGAACAUCGCAGCAGCAGCUUGCGCAGCUGCUGUUAGCCAGCACAAGGCUUCAUAGCCGCAGCAUAACAGCAAUAGAACUGUCCUGCAAAGAAGAAAACGAAGAAAGAAAGCAAUAAAGAAAGAAAAGAAAAACUGCAGAAAGAAAGAAAGAAAAAAGGACAAUGAAAAGAAAGGAAAAAAGAAAAGAAACCAGAAAGAAAAUAAUGAAUAAUAAGUGAAAGAUGAAUCGAAGUAUUUAGACUAGUUUUUACUAACCUGAAUUGAGUUCCUUCGGCUAAUAAAGAGUUAAUACUCUAUGAAUUGUGAAAUCAUGAAUAGUGUUUUUGAGAAAACUGUACCCUGCAAUCACCGUUUUGCAAAAAUACGAUCCAAAGUGAAAUUGACCGCCUUUUAACCAAAUUGAGGGUAAAAGAAACGCGUUGCGAAGAUCGGUUCGUCAAUCCGACGAAUCCUUAACGCAAAGAUACCCCAUAAAGAAGUUCGACUACCAUAUUCUGCCGCUUUCUGUCAGCAUGAAACCUAAACUUUUAAAAUAAGCGAUACUCUAAUUUAACUCUCUCCUAGUCUCUUUAAAAAUGAUAAUGACCAUGCCUCGACUAGUCUAAAUUGACUUUCUACAGGUCGCGACGCGCUAAUAUACGUGGAGACCGCUCUAUUUCGCCAUUUGCACGGCAGCUCGCGAGAGAUAGCGUCGACGCUUUUCCGAGAGUAAGUCUAGUUGAUUGACACUACCGAUACAGUGGGUGGCUACCGAAGUCUUUGAAUCACCUUUAUGUCUAUGCAUCAUUGAGCAUAUUUACUGUCUUCUUCAUGCAUUAUAGGGGUAUGGCAAUUUGGCAUACAAUUUGAUUGAACGUGUGAAUUAAUAUGAUCAGAAGAACAAUAUACAUCAGAUUAUGUGACAUAGAACCCUAUGAAUGUAUGAAACUGUAAAAGACACAAGACAAUAUUAAACUUGGUGACAAUCAUUGACUAGAAGAUUUGUUGUAGCAUCGAGAAAUACGUAAUUAUGAAACUAUAUCAAAAACUAGUUAGAGUUAAAAUUUGUGACAUUGUUGUCAGUUGAACCUCUAAAAGGUUGGAUCAGUAGUGUUGCCACUCCUGUCAGGUGGGGCCUUGAAGGGCCAAGUGAGAUUUUCGGGCCUAGGCGAGUGUCAUGACUGCCGACGCCCAGGCCACUCUCUCUACUUAGGGCACGAAAGCUAUUGCGAGUGUCUCUACGGAGACGGUACUUAGACCUUUUUGGGUUGCGACUGCUGUGGGGCUACUAGGGUGUAGCCUAGGGUUUGGUAGCGGUUGUUUAAGAGACUGCAUUGUUAGUAUUGCUUCCGCGGAUCUUUGGGUAGUGUUGUGAUGCCUACCUCUUUUCCUUGAUUGCUGGUGAAAUCAGCGGUUCGGAUCUUUUGACCUUUACCUCGUUCAUUCUUCCUACCAGAGUCGGAUUGACACAGUUUUGGUGUCAGUUUUUUUUUCGUUGAGGCAUUCAUCGUAUGCGAUUAUUCUAACACCCAAAUUGGUGUGUUGUGGGUUAGUUGUAGUUGGUCUAGAUUCGAGAUGUUCCAGGGAUUCGAGAUGUUCCAGGGUCGUUCCAAUUUCGAAUGUCGACUUGUAACGUCGAUGUUUCGAUAGUAAUGGUUGUGAGCUUCUGGUUCAGUGAAGAGGUAUCAGGUGACUUGAUACUUCGACGUGUCACACUUCCAAUUCGUUGUUGGUAGUGAAUUUUCGGAUAUUUCGCUUUUCUUUUGAUAAGUACAUUGGCUGCAGACAAUGUACUGUCGAAAGUUAAGAUGAAAUACCCAUUUUCCCGUGUGGAACUUUUGAAUUGGGUCGGUGUUUUCUCUAGCUGUUUAUGAGAAAGCUUAAGUGAUGACCAUCUUUGACCAUGUAGCGAGCCUUGGAUUAUUCCCUGGCAGGUUUUGCGCAGUUGACUUAUCGUCACUUCUGAUGGUUUGUACUUUGGUCAGAGUCUAGGUGAUCAUUGGUCCUAUUGUUGUGCCUUUCACAGCUAAGAGUUUCUUGGGUAGUAGUCUCGGUUUGUUGUCGUGAGGUUCGAAAUCAGUGAUUGAGGGACUUGAGCCUGGUGGUUGGUCUUUGAUUGUCACCGUAUGUGAUAGCGUAUAAGGUUGUGACUUGGCUUAUCGUGCAAACCUUAGGUUAGCUUGCUUGUCCGGUUAUUUGGUGACAGGUGCGCCUGGGUCUCAAGGAGACAGGCAUUUGGUGUUGCUCGGAACAACGAUCGCUAGGGUCCAUGGUAGGACGACAGCGACAGGGUCUUGUAGAGACCAGUGUUGAGCAUCACCGAUGGUUAAUAUCGCAUUUGCGAUUGGCGACCUGUGCAUCAAGUGAUGGACUUGCAAGGAGUUUUCGGUGGUCUGUUGGUACGUUUUUUUUCUCGUUGUUGUCCGAGUAGAACUGCAGUCCUAUUCUUACCUUACUUGGAGAUUGAUCUGUCCAAAUGCAUGAAAAUGUAAUUGACCAAUACUCAAAGGUAAUACCACAGUGGUGGAAGUAAUAUCCGAAUUCGAUUUCAAUGGGUAUGUGGUCAAGUUUCGGGGACGAAACUUCUUUUAAGGGGGGGAUAAUGUANUUGAUCCAACUCACAUAUUGGAGAGUACUCCAGUGGAUUUACAAGAAGAUUUGAGCUUUGAGGAGCAUCCAGUGAGAAUACUAGCUCGAGAAGUGAAAAGGCUUCGAAAUCGCGAAUUACCCUACGUGAAGAUCCUUUGGAGCAAUCACGAGGAGCGGGAAGCCACUUGGGAACUGGAGAGUACAAUGCAAGAGCAUUAUCCCUAUCUAUUCUCGAUGGAAUCAUGAGGUAAGUGUUUACAAGUUUCGCGGACGAAACUUCUUUUUAGGAGGGGUGAAUGUAAUACACUGAACUUUUGCAAAUUGCGGAGUUCGAGUAUGUGGAAUGGUGUGUGGAUCACUCCUACAUGUUCUAAAAGGUUAGAACAAGUUUUUGGAUAAGUUAGAGGAUGAUUGGAAUGCGAAAAGUGAGAAAGUGCAUUGAACUGGCGAAAAUCAGCCUUUUCUGCUUGCUGUACCGGUACAGCCGCUAUGGUGUACCGGUACACAGUGGCAAUUCGUGGCAGCAAGGCUAUUUCGGUCAUUUCACACUUGAUACCUAUCCACUUGACCCCAGCUCGACCAGGGAUGUUCAGUGGAGGGUGCUGGGCUCAGAGAAAGGUUCUCCCACCUUCCUCACUCUCUCUCUCUAGGGUUUUUCUCUCUCUACAUCGAAUUCGCCGAUUUCGCUCGUUUUCGUCGCCGCGCGCGUUCUUCGCUGGUUGCGAGCGUCGCAGCACCUUUGUGCACGUGCAAGAGAGCGUUUUGGAGGGAUUUUCGCAGCCCUGGACCAGUGAGGUGCUGGUUGGAAGCUUGAGAAGGUAAACAACUUGAUUUUUCUGUUAUCGGCGCUUUAUUGGUCGAUUUGUGUAUUGAUUUCAUGUUUUUGCUUCCAACUGUUUUAACCUGAGAUUUCAGCAUGUAUAUAUGGGUUAAUUAGCUGUGAAUUAACCUUCUUUGACCAGGGUUAAGCUAUUUUAAAGCUUAAUUAGGAUAAUUAGCCAUUUAUGAUGUAAGGACUGAGAUUUUUUUUACAGUGCAACUAAACUCUCUGUUGAUGAUGUUUAUGUGUGUAAUUUAAUUACAUAAGCACUCGUCAAGUUUCAGGAGAAAAUGAGCUAAAAUGGAGAAGUUACGCGAUUAUUAGUUUACACUUAAGUGAAUAGUAACUCCGGUUUUUUGGUGAAGCCACGGAGUAGAGUUGGCUUUCUACGCGUAUCGGACUCCGUUCAUAGCGAUCCAAUAGCUCGUUUCGACCGGUUCAGCUAUUCUGGAACCAUUGGCGCUGUCGGAUUUUGGGUUUGACGCACGGAUUUCGAGAAAAUCCAAAAAUACAUGUUUUAUAUGUAUUUAGGUGUUAUUUUCUCAUGUUGGAAAGAAGAUUGGAUUGUGUCGUCAAUCCGUGGUUGAUCGAGGUGAAGCGAAAUCGUAGCUUUGUUGUCUCCGUCGUGCUGAACGCGAUGGCACUGUCGGAUCGAAAAUCCGAUGGACGGAUUUUCGGGAAACGCGAAAUGUUCGCUAAGGGGUCGAGAGUGGAAAAUCGGGAAAUUCGCAAAAGUCGUAAUAUUUUAUGCACCGUUUUGCACAAACUUGAACGUAGAGGGACUUUGGCACAUAAUAUACGUGCUGGUGGGGGACCUAACUGAAAAUAUGUGGCUUUGAGGGGGUUUCUUGCAAAUGGCAUUUAGUAUAUAGGUGGCAACUAGGGUUUCUAAGAUCCUUUUGCUGCCCAUAUCUUCUCAUCUAACCCUAGCCGCCCCACCUGCAAACCUGCCCACCCCGUGCGCAUGCUCCGGCCGCCGGCGAGGACCCCCGGCCGCCGGAAUUCCCAGCAUCACCUCUCUCUCUCUCCCUCUCGGCCAAACUCUUCACCGCAUUGCGGUUGCGGACCCAUGAAGCCACCCUAGCUCGAGCACCAGUGUCCCCCGGCCGAGACAUAUCUCCCCCGUCUCUUUUGCCGGCCCCGGCCAUCCCCGUGCGCCGCCGGAGCCACCUUGCUCCCUGCGGCCAACCCGCAGUCACCCAGGCCGAGCUCGGGUGAUUCCCGCCUCCGCGCGCCGCCCCUGCUCCUCGCUGGCCUUGCCGCCAUCCUGGUACCUCCGGUGACCCUCCGGUCGCCGCCCUGUCGUCUCCGCACGCCGCCGGCCGCUGCUCCGACUCUCUGCGGCCGCCCAGGGCUUGUGCGGGCCGAGAUCUGGUCAUCUCGACCACUGCGCGUCGCCACCGCCCGCAGCAUGGUGCGCCGGCCUUCCUCGGCCUCCGGCGACUGACGCCGUCGCCCCGACCCUCCUCCGGUCGCCGCAGUGGCCGCCGCCGCCACUCCCUCUCCCUACGGCCGCGCAAGGUCUGCGCAGGCCGAGCCGUGCCCAGCACCGCCGCCGCCGCCCUCCGCCGCCGGCCGGCGUGAGCAUAGGCUCCGCCUGGCCGGCCGCACUCAUCCGCCGCCGGCCUCCCUAUCGCCGGAGUUCCCUGUUGGCCGGAUCUGGGCCGUCCUCUCCUCGGGUUAGGUGGCUAGGGCAUCAAUGCCCGCCGUCGUCGCCGCCUCCCGUCGCCUGAUGACGCGAGCCCCGGCCUCCUCUGACCUGGAGCACCUUCCCCUGGCCGGCCUUCCCGCCGUCCGGCCGCCGCCGGCCACCCCGAACCCUGCCUAGCUCUGGUAAGCUUGUAUUGCAAUUAUUGUGCACUGUUUGGGGUCGCGUUUACUGUUCCGGCGACCCGAGGCUGUUCCGAUGCCUCCGAAAGUGAGCACGGUGAUCGUCAGUCAGUGCUGAUCACAGUGAUCACCUCAUUUAGGGUCAGCGAGCCCCUGGUUAUCGAGAUAAGCAUGAUUUUCAUACUGUGCGCGCAGUUUACUGAAUUUCGCUUCGCUCGUGCGCUCCCCACAGUGGCCGGAAUUGCUCCGAAAGGUGAGCACGGCCUCCGGCACGCCGAGACCUGUCAGUAGGUAUCUCGGUUUGGCUGAAUGACUCCUAGUUUGUGUAGACGGACCAUAAAAGCGCCGAAAUCGCAUGAAAUAAUGCGAUUUCGGGUAUUCGGAAGGACUUUUAUGCAACUUUGUUCGUCGUGGCUACUGUUGGCAGCAUGAUUGAGUUGUGGGUGACCUCUGGACUGAUCGUCCAAGGCCCCAAGCCACUGCGGAGAUCGAAAAGCCUUUUUCGGGGCGUUUCGCGGCGAAAUUCGUCGACGGAACGCGAUCUUAGUUCGGUUUUUAUCCGACGGUGCCUCGGGAUCAGUUGUGAUGUCGCUAAGCCUUCUUGGCAGGUCACCCGUGUCGUUUCGGGGGUUCAGAAACGACGGGUGAGCGACUAGUGGGUCCCGGUGUCAAAAAACGACACUUUCGGGAACCCGAUUCGAGACGUUUAGUCAACGAUGUCUGUUCCAAGGCGAAGUGUGGUGUUUGCUGCCAAUGUGGGUUAUUAUAGAGUAUUAGUGGCAGCGGUUGACUCCCAGUUGGAGUUGGGGAGUUCCGGGACAAUUAGUGGACCCCGGCGAAGCCCCGGUGCGAUAUUCGGGACACCCGAUGUGAUUCGGCAAUCGGUCUUAGGAAACCGAUUCCCGUGGUUCCUUGUUUGGGGAUUUUAUUUUAGUUGCUGACAUUUGGGUUUCCUUCUGACCUAGUGGACCCUUCGUAGGUCCGGUUGCUCUGUUCCCCGCCGUCGUGAGAUCUGAUCCAGACUUGUAUAGGUGGGUACUUCGAUCCGAAGUCGGUACAGUGGUGCACGCUCGGUGAUAUUUCUUCUAUCCCUGUUCUUCUGUUGCUACUUUCGCAUUAUAUAUUGAGCUUGCAUCCCCGUUGUUUCUAUUAUACUCUACUCAUAUGUUUCUAUGCUUAGUAUCAUGUGUAGGAGUAGAGUAGUUUAUCCUUAUGUGAUACCGGUGACCUGAUUGGUCGGUUCUCGUACUUCGUCCCGGUGACCUGAUUGGUCGGUUCUUGUACUUCGUUUCGGUGACCUAGUUGAUCGGUGCUUUUAUCUUAUAUCUGUUGACCUGGUUGGUCGGUUGCUGCAUUAUGUAUUGGGUUGGUCUGUUUCUUGACUUCUGUCGUUCGAUGACCUUUGAGGUCGGUGUACCCUGAGGGGUAGGAUUGUCGGCUGGUGCUGACGGUAGUUCUGGACUAUAUCGAAUACACUCUUGUGACCAUCGGUCGGUUCUUGCGUUCGUACAUUAGUUGACAUCGAGAAGUAUUUACAUACUAUCUUUAUUUACUCUGCCUGGUUGUUCUAUGUGUAGUAUCCUGUAUAGGGGUAGAGUAGAUGGCAUUCGUAUAUACCAUACAUGUGACCUGGAUGGUCUGUUCUCCUGUUGCAUCGGUGACCUGUUUGGUCGUUCGUUACCUACCGUACAUUGACCUAUCUCGGUCGGUUCACGUUGUACUUGAUGACCUAUACGGUCGGUAUGCCCAGAGGGGCAGUGAUUGUCGGCUGGUUGCCGACGGUUGGCUAUUGAGCAUAUCAGCAUCGAUCGCCACCACUCGUUAGCAUUUCACGAACACUAGCGGUCUGAUCCACCGCAGGGAGUGUUCUUUUCCGGAAAAGUGGUCGUACGUCCGACCCGUGAGCCCAAAGGCUAGAUUGGGUUAUAUGCAGGUUGAGUGGAUAUGGCACGAGCCUGAGGUCUCCGGACCAACAUGGCAGGUUUAGAUUGGGUAUUUUGAUCUAUGCGACCGGUUGAUGCAUACGUUUAUAGUAGUGGUUGUUGCAUGCAUACUUACAGUCUUGCUUUACAGUUGUCUUGCUACUAUAGUUUCCGCAUUAUGGUAUGUUUUCGGUUCUUCGUUAUAGUAGCAGUUGUUUACAAGUAUACAUAUAGUUCUUUCUUACACUUGUCUUGCUACUAUAGUCUGAUAUCUCUGUAUGUACGCUUGUCGUUCUGUUUACAGUAGCGGUAGUUGUCAUUUCAUCUAUAUCUCUCUCGUCAUGAUCGUUGCUACUGUAUUUCACUUACCCUUAUACUAUUGUUUAUCUUCCUGAUCCGGUGAGUACUCCUCGCCUUCUUCGGCUUGCGGUACCCACUGGAAGGGGAGACAUGUUUACAUGUUCUCACCUCCCCCACCAUUUUUCAGGUAUCGCAGGCGAUGAGUAGUGGGACGAGACGUGAGGUACGUGUGUAGCGGUCGAUAGAGCUUCCGACCCAGGUUGUUUCGAUUUAGUUAUUAUCCUUGGUAUUUCUGUUGAUAUAUAGUUAGUUAGUUUAUAUGGUUCAGUAUUUAUUUACAUUUGAAAAUGUGGAUUUCUGGAUUUUGUAAAAUAAAAGGUUUUCUACCCCUCGUGGUAGCGUUUUUAAAAAGAAUAAAGGUUUCUAUGUAGAAAACAGUUUUCAAAAGAUUUUUGUGGUUUUCUGUUUAAACCUUGAAUGUAAAACCGUGAUGUGAAUGGUGAAUGUAUGAGUGUAUAUUAUCUUUAUAUUCAUUCGGUUGUGGUUGUUUCCUGGCUAUACUUUUGUACUUGUGCGACGCCGUGCAAAUACAGGGGAGACUCUGUCCGUGUGAACAGUGAAUUUCCUGUAUUUGUGGCAGAUCUGGCAUACCCCGGGGUCAGGUUUAAAAAAAAAAAAAAAAAAUUCCGCUGUGUUUUUAACCUAAAGGGACCCCGGGGCGUGACAUAUGAAGCUAUUUCGGACUAUACACGGUUUAUGCGAUCAAAUUGAUGCAGUUUUGUACGUUGACUUCGCAGCAGGUCUUCGAGCCUCGUUGAGCUGAACGUGUACUCGUUGAAGCUGGUUUGGAAGUUGUUCUACCCUAAGGUAAGUAAGAAUUGCAGUUAGGAAGCCGAAAUUGCAAGAUUCCGACCAUAAUUGCUAUUAUUGAUGAGUUUGAUGUCGUUUCGGAAUUGUUCGCAGCAAGAGGGUGUUUGACCCUUGGACCGCCUUCGUUUGGCCUUGGAGGGCCUUCUGGAAGCUUAACGUGAGGUAUUGAACUAAGCCAAAACAGGGAUUUAAGCUAUUCCAAUGUACAAAGUGUAAUUGCGCCGAAAUUGGCCUUUUCGAUUGUAAUUUUGAUACGAUAUGUAUGCUUCGUGUUCAGCAGGAUUGCGACCUAGUGGAGCUGAUCCUUGGAACUCCUUGGACUGUUUUGGAGCCUAGUACUAGGUGGGUCGGACCUAACCAGAGCAAGUGAAGCUUCUCUAUGUUCUAUAUGUAUUAUAGAAAUGUGUUAGUUGUGUGCUUAUGUGAUAGCUAAAGGGCUUGAGAAUUCGUCAUCAUAACAUUUACUAUAUUGACAUAGAAUCUCUAUGAAGUAGAGAAUCCUCACGCCUAAAUGUAUUCAUAUUCCUGUUUGGUUUAGUUGAAUAACAAUGAGACACGUUAUUAUGCUCAUGAAACGUAGAGAACAGUGACAUUCUCUUUUUACUCGCUUGAUUACAAGUAGAGAACAAUGACAUUCUCUUGACUCUGAAGUAGAGAACUAUGACAUGCUUGUGCCUAUGUUGAUAGUGCCAUGAUAGUGAAAGAUUCUAAUACAAUAUGUAAAUUAGCAUUACACCUGCAUGCUUACUAAACUAGUGGAUUCUAGUUGUUGUUAAUAUUUGUUAUACUGAAAUGUCGAUCAAAGGAUCGAGAGCGAGAACGCUGCAAAUGAAAACAUGAGAAUUGAGACAUGUGGACAGUGAAAUAUGCUUGCUUGCCAUCGUGCUCAUUCGCACACGCUUGUGAGGGUCGCUCCCUACAAGCCGGCACUCCGGAGUUGGCCUUUGCGACAGUUGCUCGCCGUGCGGGAUUGGGUGCCGAAGUGGAUUGCCGUGGGGAGUGUAUACUACCACGGGGCCAUUAGGCGCGGCGCAAGCUGGACUACCUUGGGUAGGUCCCUGUGAAUGAAAGGAAAGUACUAAAUGGAAAAAAAAAAGACAGUAAUGAAUGUUUAUUACUUAAAGUGUACAGUAGUCACUUUUAUGUUCGUGCUUAUACUCAUGUCUAUGUUCAUGGUUACAGAAGUUGUUAUAUCUCUUUUAUGCAAAUGGUUCAUUACUGUAGAAAGCUAUUACAUGUUGAUUACAUGUUUAUUACUUAUUAGCAUCAUGCUUAUAAAUCAUGCAAUUAUUAUUUUUGCUUUCAUUUAGUACAUCUUGAGCCUAGUGGUGUAAUUCGCCGAGGCUAGCGGCUUACCCACUGGGAACUAUUGUUAAUAGUUCUCACGCCCUUUUGGUGGUUGUUUUUACAGAGCCAUCUACAGGAGAGGCUAGGGAUCGUGGCAAGGGAGUCGCGCCUAGCUAGGGACUACUAGGAGCGUGCUAGUCGAUCACCUUGCUACUCGGGCUACGGCCGAGGGUGAUGUCCCUAUGUAUAGAUAGACCACCGUUGUACCUAUUCUUUUGUAUACCCCGUGAUGUAUAUGUACUUUUGGACAGUCACUUUAGUUGUGAUACUCAUCUUUUGGUUGAGAUUUUUGGACUAUACUCCUUUACUCUAUUGUUGAUAGUAUUGUUGACUUGUACUUUGCUCUGAUAUCAGGAUAGAAUUUUCUAUGAUCUUCUUCCUAUCGACUUGCUUGUUUGUAGACGCCUUAUAUACUGCAGGUGUAUGGCGGGUCUGUUCACGUACCGGAUAUGCUUCCGCUGGUACCCGGGCGUGACAUCAAAGUAGUCACUUUUACAAAAGUGACUCUUACAAAAGUGAGUUUUCAGUUCGAUUGUUUGGUUGGUUAUAAUCUGAUCGAAAAUUUUAAUGCUAUAUCACAAUUUUUUAUAGGAUUUUUAUUUUCAGCCGUUAAAAAUUAUUGAUUUUGAAUCCUUUCGAUUGCUAGGUAAAUGAUAUCAAAAAAUCGUAAAAAUUAUUUUCUAGAAACUUCAAAUACGCUAGAUUAAGUCUAACGGAGCCGAUUGUUGAUUCGAAAUUUUCAUUAUCGAAAAUGGCUCAGGAGCAUGGAGGACCCCGUGCUCCUGAGAGCACAGCAGCCCUACUAUAUAUAUAUAUAUAUAUAUAUAUAUAGGGUCUGGCUACUAUACUAUUAUGAGUACGAUUGCCCUCGUACUCAUAAGAUGUUUUCAAUGAUAGAGCUUCCGAAUCGACGAUCCACACCGUUAAACGUCAUUUACAGCAUUAAAAACUUCUAGAAAUCAAAUUUUAUAAUUUUUUGACGUCAUUUACCUUACGAUCAAGAGGUCACAAAUUUGACAAUUUUUAACGGCCGGUAUGGGAUACUUGCUAGUUUAACGGUGUAAAAGAAUCGGAAUUUGUUGAAUAUUUGAUAAAAAAUUCUAUUCACUACAUAUAUAAAGAUCAAUAACUCCGAUCUUGAAUUGAAGGAUCCGAUCAUCCUUUUUAGGACGUCGUUCGAUUUUAACCGUUCAUUUUAUGCCCACUUGAUGGACUUUAUUAUGAUUUUGAAAAUUUACGAAAUUUAUUUUCUAGAAGUUUCAAAUACUCUAGAUCAUAUUUAACGGAGUGGAUCGUCGAUUCGGAAGCUUCAUCAUUGAAAACAACUUAUGAGUAUGAGAGCUCCAAUACUCAUAAUAGUAUAGUAGCCAUGGCCUAUAUAUAUAUAUAUAUAUAUAUAUAUAUAUAUAUCAAUUCAAAGUAGACCCAAAAUCUUGGUUUUGGCUUAUUCGGAAACUAAUUUUGUUUAGGGCAUGUAUGGUNACGUACCGGAUAUGCUUCCGCUGGUACCCGGGCGUGACAUCAAAGUAGUCACUUUUACAAAAGUGACUCUUACAAAAGUGAGUUUUCAGUUCGAUUAUUUGGUUGGUUAUAAGUGAAACAUGAAAUUAUAUUUUUAUAUUUUUGAUUCUUUAAUUACAUAUAAAGAAGUGAAAAUAUAAACAAGCAACCUAUACUCACAAAAAUUAGAACAUUUUUAAUAAUUAGAAUUAAAAAUUAAAUUUUAAAAUUUAAAUUUAAACAUAAAUCUCAGUUAAAUUUAUAAUCAAAAUUUAAGACAUACAAUUAAAUUUACAAUUUGAGUUAUAACUCAUAACUGAAAUUAAAUUCUAAAAUAAAAGUUCAACAAAAAAAAUUAGAACAUUAGUUCCAUUUUUUAAUCCAUAAUUUGAAUCAUAUUUUAAUUUACUCUUUGAUCUUAAAUUCUAAAUUUAAAUAUAAAUUCAAAAUUUGAAUUAAUAAAUUAAAAUUAAAAUUGAGUUUAGAUCACAAUUCAAACUGAAUAUUUGAAUUCAUAAUUCAAAUUCAAAGUUUUUGUUAGUAGCAUCAAAGUUUUUUUUUCCUUUUUAUUUUUCCCCUACCUUUUAGGCUAGAUUUGCGAGUGAAACAAGCAGGAAAGCUAUAGUCAAAUCAAGUCCAGCAGUAUGAUUCAUACAUCAUUAUAACAAAAGGAAACACAUGAAGAACAAUCAUUUAGUACCCCUCAUUAUGGAUGCAACAUAUAUUUUUGUCAAUGUACCCGUCUUCGCACUUUCUGCUGCUUCUGUUAAUGCCACAUUGCUUGACAUACAAUGGCCAUUUGAAACUACCUGUAGGCAUUGAUGCGUUGAUGCGACGCCCCUUGAAUCUCUUUCUCUCUCUCUCUCUCUCUCUCUCUCUCUCUCUCUCGUCUGCUGGCUUUCCAUUCCAUACAGACAUUCCUAAGUAGAACAGCUAAAAUCUUUGCAUUUUCGGAAUGGGCACGUCCUCCUCCUAUUCAUUUUUUCAGGCACAGUUUAUACUAUUGCUAGGCAUAAUAAAGAAGAAUUAGAUGAUGAUGACAAUGAGGAUGAUGACGACAGCAACACAUAGAAGGGACACAGAAGAAGAAAAGGGAGAAAAUAGGUGACUCAAUGGGAUGGGAGGAAAAAACAACGAGGCUAGGUGAGUAUAUACAAAGUAAGAUGGGUAUGCAUAUAGAACGAUAUGGAUAUGCAAUAGGCAAAAGAAGACAUGCCUCAUCUCCUCAGCAGCAAAAGUUCAAUUAUAUGUGGAGUAGGCUCCUAAUUAGCAGCAUUGCCUCACCGAACAAGCCACGGCUUGCGCCCAAUGCCUCAGCCUAGUCUUUACAUGCUGUGGGUUAUCUCCUGUUGUGUCAUAGUCCAACAAAUUUUUAGUAGUUAUCAUUUAGGCAGUACAAAUAAAAGAGAGCAAAGUCCAAAAAUUCCCAAUGUCACUAUGUCGUCUAACGCAUUUUGUGAUAUUAUUAUUUAUACUACAAAGUGUGACACUUCAUUUUCUAUGGGUUUUCCUUUAGUUUGUUGUUAGAACCAACUAUAUUAACAAGGGGAGUAAAGUGCUACAUCUUUUUUGAACAUAGGAUAGUAAAUAUACUAUUUUAUCUCCCAUGAUUUGUAUUUUACCACUUGUGUUUUAUAAAAUGCAGCAUUUUGCUAAGCUCUUAAUAACAAUUUACCUAUGAAAACUAAAAUAGUAAUUUUGGGAGGACAAAAUGAUACAUUUUGUGUCACAAGGUAGCAAAUUGCAACAUCACUACAUCACAUGGGAUUUUUGAAAAUUCACCCAAUAAAAAAAAAGUAAGCCAAAUAUUGUCUGUAGCAUGUAAGAAUUACGAGGCAUAUGCAUGUACCUGGGCUAAAAAUUUUCCAACUAUCAGCCUGCAAGGAUUGCUGUUGUUGUUGCAGUUGCUCCUCAGUAGGGCUUUGAGGGCUCGAAGUGCCAAAAAGAGUCGAGGCUGAAGAGGUGGCAGUUGGGGUGGAGAUGGGGCUCGGAGAGUAUCUGAUUUUCGGGUCGGAGAAUUGACGAUUGACGGCAAAGUAAAGGUCGAGGGCUGGGAGGGUGUCACAUAGAUACUGACCUCCAUCCUCCUCGUUGAACCCAAACCCUAGCUCAAUUGAUCCUCUCAGUUCGUCGAGGUCCUCAUCUGUUAGGCUCCUCACCCGUCCACUCAGCCUACUCUUUCGGCAUUGGCUCCUCCUAUCGUUUCUCUGUUGCUCUACCUCCAUGUUGCCUUCUUCUUCUGCUUCGUCUUCUUCUUCUUCUUCUUCUUCCUCUGUGGACACCAUCAUGUGCCUCCUUUGCAUUAUCUGCCUUCGUCGCUUCUCCCACUUAGCCUCCCUCGUCGUCUCUUUCAUAGAUAAUUGCUUUGAUAACAACCUCUUGCGGUUGCCAAUCAUGCUGCCUACAAUGUUGCUUGUAGCAGUCCAUGUGGGUGGUGGCUCCUCAAUCAUCACCUCCCCUUCUUCCUCCUUUCCCUCGCUUUCCAAGGACGAAGAUGAGGAUGACAAAGUUAGCAGCUCAUUCUCCUUAAUAUUAUUGUUCUUCAUCAUUCUUCCCUACUUUUUUUUUGAAAAAAAAUUUCAAUAUUAAUGCUAUGCAAGACAAAUGAAUAAUCUCUUCAUUAGCAACAAAGAAUCCUACUUACUCUCCUCCUCCUUUAGGCAAUGGUAGUGAUACACAUUGAGGGCGGCGGCCGCUGGAGGACGGCCGCAGUGCAAGGAAAGAGAGAGGAGGGAUGGGAAGGGAAGGGGGCUCCUUCUUGGAAGAAGUAGAAGAGAGACCAAAGAAAAAGUAAGGGGGAGUUUUUCUUUCUUGAAGAUAGGGGUGAGUUCUUGAUUUAGUCAGCCCUUGUGAGGAUUUAAGAGAUGGGAGACAUUCCAAACCGUCCAUUCCUCCGAAGUGCAAUGCUUGCCGCUACUUCCUCUUUUCUAUUUUUGUUGGGAAAUUGUUGCAUUAUUGCGUUAGAAAUUGCCUACUAUUUUCGUCCAUAUGUUAGCUAAAAGGAAUGAAGAGGUGAGUUUUAAUGCCUAUAUUUAGGGCUCAUAAUUUAUAUGUAAGAGCUAAUUAGCUAAUUAGAAUGGUCCUCAAAUAUGGAAAGGGACUUGAUGCGGCCAAUUUGGCAUUAAAGUUCCUAGAAAAAUGUAACUCAACCAAGUGAAGCCAAAAAUUCCAUUGAGUUCGGUAACUUUCACAAUCGAUGCAAGAAAUCUUUAAAUGACCAUAAUUUUUCGCUCGAGUAUCUAAUUUCAGUGUGCAACCCUCAAUUCAGAAAAUAAUUUCGAGAUCCAUGUGUUGAACUACAAAACUUGCCGCGCCCUGCAACCGCCAAUUUGGUCGGUUCGGGUACGUCAAAUAGACACCGAACGGACAGUACCUCCCAUGUCCGCCCAAAGCUAAACAACAACAAUCAUGUACAUACAGUUGCCCAGGAAAACAUCAACCACAUACAUGAUUCAUUGCGAGUAUAAACAAGAGCAAAAGAGAGAGUUCUAUCUAUUACAUCCACAUUCAACUGUUUACAUCAUCAAAAUGGUUACAUUGGUUUACAUGUUCAUCUCAUGAAAUAUGUAUACAUCCACAACUCCAAAAUACAUAUACAUCCACAAGUAGCUUCUCACAAAAUUCGACAUGUCCUCUCUAAACUAAACGUAGUAUACUAAUGCAUAAAGGGAAGCUACUAGCUAACUAGAGCGCUAUGCCUUUGAAAGUUUUGAGGAGCCCAAGGAUCUAUCUAGAUUGUAUCUAUCACCUAGAAGGGGGUGAAUAGGUGAAAGUAACCAAAAACCACAAAUCUCAAUACGAUAAAAAUAAAUGCGGAAAAUAAAAAGCACACCGAGAUUUACGUGGGAAAACUCCAACUUGGAGAAAAACCCACGGGACCAACACGCGAAAAAAUAUUUCACUAAGAGAAAAGAUUACAAGGUGAUUACCGACUCCACGGACUCAACCUCUCUUAACCUUCUAUGAAUCUCGCGCAAUCCUCCGAGUUGUCCACGCCCACAUGUUCGAAUCCACGAACGCCUUCAAUCACGCCGAAUCCACGAAGCUUCAAUCACGCCGAAUCCACGACGCCACUCGAAUCCACGACGCCACUCGAAUCCACGAGCCCACGAUCCGAAUCCACGAACCGCCUUCGUUCAUGCCAAAUCCACGACGCCGUUCAUGAAGAGCAUCAUGAUUAUGGUGAUCCUUCGCUUAGAGUAUCGAUGAAAACCAGGGAAAGAAACUCCAAGCGAAGCGGAGAUCAAAUCGACAUAUAGAUAUGAAAAUUCAAUAUCUCGAUUUGACCUAAAAGAGGCUUUAUGUAGAAAAUAGGUUUUAGAUGAAAUCCGAGCCUUUAGGAUUUCUCAAACAUGUAUUUUCGUGAUGCUUGAUAUGUUAGAGAAGCCCAAUAGCUUAUUUAUAGACUUUAGAAUCAAUUGGAGUCUGAUUAGAAAGUUUUCACAAUUUUACACUGUGUGCCGGUACACUUUAGGCUGUCACCGGUUACACGAUGACGGACCGAAAAACCUGACGAAACAGUGAAACCGGUUACAUCCACGAUGGUCGUACCGGUACACAUUUUGUACCGGUACACUUCUGAUGCUGUACCGGUACACUUUGCAAAUUUUCGCCGUUUCGGGUUUUGCAAAGUUCCGAUGCACUUUCUAAUCCGUUAGACAUUAAUAUUAUGAUUCUAAUGUCUACAACUAAGUAUGAAUCACCAUAAUCAUGAAUUAACACUUUACCUGGACAUCGUGAUUCACAGUGUGAGUUGUUUUCCAACUUCUUCGAAAUCUUGAAUUCUUCGAUCUUCGACAAUAUGCACCGAUUCUUCAAGUCUUCGACUCAUUUCACGAAACUUGCCAACACACAAGACUUAACAAUCUCCCCCUUUGGCAAUUUCGUGACAAAACUCACACAAACUCAAAAAUUACAAUUUAAAGAAAAACGAAGUUCAAUUGUCAUCACCAAAACAUUGAACUCCUCGCGUGUAAUCCAAAUACAAUUUGAAACUUAAAUUACAUCAAAACUCCUAAAACAGACUUUAUGACUUAGACGCAACAAGGAGUCUUGAAGUCUUGAUUUCCUGCAAAAUAAUUUAUCCAAAAAGAUAUAGAAAGUUAAAUUCUGGACAUCCUUACAAUUUACACUUCUCCCCUUUGUUCUUUAUUCCUUCUUCUUCUCGAAAUAUCACUCCUUGUCUCCCUUUGUUUACCUUUGCUUUAGAUCAAUACCUGUUCAUCAUUGUUCUCCCCCUUUUUGUCAAAAAUUGCCAAAGAUAAAACAUAUAAAGAGAGAAAACAUACUAAAAGCAUAAGAGUAGUCAAAUCAUAGUUACAGGCCUAAAACAAAAGUAAAAACAUGCAAAUGAAAGAUAAGUAAGCAAAGCUAAAACAUGGUCCUAAAAGUGAAGUAGCAAGACUAAGUGCGAGGAUGUAAUCACUCCGUGUCCUCGCCAUCAUCAUCAUCACCUCCUGCACCGGCUCCAGACCCUCCAGCCUCAGUAGUAUCACCAGACGGUGGAAUGAGUGGAUGUCGUGAAGUCGAUCUGGUAUAAGUAGUGUAGGUAGGCUCAGUAGGAAAGAUAUCAUCAUGCCUACACCCCAUUUUCUCCAUCAUCCUCUUCAAUCUAUCUCCACCUUUCUAGCAAGAAUCUGCUAAUUUCUUCUUCAUAGAGCGCACCUCAUGGUGAAGGGAUUCGACAGUAAUCACUUCCCAUGAGCUAGAAGAUCCCUCACGCUGUCAGCCCCGCGACCGCUACAAUUUGGUUCGGGCCCGGGCGGUCGACAGACGCCGAACGGACAGAGUCUCCCCUGUCCGCCCAAGGCUAAGCAAACGAUCAUGUACAAGAGUUUACCCAGGAAUCAACUCAUAAGUACACAAUCACAAGAGCACAACAAGUGCUAACAGACGAGAGCAAGAUACAAGUAUAGAACAUAUACAAGUACAUAAGAGAGAAAGCUAUUAUUACAUCAUUUGAUUUACUGCAUUUAGAUACAUCUUUUACAUUCUUUCAAAGUAUGAAUACAAGCACUCAACCUCACCCCUACACAAACUACUCUCCAAUACAAAAAGGGGUGACUGGUAAUGCAAAAGGGAGGUAGUAGUGCAACUAGAACGCCGGCCCUUACCGCGAUCUCACGCUCACCGGGGCACCCGAACUGGAACCUGUGGUUAAAAUGGGGGGAACUAAACUUCCAGUUCCAGUGGGUUCGGCCGCGACUCCGCCGAUCUCCCACUAGGUCCAGCGGGCACAAGUAGAUAUACAAUAGAUGGAUAGACAGAUAGAUAUAUAGAUAAGGAGCUGUAAAUGACGGAAAUGAAGCUAUUCUACUAUGCCAAUCAUAAAUGUAUGAAUGCAUGUCCAAUGAUUGGUAAGCAACUAACCUGUCAUCAUGUCCAAAGGUGAGGCUAUUCACUCGUUCAAUAACAUCAUUUACUUGUUCAUUAAUCUCAUGGCUUACCGAAGGCUCCCUACAGCUCACUAGCCAUCUCGACGCGUAGGGAGAAUCAACUCACAUACGGACCGGACGUCUGGCGGGGCCAUAUAGGCAAUCCCUGGCGUGACCAACAUCCGGAGCGCACUACUGUGUGGGCUUCCAUCACAAGAUUUAACAGACGUGAGCAUGAUCCAAUCCUCUAAGCUCAAGGAUACCCUGUCCUCUAGAGUCACAGUCAUCAUAUAGUCCAUAGGUGUCACAUACCCUAUUAACAUAGAUGUCCGUUUGUUCGCUAUCGACUAGAUGCCAUCGUUCAUGGUUUACUAUUGACUAGAUGCCACUCAUUCAUAGUUCAUCAUUUCCUUACAUUAUAGGAUUCACAAUCUAGACCCAAUCCUUAUCAAUCCACUAUAUCAAAUAUCCAAUGUACGACUACGAUAUCAUCAAGGAUGGCAUAAGGAAGGCAAUGCAUGAUAAUCCUAUAAUGCAAUAUACAAGAUGCAGAAUCGACAUGUACUAGACAUAGAAGGAGCCCGAUUGCUUCGGGAUGGACACACCACCUCUUGCGAUGCCGCGACAAUAGAAGCUCGACGUUGCGUUCUUGCACGCGCCUAAAUCCUCGGGGCAAAGGAGCCUCGAGUACCCGAUUCGGCGAUAACUCUGCCCCCCGUGUCGGAUCGGCAAACCGUCUUCGCACGACGCGUUCAAAGACCUAGCAAUUAGGUUAGCGACCAACAAAUUAGAUCAAAACCCUAGAUUCCCAAAACCCAAUCCGUGCCCUAAAAUGGCAACGGGAAGGAAAUCCACGGUGCGAGCUUCAAUUGCGAGCUCAACUUCCAUUUAUCCCUAAUAGGUUCCAUUUGAACCAUUCUAAACCUAAAACCCCAAACCUCAAAAAUACAUUAAAGGGAUUUGGAGUUUACCUCUCUUCAGACUCCUUCAAGCUUUAGGGAGAGGGAGAGAGAAGAUGCUUCUUCUUCUUCUCUUAGUCUUCUCUUUCUUUCUUUCUUCUUUCUUCCCUUCUUCGUCCUUCUCUUUCUUCUCUUCUUCUCUUUCUUUUCUUUUCUUUCCUAGAGAGAGAGAGGAAAGAGGAUGAAGAGGAGAGAAAGAGCAGCUGAGAGGAGAGAGAGAGGGGUCCCCACUCUAAUAAAAAUAGGCAUUUUGCAUAAAAGCCCCUCAACUUUCACCUUGUGCACUUGCCUCACUGGCAGUUUUCGCGCGGAGGGAUCGGUCCCCACUUGGGACCGUCCCGAGGUGCCAUUUCGGAGCAGAGGGAUUUUCAGCGUUCGGGAACCGGUCCUUGCCUGAGAGGACGGUCCCGGGAGACCGUCCUUGUCGAGAGACCGGUUCCCGAGAGAUGCAUUCUCGGGACUUAGCCAAAUUUGGCUAAGUCUCGCAGGCCAACGUUCGGAACCGUCCCGCCCACCAGGGACCGGUCUCCUCAGAGACCUCCGCAACCAGCCUGAUGGAACGCGUCCCUCCUGCCGGACCGGUCCCCGAGACAAUUACUGCUCCAGUGCAAGUUUGCACUUGGUGCUCUCGGCGGCCUUCUUCAAUGCACUUUACGCUUAUAUCGCCUUCGGGCUUUCCGAAGCCUACUCACUCGACGAAUAGUCGAUUCUGGUCGAAGUCUAAUCCUUCGAGUUUCGAGAAUUCACUUCCUUACACACGCGCUGCUCGAGGUGGAGGUGCUGAAUAGAAGCUUCCUUUGGAUGAUCUUUGGUUUGUUGAAAAGUUUUGACUUUGGCCAAGUUACAGCAUCAAUAGGUCCCAAGUCCAAAGUCAUAUUUCUCACAUGACACGUCAACUCCGGUGUUCUGAAGAUUCCUCAGUGAUCAACAAUGGAAACGGAGUAGAUCACGUCGCAACCUGAGACUGUACGACAUGAACCAUUCGUUACCACAUAAGAAACGGAAUAUUGAUGUUCAAUCGCCUGCUUCCUCAAGAUGUCCAAGAGAUACAGCAAGCACAAGACGAUCCCAACGAAUUCUUUCGUUCAAUUGUGGGUUGAACAUUGUAGCUCCAUUACAAUGAGAGCAGAUGAUAUUUAGUAGCAAAAUCGCUUAGAUUCCACAUAUGAUGAUUAGUCCUACGACUUCCUGCAUAUAGCUUGAAUACAGUCUCCUAGUGGGUGAAGAUGAAAAAGCCGUCGUAUAGUGAAGCCGGGUAGUAUCACAUUGCAUACCUAAGAGCUCUCCAAUAGUAUAAAAGUGACCGUGAAUCUUUUUGUUUACGCCACAUAAGUCUCAAAACACAUAAGUCCAGUCUCCUCAUCUCUCAAGUACUAUCCCGUUCAUAUAGAACUCGAAUUAGUUCCACACAAAUGGGGCACGAGCUGGAACCCGUCAACAAGCUCAAUAGGACCCUCUGUAGCAAUCGGCCAAAAUCUAGGUACUCCUUGACCAGCUCAGUGAAGUUGACAUAGCGCUCAGCUAGAACUGAUCGGCUCGAAUAAAUCCGCUGUCGACUUCUAAUGAAGCCUUCUGGAGCACGUUUGGAGCGCCUUUCACGUGCACGAGAAUCACUCCUCGUAGGAUUCGCCUGUAAGGCUUUCUUUAGCAGCCCUCGUAACUGCUUCUUCAGUAUCUUAUGUGAGCUGGCUUGAUAAUCUGGAUCUGAUCUGUGAUGACUCGUCGCAGUACGAGUUUCUCUUUGAUGACCCACGUUGUCCUCGACCACUCCGGCCACGACGGCGCCAUAAGACAAAAGCAGUUAGCACAAGCGGGAAUGCCAUUUUCCUAAUAAAAAUUAACCUUGCAUGAACAAAUUUGAAAAAUCUGUAAAAAUAGCGAAAAAUUUUAAUAACAUUAGAAUGCAUACAAAUGCUAUUUCUACCAGAUCAUACAAAAAAUUUCCAUUAAAAAUGACAUUUUACAAAAAAUCCGAAUUACAUGAAAAAUGAAGCUAUAGAAUAUGGAUCAGCGAAAUAAUGUUUUGUAUGAUGGAUUCAAGUGUUCUAGAAGCAAGAUAAUGUCUUAAGCACUGAUCUACAGCAAAAAAAUUUCAUCAAAACGAUAAAAACAGAGAUCUAGCUUCAAUGGAAUAUUUUCGAAAAAUAUAAUAUGAAACGAUGAAAUGAUUAAAUUCAAGCUAAAUACUCACAUAAUUUCUGCAGGAAACGUUAUAGAUCUGGAAGAAGAAUGGCACCAGGGAUUUUUAGGCAGAGAAAGAGCGAAAUUUGGUUUUGAUUUAGAGGAGAAAUAAAUCUCAUGUAACCGGUUAUUUUCGCGGCUACAGUGAUUUGUACGGUACACGGGAUUUUGUACCGGUACACUUUCCCAGAUUUCAAAAAUUUGAAUUAAAACCUUUUAAAUUAAAAUCAAUUCAUAUAAAAUUAAGCACUUUACUCCAAAUUAUUAUGAUGAAGAUAAAAUAUUAUAAGAUUUCAAAAUACACGUGAAACAUCAAAAUUUGUAUCGAAAUAAUCUAAUGAUUCAAAACCAUCAAGAUGUAAGUUUGAUGAAAAAAUGAUUUUUUUGAAUUCAACAAAAUUGACACCAAUUUAUCGCUAUGUUCAAAAAUAGAGAUUUAACGUAAUAUGGCACUGGGGGUGGCUCUUUGAGAUCUUUCACUUACACCUUAUAACUCCGAAAUUCUAAAUAUUAUUUUUUUCAACCUUUUCGGUUACUCUUAAUUUAUCUUCAUGUGGUUAGCUUCACCACUUGGCGACAACGGGGUCGUGUAGAUCUUUGCCUAGCUGUGGUGGUUGUUUCACUAUUCCUUUGGAUGUAAUCUUUCAAUUUUUUUAAACAUGGGAGUAUCAUUUUUUCUUUUUUUUUCAAACUUCCCUAAAAUUAGACAAUCAUCAAUGAAUAAUUUUGACGAAUUUUAGUUCAAUUAGAGAGAAUAUCAUCACAUCAUAUCCAACCACACAACAAGAUGAAUUAUCAUCAGAGAUCAAAUUUGAUUUCAAAAUUUUGAUGAAUAUAUGCAUUAAGAGAUCAUAUAUCAAAUUAUCGUCAAAAUAAUAAAAAGUGGAGUAAAAACAAUAAUUAAUAUGAAUUUAACUUAAUAUAAUUGUGAAGAUAAAAUCCGUUUAAACAAUCUUUGAAAAAUUUCUCAAAAUAAUGAUUCUCAAUCAUCUCCUCUCUCAAAGAUUUUGAAAUUUCCAAAUACCUUUCCUCAAAAAUGAUUUUUAACCGAAUAAAAACCAAAACACCAAAAAUCGUCUAAACAUGUAAUGCAAUGAUUAAAAAUAUGCAAUAAGCACCAAACAAAGCAUUACAUAAACAAUAAAAUAACUAAAACGAGUAGCAAGGAAAGAUAUCACCUUUCCAGAUCCAAACUUGUCGGAUCUUUGGUUUUCUCGGCUUGUCGACGUUUGGUGCCAUUUGCUUAGAUUUUAGAUCAACCGUUGGUGUUUUCUUCACUUGAGGCUUAGGUAGAACUUGGCGUUGCAGUUUAGAAGUCCGAUUCUUUUGAGGUACUCGACUCACUUGAUUUUUCUUUUGAUUCUGCGGGGGAAGUCGAGUUGUAGAUGAUGCCGCUUGAGCUUUAGGAGUUGUCGAAUGAUGUGAAGACCUUGCCGAUUGAUUCAUCUUUCCUUUAUUUGGGCAAUUCCUUUUGAUGUGUCCUUUGAUGCCACAUCGAUGACACACUUUGCCUUUUAAAGUUGUUGAGACUUUCGAAGUUGAUUUAGAAUCCUUCUCAACAAAAACUCUUUCGUAUCCGAGGCCUAAUUUAUCCGUUUGACCCAACCCGAGCAUAUGGUCCAAUUUCUUCGAUCCUGAUGAGAACUUUUGUAUGUCGGAUUGGAGUUGUCGAACUUGGUUGGUCAAGGAUUGAUUGGAUUUGUGCGAUUCAUGAAAUUGAUGCUCCAAAAAUUCAAUCUUGUCUUUAGAUGAUUUGACCGUUGAUUCCGCUUCAUUGAGCUUCUCUUGGAGGUCCGAAUUAUUCUUCAAAAUUGAUUCCCUUUCCUCCUCGAGAGCUUUGUUCGUGGUCUUCAAGUUGUUGUUAUCUCUUCAAGAUUCAACAAACGACGCCUCAAUUUCUUAUUCAGUUUAGCCAUCUUCUUUGAUUCGAUAAGAAGCUGAUUGUAUGCUUCCGCAAUAUCGUCGUCAUUUGAUUCCUCCUCGCUUUCGCCAUUGUCGCUCGAAGAAUCAUGUGAAGAAAGAGAAAUAUUGGAAUUAGUAGCAAUAGAGGAUAAACACGCAACGUUAGACGAAAGCAAGGUUGAUUUAGCAAAUAGAGUAAGAUUUCCAUUCUUUUCUUCGUCACUUGCGCUUGAAUCACUUGAAGUUGUAUCAUCCCACGUCUUUGCUUGCAAUGCCUUUGUCACGCCCCGGGACCGGCGGAGGCCCUCCCGGUGGCGUGCCCAGACCCGCCAUAUGUCUACACAUAUAAGGCGUCUACAAUAAGAGCGGAAGAAAAGCGAGAAAUAGAACAAAUAAAAGAAGUGAAGUAACCAGCAACUAAUGAUAUCAGAGCGAAUAUAGUUCUAGCAUCUACACCAAAGUAAGCAGAUAAGGAUAGACAAUAAAGGAAAUCAUAAGUAGUACAAUAUCUGUCUCUAGUACAAAAAUGGUGGUCUCUAUACAUAUACGGGUACAACUCUCAACCUCUCACAAAAAGAUAACACGAGAGGUAGACCACCUAUCGAACGAUCCCUCGGUAAGCACGCUAGCCCGAGGCGAUACCCUUUCCGCGAUCCCUGGCCUCUCCCUGAGUGGAAGGCUCUGAAAAACAUCGAGAAAAAGAGGGCGUGAGAACUAUAAUUUAUAGUUCCCAGUGGGCAAUUACUGACCUCAGCUCUUGCUCCACUAGGUCCCAAAAACAAGGGUAAGUAACGAUAAUAAUAAAAGCAAUAAGGAGCAUAUACAUAAACUGCUGAAAGAUAGCAUAAAUGAAAUGCUAGUCUACUGUGUCUCAAAUAAGCAUGAUGUCAACCAAAAUGUACAUCUAUUCUAUCAUCACAAUUAAGUCCAAUCACACUANCGUUGUCCUCGACCACCUCCACGGCCACGACCGGCGGCCAUAAGCACCAAAAGCAGUAGCACAAGCGAGAAUGCCAUUUUCCUACAUAAAAAUUAACCUUGCAUGAACAAAAUUUUGAAAAAAUCUGUAAAAAUAGCGAAAAAAUUUCUAAUAACAUUAGAAUGCAUACAAAUGCUAUUUCUAACCAGAUCAUACAAAAAAUUUCCAUUAAAAAUGACAUUUUACAAAAAAUCCCGAAAUUACAUGAAAAAUGAAGCUUAGAAUAUGGAUCAGCGAAAAAUAAUGUGUUUUGAUGUGAUUCAAGUGUUCUAGAAGCAAGAUAAUGUCCUUAAGCACUGAUCUACAGCAAAAAAUUUCAUCAAAAACGAUAAAAAACAGAGAUCUAGCUUCAACUCGGAAUAUUUUCGAAAAAUAAAUAUGAACACGAUGAAAUGAUUAAAUCCAAGCUAAAUACUCACAAAUUUCUGCAGGAAAUCGUAUAGAUCUGGAAGAAGAAGGCACCAGGGAUUUUUAGAGAGAGAAAGAGCGAAAUUUGGUUUUGAUUAGAGGGAGAAAUAAAUCUCUGUAACCGGUUAUUUUUCGCGGCUACAGUGAUUUGUACCGGUACACGGGAUUUUGUACCGGUACACUUUCCCAGAUUUCAAAAAUUUGAAUUAAAAACCUUUUAAAAUUAAAUCAAUUUCAUAUAAAUUAAGCACUUUACUCCAAAAAUUAUUAUGAUGAAGAUAAAAUAUUAUAAGAUUUCAAAAUACAUCGAAACAUCAAAAUUUGUUAUCGAAAAUAAUCUAAUGAUUCAAAACCAUCAAGAUGUAAGUUGAUGAAAAAUGAUUUUUUGAAAUUCAACAAAAUUGACACCAAUUUAUCGCAAUAUGUUCAAAAUAGAGAUUUAACUAAUAUGGCACCGGGGGUGGCUCUUUGAGCAUCUUUUCAACUUACCACCUUAUAACUCCGAAAAUUCUAAAAUAUUUAAUUUUUUCAACCUUUUUCGGUUACUUAAUUUAAUCUUCAUGUGGUAGCUUCACACACUUGCCGGACAACCGGGGUGGUAGCUCUUUCCUACAUGUGGUGGUAGUUUUCACAUUCCUUUUGGAUGUAACUCUUUUCACAUUUUUUUAAACAUGGGAGUAUCUUUUUUUCUUUUUUUUUCAAACUCCCCCUAAAUUAGACAAUCUCACAAUUGAAAAUAAUUUUGACGAAUUUUAGUCAAUUAGAGAAUAUCCAUCCAUCAUAUCCAACACNNNNNNNNNNNNNNNNNNNNNNNNNNNNNNNNNNNNNNNNNNNNNNNNNNNNNNNNNNNNNNNNNNNNNNNNNNNNNNNNNNNNNNNNNNNNNNNNNNNNNNNNNNNNNNNNNNNNNNNNNNNNNNNNNNNNNNNNNNNNNNNNNNNNNNNNNNNNNNNNNNNNNNNNNNNNNNNNNNNNNNNNNNNNNNNNNNNNNNNNNNNNNNNNNNNNNNNNNNNNNNNNNNNNNNNNNNNNNNNNNNNNNNNNNNNNNNNNNNNNNNNNNNNNNNNNNNNNNNNNNNNNNNNNNNNNNNNNNNNNNNNNNNNNNNNNNNNNNNNNNNNNNNNNNNNNNNNNNNNNNNNNNNNNNNNNNNNNNNNNNNNNNNNNNNNNNNNNNNNNNNNNNNNNNNNNNNNNNNNNNNNNNNNNNNNNNNNNNNNNNNNNNNNNNNNNNNNNNNNNNNNNNNNNNNNNNNNNNNNNNNNNNNNNNNNNNNNNNNNNNNNNNNNNNNNNNNNNNNNNNNNNNNNNNNNNNNNNNNNNNNNNNNNNNNNNNNNNNNNNNNNNNNNNNNNNNNNNNNNNNNNNNNNNNNNNNNNNNNNNNNNNNNNNNNNNNNNNNNNNNNNNNNNNNNNNNNNNNNNNNNNNNNNNNNNNNNNNNNNNNNNNNNNNNNNNNNNNNNNNNNNNNNNNNNNNNNNNNNNNNNNNNNNNNNNNNNNNNNNNNNNNNNNNNNNNNNNNNNNNNNNNNNNNNNNNNNNNNNNNNNNNNNNNNNNNNNNNNNNNNNNNNNNNNNNNNNNNNNNNNNNNNNNNNNNNNNNNNNNNNNNNNNNNNNNNNNNNNNNNNNNNNNNNNNNNNNNNNNNNNNNNNNNNNNNNNNNNNNNNNNNNNNNNNNNNNNNNNNNNNNNNNNNNNNNNNNNNNNNNNNNNNNNNNNNNNNNNNNNNNNNNNNNNNNNNNNNNNNNNNNNNNNNNNNNNNNNNNNNNNNNNNNNNNNNNNNNNNNNNNNNNNNNNNNNNNNNNNNNNNNNNNNNNNNNNNNNNNNNNNNNNNNNNNNNNNNNNNNNNNNNNNNNNNNNNNNNNNNNNNNNNNNNNNNNNNNNNNNNNNNNNNNNNNNNNNNNNNNNNNNNNNNNNNNNNNNNNNNNNNNNNNNNNNNNNNNNNNNNNNNGCGUACCGGUACACCAUCUGCGAAAACGCCCAGCCCGAGCCUCGGGUUGGCUGAGAAGCGGCCAAAGUCGAUGGCUGUACCGGUACAGCCAUCACUCCCGUACCGGUACACAGCCCUCUGAAGGCAACCCGAGAGCUAACCAAAAAUCCGAUUUUUCGGGUUUUCGUGCUCGGCUUUAAACCUCACUUCUCGGGAUGCGAGCCAUAGGUCGGAACACUGUCAACGACCCACCAGAAAAUCUGGAAUUGCUCAGCACACAGCUCGAACACUCGAACCUCGCAAUUUGCAAAGGUCCAGUGUGUUACAGCCUUCUUAGUAUACGAUUUCUUUGAGGGACAAUCCGUUGCGAUGUGGCCGUAGCCUUUGCACUUGUAGCAUCGGAUUUCACCUUCAAAGUCAUCCUUUUCUUUCGAAGUCUUUGCACGCUUCUUCUUUUUAGAUGUAGAAGAUUUAGAAAACGUUUGUAGCUUAGAAGCCUUGUCCGAAUUGUUCUUCUUUCAGAAAUUUCGACGAAACUUCUUCGUUAGGAGCGCCAAUUGAUGUUCGAAGUCGGCAAUUGAGAUCUCUCCAUCGGAAUUCAAGUCUCCGUCUUCCUCGUUCGUCAAUUUCAACGCAACCCCUGUGCUUUUAGAGAAAGACUUGGAAGAAGAUUGAUUAGUAGGAAAAGUCAUCUUAUAAGUUUGCAAAGCACCUACUAAUUCUUCGACUUUUAUCUCGUCAGGAUGCUUAACCGUUUCGAUCGCGGCAACCUUUGCCCAAAAGCAUUCCGGAAGAGUUCGAAGAAUCUUUCUAAUAACCUUUGCAUCCGGAAUUUUCUCUCCCAAGUUAGCACAUGUAUUCACAACGUCUUGUAGACGUGUAUGGUACUCGGCAAAGGUCUCGUUUUCAUCCAUAGAAAUAGAAUCAAACUUGCUUGUUAGUAUUUCCAAUUUUUGGACCUUUACUAAGCUCGUUCCUUCAUGCGUAACUUGUAAAGUACUCCAAAUUUCCUUCGCCAUUUCGCAUGCCGAAACACGAGUAAACUCGGUUUGAGACAAUGCAUUAAAUAAAGCGUUUAUGCCCUUGAUGUCUCGUUUUCUUCUUUCGUCCACUUGUUCCAUGGUUUUGGCAUUUCAACAUUCUCGACUUUUUCAAUAGGAUGUUUUCAUCCAAAUUCGAUUGAUUGCCAAACGCGCUCAUCAAUUGCAAUUAGAAAAGCUCUCAUGCGAACUUUUCAAUAGGCAUAAUUUGUGCCGUCGAGGAGCGGUGGUCGAUUAAUGUUUCCACCUUCGGCCAUUAGAUAACAAUUUAUCUAGAUCCGGCUCUGAUACCAAUUGAAAGUUUUGAGGAGCCCAAGGAUCUAUCUAGAUUGUAUCUAUCACCUAGAGGGGGGUGAAUAGGUGAAAGUAACCAAAAACCACAAAUCUCNAUUUAAAAUCCGGUAUGUUACAUUCCACCGCAACCGCACCAGAACCAUUUAAAUGUACACCGUGACUUCAUAAUUUUCGAAGUUCGGUAUGUUACAUAUAUAGUGUUGUAACAAUUGCACUUAAGCCCCCCCACUUGUUUCCUUUUGAACUGCCCAGACUGGGCUUUUUUCGCCUUCGGGGACCGGUCUCCCCGACCAGGGACCGGUUCCCGAACGGGGGUUUUCCAGAACUUAGCCAAAUUUUCGAGUUUUUCAGCUGUUGCGCAGCGAGGGACCGGUCUCCCCGUCAGGGACCGGUCUCCCGAGGACCGGUCUCACCACCAGGGACUGGUUGCCUCAGGACUUCCUGGCAGGCUACGCGUACGGGGACCGGUCUCUCCUUCAGGGACCGGUCCCCGAGAGCACAAAAUCUGGGACUUAGCCAGAUUUUCAGAUUACUCUCUCGGGUCCCUUCUAGCUUCACUUAUGGACUCUAAUAUGCUUAGGGUCCACUCAAACUCGUUCAAUUCCGCGUUCCGCUCAUUUUGACGGAACUCGGCACGAUUUACGAGGGAUGUGGUAUGUUACACUUUACCUUAGCCAACUAUGCCAUCCGACUCGGUCUUGAGUCAAUCAACUGCGGAUAGUCCGCGCUCUGUCCGGCUCGAGGUGAAGGAACUCUCACAUGCACCUCAGCCUUCAAUCACAAACCACAUCGCCCAGCGGGUCGCCCAGAGCUGCGUACACCCGUGGUCAGGGAUCUUCCGGUGGGAGAGGAACAUGCCGCAUACACCUGUAGCCGAUGUAACACACUGGACCUUUGCAAAUUGCGAGGUUCGAGUGUUUGGAUGUAUUUCGAGCUUUUCCAAACUUGGUGGAGGGUUGUAGAAUAUUUUCCGACCUAAAAAGUUCGUAAACCCGAGUUUUGGUUUGGUCCUGAGAGUUUUUACUCUCGGGUACCGGUCCCUGAAAGGAGAGACCGGUUCCCCAGUGAGCAGUGUUGCGACAGCCUUGAGGCAACCGGUCCCUGACAGGCGAGACCGGUCCUCGAGCGCGCCUUCGCAGUGAGAGACCGGUCCCACGCAGGGAGAGACCGGUUCCCGAACAUUGAUUUUUCGGGUUCGCAGCGAGAGACCGGUCCCUGCUGGGGAGAGACCGGUCCCUCUGGGCGAAAACUGCCCAGUUCGGGCUGAUGUAAAUUUGAGUUUUUGAGGGUUCUCUCCGGAUUUUGUUACACUAGAUGGGCUUAUUAGCCAUUUCCUCCUCUUCUCUCUCUCAUUUUCUCAUUCUCACCCUCUCCCUACACCUUCUAGAGAGAGAAGAAGAAGAAGAAGGAGGAGAAGAAGAAGAGGAGCUUGCUUGAGGGAGCUUGGAGCUCAACCUCUUUCUCUCCUUUCCACCCUUGCAAGGCUUAGAGCUUGCUUGUAGAGCUUGGUGGAGGACCAAUCUUCAACCCUAGAAGAUUUGGAGCUUGCUUGGAGGCAUCUUGGGAGGUUAGUACUUGGAUUCUACCCUUGAUCUUGAUUUGGUAGGUUUUACCAUUUGGAACCCUAGAAUUGGUAUUAGGGUUGAUUUUUUUUUGGGCUUUUUGAUCUAGGGCUUUUGAGGCUAGAUUGAUUGGAUUAGAACCUUCCUUGGGCUUGGAUUGGAAGGGAUUUAGCUCUCUUUUGGAGCUUGAGAGAGAUUUCCUACACAUUAGGUGAGUUUUAGCCCUUUUGCUAAGUUUGUAAGAGUUUGAUCUUAUAGUUGAUCGUAAUGCCCGUGUAUCUCUUCGCUCGAUACUUUUAGGGUAUUUUGAGACUCGUGGACAACUCCGUUCGGCGAAUCGAAGGAGCACGCGACGGUUCGGUGGGUUUGACCUAGCCACACAAUGAGAAAAUCUCAUUGUUGAUGAUUUAAGUGUUAUAAAAUGAAAAAGCAUGCAUAUUCUUGUUAUAUGUAUUUAUUGUGAAUUUUAGAAUGCUUAAAAUGCCUAUGUUGCAUAUAGUAAAAUUUUGGGCCUCUAUGUAGUAGAGAGCAUGCAUGUGUGAUAUAGCAUUCUGGUUGAGAUUUGAAAACUAAAAUUCCUAUUAUGAAAAUGAAUCUUGCUUUCAUGCAUUUAGCUUAUUUGCCAAUUGUGACAUUAGGGAUUUUUGGAAGCCUAGAGAGGCUUGAGGACUUAGACUAUUUGAGAGAUUGGGCCAAUGUCAUAAAGAGGCAUUGGGCCCGGGCUAAAGUGAACCUUGCUAGUAUUGUUUUAAUUGGAAUAUGGAACAUGAAUUGGGCAUGAUUAGUUGUGAUGCUUAAGUGUCAUAAAGAGGCACUAAGCAAGUGUGUGCGUUGGAGCGUCACUUUGAGACUUUGGACUAGAUCCUUGGGAUGCUAGUGACCUUGCCAGGUGAGAGGCAUGAGAGUAGAGUACUUGAGACUUUGACCUUGCUUGUUUGCCAUUUGUGCUCAUUCGCACAUGCUUGUGAGGGUCGCUCCCUACAAGCCGGCACUCCGGAGUUAGCCUACGCGACUUAUGUUCGCUCGUGCGGUAUUGAGAAGCCUACGGGGUCGAGUGGGACAGACACAUUCCCAGAGUAGGGAUGUCGAGCUACCACAGGCACUUAGGCGGCACAAGCUGGACUACCUUUGGUAGGUCCUUAAUUGGAAAUGGAAAUCGACACGGUGUUAAGAUUGAAUAAUCACUGGUAGAUAGGCUUAGUAGUUGGGUUACUUGACACGCUCAUGACAUAGCAUUGGGAUACAUAUAGUAUACUUGCCUGUUUUAUUCAUUGUGUCAUAGUAUACUGGGUCGCAUGAUAGAGCUCAUUCUUUAUGCAUGACAUCUUGGACAGUAGCGUUUACAUGUUGCCAUCGGACGUACUUGUUUAUGCUAGAGUAGAUGUACAUCAUACUUACAUCAUGCUUUCAUAUAUGCUUUCUUUCAGCAGUAUUGUACACGCUCUUUAUUGCUUAUUACUAUUGUCGUUACUUACCCUUUUCUUUUGGGGCCUAGUGGUGCAUUAAGCUGAGGUCAGUAAUUGGCCACUGGGAACUAUAAAUUAUAGUUCUCACGCCCCCUGUUUUGUGUUUUCUUUCAGAGCCUUCCACGCCGGGAGAGGCUAGGGACCGAGGGAAGGGCGUGGCUUCGAGCUAGCUCUUCAGCGAGUGACGAGUCGCUAGGUGGUCUACCUCUCGAUGUUUUUAUUUUGUGAGAGAUUGAGAGUUGUACCCGUAUAUGUAUAGAGACCACCUUUCUUUUGGAUUUUGGUAUUUCUUUUGAGGAGUUAGUAUUGUAUCACCUUAUGCUUUACUUUCCUUGUCUAGUUAUAUUUCUUUUACUCUGGUUUAGAUGAUAGAACUUUACUCGCUCUGAUAUAGUUAGUUGUUGUUAUUCUAUUUGUCCUAUUUCUUGCUUUUACUUCCGCUUUAUUGUAGACGCCUUAUAUGUGUAGACAUAUGGCGGGUCUGGGCACGCCACCGGGAGGGCCUCCGCCGGUCCCGGGGCGUGACAGCCGAGAUCCCCGAUAGGGAGAGGAACAUGCCACAUGCACCCUAGCGUUCAUUAUUCUUGCUCAUUGACAAGCCUCGAAGUUCUUCCGGUAGGAGAGGAACGUGCCACAUGCACCCGCGACCAAGAACUAUCGAGCUUGUAUGCUGCACUAGCAGCCGCUGCACUAGCAGCAGGGAUUCCGGAAUCCACUUUACAUUACUCAAGGGUUGGUCUCACCCUAUGUUAUCGACCUAUCUAGGUCCAAGCCUUUACUCAACCUAUGUCAACACAUUAGGUUCAAUGUCAUUAUUUUCAUAGCCUAGGUUCAUUAACACUAGGUCCAACAUUCUUUAAUCACCUAGGUUCAUUCGACUCUAGGUUUCAUGUCACUACAAUUACAACCUAGGUUUACUUGACUCUAGGUUCCAUAUCAUUACGUUCACAACCUAGGUUUACUUGACUCUAGGUUCCAUACCACUCAUGUUCUUGUUUUUCUAGUUGUCCACACCUAGGAAUUGUACUUGACAUGCCACUCGUGAUUAACCUAUGUUCAAUGACACUAGGUUCAAUGCCACUCGUCAUCCUAGUUAUUUAUACUUAGGAUUCUUUACAUAUGACACUUGUCAAGUUCUCUAUUUUACUUAGUGUUCAUUAACUCAAGUUCAAUCUUCAUAUCAUUCUAACAUAUUCCUACAUUAUGAAAUCAUGCAUUUAUACAUCAUCUAGCUCAUAUGUUUAUUUAACAUACAUCUCAUACAUGCCUUUAACACUUAACUCAUGCUUCAUCUAGCAUUUCUAUAAUAUGUCUACAUGCAUUCUUUAACAUACAUCUCAUAUGAUUCGUUACUUGGCACAUAUUACAUGCAUUACUUAACAUCUAUCACAUGCAUUCAUUUCUUAGCAUCUUUAUCAUGCAUUCUUGCUUAGCAAUUCUUAUUAUGCAUUCAUUUCUAAAACAUGUAUCUAGUUCAUGUUACUUGGCAUUUAACUCAUGCAUUUAUCUAGCAUAUGUCUUACAUACUCCUUUAGCGUUUAGCUCUUGCAUUCAUUAGCAUACUUCACAUACCUUUACUUAGCAUCUAGCUCAUGUCAUUAUAUGCAUUUAUUAGCAUCAUUAUGGUACAUUCUUACUUAGCAUUCUUAUUAUGCCUUCUUACUUAACAUUCUUAUCAUGCAUCAAUAGUGAAACACACUACACUUUGGCAUGAAGGCGACCUAGUCGCUUCGGUAAGCACAACCCACCUUUUAACGCGUUCCGAUUGCUUGUCGUCACUUGCAAUCAGCCUCCCGCGGCACCCAUGACCCGGUUUGGUCUGAACCCUUGUGCGACCACCCGAACGGCCACCAAUCUGCGAUUCGUCUGUUCGGGAGUUUAUUCCCCAACACCACGAUGCUCCUGAUCCAUUUUCAUGAUUUUUGGAGGCUUAUCCCGCGUGCUGCGGCUAUCUGUACCAAAACAGACUGUUUCGUCAAUAACUUCGCGUACACUCGCCGAAUUGUCGAACCGAGCGCACCAAUGCGUUCGUUAUACCCCCAAUUAGGUUUGUAUAGGGUCAGUUUAGAUCAAACCCAAACAUUUACAAAAACUCCCUUUUUGGAGCGCUAGAUGCAAUUAUAGCAAAAUACUCCAAUUCAUCUCAUGAAUCAAGCAUAAACCAUCCAUUUAGCAUCAAUGGGUUCCACUAAAUCCAAUCUUAGAGCAAAUAACCAUAGCUAUGAAGAUCUACCAUGAGAGCUUCAAGAAGCUUACCUCAAGAAGCUUGCUCCAUUGCAAGGAGGAAGAAGAUGAGGAUGACUUUCUCCUCCUUGUCUUCUUCUCCUUCCUUUUCUUCUUCUCUUCUUCUCUUUUCUUCUCUUCUCCUUCCUCUUUUUCUUUCUAGAGAGAGAGAGGAGAGGUUUGGGGAUGAUACGAUGAGGGAAAGAGAGAGAGAGAGGGGUUCUACUCCUCUCUAUACACUUAACCCAUGCACAAAAUGCCAACAAGCCCCUCAACAAUGCAUCUCUUGCAACAGCCCGAACUGGGCAUUUUCGGGCUUCGGGGACCGGUCCUUGGGAUGAGGGACCGGUCCCUGAGAGACCGGUCCUUGGCUGAGAGACCGGUCCCCGAAGAUCCAGAAAUCAGCCUUCAAGGACUUAGCCAAAUUUUUAGCUUUUUCACUGUUUUCGCUCCGUUUUCGCUCAUUUUCGCUCGUUUGACAUCUGAUUCGUUUCAAAUCGAACCGAGACUCUCCAAACAUGUUUUCGAGCAUAUCUUCAUCAUAUUUUCAUCCACGCUAAUCCCAGAUUUAGUCCACGGUCCAACAUAGCCUUUCGGGUCCCGUUUUCGCGCCCUAUGCGCACCGAAGCACCCGAAUGCUCCCGAACUUCACCGGAAUGAUUCCAAUGGCUUUCUAAGCUAACAUACAUCGUAAUUUUUUGAAUUAGAAGUUCGGUAUAUUACAUCAGAGGCCACCCGAGUUGGGUUAUUUAUAUUUUGUAGUAGCAUUCUGUAAGGUACCGGAUUUUAAAUGUAAAAGUGGAAAUAAAUAAAAAUAGUGUGGGAUACUAUUUUUAUUGGACUUAUAGAUAUAAAUUAUAAGUCUAGAGUGACCCGUGUUGAAAUGGAAGCGAAAACAGAAGAUUUAGAAUUUUCUGUGAGAGACAGGGCAGACGAAAAAUAUCUGUACCGUGCUGCUAAACUGAAUGUGAAUAGUAUUCUUGGAUAACUUGGAGGCCAAGUUUCCUAGAUAACUUGGAGGCCAAGUUUCCUAUGAAACUUGGAGGCUAAGUUUCCUACGACACUUGGAGACCAAGUUUCCUAUGAAACUUGGAGGCCAAAUUUCCUAUAUAUAUAUAGGGGACUUGAGCAUUUUCUUUCUUUCUCCCUCACACUUGCAACCAAAGAGAAAUAUCUCUUUCUCUCUAACAAUUUCUCCACCAAAGAGAGGAAUUGGAGGUGCAUUUGGAGAAGAAAAAGGUUGCUUGGAGGUGAAGUCUUCAUCCUCUUUAUUACUUGGUUUGAGGAAAAGUUUGUGUUUGAGGUGCCUAAACGCGUGUGAAGCGUCGGUUCGUCGAUUCGUCGAGCAGGUGCGACCGAAGAGUAAAGCGGCGACUAGGGAACGUGCAAUUGAGAACCUAGCCUCGUGAUAGCGGUAAAAGGUGGGGGGUGUCAUCCCGAAGCAUCCAGAUUUUCUUUUAUGUCUAAGUUAUAUAUAUGCUUGGUCAUAUUGCAUUAUAGGAUUAGCAGAUAGUUGCAAUUCUAAUUCCUUGCAUGCUUCUUAGUAGUGUAACUAUGAGUUAGACACAUGGACUAGGGUAGCAUGAGGAUUGGGUUUUGUGACAUGGGAAUCCUAUAAUGGUAUAAAGAGCCGAACUUGGACAUAUGAUAGCCUAGUAGAGUGGCAUUGAACUAGUGUAGUAGAAACACUAAACUAGAACGAGUGGCAUGUCAAUUAACUAGAAAACUUACUACAAUGAUCGAACGAGUGGCAUCGAGUCUAGUGUAGUAAACGUGACAUGGUUCUAGGGAUAGUAGAGAUCCCGGCAUCUUGGAUACAUUGUACAUUGUGCAGCAGAGGCACGUUGACCCUUGUAGAUAGGGCGGAUCACUUCAUGAGGCCUCUGAGCACGGAGCCACCUCGCUGGUGGCUGUUCGUUUUUGUCUGAUCACUCAUACUAGGUUAGGAGUGUUCUCCUANNNNNNNNNNNNNNNNNNNNNNNNNNNNNNNNNNNNNNNNNNNNNNNNNNNNNNNNNNNNNNNNNNNNNNNNNNNNNNNNNNNNNNNNNNNNNNNNNNNNUCUGUUGUUGUUGGCAGAGAUUAUUUUAAUUUCCCUAAAUAACAACUAAUUAUGAGUUACGGCAAGAAAUGUUGUAACAAAUAAAUUAUGUGUGAAGUGCAUGUCAGCAUCAUCGUAGGAUCGUGUUGUGACCGAGAAGGAAUUUCGGUGGCAAGUCGUCCUUUCGGCGAAUGUCAUCCGGAGUGGAGCAAGACGCCGCGAUGGUGUGCUGCGGCCGUGGGCCUCAUCUUCAACUUUUUCAUCGCCGGCGUCAAGAUGGACCCUCUGCUAUGGGAAGUCGGCGUGCGUCCGUCGCCAUAGGCACCCGCAGCCUUCGCCGUGCCCCUUCGCCCGGCCCCCCCCCCCUGGCUUGCCGCCUCCUACCUAUCACAAACAACAUCGAGCAGGUGCUCGAGCGCCGCAGGCGCUUCUUCAUCUUCAUGGGCGCCUUCCCUUGCACCACUUCCUUCCCGUCCUCGAGACACUCUCGCGAGCUGCGCUCCUCAAUCACGAGCCUCGCGCGCUUCCGCUGUCGUCGCCAUAUCUCAGGUGCACUACUGUCUACGUAAUUUCUAUCGCUCUCUUUUUUUCGGCGCAACAGUUGAUUUUCAUGGAAUCUGCCGUAAGACAUCCUACUACUGUAGUCUAUGAGAUAUUUUUUUUUUUUUUUACGUUAUAUAACAUUUCUUAUUUGUUUUACGGGUGUAGAGAGGAUGUUGAGAUUAGUUUGAAUAGUAUAUUUUUUUACUAGAUUUGAUGGUUGGGUUGAAAUUAAGCAAGCGUUUUGUAUAGUAUUAGAGAAUUGUCUAUACUAAUGACAUUAAAAUGACGAACUUGCCUAUACUUCGAAGUAUAGAGGAUUCCGUGUUUUCGAAAAAAAUAUAUAGCAGCUUAAGUUAUUAAAAUAUGUCUAUAUAUAUUUUAGCCGCUUUAAUAAGGUUGGAGUAUUUUGUGCUUCGGCAUGCAUUGGGCAGGACGUGGGCGUGGAUUUCAUGGUUGAUGUUCACGGCGUGAACCAAGAAGCCAGAACGGAUGUGGCUGAGCGGGCUGAUGGCGCAUGCUGUGUUCGUGGGAUGGCGGCGUUCGCGCUGCUUGGUGUUCGCGCCGUACGUGGAGCUGGGGGCACGGCCGACGCCGGUGGACGGGCGCGUGUCGGAGCUGCCACGGUCCGUGAUCAUGCUGACGGUGGUGGCGUCGUCGUGGCCAUGCGGGACCGAGCAUGCGGGGCAAUCACCCCCACCGACGUUCAUCGAGGGCCGAUUAUCCUGGGGCUGUGGUGCCGGACGGGCGCCGCGGCGGCGGCGCUGCGUGAGCGGGUGGAGCGGUGGCGUCGGAAGGUUGAUGCUGCCGCUCUUGUUCCUGGUCGAGGGCGCGUCUUCGCGACGAUGGCGGGAGGUGGCGCGCAGGGCAAGGAUGUGGCUGUGGAGCUGGUCAUAUGCCUCAUCGCUGCGUCGGGAAGGAUCGCUGGGACGGUCGUCGCCGCGUCUUUCUUUUUUUUUUUUUAAAAUGCGACCUGCCGCUGCCAGAAGGCCGUGCUGCUGGGCAUCAUCAUGAACUUCCGGGGGCUUGUGGAGAUGAAUUCGUCCUUUUUCACCUUCAGUUAACGGAAAGCGUAAAUUAAAUUUGCCGUCCGUGCGAAAAUUUUAGAUAUUUUAAAAAUUUUGAAAAAUUAUAUUCAGAUAUUAUUACAACUAAUAUAUGUAAUAUAAAAAAAAAAAAAGCUGAUUAACGGCGGAGACAUACACCAUGGCCUUGGUCUUUUUAUCUGCGGCUUGGGGCGACGGACGCCUGCGUGCCGCUUGGUGGCGCACUUCUACAAGCCGCUUCAGCUGCGGGCCCCGUGGGCCUCGCACGCGUGCAGCACCUGAAGCCCCACGUCGAGCUGCGGCAUGCUCGCCUGCUAUCUCCGACGAAGCGCUCGUCCCCCCUCCUCCAACCUCUCGAGUGCCUCGUCCCGCCCGACUACCCCUCCGCCGCGCUCUGCGUCUUACGCCUCCACCUCGUCGGAAGCUGCAGGGUGCGCCGUGUCGAGCCUCGUGCCCACCGCGAACAAGAUAGGGGUUCAUCAACCGGCGUCAGUAUGGACCGGCGUGCAUCAACAAACUUGCAUCACCUUCGGAGAGGUCAAGAAGGGCGGCCCACCGCCGUUCAGCCUUUCACGUCCAUCGCGCCUACAAGACCAUGCACCGGACGGCUGUGCUCCCUCGCACCUCGAGAAGAGCGUCGCCCCGUCGUCGUCCCCUUCCCGCAACUGGGACGCCGCCACCGAGGCUGGAGCCGACCGCGCAUCGCGCAUCGUCCCGUUGCGUCUCUCUCAGGUGCGGGCCCUGAGCCAUCACCUCUUUAUUAGCCAACCAGUUUCUGAACUUUCAAUAUUGAUUAUUAUUCUCUUUUCUUCAAUUCAAGAAUGAUUCCUACUCGAUUAUCUAUUAAAGUUCAAUAGCCUUAGUUCAUAUAUAAUAUUAUAUAUAUUUAUAUAUCAUAUAUAUAUAUAUAUAUAUAGCAGCGGCUGAUGUGCUCUCAGGAGUAGGAGCCUCCGUGCUUGAGCCGUUUUUCGAUGAUGAAAUUUGUGAAUCGACGAUCGGCCUCCGUUAGACUUGAUCUAGCGCAUUUUAAAGUCAUAGAAAAUAAUUUUGCGAUAUUUCCGAUUCAUUUACUAGGUUGAUCGAAAGGAUUUCACAAUCCAUAAUUUUUAAUGGUUGAUAGUUCGGUCGUUUUCAGAUUUGAACGGUUGAGAAGUAUUAAUCAGAUGAAAUUUUGGAUAGAAAAAUUCUUUAUAAUAUCACAACAGAUCUAUUUAUUCUUGCAUCAAAAAUUUUAGUGCUAUAAUCACCACUUUAUUGAUUUUUUUUCAGCACGUUAAAAAUUAUUGAUUUUGAAUCUUUUCGAUUGCUAGGUCAACAUGAUAUCGAAGAUCGCAAAAAUUAUUUUCUAGAAACCGUUUGAAAUACCGUAGAUCAAGUAUCGGCGAGCCGUAUCGUCGAUUUCGAAAACUCCAUCAUCGAAAAACGGUCAGGAGCACGGGGCCUCCGUGCUCGCUCGAGAGCACAGCACCGCUCUAUAUAUAAUAUAUAUUAUUAAUAUAUAUAUAUAUGUUAUAAGGGCUAAGAAUACAUUGUAAAAGUAUUCAUGGGGUGAUACUUCGUGUGUUUUUAGCCCUUGGAUGGAGAGACUUUGAGGUUGAGAUGAUGGUGUCGUAGGUAGUGGUAGGGGCAAUAGUUUAUCCAAGGGCUUAUUAAUAAUCAAAAAAGUGAUCAAUGCUUAAAAACCUAAUACACCAUGAUGUGAUACUUGUAAAGUAUCAUAGCUCACACGUAUAUAUAAUAAUCAUAUAUAUAUAUAGUCAUAUAUAUAUAUUAUAUAUAUAUUAUAUAUAUAUAAUAUAUAUGAUAUAUAUAGAGCAGGGUUGUGUGCUCUAGGAGCAGGAGAGCCCUCCGUGCCUCUGAGCCGUUUUUUGAUAUGGAAUUUUUCAAAUCGACGACGGCUCCUUUAGACUUGAUCUAGCGCAUUUGAAGUUUCUAGAAAAUAAUAUUUAGCGAUUUUUUUAUACUCAUAUUACCUAGUGACGAGGAUUUUCAAAAUUUAUAACAUUGUUUAAUUGCGGUUGCAUUAUCUUGUCGUUUUCAAGUUUAACGCGGCUAGAAGUAUUAAAUUCAGAUGAAAUUUUGAUACCAAAUUUUCUAUACUAUCUACAACAAGAAUCAAUAUUUCUGACUCGAAAAUUUAAUGCUAUAUCACCACUUUUUAUUGAAUUUUUAUUUCAGCGUUAAAAAUUAUUAUGAUUUGAUCAUAUGCGCAUUGCCUUUAGGUAAAUGAUAAUCGAAAAAAUCGCAAAAAUUAUUUUCUAGUAAACAUUCAAAUACGUAGCAUCAAGUUUAACCGGAGCACGUCGGUAUUCGGAACUCCAUCAUGCGAAAACAGUCAGGAGCAUAGAGGCCUCCGGUGCCUCCUGAGAGUACAACAGCCUUGUCUAAUAUAAUAUAUAUACUAUUAUAUUAUUAUAUAUUAUAUAUUAUAUAUAUAUAUCUAUAUAUAUAUAUAUACUAUUUUGAAGAGAGAGAGACGAGAGAGAAGAGUCCGAGCUACAUUACUUUUAUAAAGUACGAUCGUGGGUCCCCCAUCGUACUCAUAAGUUGUUUUCGAUGAUAGAGCGUUCCGAAUCGAUGAUUCAUACUAUUAACUUAUUCUAAGGAUUUAAACACGUCUAGAAAUCAAUUUUAUAAUUUUAUAUCAUUACCUUACGAUUAAAAGGUCACAAAAUUGACAAUUUUAACGGUCUACAGGAUAUUGCUAGUUUAAUGCGUGAAAAGAAUCGGCAAUAGUUGCAUUUGAUAGAAAUUCUUUCACUAUACAUAAAUAGAGUAUCAAUAAACUCCGAAUCUUAAAUGAAGGAUACCGAUCAUCCAUUUUUUAGGAUUGUUCAUCGAUUUUUUUAAAACGUUCACAUUUAACCCGCUGGAUGAACUUCAUAAUGAUUUUGAAAAAUUACGAAAUUUAUUUUUCUAGAAGUUUCCCAAAUACUCUAGAUCAUGUUUAACGAGAUGUGGAUUGUCGAAUCAAAAGCUAACAUCGAAAACAAGCUUUAUGAGUAUGAAAGGCCAUAUUAUACUCAUACGAUAUAAGUAGCUCUUACUCUUCUCUUCUCUACUCUUCUCCUUCUCUCUCUUCAUCUAUAUAAUAUAAUAUAUAUAUAUAUAUAUAUAUAUAUAUAUAUUUAUAUAUAUGGUUGGCCUAGAAACCUUUCUAAAGUACCAUGCAUGGGAGUGAUGCUUUUUGAGUUUUUAGUCUUUGAAAGGGAUAGAUGUCGGGUUGGCGGAUUUUCGAAUCGACGCAUCGGCUCCGUUAUACUUGGAUCUAGAUAUUUAAAGUUUCUAAAAAUAAUUUGCUAUUUUUUUUGAUAUCAUUUACCAAGUGAUAGAAAGGAUUUCAAAUCAAUAUUUUAACGGUGUGAUACUCUCGUCGGGUUUUUCAAAGUUUAACGGUUGUAGAAGUAUUCAAAUCGAUGAAAUUUUGAUUACAAAAUUCUUUAUACUUUCUCAACAGAUCAAUAUUUCUGAUGAAAUUUUAUGUAUUAUCCCUUUUUAUAGAUGUUAUUUUCACCCCGUUUUUAAAAAUUACUUGAUUUUUGAAAUCAUUUAUCGGAUUGUUAGUUAAAAUGAUUAAUCGAAAAAUUCGCCAAAAUUAUUUUCUAUUAAACUUAAUUACGACCGUAGAUCAAGCUCUAAGAGCGAUCGUCGAAUUCGAAACAUUCAUCAUCGAAAACGGCCUCAGGAGACGCAGAGGCCUCCGUGCUCCUGAGAGCACAACAGUUUCGCUUAAUAUAUAUAUUAUAUAAUAUUAUAUAUAUAUAUAUAUAUAUAUUAUAUAUAUAUAUAUAUAUAUAAUAAUAUAUACUAAUAUUUAGGUACUAUAUAUCAAUAGUACCCGAGCGCGUAUUUAUAGUCCUAUUUUUCGAUCUUAGGCGUGUUCAAAAUUAAAUUGAUCCACACAUUAAAUAUUGAUCUAUGGGAUAUGAAGUUUUAGGAAUAAAAUUUUGUUUUUUCGACACGUUUAAUAUAAAUUAAAUUAUAUCAAAUUGACGUUAGAAAUGAAUAAUCUUUAAAAUUGAGUCAUAGGGCUUUUAAAUUUCAAUAUCAAGAAUGUUAACCUUAAUCUAAAUGUUUAAAAUUUUUUUAUCCAAAAUUUGAACGAAAAUUUGAUUCUUCUACCACCGUUAAACUCCAACUCGCCAUAGUAGCCUUGAAAUUAUUGAAAUUUAAAAUGAUUUGAUCAUAUAAGUAAACUAUGUCGAAAAAAAAUAUAAAAUUUAUUUUUAAAAAUUUUUAAAUACCCUAGUCAAUUUUAACAGUGUGGCAUCGUUGAUUUCUAACACCCUAAAAUUCGGAAAAGCGAGACUAUAGUACCGGAGACCUCAAAGGUCAUAUAAUAGUAUAGGACUCUCUCUCUUCUCUCUCUCUCUCUCUCUCUCUUCUCUCUCUCUCUCUCUCUCUAUAUAUAUAUAUAUACUAUUAUAUAUAUAUAUACACGGACGGGAUCCGUACUACAAGUUGUUUUCGAUGAUGUAUGGCUUCUAAAUCAAUGAUCGGUCUCCGUUAGAUUGAUUCUCACUCACUAUUGAAAGUAUUUGGAAACUAAAUUUCAGAUUUUUUCGACAUCAUUUGACUAGUGAUCAAAAGAUCUCAAAAUUGAUAAUUUUAAUGGCCAAUGUGGUGUGUUUGAGAGUUUAACGGUGUAAAACAAUCCAAAUCCGAUGAAAAUUUUAUAGAAAAUUCUUUUCACUAUUUAGAGUAAGAUUAGUAUAUCUGAUCUUGAAUUUAAAUCUUUUAUCAUCAUUUUUUAUGAGAUUUUUAUUUUCAGCCGUUCAAUUUUAGACUACUUGUUUGGUAGGUAAAUGGUAUCAAAAAAUUAUGAAAUUUAGUUUCUAAAUACUUUUAAUAGUGUAGAUCAAGUCUAACAGAGCCGAUCAUCGAUUUGGAAGCCGCAUCAUCGAAAACAACUUGGUAGUACGGAGCCCUCUGUGCUACCGAUAGUAUAGUAGCCUAGCUCCUAUUGAUAGUAUAGUAGCAUAAUUCUCUAUAUAUAUAUAUAUAUAUAUAUAUAUAUAUAUAUAUAUAUAUAUAUAUAUAUAUAUAUAUAUAUAUAGGGUCCUGCUACUAUGCUAUUAUGAUUACGAUCAUCCUCGUACUCAUAAGUCGUUUUCGAUGAUGGAGCUUCUGAAUCGACGAUCCAUACCGUUAAACGUUAUUUACAGCAUUUAAAACUUCUAGAACCAAAUUUUAUAAUUUUUCGAUAUCAUUUACCUUAUAAUCAAGUGGUCACAAAUUUGUCAAUUUUUAACGGCCGGUAUGGAAUACUUGCUAGUUUAACGGUGUAAAAGAAUCGGAAUUUGUUGAAUUUUUGAUAGAAAAUUCUAUUCACUAUAUAGAUAAAGAUCAAUAACUCUGAUCUUAAAUUGAAGGAUCCGAUCAUCCUUUUUUAGGAGUCGUUCGAUUUUGACCGUUCAUUUUAUGCCCACUUGAUAGACUAUAUUAUGAUUUCGAAAAUUUACAAAAUUUAUUGUCACGCUCCGGGACCCAGCCUAGGCCCGCCCGGCGCGUGUCCAGACCCACCAUAUGCCUGCGCAUAUAAGGCGACUACAACAAAAGAGAUGCGAAAGCAAGAAGAAACAAGUAUAUAGAGAUAUCAGAGCUGCUAACAACUAAAACUAGCAACAAGUAGAGAAGGAGUAAAGUAGUCCACUAAGCAUAAGCAUAAAAAGGUACAAUAAGAGUCACAAGAAAAUCCACAGUGGUGUGGUCUCUAUACACAGGUAAAUCUCCAAAACCUCUCCAAAAUAAAACAUCGAAAGGUAGACCACCUACCAACGCAUCCUCGAUAGCAAGCUAGCUCGAGGCGAUACCCUUUCCGCGGUCCCUAGCCUCGCCCGGAGUGGAAGGCUCUGAAAUAAAAUAUAAAACAAUAGGGCAUGAGAACUAUAAUUUAUAGUUCCUAGUGGGCAAUUACUGACCUCAGCUCAAUGCACCACUAGGCCCCAAAAGAAAGGGUAAGUACGAUAAGCAACAAUAAUAGUAAUAGACAAUAAUAAACUGCAGAAUUGAAAGCAUGAGUAAAAUGCUAUGCCACAAGUAAACGUGAUGUAUGUCAAUGCUAUCAUGUUUGAAUAUGCCAAUGUCGGGUGAAUACGCUCAUCAACUGCCAAGUAUACUAAGAUGCGAUGAGUAAUUCUAUCAAGUAUACUACAUGUCCCAAUAUCUCAAAACCACACUAUGAGUAUGUCCAAUAAUCCAACUACUAUGAUCUAUUUAGCAGUGAUUCCAUUUUAAGAGGUCAUGUCCGAGUUCAAUCUUGUUUUGGGACCUACACGAGUGUAGUCCGGCUUGCGCCGCCUAAGUGUCGAUGGCAGCUCCAGUAUUUUCACUCUGAAAAUGAGUCUAUCCCUCCCGACCCCGUAGGCUUCUCGAUACCGCACGAGCGAUCAUAAGUCGUGUAGGCCAACUCCGGAGUGCCGGCUUGUGGGGAGCGACCCUCACAAGCAUGUGCGAAUGAGCACAAAUGGCAACAAGCAUAAUCAUCGUCUCAAGUACCCAAUCAUCAUGUCUCUAACAUGAUAAAAGUUACUAGUAACCCGAAGGUCUAGUUCUAUGUCUCAAUAUGAGGUUUAAUCGUUCAAUAAUUUCUAUGUCAAUGACCAUAGCUUUACUACAUCAAAUCCAAGUCCAAUGCCCCUUUUAUGACAUUAGCUUACUAAAUCAUGAAUCAUGUACAUCUAUGUUCUUUGAUGGCAUUACAUUAUGCUAAGUCCAAAUUUUGUCCCAACACUAGUGCCGCUUUAUGACACUAGGUUUCACUUGUCCCAACUACAUUACAAGCCCAAUGCCCCUUUAUGACAUUGGCUCAAUAGCAAGCUAAUAGUGUACGUUUCAAGCCUCUUCAUGGCAUUAUGUAUGGUCCUAUGUCCCACAUGAGAGUUAUGUCUAAAGGCACAUUGUCCUUCUCAUUCUCACUACAUAAAACAUGCUCUUGAGUCAUAUCUAGAAUGCUGAGCGCAUGCAUAAGUCUCACAUGCCACUCUCUACUACAUAGAGGUCCAAAAACGUAUUAUAUAUAAUGUAGACAUUUUAAGCAUUCUAAAAUUCACAAUAAAUAUAUUUAUCAUGGAAAUGCAUGAAUUUCUACUUUACGAAGCAUAUAACGUCGGGUAUGAGAAUUUCUCAUAUGCUAGGCUAGGUCAAACCCACCGAACUUCACGCAACCCUUCGUUUGCUCCAACGAAGAUGUCCACUAAUCUCCUAACACCCUAAAAGCAUCAAAAAGUGAGCUACAAGAAGUAAACGAAUAACUACUAGCUCAAACAUUAACCUACCAAGCAAACGGGCCAAAAUCUUACCUAUAGUGUAGAAAUCCCUUCCCAAAGCUCAAAUGGAAGCUAGAUCCCUUCCAAAGCAACCAAAACCAAGGUUCUAAUCCAAUCAGAUUAGCUCAAAAAGCCUUAAAUCAAAAGGCCCCAAAUAAACCCUAGAUUUUCCACUCUAGGGUUUCAUCUCCCAAAAUUCACCAAAACUAAGUUUAGAGGGAAAGAACAAGCAACAAACCUCUUAAAAGUUCCAAUAAAAACAAGCUCUAAGAAUGAAAAUCUCCUCUUUAGCAAGCUCCAAGUCCAAGCCUUUAAACACCAAAGGGAAGAAGAGAGGGAGAGGAAGAUGCUCCAAGUCCUCUAGCUAGAUCCUCCUCAUCUUCUUCUCCUUCUUCUUCUUCUCUUCCUUCUUCUCCUUCUCCUCCUUCUCUAUCUAGGGUUGUUGGGAGGGUAAGAGAAAGAGAAAUGAGGAAGGGAGAGGGUGAAAUGGCCAUAUAGGCCAUCUAAUGUAACAAAAUCCAAAGAAGCCCCUCAAUUUCCUAAUAUUGCAUCAGCCCGGACUGGGCAGUUUUCGGACUGAGGGACCGGUCUCCCCGACCUGGGACCGGUCUCUCGGCCUACCCCGAAAAUCUAACGUUCGGGAACCGGUUUGUCCCCGCAUGGGACCGGUCUCUCCCCGCAUGGACGCGCUCGAGGACCGGUCUCAUCCGCCAGUGACCGGUUGCCUCAAGGCUGCCGCAAUACUAUUCCAUGGGGACCGGUCUCUCCUAGCCAGGGACCAGUCCCCGAGAGUAAAAACUCUCAGGACUCAUCCAGGACUUAGAUUUUCGAACUUUUUUGGUCGGAAAAACAUUCUACGACCCUCCACCAAGGGUGAAAAAGCUCAGAACACAUCCAACAACUCGAACCUCACAAUUUGCAUAGGUUUAGUGUGCUACAUUCACCCUCCUAAAAAGGAGUUUCGUCCGCGAAACUCAAGGCAACUACAUACCUCAAGACUCCAUCUGAAAAAUAUGGGGAUAGCGCUCCUGCAGCGCGCUCUCUAGCUCCCAUGUGGCCUCCCGCUCCCCGUGGUUGCUCCAAAGAACCUUCACAUACGGAAUGUCCUGAUUCCGUAGUUUCUUCACCUCGCGAGCCAAGAUCUUCAUGGGUUGCUCCUCGAAGCUCAAAUCCUCUCUCAGCUCCAAUGGUGUAGCGUCAAGCACAUGAGCUGGAUCAUGGAUGUACUUCCGAAGGACCGAUACAUGAAAUAUAUUGUGUACACUCGAUAGGUUCGGAGGUAGAGCAAGCCGAUACGCUACCGGGCCUACACGCUCCAAAACCUCAUGCGGUCCAAUGUAUCGGGGGCUCAGCUUACCCCGGAUUCCAAAUCUUCUAAUCCUUCUGGUCGGCGAGACUUUUCAAAAAGACAUGAUCUCCAAUCUGAAACUCCAAGUCUCGUCGACGCCUGACAGUAUAACUCUUUUGCCUACUCUGGGCUGCUAGCAGUCGUUCCCGAGCAAUUCAAACUUUGUCCUCUGCUUCCUGGAGCACAUCAGAGGCUAAAGCCAAUCUCUCGCCAACUUCACUCCAAUGAAGUGGCGAUCUACACUUCCGUCCAUAGAGUGCCUCGAAAGGUGCCAUCUUGAUGCUUGCUUGAUAACUGUUGUUAUAAGCAAACUCUGCCAUCGGUAGAUGCUGCGACCAUCCUCCCUGGAAGUCUAUCACACAUGUCCGGAGCAUAUAUCUAAAGUCUGUAUAGUGCACUCUGACUGCCCGUCACUCUGAGGGUGGAAAGCCGUACUGAAGUCUAACCGCGUACCCAAAGCAUCCUGUAAGUUCCUCCAAAAUUAAGAUACAAAUAGGGGGUCUUGAUCUGAUACUAUAGAAGUAGGCACCCCGUGCAGUCGCACAAUCUCGUCCAAGUAAACCUGUGCGAGUCUCUCACCAGUCCAAGUUGUGUGGAUAGGUACGAAAUGUGCCGAUUUCGUCAACCUAUCCACGAUCACCCAAAUAGCAUCAUGCCCGGCUUGUAAGCGGGGCAAUCCGGUCACGAAAUCCAUGGUGAUCUUCUCCCAUUUUCAUACUGGAAUCGGCAAGCUCUACAAUUUUUCCGCGGGAACUCGGUGCUCAGCUUUCACCUAUUGGCAGUUAAACAUCUAGUAACAAACUCACCAACGUUCUUUUUCAUCCCGGGCCACCAAUAAAGUAACUUUAAGUCCUUAUACAUCUUGGUGCCUCCCAGAUGUAUAGCGUACGGUGCUCGGUGUGCCUCUUGAAGAAUUUCUUCUCUAAGUGCCAAUUCCGCCGGUACACAGAUCCGUCCACGAAAACAUAUCAAUCCAUCAUCACCCACAGAAAAGUCACCGGUGCAACCAUUAAUCAUCUUAGCUCGAAUCCUUUGCAACUCCACAGCGGAGACUUGCUUUUCAUUAAUCCUUUCCACAAGUAUAGGUUGCACCACCAAAGUCAUCAGUCUCAAAGGUGUAUCAGGAGCCACCACCUCCAACUACAACCGCUUCAUCUGCUCGAUCAACAGCGGUUGAGUGACCAUAAGCAUCGCUAAGUUUUCCGUCGAUUUCCUACUUAGCGGAUCCGCCACCACGUUAGCCUUGCCCGGGUGAUAAAGUAUCGUCAAAUCAUAAUCCUUGAGUAGCUCCAACCAUCUGCGCUACCUCAAGUUCAAUUCCUUCGAAGUGAAUAAAUACUUUAAACUCUUGUGAUCCGUAUACACUUCGCAUCGCUCGCCGUACAAGUAAUGGCGCCAUAGCUUCAAUGCAAAGACCACGGCUGCCAACUCCAAAUCAUGCGUAGGGUAGUUUCUUUCAUACCCGAUCACUUUCCCGUCCUGCAUCAAAACACAGCCCAAUCCAUUAAAGGAAGCAUCACUAUAAAUCACAUAUCCUGCUCCAGUAGUUGGCAAGGUUAGGAUCGGGGCGGUCAUCAAACUUUGCUUCAACUCUUGGGAGCUCCUUUCACACGGAUCAUUCCAAACAAACUUGGUGCCUUUAUGCGUGAACCUCGUGAGGGGAGUGGAUAACUUUGCAAAUCCCUCAACAAACCGUCGGUAGUAGCCGGCCAAGCCAAGAAAACUCCAAAUCUCUGUGACACUCGUUGGCCUCGGCCAGUCCUUGAUAGUUUCGAUCUUCCUAGGAUCUACAGCUAUACCUGAUCCUGAAAUCAAAUGGCCCAAAAACGCCACCUCUUUAAGCCAAAACUCGCACUUUUUCAAUUUCGCAUAGAGCUCCCUUUCCCGAAGUACUUGAAGUACAAGUCUCAAGUGUUCCUCGUGUUCCGCAUCACUUCGGGAAUAGACCAAAAUGUCGUCGAUGAAUACUACGGCGAAUUUGUCUAAAUAAAGCUUAAAAAAACGGUUCAUUAGAUCCAUAAAAGCGGUCGGGGCGUUAGUAAGCCCAAACAGCAUAACUGUAAACUCAUAAUGUCCAUACCGUGUUCUAAAAGCCGUUUUCGACACAUCCUCAGGCUUGAUCUUCAACUGGUGGUAUCCCGACUACAAGUCAAUUUUGGAAUACACACUAGAUCCCCGGAGCUGAUCAAAUAAAUCAUCAAUCCUCGGUAAUGGAUACUUAUUCUUGAUCGUGACCUUAUUGAGUUCACGAUAAUCCACACACAAGCGAAGCGAUCCAUCCUUCUUCUUGACAAAUAGGACUGGUGCUCUCCAAGGUGACACACUCGAUUGCACAAAACCCUUGUCCAGGAGAUCCUGCAGCUGUGCCUUCAGCUCCUUCAAUUCCGCCGGUGCCAUCCUAUAGGGCGCUCUUGAGAUUGGAGUAGUCCUGGGGACGAGAUCUACCACAAACUCAAUCUCCCUAUCAGGCGGCAUGCCUGGUAACUCCGCUGGAAACACAUCUACAAAUUCCCGCACUACGGGGAUGUCCUCAAUCCUAGGGGCGUCUGCAUCGCCCCACAACACUACAGUAGCCAAGUAGGCUAUGCAGCCUCUGCUGUUCAACUGUCUAGCUCGAGAGGAGCUAAUCGUCAUCGCAAACAGCGAACUCUGGCAUCCUCGGUACACAACCUCCGCCUGCCCCGGCUUUCUAAAUGUCACUGUUCGAUUCUUACAAUCGAUAGUGGCGUAGUAUUUGGUCAACUAGUCCAUGCCCAAAACAAUAUCAAACUCUCCGAGUUUAUGCGAAGCUAGCAAGUCCACGGGCAUGACCCAAUCUCCAACCCGAACAGGGCAAUUGGGGCAAAACUCUCGAAUAUCUAAAGAGUGAUCGGGUACAACAACUCAUCCCAAAUGCAACAAAGAUGUCAGUGGGAUGCCAUGCAACUCGCAAACAGCCGGUUUAUGAAUGAAUGCGAUGCACCGGUAUCAAAUAAUGCUCGUACUCGAAUACCAUAAAGUAAAAUGAUACUUGCGACCACAUUCUCCGCUGCCGCCGCCUCCUCGGUCUGGGCCGCAUACAUGCGCCCGCUCGGGGGCUGCCGUGACCCCUCCAACUGUCCGCUGCACAGGUGGCCGCCCGGCCUGCUGGUGCGCAGAAGGUGUCCCUGGCCGGGACCUGGUGAAGCUGGUGCAGAUGCCGAAGAUGGUGCUGGUGCUGGACCUCUCGGGCAGUCCGACUGGAAGUGGCCCUCCUGGCCUCACAGAUAGCACCUACCCCGACUAUGUGAAUACUGCCGUGGGUAGUGAGGACCACCACAGAUCACGCAGCGCGGUGCCUGGGGACGAUCGGGUCCUCCUCGCUGAGUAAACGAGCCACGUCCUCGCGACUGGCUCCGGCUCCUGGGAUGCCUCGACGGCCUCCGUGAGUGCGUCUGGCUCGCACCCUCAGCCACAGGCCUCUUGCCUUUUCCAUUCUCCAAGCCCUCGCGACGCUCCUGAAGGUCCGUCGCUCCAGCCUCCACGAUGAGUGCACAGUGAAGUAGUCUAGAAAACUCUCUCUCGUACUCGGCCAUGGUCCGCUCCUCCUGGCGUAAACUACGCAAAUCCUGCUCCGUCUUCCUCUGAACGCUAGUAGGGAAGUAGUGCGCUAGAAGAAGCUCCUUGAAUCUUGUCCAAGAAAUCACUGCCAAAUCAGUGUUGGGGUUGUCCUGAAUAUCCAACCACCAACGAUAGGCCUCGCCGUCCAGAUGAUGUGUGGCAAGCCAAACUCUAUCCCGUUCCUCAACGAAGGUAUCUCGAAACAGCUUCUCCAUGUGCAUCAACUACUUCUCAACAAUCCAGUGGUCGACCUUCUCGCCAUCGAAGAUCCUCGGACUGCACCUCCUGAACUCACUGAGGCGAUCCAUGAGCCGAUCCCGCUCGGCUCCCUCGGCCAUCACAGGGAAAGCUGCCCUCGACGCAUGUAUCUGAACCGGUGGUACUGCAGCCACCUCCUCUCGAGGUGGGGUCGCUGGUGCUGCACGCGAAGAACUGGGCGCGGGGAAUUGCGCCCUCGGUGCGACGUCCACUAUAGGUGCUGGCGGUGUGGGAACCUGAGUCUCCCUAGAAGCUGCUGCCUGCUGUAGCAAAAGAUCCUCCAGGUGCUUAAUCCACGCCUCUUGCCGCUAUGCCACCUCGGCCUGUCGCUGAGCGGCCGCCGCCUGCUGCGCUACAAGAUCAGUGAGGACCGCAAGCUGGGUCCUCAAGUCGCGGACCUCGCUAGAUACGGAAGUCGCAGAGGUUUCGACCUCCUCGAGGUGCACCGCAUCAUCCGCUCCGGUAGAUUGGGAGCGUGUAACCGGCAUCAUCACUACAACAUCAUAAAAGCGUAAGUUAGUAAACCCACGCUAUCGAGUCCCCGCUCAAAUAACAAUACCCAAAUCAUGCGAAAGUAAGAAAGUGUUAUUCACAACUAACUCCCGAUGUUACGUUGUCGGCCGCCAACGUAACCCUCCACGGAGUUAGAAGCCAUACACUCCGAUCCAACUCCAACUUUUUAGAGUUAUCAUAAGACCCAAUCAUAAUACUUUCGCUCACAAGUCGGAUAGACCUCGUCUCUCACAAGCCUAUAUCCUAUAGUCCAACCGGCCUAAGGUUUGCUAGGUCCACUAAGACUCAACCCUAGGCUCUGAUACCAAACUAAUCUGUCACGCCCCGGGACCGGCAGAGGCCCCCCCGGUAGCGCACCCAGACCCGCCAUUUGUCUACACAUAUAAGGCGUCUACAACAACAGCGAAAAUAAAGCAAGAGAUGAUCUACAACAAGAGAUAUCAGAACAAGUACACAUCUAUAGUCUAUGAUAAGAGAAGUUGAAACAAACUAAAUAAUAAAGAGGAAACAUAAAGUUAUACAAAAAUCAUCUCAAAAGUACACAAAAUGGGUGGUCUCUAUAACACUGGUACAGCUCUCAACCUCUCCAAAAAGAAAACGACGAGAGGUAGACCACCUAUCAGCGCGUCCCUCGAAGCCAAGCUAGUUCGAGUCCGCGGUCCCUAGCUUCUCCCGGCAUGGAAGGCUCUGAAAUAAAACAUAAAAUAGAGGGCGUGAGAACUAUAAUUUAUAGUUCCCAGUGGGCAAUUACUGACCUCAGCUCAAUGCACCACUAGGCCCAAAAGAAAAGGGUAAGUACGAUAAUAGUAAAAAGAUUGCAUUUAUGAAAGCAUAAUUAAAAUGCUAAGUUACUAUGUCGCAAAUAAACAUGAUAUCAAUAUGUUGUACAUCUACUUUAUUAAGAAGAAGUAUGUCCAAGCAUGACUAAUACGUCCCAACAUAACGAGUAAGUAGGUAUCCUAAUCCACUAUAUCAAUAUAUGACGAAUAUGCUCUAUCAUGGCAACCAAGUAUACUAAGAUGCAACAGGCAAUUUAUUAAAUAUACAACAUGUCUCAACACUAUGCUAUAAGUAUGUCAAAGUAAUCCAACUACUAAUCCUAUCUAGUAGUGAUUGUUAUCUCCCGAUUAAAUGUCAUCGUUUCCAACAUGUUCUAGGACCUACAUAGUGUAGUCUAGCUUGUGCCACCUAAGUGUCGGUGGUAGCUCCAACAUUUUCACUGUAGGAAUGAGUCUAUCCCUCCCGACCACGUAGGUUUCUCGAUACCGCACAAGUGAACAUAAGUCACGUAGGCCAACUCCGGAGUGCCUGCUUGUAGGGAGCGACCCUCACAAGCAUGUGCGAAUGAACAAAAAUGGCAAGCAAGCGUAGCCAACGUCUCACAUACCCAAUCAUCAUGUCUCUAACAUGGCAAUAGUCACUAGCAUCUCAAAUGAUCUAGUUCUAUGUCACAAUGUGAAAUUCCAACAUUCACUAAAUCUAGUGCCCCUUUAUGACACUUAGACCAUUCUAUAAUCAAGUAUGUUCCAGUUCUAAAUCUCUCAAUGGCCCUAUUCACUAGGUUCACACACAACCAGAGCUCAAUACCGCUUUAUGACAUUAGCUCACAAUUUCACAAGUCAAUCUUGUCAUAUGCCUCUUUAUGGCUUAUUAAGAUCCUUUAAGUCUCAUGUCACGCCCCGAGAUCGGCGGAGGCCCUCCCGGUAGCGUGCCCAGACCCGCCAUAUGUCUACAUAUAUAAGGCGUCUAUGAUAAAAGCGGAAGUAAAGCAAGAGAUAGAGUAAAUAGAAUGAAUAGCAACUAAUGAUAUCAGAGCAAGUAAAGUUCUAUCAUCUAGACCAGAGUAAAAAAAACAUAUCUAAACAAUAAAAGCAACUAUAAGUAGUACACUAUCUGUCUCAAAAGUACAAAAAUGGUGGUAUAUAGCACACUGGUAAGACUCUCAACCUCCCACAAAAUAAAGCAACGAGAGGUGGACCACCUAUCGAGUCGUACUCGAAGGAAGCUAGCUCGAAGCAACUCCCUUCCCGCGAUCCCUAGCCUCUCCCGGCGUGGAAGGCUCUGAAAGAAAACAUAAAACAGAGGGUGUGAGAACUAUAAUUUAUAGUUCCCAGUAGGCAAUUACUGACCUCAGCUCAAUGCACCACUAGGCCCAAAAGAAAAGGGUAAGUAACGACAAUAAUAAUAAGCAAUAAUAAGCUAGUACAAGAACUACUGAAAGAAAGCAUAUAUGAAAUGCUAUACUACUAUAUCUCAAAUAAGCAUGAUGUCGUGGUGAUGUACAUCUACGCUAUCAUAAGAAUAAUAUGUCCAAUGCAUACUAAUGUGCCUCAACAUAAUUAAACAAGUAAACCUCACGAUGCAAUAUGUCAAUGCAUAAGGAGCAAGCUCUAGCGAAGUAACCCAGUAUACUAUGAUGCAACGAAUGAAACAGGCAAGUAUACUAUGUAUCCCAAUGCUAUGUCAUGAGCUCGUCAAGUAAUCCAACUACUAAGCCUAUCUAGUAGUGAUCAUUCAUUCUCAACUCUGUGUCGAUUUCCAUUUCCAAUUAAGGACCUACCAAAGGUAGUCCAGCUUGUGCCGCCUAAGUGCCUGUGGUAGCCCAACAUCCCUACUCUUGGAAUGUGUCUGUCCCACUCGACCCCGUAGGCUUCUCAAUACCGCACGAGCGAACAUAAGUCGCGUAGGCUAACUCCGGAGUGCCGGCUUGUAGGGAGCGACCCUCACAAGCAUGUGCGAAUGAGCACAAAUGGCAAGCAAGCAUAGUCCAAGUCUCAAGUAUCCAAUCCUCAUGUCUCUAACAUGGUAUCGUCACUAGCAUCCCGAAGAUCUAGUUUAAGUCACAAAGCGAAGUUCCAAACACUCACUACGCCUAGUGCCUCUUGAUGACACUUAGGCAAUUUGAUGUUCAACAUUAGCCAAGUCCCGCAAUGGCUCUAACCACCAGGUUCACACAUGUCCCGAGCUCGAUGCCGCUUGAUGACAUUAGCUCUCUAAUUCGCACACAUUCUAGUUCAAUACCUCUAUAUGGCAAUCUUGUCAUCUUUCAUGUCAUAAUUAAAUCAAAGUUUAAAUGCAUGAAUCAAGGCUCAUUUACGCUAUGGAAGUAUGGGACCAAGUUUCGUAUAAAAUGCCAAAUGCAAACCAAAGCUCUCUCAAGCAACUCUCUACUACAUAGAGGUCCAAAAUUUUACUAUAUGCAAUAUAGGCAUUUUAAGCAUUCAUAUUUCACAAUAAAUACGUAUAACAAGAAUAUGCAUGCUUUUUCAAUUAACGAUACUUAAUUUAUCACAAAUGAGAAUUUCUCAUUGUGUGGCUAGGUCAAACCCACCGAACCGUCGCGUAGUGCCUCGUUUCACCGAACGAAGUUGUCCAUGAGUCUCAAAAUACCCUAAAAGUAUUGAGCGAAGAGAUACGCGGGCAUUACGAUCAACUAUAAGAUCAAAUAUUAACCAAUAAGACAAAAGGGCUAAAACUCACCUCAAGAGAAGAAAUCUCUUCCAAAGCUCCAAAAGAUAGCUAGAACCCUUACAAUCCAAGCCCAAGGAAGGUUCUAAAUAAACUAAUUUAGCCCCAAAAGCCCUAGAUCAAAAAUGCCCCAAACAAACCUUAAGUCUCCAUUCUCGGGUUCCAAAGGUAAAACUUACCAAAUCAAGGAUCAAAGGGUAGAAUCCGAGUACUAACCUCUCAAGGUGCCUCCAAACUAGCUCCAAAUCUUCUAGGGUUGAAGAUUGGUCCAUCACCAAGCUCUACAAGUAAGCUCCAAGCCUUGCAAGGGUGGAAAGGGGGUCCAUCACCAAGCUCUACAUGUAAGCUCCAAGCCUUGCAAGGGUGGAAAGGGGAGGAAGGGGUUGAGCUCCAAGCUCCCUCAAGUAAGCUCCUCUUCUUCUUCUCCUCCUUCUUCUCUCUCUAGCUAGGGUGUGGAGGGAGUGUGGGGAGAGAAAUGUGGAGGAGAGAGGAUGGGAGGGCUAUUUAGGCCAUCCAAAGUAACAAAAUCCCAAGAGGUCCCCCAAAAAACCAAAAUUACAACAGCCCGGUCUGGGCAGUUUUCGCCCAGAGGGACCGGUCUCUCCCUAGCAGGGACCAGUCUCUCGCUGCGAACCCGAAAAACCAGCGCUCGGGAACCGAUCUCUCCCCGCGCGGGACCGGUCUCUCAUGCGAAGACACGCUCGGGGACCGGUCUCCCCUGCCAGGGACCGGUCUCCCCUGCCAGGGACCGGUUGCUUCAGGGCUGCCACAACACUGCUCACUGGGGGACCGGUCUCUCCUUCCGGGGACCGGUCCCCGAGAGUAAAAACUCUCAGGACUUGUCCAGAAUUCCAGUUUUCAAACUUCUUAAGUCGAAAAAUAAUCUACGACCCUCCACCAAGUGUGGAAAAGCUCGAAACACAUCCAAUCGCUCGAACUUCGCAAAUCGCAAAGGCCUAGUGUGUUACAUUCACCCCUCCUAAAAAGGAGUUUCGUCCGAGAAACUCGAAAUAACAAGUACCUCAAGCCUCCAUCUGAAAAAGAUGGGGAUAGCACUCCCUCAGUGCGCUCUCCAGCUCCCAAGUGGCCUCGCGCUCGUCGUGGUUGCUCCAAAGCACCUUCACGUUGGGAAUCUCUCGGUUCCGCAGUCUUUUUACCUCGCGACCCAAAAUCCUCAAGGAUUGCUCCUCAAAACUCAAAUUAUCCCUCAGCUCCAUAGGCGUAGCAUCCAACACGUGAGCCGGGUCGUGGAUGUACUUCCGAAUGACCGAUACAUGGAAUACGUUGUGUACACCCGAUAGGUUCAGCGGUAGAGCAAGUCUAUACGCUACCGGGCCUACCCGCUCCAAAACCUCAAAUGGUCCAAUGAAUCGGGGGCUCAACUUGGCCCGGAUUCCAAAUCGUCUAAUCCCUCGAGUCGGCGAGACUUUCAAGAAGACGUGGUCUCCGAUCUGAAACUCCAAGUCUCGUCGCCGCCUGUCAGCAUAGCUCCUCUGCCUACUCUGGGCUGUCAACAGUCGCUCCCGAGCAAUACGAACCUUGUCCUCUGCUUCCUGGAGCACAUAAGGGCCUAAAGCCAAUCUAUCGCCAACUUCACUCCAAUGAAGUGGCGAUCGACACUUCCGUCCAUAGAGUGCCUCGAACGGUGCCAUCUUGAUGCUUGCUUGAUGACUGUUGUUAUAAGCAAACUCUGCCAUCGGUAGAUUCUGCGACCAUCCUCCCUGGAAGUCAAUUACACAGGCUCGAAGCAUGUCCUCGAGAGUCUGUAUAGUACUCUCCAACUGCCCGUCACUCUGGGGGUGGAAAGCAGUGCUGAAAUCUAAGCGCGUACCCAAAGCGUCCUGUAAGCUCCUCCAAAAGUGGGAUACAAAACGGGGGUCUCGAUCCGAUACUAUAGAAGUAGGUACCCCAUGCAAUCACACAAUCUCGUCCAAAUAAACCUGUGCGAGUCUCUCACCAGUCCAAGUAGUGUGGAUAGGUAUGAAAUGUGCCGAUUUCGUCAAUCUAUCCACGAUCACCCAAAUAGCAUCAUGCCCGGUCUGUGAGCGAGGCAAUCCCAUCACGAAAUCCAUGGUGAUCUUUUCCCAUUUCCACACUGGAAUCGGUAGGCUCUGCAACUUCCCCGCAGGAACUCGGUGCUCAGCCUUCACCUGUUGGCAAGUUAAACAUCUAGCAACAAACUCGCCAACAUCCUUUUUCAUCCCGGACCACAAAUAGAGUAGUUUCAAAUCCUUGCACAUCUUGGUGCCUCCCGGAUGUAAAGCAUACGGUGCUCGGUGGGCUUCUUGCAGAAUAUCCUCUUUAAUGCCCAAGUACGCCGGUACACAAAGUCGUCUGCGGAAACGCAUCAAUCCAUCACCGUCUAAAGCGAAGUCACUGGUGCAACCAUCAACCAUCUUAGCUCGAAUCUUUUGCAACUCCGAGUCGGAAGCUUGCCUUUCUUUAAUCCUUUCCAAAAGUGUAGGUUGCACCACCAAAGUCAUCAGUCUCAAAGGUGUAUCAGGAGCCACCACCUCCAACUACAACCGCUUCAUCUGCUCGAUCAACGGCGGUUGAGUAACCACAAGCAUCGCUAAGUUCUCAGUCGAUUUCCUACUUAGCGCAUCAGCCAUCACGUUAGCCUUGCCUGGGUGGUAAAGUAUCGUCAAAUCAUAAUCCUUGAGUAGCUCCAACCACCUGCGCUGCCUCAAGUUCAACUACUUCUGAGUGAAUAGAUACUUUAAGCUUUUGUGAUCCGUAUAUACUUCGCAUCGCUCGCCGUAUAAGUAGUGGCGCCAUAGCUUCAAUAAAAAGACCACGACCGCUAACUCUAAGUCGUGAGUAGGGUAAUUCCUUUCAUAAUCCUUCAGUUGGCGAGAUGCAUACGCGAUCACCUUCCCGUUCUGCAUCAAAACACAGCCCAAUCCAUUAAAGGAAGCGUCACUAUAAAUCACAUACCCUGCUCCAGCAGUCGGCAAGGUUAGGAUCGGGGCAGUCGUCAAUCUCUGUUUCAGCUCUUGGAAGCUUCUUUCAUACGCAUCAUUCCAAAUAAAUUUGGUGCCUUUAUGCGUGAGCCUCGUGAGGGGAGUAGAUAACUUUGCAAACCCCUCCACGAACCGUCGGUAGUAGCCGGCCAAACCAAUGAAGCUCCGUAUCUCGGUCACGCUUGUCGGCAUCGGCCAAUCCUUGAUAGCUUCAAUGUUUCUCGGGUCCACGGCUAUGCCUGAUCCAGAAAUCAAAUGGCCCAAAAACGCCACCUCUCUAAGCCAAAAUUCACACUUUUUCAACUUAGCAUAGAGCUUCUUUUCCCGAAGCACUUGAAGUACAAGUCUCAAGUGUUCCUCGUGAUCCACAUCACUCCGGGAAUAGACCAAAAUGUCGUCGAUGAACACCACGACGAACCUGUCUAAAUAUGGCUUAAAAACACGGUUCAUUAAAUCCAUAAAAGCCGCCGGGGCAUUAGUAAGCCCAAACGGCAUAACAGUAAACUCAUAGUGUCCAUACCGUGUUCUGAAAGCCGUCUUCGACCCAUCCUCAGGUCUGAUCCUCAACUGGUGAUAUUCCGACUACAAGUCAAUCUUGGAAUACACAUAAGAUCCCUGGAGCUGAUCAAAUAGAUCGUCGAUCCUCGGCAAUGGAUACUUGUUCUUGAUCGUGACUUUAUUAAGUUCACGAUAAUCCACGCACAAGCGAAGUGAUCCAUCAUUCUUCUUAACAAACAAGACCGGUGCUCCCCAAGGCGACACACUCGGUCGCACAAAACCUUUGUCCAGAAGAUCCUGCAACUGUGCCUUCAACUCUCUCAAUUCAGCUGGUGCCAUCCUAGAGGGUGCCUUUGAGAUUGGAGUAGCCCUGGGAAUGAGAUCUACCACAAACUCAAUCUCCCUAUCAGGUGGCAUGCCUGGAAGCUCUGCUGGGAACACGUCUCCAAACUCCCGUACUACGGGAAUAUCCUCAAUUCUAGGGGCGUCAUCCUCACCCCGCAACACAACAGUAGCCAAGUAGGCUACGCAGCCUCUACUAAUCAACUGCCUAGCUCGAGAAGAGCUAAUCGUCAUCGCAAAAAGCGAACUCUGGCAUCCUCAGUACACAACCUCUGCCUGCCCCGGCUCUCUAAAAGUCACCAUUCGAUCCUUGCAAUCGAUAGUGGCAAAAUACUUGGUCAACCAAUCCAUGCCCAACACAACAUCAAACACCCUGAGUUUAUGCAAGGCUAGCAAGUCCACGGGCAUGAUCCAAUCUCCAACCCAAAUAGGGCAGCUGGGGCAAAACUCUCGAAUGUCCAAAGAGUGAUCGGGUACAACAACUCGUCCCGGAUGCAACAAGGAUACAAGUGGGAUGCCAUGCAACUCGGCAAACAGCCGGUCUAUAAAUGAAUGCGAUGCACCAGUAUCAAAUAAAGCUUUAACUCGAAUACCAUAAAGUAAAAUGAUACCUGCGACCAGAUUCUCGGCUGCUGCUGCCUCCUCAAUCUGGGCAGCAUACAUGCGCCCACUCGGGGCCUGUCGUGACCCCUCCGCCUGUCGCUGAACAGGUGGCCGUCCUGCCUGAUGAUGCGCAGAAGAUGUCCCCUGACUGGGACCUGGCGAUGCUGGCGCAGAUGCCGAAGAUGGCGCUCGCGCUGGACUCCUCGAACAGUCCGACUGGAAGUGGCCCUCCUGGCUACACAAAAAGCACCUGCCCCGGCUGCGGGAACACUGUCGUGGGUAAUGGGGACCACCACAGAUCACGCAGCGGGGAGCCUAACGACGAUCAGGUCCUCCUCGCUGAGUAGACUGGCCACGUCCUCUCGGUGGCCUCCGUGAGUUCGCUUGGCUCGCACCCUCAGCCGCGGGCCUCUUUUCUUUGCCCUUGUCUAGGGCCUCGCGUCGCUCCUGAAGGUCUGCCGCUCCAGCCUCCACAAUAAGUGCACGGUCCACAACUUCUCGGUAUGUUUGGAGGUUAGAGGACUGCACCAACCGAAAGAUCGAAGGUCGCAAUCCACGCUCAAAAAUGCGGGCCUUGUCCUCGUCAUCCCGCACCACAAAAGGCACACAAUGGAGUAGUCGAGAAAACUCCCUCUCGUACUCGGCCACAGACCGCUCAUCCUGGCACAAGUUGCGCAAGUCCUUCUCCAUCUUCCUCUUGACGUCGGUCGGGAAGUAAUGCGCCAGAAGAAGCUCCUUGAAUCGCGUCCAAGUGAUUGCUGCCAAGUCGGUAUUGGGGUUGUCCUGGAUAUCCAACCAUCAACGGUAGGCCUUGCCGUCCAGAAAGUGAGUGGCGAGCCAAACUCUGUCCCGCUCCUCCACAACGGUAUCUCGAAAUAGCUUUUCCAUAUGCAUCAGCCACUUCUCAACAAUCCAGUGGUCGGCGUUCUCGCCAUCAAACGUCCUCGGGCUGCACCUCCUGAACUCACUGAGGCGCUCCAUGAGCCGAUCCCGCUCGGCUUCCUCGGCCAUCACGGGGAAUGCCGCCCCUGUCGCCGGUCUCUGGAUUGGUAGUGCCGCAACCACCUCCUCCCGAGGUGCAGUCGCCGGUGCCGCACGUGAAGAACUGGGCGCGGGGGACUGCGCCCUCGGUGCGACGUCCACCACGGGUGCUGGCGGUGUGGGACCCUGGGUCUCCCUCGAAGCUGCUGCCUGCUGAAGUAGGAGGUCCUCAAGAUGCUUCAUCCGCGCCUCCUGCCGCUGAGCCACCUCAGCCUAUCGCUGCGCCGCUACCGUCUGCUUCGCCAACAGAUCAGUGAGAACCGCAAGCUGGGCCCUCAAGUCACGGACCUCACUAGAUCCGGAAGUAGUGGAGGUCUCGACCUCCUCGGGAUGUGCCGCAUUAUCUGCUCCGGCAGACUGGGAGCGUGUAACCGGCAUCGACACUACAAAACAUAAAUGCGCAAGUUAGCAACCCACGCUAUCGCAUCCCCGCUCAAGAAGAUAAAACCCGAAAUCAUGCGAAAGUAAGGAAGUGUCCUUCACUACUAACUCUCGAUGUUACGUUGUCGGCCGCCAACGUAACCCUCCGCGAAGUUAGAAGCCAUACACUCCGAUCAAACUCUAACUUUUUAGAGUUAUCACAAAACCCAAUCAUAAUACUUUCGCUCACAAGUCAAUUAGACCACGUCUCUCACGAGCCUAAUUCCUAUAGUCCAACCGGCCUAAGGUUUGCUAGAUCCCCUAAGACUCAACCCUAGUCUCUGAUACCAAAUUAAUCUGUCACGCCCCGGGACCGGCGGAGGCCCUCCCGGUAGCGUGCCCAGACCCGCCAUAUGUCUACACAUAUAAGGCGUCUACGAUAAAAGCGGAAGUAAAGCAAGAGAUAGAGUAAAUAGAAUGAGUAGUAACUAAUGAUAUCAGAGCCAGUAAAGUUCUAUCAUCUAGACCAGAGUAAAAGAAACAUAUCUAAACAAUAAAAGCAACCAUAAGUAGUACACUAUCUAUCUCAAAAGUACAAAAAUGGUGGUCUCUAGUACACUGGUAAGACUCUCAACCUCCCAUAAAAUAAAGCAACGAGAGGUGGACCACCUAUCGAGUCGUCCUCGAAGGAAGCUAGCUCGAAGCAACUCCCUUCCCGCGAUCCCUAGCCUCUCCCGGCGUGGAAGGCUCUGAAAGAAAAUAUAAAACAGAGGGCGUGAGAACUAUAAUUUUAUAGUUCCCAGUGGGCAAUUACUGACCUCAGCUCAAUGCACCACUAGGCCCAAAAGAAAAGGGUAAGUAACGACAAUAAUAAUAAGCAAUAAUAAGCUAGUACAAGAACUACUGAAAGAAAGCAUAUAUGAAAUGCUAUAUUACUAUAUCUCAAAUAAGCAUGAUGUCGUGGUGAUGUACAUCUACGCUAUCAUAAGAAUAAUAUAUCCAAUGCAUACUAAUGUGCCUCAACAUAAUUAAACAAGUAAACCUCACGAUGCAAUAUGUCAAUGCAUAAGGAGCAAGCUCUAGCGAAGUAACCCAGUAUACUAUGAUGCAACGAAUGAAACAGGCAAGUAUACUAUGUAUCCCAAUGCUAUGUCAUGAGCUCGUCAAGUAAUCCAACUACUAAGCCUAUCUAGUAGUGAUCAUUCAUUCUCAACUCUGUGUCGAUUUUCAUUUUCAAUUAAGGACCUACCAAAGAUAGUCCAGCAUGUGCCGCCUAAGUGCCUGUGGUAGCCCAACAUCCCUACUCUUGGAAUGUGUCUGUCCCACUCGACCCCGUAGGCUUCUCAAUGCCGCACGAGCGAACAUAAAUCGCGUAGGCUGACUCCGUAGUGCCGGCUUGUAGGGAGCGACCUUCACAAGUAUGUGCGAAUGAGCACAAAUGGCAAGCAAGCAUAGUCCAAGUCUCAAGUAUCCAAUCCUCAUGUCUCUAACAUGGUAUCGUCACUAGCAUCCCGAAGAUCUAGUUUAAGUCACAAAGCGAAGUUCCAAACACUCACUACGCCUAGUGCCUCUUGAUGACACUUAGGCAAUUUGAUGUUCAACAUUAGCCAAGUCCCGCAAUGGCUCUAACCACCAGGUUCACACAUGUCCCGAGCUCGAUGCCGCUUGAUGACAUUAGCUCUCUAAUUCGCACACAUUCUAGUUCAAUACCUCUAUAUGGCAAUCUUGUCAUCUUUCAUGUCAUAAUUAAAUCAAAGUUUAAAUGCAUGAAUCAAGGCUCAUUUACGCUAUGGAAGUAUGGGACCAAGUUUCGUAUAAAAUGCCAAAUGCAAACCAAAGCUCUCUCAAGCAACUCUCUACUACAUAGAGGUCCAAAAUUUUACUAUAUGCAAUAUAGGCAUUUUAAGCAUUCAUAUUUCACAAUAAAUACGUAUAACAAGAAUAUGCAUGCUUUUUCAAUUAACGAUACUUAAUUUAUCACAAAUGAGAAUUUCUCAUUGUGUGGCUAGGUCAAACCCACCGAACCGUCGCGUNAUGGCAAUCUUGUCAUCUUUCAUGUCAUAAUUAAAUCAAAGUUUAAAUGCAUGAAUCAAGGCUCAUUUACGCUAUGGAAGUAUGGGACCAAGUUUCGUAUAGAAUGCCAAAUGCAAACCAAAGCUCUCUCAAGCAACUCUCUACUACAUAGAGGUCCAAAAUUUUACUAUAUGCAAUAUAGGCAUUUUAAGCAUUCUAAAUUUCACAAUAAAUACGUAUAGCAAAAAUAUGCAUGCUUUUUCAAUUAACGAUACUUAAUUCAUCACAAAUGAGAUUUUCUCAUUGUGUGGCUAGGUCAAACCCACCGAACCGUCGCGUAGUGCCUCGUUUCGCCGAACGAAGUUGUCCACGAGUCUUAAAAUACCCUAAAAGUAUUGAGCGAAGAGAUACGCGGGCAUUACGAUCAACUAUAAGAUCAAAUAUUAACCAAUAAGACAAAAGAGCUAAAACUCACCUCAAGAGAAGAAAUCUCUUCCAAAGCUCUAAAAGAUAGCUAGAACCCUUCCAAUCCAAGCCCAAGGAAGGUUCUAAACCAACUAAUUUAGCCCCAAAAGCCCUAGAUCAAAAAUGCCCAAAACAAACCCUAAGUCUCCAUUCUAGGGUUCCAAAGGUAAAACUUACCAAAUCAAGGAUCAAAGGGUAGAAUCCGAGUACUAACCUCCCAAGGUGCCUCCAAACUAGCUCCAAAUCUUCUAGGGUUGAAGAUUGGUCCACCACCAAGCUCUACAAGCAAGCUCCAAGCCUUGCAAGGGUGGAAUGGUGAGGAAGGGGUUGAGCUCCAAGCUCCCUCAAGCAAGCUCCUCUUCUUCUUCUCCUCAUUCUUCUCUCUCUAGCAAAGGUGUGGAGGGAGUGUGGGGAGAGAAAUGAGGAUGAGAGAGGAUGGGAGGGCUAUUUAGGCCAUCCAAAGUAACAAAAUCCCAGGAGGUCCCCCAAAAAACCAAAAUUACAACAGCCCGGUCUAGGCAAUUUUCGCCCAGAGGGACCGGUCUCUCCUCAGCAGGGAUCGGUCUCUCGCUGCGAACCCGAAAAACCAUCGUUCGGGAACCGGUCUCUCCCCGCGCGGGACCGGUCUCUCAUGCGAAGACGCGCUCGGGGACCGGUCUCGCCUGCCAGGGACCGGUUGCCUCAGGGCUGCCACAACACUGCUCACUGGGGGACCAGUCUCUCCUUCCAAGGACCGGUCCCUGAGAGUAAAAACUCUCAGGACUUGUCCAGAAUUCCAGUUUUCGAACUUCUUAGGUCGGAAAACAUUCUACGACCCCCCACCAAGUGUGGAAAAGCUCGAAACACAUCCAAUCACUCAAACCUCGCAAUUCGCAACGGCCCAGUGUGUUACAUCUCAAGUAGGAAUAGCUUUAAAUGCAUAAAGGUAGUGCUCAUUUUCACAAUAGGAAUUAUGAUUCCAAGUCUCAAUAGGAUGCCAAUCAUGUAUAAGUUCCACAUGCUAGUUCUCUACUACAUAGAGGUCCGAAAAUUCAUCACACAUAACAUAAGCAUGUUAAGCAUCCCGAAAUUCACAAUAAUUACAUUUAUCAUGGAAAUGCAUGAAUUUUUACUCUACUAAGCAUAGAACAUAGGAUAUGAGAAUUUCUCAUAUGCUAGGCUAGGUCAAACCCACUAAACCGUCUCGAAAUCCUUCGUAAGCUCAAACGAAGUUGUCCACAAGUCUUCUAGCACCCUAGAAGCAUCAAAAAGUGAGCUACAAGAAGUAAACGAACAACUACUAGCUCAAUCAUUAACCUACCAAGCAAAAGGGCCAAAAUCUCACCUAUAGAGUAAAAUCUCUUCUCAAGCUUCAAAAGAAAGCUAGAACCCUUCCAAUGAAGUCUAGUGAAAGGUUAUAAUCCAAGAGAUUGAGCUCCAAAAGCCCUAAGUCAAAAAGCCCCAAAAUCAACCCUAAAAUCCAAAUCUAGGAUUUCAUCUCCCAAAAUCUACGAAAAAUAGGUCUAGAGGGGAGAAAUAAGCAACUAACCUCAAGAGGAGAUCUAAACCAAGCUCAAAAUGCUUAAGGGUUGAAGAUUAAUCUACCACAAGGCUCCAAAUCUAAGCUCCAAACCUCCAAAAGUGAGAAAUGAGAAAGAGGAAGAUGCUCCAAAGCUCUCUCAAGCUUGCUCUCCAAUUUCUCCUUCUUCUUCUCCUUCUUCUUCUCUCUCUAACAAGGGUGUGGGGAGGGUUGAGAGACUAGAAAUGAGGAAGGGAAAGGGUGGAAUGGCUAUUUAGGCCAUCUAAAAUAACAAAAUCCAAAGAAGCCCCUCAAAUUCCCAAUAUUGCAUCAGCCCGGACUAGGCAGCUUUCGGACUGAGGGACCGGUCUCCCCGACUUGGGACCGGUCUCUCGGUCUGCCCCCCAAAAUCCAACGCUCGGGAACCGGUCUCUCCCUGCGUGGGACCGGUCUCUUCCCGCGGAGAAGCGCUUGGGGACCGGUCUCAUACGCGAGGGACCGGUUGCAUCAAGGCUGCCGCAAUACUGUUCCGGGGGGGGGACCGGUCUCUCAUAGCCAGGGACCGGUCCCCGAGAGUCAAACUCUCAGGACUAAUCCAUAACUCAGCUUUUCGAACUUUUUAGGUCGGAAAACAUUCUACGACCCUCCACCAAGCGUGGAAAAGUUCAGAACACAUCCAAUCACUCGAACCUCGCAAUUUGCACAGGUCCAGUGUGCUACACACUGUUCGAUUGUUGCAAUCGAUAGUGGCGUAGUAUUUGGUCAACCAAUCCAUGCCCAAAACAACAUCAAACUCUCCGAGUUUAUGCAAAGCUAGCAAGUCCACGGGCAUGACCCAAUCUCCAACCUGAACAGGGCAACUAGGGUAAAACUCUCGAAUAUCCAAAAAGUGAUCGGGUACCACAACUCGUCCCGGAUGCAACAAAGAUGUCAGUGGGAUGCCAUGCAACUCGGCAAACAGCCAGUCUAUGAAUGAAUGCGAUACACCGGUAUCAACUAAUGCUCGUACUCGAAUACCAUAAAAUAAAAUGAUACCUGCGACCACAUUCUCGACUGCUGCCUCCUCCUCAAUCUGGGCCGCGUACAUGCGCUCGCUCGGGGGCUGCCGUGACCCCUCCAACUGCCACUGCACCAGUGGCCGCCCGGCCUGCUGGUAUACAGAAGGUGUCCCAUGGCUGGGACCCGGUGAAGCUGGUGUAGAUGCCGAAGAUGGCGCUGGUGCUAAACCCCUCGGACAGUCCGACUAGAAGUGACCCUCCUGGCCGCACAGGUAGCACCUACCUCGACUGCGGGAACACUGCAGUGGGUAGCGAGGACCACCACAGAUCACAUAGCGUGGUGCCUGGCAACGAUCCGGUGCUCCUCGCUGCGUAGACGAGCCACGUCCUCGCGACUGGCUCCGGCUCCUAGGAUGCCUCGGUGGCCUCCGUGAGUGCGUCUGGCUCGCACCCUCAGCCGCAGGCCUCUUGCCUUUCCCCUUCUCCAAGCCCUCGCGACGCUCCUGAAGGUCUGCCGCUCCAGCCUCCACGAUGAGUGCACGGUUCACAACCUCCUGGUAGGUUUCGAGGUUAGAGAACUGCACCAACCGAAAGAUCGAAGGCCGCAAUCCACGCUCAAAAAUGCUGGCCUUGUCCUCGUCAUCCCGUACUACGAAGGGUGCAUAGUGAAGUAGCCGAGAAAACUCUCUCUCGUACUCGGCCACGGUCCGCUCCUCCUGGGGCAAACUGCGCAAAUCCUGCUCCAUCUUCCUCUUAACGCUAGUAGGGAAGUAGUAUGCAAGUAGGAGCUCCUUGAACCUCUUCCAGGUGAUCGCGGUCAAGUCGGUGCUUCGGUUCUCCUGAAUAUCCAACCACCAAUGGUAGGCCUCGCCGUCCAAAAAGUGUGUGGCGAGCCAAACUCUGUCCCUCUCUUCCACGAAAGUGUCGCGAAAAAGUUUCUCCAUAUGCAGUAACCACUUCUCUACUAUCCAAUGGUCGACUUUUUCUCCAUCGAAGAUCCUGGGGUUACACCUCCUGAACUCGUUGAGGCAAUCCAUGAGCCGAUCCCGCUCGGCUCCCUCGGCCAUCACAGGGAAAGCUGCCCUCGCCGCAGGUAUCAGGACCGGUGGUACUGCAACCACCUCCUCCCGUGGUGCGGUCGCCGGUGCCGCACGCGAAGAACUGGGCGCGGGUGUAACACACUGGACCUGUGCAAAUUGCGAGGUUCGAGUGUUUGAUCUCUGUGUCGAGCUUUUUCAGACUUUCUGGAGGGUCGUAGACAGUGUUCCGACCUAUGGCUCGCAUGGCGAGAAUUGUGGGUUUAAACUUGUACCAAAAUCCCAAAAGGUUGGAUUGUUGGUGUGCUCUCGGGUUAGCCUCAGCUAGGCUGUGUACCGGUACGCCUUGAUGGUUGUACUGGUACAUAAGGGAUUUUCUGCCAACCCGAGGCUCGGGUUGGGCAGUUUCGCAGGAGGUGUACCGGUACAAUUUCCCGUGUACCGGUACACAAUGCAGAUUUUUGGCUGUUUCGUUGAGGGGUGUGUUUUCAAUUGUUGCAACUUCUAUUUAAGCACACCCCAACCCCUUGGGGGCUGUUUUGAGCCCUAGAACAGUGGAGAGCAAGGUAAGAGGAGUUCCCUUUGUUUUCUUCUCCAUUUUUGAUGGAUUUUUGGUGGGUUUUGAUCUAUUUCCUUCUCUCUUUCUUACUUUUUGUAGGUUUUCCACCAUUGGAGAAGCUUGAGAUCUUGGUUGGAGCUUAUUUGGAGAUCAACCUUCAACCCUAGAGAACUUGGAGCUUGGUUUUGAGCAUUUUGUGAGGUUAGUAAACCUAAUCUCCCAUUUGGAUUAAGUUUUGAAGGUUUCUUUUGAAUGAAACCCUAGAUUUCGGAUUCUAGGGCUAGAAUUGGAGAUUCUUGAUUUGUAGCUUCUAGAACCAAAUUGAUUGGUUUAGAACUUUAAUUUAGGUUGGUUUUGAAGGAAUCUAACUCCCUUUUGGAGUUCGUGGGGGAUUCCUUAGCGUUCGGUGAGUUUUCUCCAACCUAGCUAGAGAAGCUUAAUAUUUGAGCUUAGCUUUGUUCGUGAGCCUUGUUUGACACUUGUUUCUACAUCCUUAGGGUACUAGGAGGCUAGUGGACACCUUCGUUCGGCGAAACGAGGAGUUCGACAAAUCGGUGGGUUUGACUUCAUAGAAAUGGGGCGAAAUGGCCUCUAUGCAUUCUAAACUCUUCGUAAAGUAUUUUUAAAUGCAUUUCUAUACUAAUUGGAAUGUAUGUGAAUUUUAGAACACCUAAAAUGCAUGCCUUAUGUGUAAGUUAAAUUUCACUCUAUAUAGUAGAGCAAUCAAGGUUAUUGUCAUGCAUGUGGGGUGGGUUCAUGUGGACGAAUGGGAUUCUCGUCUAGUAUGCUAAUUUAGCUCAUGUUCAUGUAUGGGAAACAUUGUACUAUAUUUGGACUUAUUAGCAAAAAGUGUCAUCAAGAGGCACUUGAAACUAGUAAACUAUGAACUGCAACUUAGAGACAUGAUGAUAGGCUAUUGUACAUCUGCUAUAUUCCAUGUUAGAGACAUGAUGACAUAGAGAUAGGCCAUUGAGAUACUUGAUAUAUUCCAUGUUUUUAGACAUGAGGACUUGGUACUUGAGACAGAUCAUUGCUUGCUUGCCAUUGUGCUCAUUCGCACAUGCUUGUGAGGGUCGCUCCCUACAAGCCGGCACUCCGGAGAUAGCCAUCGCGACACAUGCUCGCCCGUGCGAGAUUGGGCGCCGAAGUGGAUUGCCGUGGGGGAGGCUCAUCCCUAGAGUGGGGAUGUUGACUACCACGGGGCCAUUAGGCACGGCGCAGGCCAGACAGCCUUCGGGUGGGUCUUAUAUGAUUGGGACUUAGUGACAGAACAUGCUAUGUGAACUUUAAAACUAUUAAAGUGGACUUGGACUAGAAUAGUAAACAAUGACAUCUUUACUAUUUUUGCAUUGAGGACAUCGGAUUGGUUGCAUUUCUAUGCUUAUGCAUGUCAUACACAUCCAUGUACAUUCAUGAUAUCGUUGCUUUAUUACUUAUGCAAAUCAUGCUAAGUAGAGACUCUAUGUUAUAGUAAGUUACAUUUUACUUACCUUUCGCUUUACUACAUUGUUAGUCACUGACCUCUUUUCGUAGCUUUUGGGCCUUGUGGCGCAGUUCACUGAAGUCAGUAAUUGCCCACUGGGAACUAUUUUUAAUAGUUCUCACGCCCCUGUUUUCUGGUUUUCUUUUCAGAGCCUUCGGCACCGGCGGAGGCACGGGAUCGCGGCAAGGGGAUCGCAUAGCUAGCUAGCGAGGAGCGGUUCUUUGCCUAGGUGGUUUACUCUUUUUUUUUGUAGCUGAGAGAGAGAGAGAUUUUGUAUCCAUGUAUAGAGACCACCUAUGUAUCUACUUUAGCACUCGUAUUUGGGAUUUCCUUGUAUUACUUUAUGCUUUUAUUAAUGGAUUCCAGCUUUAUGCUCCUUUCUCUAUUGUAGAACUUAGUAUUAUAUCAUGCUCUCAUACUCCUAGUUGUCUUUUAUUGUCGCUUUAUUUAUUAUUGCUUUUAGACGCCUUAUAUGUUUUAGACGUAUGGCGGGUCUGGGCACGCGCCGGGCGGGCUUCCGCUGGGUCCCGGGACGUGACAGCGGGGAAUUGCACCCUCGGCGCGACGUCCACUACAGGUGCUUGCGGUGUGGGGACCUGAGUCUCCCUAGAAGCUGCUGUCUGCUGUAGCAAGAGAUCCUCCAAGUGCUUCAUCCGCGCCUUCUGCUGCUGUGCCACCUCGGCCUGUCGCUGCGCCGCCGCCGCCUGCUGCGCUACAAGAUAAGUGAGGACCGCAAGCUGGGACCACAAGUCGCGGACCUCGCUAGAUCCGAAAGUCGCGGAGGUUUUGACCUCCUCGAGGUGUGUCGCAUCGUCCGCUCCGGUAGAUUAGGAACAUGUAACCGGCAUCGUCACUACAAAAUAUAAAAGCGCAAGUUAGUAACCCGCACUAUCGGAUCCCCGCUCAAAAUAACCAAACCCCAAAUCUUGCGAAAGUAGGGAAGUGUCCUUCACUACUAACUCCCAAUGUUACGUUGUCGGCCGCCAACGUAACCCUCCGCGAAGUUAGAAGCCAUACACUGCGAUUAAACUCUAACUUUUUAGAGUUAUCAUAAGACCCAAUCGUAAUACUUUCGCUCACAAGUCGAAUGGACCUCGUCUCUCACGUGCCUAUAUCCUAUAGUCCAACCGACCUAAGGUUUGCUAGGUCCUCUAAGACUCAACCCUAGGCUCUGAUACCAAAUUAAUCUGUCACGCCCCGGGAACCGGCCUAGGCCCGCCUGGCGCUUGUCCAGACCCGCCAUAUACCUACGCAUAUAAGGCGUCUACAACAAAAGAGAUGCGAAAGCAAGAAGAAACAAGUAUCUAGAGAUAUCAGAGCUGCUAACAACUAAAACUAGCAACAAGUAGAGAAGAAGUAAAGUAGUCCACUAAGCAUAAGCAUAAAAAGGUACAAUAAGAAUCACAAGAAAAUCCACAGUGGGCUGGUCUCUAUACACAGGUAACUCUCCAAAACCUUUCCAAAAUAAAACAUCGAGAGGUAGACCACCUAUCAACGCGUCAUCGAUAGCAAGCAAGCUCCAGGCGAUACCCUUUCCGCGGUGCCUAGCCUUGCCCGGAGUGGAAGGCUCUGAAAUAAAACAUAAAACAAAUGGGCGUGAGAACUAUAAUUUAUAGUUCCCAGUGGGCAAUUACUGAUCUCAGCUCAAUGUACCACUAGGCCCCAAAAGAAAAGGAUAAGUACGAUAAGCAACAAUAGUAGUAAUAGACAAUAAUAAACUGCAGAAUUGAAAGCAUGAGUAAAAUACUAUGCCAUAAGUAAACGUGAUGUAUGUCAAUGCUAUCAUGUUUGAAUAAGCCAAUGUCGGGUGAAUACGCUCAUCAACUGCCAAGUAUACUAAGAUGCGAUGAGUAAUUCUAUCAAGUAUACAACAUGUCCCAAUAUCUCAAAGCCACACUAUGAGUAUGUCCAAUAAUCCAACUACUAUGAUCUAUUUAGCAGUGAUUCCAUUUUAAGAGGUCAUGUCCGAGUUCAAUCUUGUUUUGGGACCUACACGAGUGUAGUCCGGCUUGCGCCGCCUAAGUGUCGGUGGUAGCUCCAGCAUUUCGACUCUGGAAAUGAGUCUAUCCCUCCCGACCCCGUAGACUUCUCGAUACCGCACGAGGGAUCAUAAGUCGCAUAGGCCAACUCCGGAGUGCCGGCUUGUGGGGAGCGACCCUCACAAGCAUGUGCGAAUGAGCACAAAUGGCAACAAGCAUAAUCAUCGUCUCAAGUACCCAAUCAUCAUGUCUCUAACAUGAUAAAAGUUACUAGUAACCCGAAAGUCUAGUUCUAUGUCUCAAUAUGAGGUUUAAUCGUUCAAUAAUUUCUAUGUCAAUGACCAUAGCUUUACUACGUCAAAUCCAAGUCCAAUGCCCCUUUUAUGAUAUUAGCUUACUAAAUCAUGUAUCAUGUACAUCUAUGUUCUUUGAUGGCAUUACAUUAUGCUAUGUCCAAAUUUUGUCCCAACACUAGUGCCGCUUUAUGACACUAGGUUUCACUUGUCCCAACUACAUUACAAGCCCAAUGCCCCUUUAUAACAUUGGCUCAAUAGCAAGCUAAUAGUGUACGUUUCAAACCUCUUCAUGGCAUUAUGUAUGGUCCUAUGUCCCACAUGAGAGUUAUGUCUAAAGGCACAUUAUCCUUCUCAUUCUCACUACAUAAAACAUACCCUUGAGUCAUAUCUAGAAUGCUAAGCACAUGCAUAAGUCUCACAUGCCACUCUCUACUACAUAGAGGUCCAAAAAUGUAUUAUAUAUAAUAUAGACAUUUUAAGCAUUCUAAUAUUCACAAUAAAUACAUUUAUCAUGGAAAUGCAUGAAUUUCUACUUUACGAAGCAUGUAACGUCGGGUAUGAGAAUUUCUUAUAUGCUAGGCUAGGUCAAACCCACCGAACUUCGCGCAACCCUUCGUUUGCUCCAACGAAGAUGUCCACUAAUCUCCUAGCAUCCUAAGAGCAUCAAAAAAUGAGCUACAAGAAGUAAACGAACAACUACUAGCUCAAACAUUAACCUACCAAGCAAAAGAGCCUAAAUCUCACCUAUAGUAUAGAAAUCCCUUCCCAAAGCUCAAAUGGAAGCUAGAUCCCUUCCAAAGCAACUUAAACCAAGGUUCUAAUCCAAUUAAAUUAGCUUAAAAAGCCCUAAAUCAAAAGGCCUCAAAUAAACCCUAGAUUUUCCACUCUAGGGUUUCAUCUCCCAAAAUCCACCAAAACUAAGUUUAGAGGGGAGGAACAAGCAACAAACCUCUUAGAAGUUCCAAUCCAAGCUCCAAGAGUGAAAAGCUCCUCUUUAGCAAGCUCCAAGUCCAAGCCUUCAAGCACCAAAAGGAAGAAGAGAGGGAGAGGAAGAUGCUCCAAGUCCUCUAGCUAGAUCCUCCUCCUCUUCUUCUCCUUCUUCUUCUUCUCUUCCUUCUUCUCCUUCUCCUCCUUCUCUAACUACGGUGUUGGGGAGGUGAGAGAAAGAGAAAUGAGGAAGGGAGAGGGUGAAAUGGCCAUAUAGGCCAUCUAAUGUAAUAAAAUCCAAAGAAGCCCCUCAAUUUCCCAAUAUUGCAUCAGCCCGGACUGGGCAGUUUUCGGACUGAGGGACCGUUCUCCCUGACCUGGGACCGGUCUCUCGGCCUGCCCCGAAAAUCCAACGUUCGGGGACCGGUCUCUCCCCGCGUGGACGCGCUCGGGGAUCGGUCUCAUCCGCCAGGGACCGGUUGCCUCAAGGCUGCCGCAAUACUGUUCCGGCGGGACCGGUCUCUCCCAGCCAGGGACUGGUCCCCGAGAGUAAAAACUCUCAGGACUCAUCCAGGACUCAGAUUUUUGAACUUUUUAGGUCGGAAAAACAUUCUACGACCCUCCACCAAGUGUGGAAAAGCUCGGAACACAUCCAACCACUCGAACCUCGCAAUUUGCACAGGUCCAAUGUGCUACAUUUAUUUUCUGGAAGUUUCAAAUACUCUAGAUCAUAUUUAAUGGAGAGGAUCGUUGAUUCGGAUGGUCCAUCAUUGAAAACUUAUGAGUACGAGGACUCCAAUACUCAUAAUAGUAUAGUAGCCACUGCCUAUAUAUAUAUAUAUAUAUAUAUAUAUAUAUUAGAGAUAGAAUUAGGCUGAAAUACUAUUAAUAGUAAAAACGCCUUCUUUUCGGGCUAUCAAGUUUUUUAAACCCUUGGAUUGAAAAAUUGUAGGGUCAGGGAUGUAUUAGUCGCUCAGUUAGAGUUGAGUGUGCCCCUAUGGUUGAUUUGGUGUUCCCCAAUGGGUGUAUAGUAAAAAAAUAAAAAAAAAAAAAAAAAUAAUUUUAAAAAAAAAAAAAUAAAAAAAAACUAUGAUCCAAUGUAGAAUCAAGUGAAAAGAGUGAUCCAAAGGCCUAAAAACUUGGUAGCAACAUUGGGAUUUUGCUACUAAUUCGUAGCCAGUCCAACUCUAUAUAUAUUUAUUAUAUAGAGAGAGAGAAGAGUUGAGCUAGAAUACUAUCGGUAGUAAACGAGGCCUUACUACCGAUUUAUUUUCGUGAAUAGACUUUCAAAUUGACGAUCGGAUCGUUGAACAUGAUCUAUACCACUUGAAGGUUUAGAAAUCAAAUUUCAAAUCUUUUUGACAUCAUUUGUCCUAAUGAUCAAAGGGUUUCAAAAUUUGUAAUUUUAAUGGUCGAUAAGAGGCGUUUUUCUCGUUUAACGGCAUAAGAUAUCCAAAUCAAUUGAAUUUUGUUUUUAGAAAAUUCUUUAACUAUUUAAACAAGAUCUAUACUUCUUGAACCUUGAUUACAAGACCUAUCAUCAUUUUUUAAAGAGUAUUCAUUUUUCAGCUAUUCAUUUUUUGCUUAACUUGAUGGAAUAAAGAACAAUAUCGAAAGUGCGGUGAAAUUUGAAUUUCUAGGUAGUUUAAAUGGUUUAGAUCAUAUUUAACGGAGCCAAUCGUCAAUUUGAAGCUCUCUCAUCGGAAAACAAAUCGGCAGUAAAACGGCUCGUUUGCUACCAAUAGUAUUCUAGCUCAACUCUCUCUCUCUCUCUCUCUCUCUCUCUGUCUCUUCUCUCUCUCUCAUAUAAUAUAUAUAUAUAUAUAUAUAUAUAUAUAUAUAUAUAUAUAUAUAGUUGAGCUGGAAUACUAUCGGUAACAAACGGGCUCCAUUGCCACCCAUUUGUUUUCGAUGAUGGAGCCUUCAAAUCGACGAUCGGCACCGUUGAACAUGAUCUAUAUCACUUGAAGUAUCUAGAAAUCAAAUUUCAAAUCUUUUUGACAUCAUUAACCUAAUGAUCAAAGGGUUUCAAAAUUUGUAAUUUUAAGGGUCGAUAUGAGGCAUUUUCUUAUUUAAUGGUGUAAAGCUAUCCAAAUCAAUUGAAUUUUGGUUAGAAAAUUCUUUAAACUAUUUAAAACAAGAUCUAUACUCUUGAUCUUGAUUACAAAAUUUCUAUCAUUACUUUUUAGAGGAUAUUCAUUUUCAGCCGUUCAUUUUUACGUCCACUUGAUGAAUAAGAGAACAAUAUCGAAAAAGUAUGAAAUUUGAUUUCUAGAUACUUCAAGCGGUAUAGAUCAUGUUCAACGGUGUCGAUCGUCGAUUUGGAGGCUCCAUCAUUGAAACCAAAUCGGUGGCAACGUAGCCCGUUUGCUACCGAUAGUAUUCUAGCUCAACUCUAUAUAUAUAUAGAGAGAGAGAGAGAAAGAGAGAGAGAGAGAGAGAGAGUUGGACUGGACGACUAUUAGUAGCAAAAUCCCAUUGUUGCUACCAAUUUUUUAGCCUUUGGAUCAAUUCUUUUCAUUAUUUCUAACCAUUGGAUUAAAUACUAUAACCCAGUGGGGACCACUCAACCCUCGGGGGACCACUCAACUCUAACCGACUAAUAUCAUCCUGACCCUACAAUUUUUCAUCUAAUGGUUAAAAACUUGAUAGCAAAAAUAGCGUUUUACUAUUAAUAGUAUUUCAGCCUAAUUCUAUAUAUAUAUAUAUAUAAAACCUAGAGUAAAAGAAAAAUUAAAGUAAUAUUUUUUAAAAAAAACCUUAUUAUUCCACGUUCCCCCACUUCACUGAAAUUCUGGCUCCGCGCCCCAAUAAACACCAUGGUAACUACAAAGCCACGAACAAAUCCGUAGCUUCUUUCCUUUGUUAUUCCACAAUCCACAUGAAUCAAAAAUUAUUUUCUGUAAUAGUAUAGAAACAUAAAACAAAGUUGGCGAUAUAAUCAGCGCAGCGUAAACAUUUCUUGAUCUUGAUCUGUAAGUAAGGGUGUAAACGAGCCGAACACGAGUGAGCUAGGGUCGGCUCGUGUUCAGNAGCUCGUUUAAUGAACGGGCCGAACAAAAGCUGGCUCAUUUGUGACACCCCAAUAAUCCCACAUCGGAUGGGAAUGAGCCAAAAAAUUCAACUCGUGUUCGGCUCGUUAAUAAACGAGCCGAACAUGAGUUGGCUCACGAACUGGCCAACGAACAAUAAGUUAAAAGGAUUAGAUUGAAUAUAUAUAAAAAAUAAAUUGAUAAAAUCUUAUCUUUUAGACUUUGAUCUAAUAAUUGAAAAUUUAUAUAUAAAUAUUUUUUUUUAUAAUUGAGCUCGCCUUUAUAUUUUUAUUUUGCUAAAAAUUAAAUAAUAAACAUAUAUAUUAUAUAUAUAAUUAUUUAUUUAUAUAUAUAAAUAUAAAUUAAAUAAAUUAUAUAAAAAAAAAAUAUAUGUAUUCGAGCUGUUAUCGAGCUGAACAUGAGCGAGCUGACCCCAGCUUGUGUUCAGCUCGUUUACUAAACGAGCGAAUCGAUCUCGAGCUUAUUUCGAGCCGAACAUGAGCUGACUCGCGAACAGCGAGCUAGAUUGCCACCCCAAUCUGUAAGUAGCCAAAGAUAUCAUCAUCCCUGAAAAAAGAAUAGGAAUGAGAAAAAUCUAAAGAACACGGGAAGGAUUUCUCAACUGGAUCAAUUGAAUCAACAAACUGCCCAUCUGUACAAUUUCACCUCUUAUAGAUGGUUCUUCUCCCUGUACAUUUACGUAAUCCGAUGAUAGGCUAGGAAUUAACCCAUGCAUCUCCAAACUAGAAACCUCCAUUCCUUUAAUACUUUAAUCAAAUUCCCCCUUCUCAAAUUCUAUUUAUGAAGCUAAUCAAAUUUCAGUUUAGCUUGUUUGGGACUUCCGCAGAAUUACCUAAAUAAUACUUUAAUCAAACAAUAUCACCUCCUUUUGGACUACAGGAAGCACCAGUUGCCUGCUUUCCCCUGCUCAAAAGCCUCUUUAACGACCUCAACCUCGCCAUAGAUGGGGACUUUAUCUCCUCUGGAGGCGAGAUUGGUGCUGGCAAUCCUGGAAAACAUCGGCGUGGAAUCUCUAUCAUGAGCACCCCUUCUUCCUUUCUCGUAGAAGAAGAAGAAGAAGAAGAAGAAGAAGAAGAAGAGCCCGACGAACUCGACGCACCUUCUUGUGCACUAACCCCACCCUGAAUCCCCCAGAAGAGCACAUUUGUAGGCAAAGCCGGCGACUCCCUCGAAGACCCAUUUCCACUAACGUCUUGUGGACGCCGAAUUCCUGCUGAUCCGGCAGCGGGAUCAGGUUGGGCGGUGACUAGUGUGCGACAAAGGGGACAUGUAGAGUGGGAGUGGAACCACAUGUCGAUGCACUCGACAUGAAACCUGUGGUCGCAAUCAGGAAGUAGACGAAUCCGCUCACCCUCCGAGACCUCGGAGAGGCACACGGCGCACUCCAGCCCCUCCUUGUAGUUCUCCGCGCGAUAAGCAGCGACCGGGAGCGCCGUAAGAACGUCCGGGUGGAGGCCGCUGCGCGGCGCGAGCUCGGUGGCGAAGACGAAGCGGCGCCGGGAGCGGGAGCGGCCGAGCACGGGAUUCGCGCCCACGUACUGCUUGGCGUAGAGGUAGAGGACGAAUAUGAAGGCGACAACAAUGAAGAGGAAGAUGACCGCAGCCACCAUGAUCUCGCUGCUUAUGGUCGCCGCCGCGGCGCUAUUGGUGGGCGCCGACGCCUCCUCCUCCGCCAUUGUUGCUGCUAAAAAUGGGAUUUUGGGAAUUAACUGGGUUUCUGUCUAAAAUGGGGAAACUCUGCGGAACCGGUGAGAUUUGGGGAAUUGCGGGGGGUUUCUGUGGAGAAGGUUGCAGUGGAGAGGGGAGAGAGGAAGAUGAGAGAAUGGGGUGGUUUCGUUGUUUUGGUUAGAGGAGUUUAUUGUUGUGGAAGGGAAGGGAAGGGAACGGUGAUGUGUAGAAGCGAGCUAUCCCAAAGGAGGGUUUUAACGUCCAUUGGAAGGAGGAAAGUGAGGGGAAACAGAGUGUGACGUGGACGAGUAACGUUGAUGGAAAUUAACAACGUCAACGGCGGCGCCAAAGUUGAAGAAUUCUUCAAAACGUGACUAAAAAGAUCUGGAUAUGCUUGCGUAUAUAAUAAUAAUUUAAUUUCCAAUUUCCUCAAAGAAAAAAAAAAUCAAUUCCAUAAUGAAAACUUAGAAAGUGAUAGAGAAAAACACACAUAUUAUUUAUUACCUUUCAUUCAAUGCUAGGGUAGUUAUUCGCGCGAUGCGACGAAUAAAUAUUAUUAUAGUCAACUUUUAUUAUAUCUACUAAAUUUUUUUCUUUUUAUAUGUUGUGUUUUAGAAAGUAAUCUAUUUUUUUUCAUCUUUUAAAAUACUAAAUUUUGAUUUGUUUUCGGCUUCUUUUUCUUAAUAUUCAAUAUAUAUAUAACUUUGAUUUUUUUACUAAAAAUUUUGCUAUUUUAUUUCUUCUAUAAUUAUACUGUUUGAUUUUAUUUUAUCACUCUGAUUCUAAUUUUAAAACUUAUUCUUAUUCUUUAUUUUUUUUUCAUAAGUGCCACUUACGUAAAUAAGUAAAAACAUAGACAUUAAAUUUGAAAAGUAAGUGAAAGUAUAAAAAAUAAAUAAAUAAAUAAAAGAUAGUAAAAAAAAAUAUUGAAAUACCUAAGAAGAAAUGAAUGAAAUAGAACUAAUAGUAAAAAUAAUAAGAAAAGCAAGUAUAAUAGUAGCUGGUUAUGCAAAAAAUACUGUAACAGCAAUAACAAAUCAAAAGUAACAAAGCAAAACAACAAUAUCUUUUUGCAAUCUAGAGUUAUAGUAGAAAAAAAAUAAUAAUAGAAGAAAAUUAAGUGCACAGUACAGAAAAUUUAUUAGAAUACAUAAGAUGUNGUAAGGAAAAACUAGAUGAAGAUAGGAUAGAAAAACCUCCUAAUAAAAAGAAGAGUUACAGAACCAAACCAGCGAAGAUUUUUAAAAAAUAAAGCAGCUAAGAACCAAAAGAAGUUACAAAAUUAAUAUAAGAAGAAAGAUAGAAGGAUAAAUUAAAAGGAGUCGAUAAUGGUGCUUGAAUUUCUACUUCUACUACUGCUGUUUCUACUGCAUCUUCAGUUUUUUUUUUCUUUUAUUCGUUUUUCUUCCAUAGGAAGAAAAGAACUACAAACAUAAGAAGAAUAAAAAGCUAUUUCUACAAUUGUGAAUGAUGUAUAUAUUAUCGUGUACAUGUAAAGUAAAAAUUAAAUAACAUUCUAAGCCAUAAAAUUGACAGUUACUUAUGUUUUCAUAGUUGGUAUUACCGCUGAUGCUUUUACUGCUAGUGCUGCUCCUUCUAAUUUUACUCUAGGCUUAGAUAAUCAAUAAACUUUAUUAGUAAUCAACAAAGGUAAUUUUUGCAUUUUAAAUGUUAUUAAAACGAAUUGUACCGAAAAGUAUAAAUUACCUCAAUAGUUGCUUUAUCGGCUGUUGAGAGAAAUUGAUGGUUGCAACAGUUGCACAAUUGCUAUCCAAGCUGUCUUAUCAUACAAAAUAUUUAUUGAUAUUUAAUCAUAUAAUUGUUUAUUUUUCAUCAUCAUCAAUAAUAUAAGAAACGUAUACAUUAAAUUUGUAAAACCUAUUAAAAAGUAAUUAAAAGUAAAGAAGUAAAUAUUAAAAUAACUGAAAAAUAUUUGAAACUAUAUAGAAAUUUCUUAAAUAGCUUUCUAUAAUUGGUAACGAAAGAAUUGAAUACCUCACAAAUUCCCAGAUUAGAGGAUGUUUCUAUACUUUUUCUUGGUUGUUAAUUUUGCCUAGUUGUUAGGGAGCAUAUAUUUAGUGAAAUAAACAAAUUUUUCUAUUCUCGAUAUAUUAGCGCGCACAUCUAAUUUGAAUAGCUCUCUAAUCCCGAAAUUAGAGGAUCAAUAGUAGUUUUUAUUUUUUCUUCUAAAAAAUAUAUGAAUAUAAUAGGUAAAUCAAACUAAAUAUAUAUAAAAGGGUUAUGAAUAGGGGAGCCUACCGAUUCAAAUCCAAUUGAUUGCAUAAAGCAACAAAAGCAUGCCAACAGUAAGAAAGCAAAAUUCAAAUUUAUUAGAAAAAUAUGGCUAAAUUAUAGAAAAAAUUCCCCUGUCAAUAUCCGCUUUUUCACUUUUUUCCCUGUCAUUCAAAAACAUCCACUUUUCCCUCUUAAAAAAUAAAAAAUGUUCACUUCGGCCCCUACCGUCAAUGUUCCGUUAGAGUUCCAUUUAUAUCAUAUUUUUGUACCCAAAAUACCCCUGAAACCCUCAUCUUCCUCCUCCUUCCGCACCGACAUUCUCGGCCAUGCCGCCUCGCCCUCGCCCUCGCACAUUUCUCUGUCCGUGCCCAAACACACGCCGCCGCCCUCCUCCGCCGCCUUGCCCUCGCCCUCGCACACUCCUCUGUCCAUGCCCAAACACAUGCCCUCGCUCUAUUAAGUAUUGUGUGUUGGCAAGUUUCGUGAAUUGAGUCGGAGUCUUGAAGGAUUUGGUGCAUAUUGUGAAAGUUCGAAUAAUCCAAGACUUCGGAGAAAUUAGAAAUAACUCACAACAUAAAUCACGAUGCUAAGGUAAGCUUUCAAUUCAUGAUAUGGUAAUUCACACUUAUAGACAUUAGAAUCAUGAAAAUCAAAGUUUCGUGGAUUAGAAAGUGCUUUGGAACUUUUUGAAACCCGAGAUUGUGAAAUUCUGAAAACUACAGCUGUUAACCGGUAAAGCAUCGGACUGUUAACCGGUACAGCAUCGGACUGUUAACUGGUACAGCAUCGGACUGUUAACUGGUUAACAAUAUAUAUCGAAUUUUCUGUGUCGCCUUUUGUUAACCGGUGACAACUUAAUAUGUUAACCGGUACACAGUGUAAAAACCUGAAAACUUUUUAAUCCAACUCUAAUUGAUUCUAAAGUCUAUAAAUAAGCUAUUAAGGUUCUCUAACUCAAUGAACCUGAUGAGAAUAUAUGUUUGAGAAGCCCUAGAGGCUAGGAUUUUGUCCAAAACCUAUUUCUACAAAAUAGCCUCUUCUAGGUCAAUUCGAGAUAUUGUAAUUCGAGAUCUAUAUGUCGAAUUGAUCUAAGACUUUGCUUAGAGUUUUGUCUAUGGUUCUUCAUCGAUAUUCUAAGUGAAGGAUCACCAUAAUCAUGAUGUUCUUCAUGGACGGCGCCGUGCAUUCAGCGUGAUCGAAGGCGGCUCGUGGAUUCGGAUCGUGUGCUCGUGGAUUCGAGUGGUGUUUGUGGAUUCGGAUGUGAGCGAGGCGUUCGCGGAUUCGAACGUGAGGGUGUGGACAACCCGGAGGAUUGCGCGAGAUUCAUAUGAGGUUAAGAGAGGUCGAGUCCGUGGAGUCGGUAAUCACCUUGUAAUAUUUUCUCUUAGUGAAUUAUUUUUUUCGCGUGUUGGUCCCGUGGAUUUUUUAUUCCAAGUUUGAGUUUUCCCACGUAAAUCUCAGUGUGAUUUUUAUUUUCCGCAUCUACUUUUAUCGCAUUCAGAUUUGUGGUUUUUGGCCGUUACACCUAUUCACCCCUCUCUAGGUGUUUGAUACAAUCUAGAUAGAUUCUAGGGCUCCUCAUAACUUACACUCCCUCCUCCGCCACCUCACCCUCGCCCUCGCCCUCGCCCUCGCCCACCUCUCCGCCUAUACCCACCACCAUCUCCUCCCUACAAUCGCCGAAAUAGAGGGAUAGUGAGAGUGCUAGAGGAGCAAGGGAGCAGGUCGAGGAAACAGAGUCAGAGCUGGGGUUGAGGGAGGUGCGAGUGAGGGUGCGGGAUGAGCAAGAUUAGGGAGAAGACGAAAAAGAUUAAGGCAAGUUAGUUAUUUUGUCACACUGUACCCCCCUGCAAAUAUUUUUUUAUUUUUUAAGGAGGGCAAUGUGUAGGUUUUUGAAUGACAGGAGAAAAGUAAAAAAUUGAAUAUUGACAAGGGGGUUUCUGUAAUUUAACCAAUAUAUAUAUAUAUAUAUAUAUAUAUAUAUAUAUAUAUAUAUAUAUAUAUAUAUAUAUAUAUAUAUAUAUAUAUAUAGUAGGGCUACUAUGCUAUUAAUAGCACAGCUGCCCUCGUGCUCCUAAGUUUCUAACCAUCCAUCAAUUUUGAUGGGUGGUUAGGGUGAGAGAGAGAAAAGAAAUUUAGAAGAUAUUCAAAAAGAUAAGAAAUUGAUAACCUUAAUUUCUCUCUAAUAUCUCUUCUCUCUCUCACCUAUAUGUCAGUCCCCCGGAAAGGCAUUUGGACGCGUAACGCGCAGGCGAAGCCACCGAUAGGACCGGGAAUUCCUCUGUAGCGGACGUAGUCUCCCCAGUAGUACAAGGCGUGCAAUCCCAAAAUCACGAAUGUUUCAAAAGAAUAUAUAAUCAGAUUGCCUAAGGAAUACAAUAAUAAUCUAGCUUGCUAUUACACAUUCAUUUCACAAUCACGUUAACAUCAAUUCAGUUUACAUUUUUUAUUCCAAAUUAAAUCUCAAGUACUAAUAAGUUUCAAGUUGAUACAUUUUCUUUUUUGUUCUUAGACCUAAGCUAACUGUCUAGGGUACUGCUACGUUCGGUCUUGUGUGGGCGCUAUUACUGACUAAUGCCCUCGAUCGGCGCAGCGCCGCGCCGUACAUGAAUGGAACGAAUGAUAACGUCCCAAAACAAAGUGGGGUGAGAACAAUCAUGGUUCCAGUGGGUAACGGCACCAGGAAAAGCUCGACCGAUAGGUCCGAGGAGGCACUGCAACAUGUUAGUUCAACAAUAUACAACAGAUAUAUAUAUUCAAUUGAAAUACAUGACAUACCUCACAAUAUGCGAUAUGAAAAUCAUGCAACAACUAGUAGAUCAUUUGAAUUCUACUUUUAUUUGGCUACUUUAGCUCAUAACUUUACUCUAAGGUUUCUAUUACCUUAGGAUCACAACACCAACCACUAGCUUCUAAGGUUUCUAUUUACCUUAGGUCAAGCCUCUAUCUCUAGCUCAUAAGGGUUCCUCUACCCUAUCAUAGCUAACCACCCGACUCGACUUCGAGUCAAUCAUCUGCGGAUAGUCCGCGCACUGGCUGCUCAACAGCCUACCGCACUCUCUCUGACUCAGCCUCCCAGCGACGAAAUCGUCGCACACGCUGAACACGGCUCGAGCCACAAGACUUGACCAUCGGUGGCGAUCGCGUUGCACUUACCCAGCGUGAGCUCAAGACAUGACAUACUGUCUGGCGGCGAACGGGUGGCACCACACCCAACAACGGUCAUGUCAGACUCAGUCACCUGGAGGCACCCGCAUCGUACUUACCCAGCAUGGAUUCAGUCUACUCUGGCGGUCUGAUUCUCAAAUGGCUUAACCACUCUGGCGGCGAAAUCGUCGCACAAACGCCAGCACAAUGGUUCAAGCCCCGGGCGGUGAUCUCCAUAUGAUCGCCCCCAAUCUACCCACGGUACCGAGCUCGGCGGCGAAGUCGUCGCACGAACGCCCUAGCCUGUACCAGGGACAUCAUAAGUCCUGGGAUUCCGGAAUCCACUUUGCCACAGGUCGAGGGUCCAUAACAAACCCUAUACUGUCGACCUAGCUCAUCCUAGUGGUUAUACCACUAUACUCAUCAACCUAGGUUCCAAUACUCUAGGUUCUAUGUCAACAUCACUUAACCUAGAUACACUUGCUAGGUUCUUGUCAUCUUCGCCUAGAUGACCACUUCUAGGUUUACUAGUUCAACCUAGGUUUUACUAACACUAGGUCAAAUGCCACAUACCUAGAUUGUUCGACUCUAGGUUUACUAAUCAAUCUAUGUUCUUUAACACUAGGUUAGAUGCCACUCGAUCUAUCCGACAACCUAGUUGUCCAAUCAACUCUAUUUACACUAGAGUUAUCAUGUCACUUACUUAGCUCUCAUGAUGCUACUUUGCAUUCUCUACUUUAACUAGCAUUAUGUACAUGCUAUGCUCAUUAUGCUUUCUACUUAGUAUCUCCAUCUAUGCAUAAUUAAUACAUGCAUUCUUUACAUCAACUAGCAUUAAUUACUUAGCAUGCUUUCCAUUUAGCAUUUGCAUCUUAUAUUAAUCAUGCUCUCUACUUAACCUUUAUUAGCAUGGCUCUAUGCAUCAUUAUUUAACAUGCAUUUACACUAUGCAUUAUUAUCAUCAUGCAUUCCAAUUACUUGCUUGCAUUAUUCAUUUAUCAUGCUCAUCAUGCAUUCUUUACUUUACUUGCAUUUACUCUAUGCAUAUUUAUUAAUGCACCAUUUGGUCUUGUCUACAUGCACAUGCAUCAAUAUGAGAUUACAUUGCUAAGACAUAAAGGGCGACCUAGUCGCUUCGGUAAGCACAACCCACCUUUAACUCGCGUUCCGAUUGCUCGUCGACACUUGCAAUCGGCCUCCCGCGGCACUCGGCACCCUUUGGGCCCGACAAGCUCUUGCACCUCAACCGUGUUCCGCUUUACAAAUCCGGAAAUUAUAGGUCUUUGGUUAUGCGCCACGAUGCCACACGUCCGUUCCCACGAACAUACGACGCCGUCUCGGACCUACAGGCAAGAAUGAAGCCUCAAGGCUUAUUUCUUUAAUAACUUUAAAACGGCUCGACGAAUGCUCAAUCCGUCUUCGCCCACGCGUUUCUUGACCUAGCAAUUAGGUUUCCAAGCACUCAAAAUAGAUCAAAACCCCACAUUAGCAAAAUCCCCAUUUGGGAUGCCCUAAUGCAACAUAGGCUUAAUACCUCGGAUUUGAUCUAUAAAACAAGCAAAAGAAAGCUUGUUAAUCAUCUAGAAGCUCAUCUAGGAGCAUUCGAACUCAUUCUAGGGUGUUUAAAGCAAACCCUAGAAAUCCACCAUUAGAGCCUCAUGAAGAACACCAUGGAUUUCAUGUGUUCUAGGCCUCUACGAAGUUCUAAAGCUUGUAGGGAGAUCAAAAUCCAAAGAUCUAGGGUUUAAAAUCCAUUCUACAAAAAUCUACCAUGAGAGGCUUGGAAGCUUACCUCUCCUAGAGCUCCAAGGGAGAGAAGAAGAUGAAGAGGAUGAUGAUGGUGAUGAUCCUCUUCCUCUCCUCCAUCUUCUCCUUCUUUUCUUUUUUCUUCUUUUCUCCUUUUCCUUUCUUCUCUUCUCUUUUUUCUUCUCUUUUCUUGCAACCGGUUGAGAGAGGGAGAGAGACACGAGAGAGAGAGAGAGAGAACUGUGGGAGUGAGAGAGAGUGAGAUAAAACACUCUCUAAUAGUGUAUUGUAACAAUAUCCACCUAGCCUCUCAAUAUUUUCCGUUUUUCCAACUUAACCCACUGUUCUAGGUCCCUUGUACCGGUACACGGGCUCUUGUACCGGUACAAGGCCCGACAGACAGCCAAAAUCGAGAGCUAGCUCGCUCGGUUUCGCAGGUUUUGUACCGGUACAAGGCCCCCCUUGUACCGGUACAGCGCCGUAGCACUGUUCCGUGAUGGUUGUACCGGUACAGCCAUCAUGCUUGUACCGGUACAGCACCUGCAGAAUGCUAUUUUCACUUCUUUUCGGCUCUAUUUCGCGCCGCACGAUGUCAAGACCCUUCCAACUCCUUUGGAACUCACUUUUACUCUUCCAAUCAUGUUGGAAUACCAACGAAAACUUGUCCAUCCAUCUUCUUCGCAUACUUUAAUCGAUUUGGCUAAAGUUCGAUAAUUUCUUCCGAAACCUCGGGGGUUACACUAACCACCCAUCAAAAUUGAUGGAUGGUUAAAAACUUAGGAGCACAAGGACUGCUGUGCUCCUAAUAGCACAGUAGCCCUACUAUAUAUAUAUAUAUAUAUAUAUAUAUAUAUAGAGAGAGAGAGAGAGAGAGAGAGAGAGAGAGAGAGUGUGUGGGUAAAGCAAACUAAGUGUAUAUAGAAAGAUUAUGCACAGAAAAGCUUAUAGACACAGAACCAAAUGACAGCAUGUCACACCCCGAGGUUCCUUUGAAGUUUAAAAUCGAUGCAGAAGUGUCCAAAUUUUUAUUUUAUUUUUUUAAACCUUGACCACAGGGAAUGUCAGAUCAGCCAAAAAUACAGAAAAUCCACUGUUCACACGAACAAAGUCUCCACUAUAUUUGCACGGUGUCGCACAAGUAUAAGAUACAACCACAUCAUAUAAACAUCCAUAUACAAUCACCACAUCACAGAAACCAAUUCACAUUUAUUCAAUCACAAGAUUACAAUAUUUUCUUUAUAAAUUUACAUCUAUUAGUUUGAAACGUUUUCCACCCGGAAACUCAUUUUGAAAUACUAAAAAUCAUAAAAAGUGAAAAAUCCUUUCUAAAACCGUUUCCCACACGAAAAUCUUUUUCUUUAAAACAAGCUACCACGAGGGGUAGAAAAUCAUUUUCAUACUUCACAUGAAAACCACAAGUACUUUAUUUAACUUUCCAAAACCAUAUAUAUAUCCAACUGAAAAGAAACCAACUGAACUAUAAAAUAUCUAAGUUACAUUAUUCUAAAUAAGUAAGGAUAGAAACUAAACCAAUUUAAUCGGGACGGAAACUCUAUCGACCGCUACUAACGUGUCUCACGCCUCGUCGCACCCUCAUCGCCUACUUCACCUAAAAAAUAGUGGGGUUGAGAACAUGUAAACACGUCUCCCCUCCCAGUGGGUACCGCAAGUCGACGAAGGCGAGGAAUACUCACCGGUACAGAGAAAGAUAAUCAGAGUUAUGAGCAGAUAUCACAAAUACAGUAGCAAUAAUAACAAAAGGAAAGAAAAUAGUAAUAGAACAAAUAACUACCACUACUGUAAAGUCGAACAGAAUACAUACAUGGAUAUCAUAACUACAGUAGCAAUGAUGCAGGGGGUAAACAAUAGUAUAGAGGAAUGUAACUAGCUGCUACUGUAAUACAGAACAACGUACAAGUAUGGAUCAACGAGACGAUCAGUCCCAAAAAUACCCAAUCCAGAAGCUGCCAUAUCAGUCCAAAGACCUCAGGCUAUGCCACUACCGCUUUAGCAAGGAUGUGACCCGAGCAAUAGGCCGCUAGGGUCUCCCUGGCAUAGAACCCAACAAUAGGCCACUGAGCUCACAGGUAGGAUGUAUGACAACUUUUCCAAAAAAGAACACCCUCCUGAGGUGGAUCAGAUCGCUGGUGUAUGUGAAAUGCAUAUGAGAAAUGGCGAUCGAUGCAAUAUGCUCAAUAGCCCACUGUCGGCGAAUAGCCGAAGUAAAGUCCAACAAAGAGUAACUGACCAACUAAGUCAACCUCUAUCUCAAAGAUAGAACAAUAUCAGAGUAACCAACCAACCAGGUCAACCUCUAUCUCAAAGAUAGAAAAAUAUUACCAACCAAUCAUAUCAAAACAGUGCAGGUCAUGCAAUAGACCACUAGAAAUGGCACAGGCCACGAAGUCAACUAAUGUCAAAUCACAGCAUGUAUGAAUACGAGUGUCACUGACUACAAAGUCAACUAAUGUCAAAUCACAGCAUGUAUGAAUACGAGUGUCAUCGACUAGAAAGUCAACUAAUGUCAAAUCAUAGAUCAGUAUAAUCUAUAAUCAUCUGUCGGCAACUAGCCGACAAUCCUACCCGUCAGAGUAUACUGACCUCAUAGGUCAUCAAACGACAGAAGUCAUGUAACCGACCGACUAGGUCACAAGAGUGUCACAAUGGACGAGAUGCAAACAAUAUCCGCUCUACUUCUCGAAAAUGAUAACAAAUAUAGAAGAAGACUAAGUAGAGCAAUACAUAAAUGUUCACAUGGUGUCAGGUCCAAGAAUGGUAAACAACUGUAAUAAGAGAGAUAGAGCAGAGAGAAUAUCACCUAGCGUGUACCACUAGACCGACUCCGGAUCGAAGUAUCUACCUGUAUGAAUAACGCGCCUAUCUCGCGACUGUGGAAGAACAUCAACUAGACCUACGGAGAGUCCACCGGGUUAGAAUCCAACCCAUAAAUAUGAAAUACUAAACUCACAUCCCCACAAUUAAUCCCACGGGGAUCGGUUUCCCAAAACCGAUUACCGUUACUCGCCGGGAGUCCCGAAAAUCGCACUGGGACUCCGCCGGGACCCACGAAGUGUCCCGACACUCACUGACUCAUGCCAUGAGUCACCCAUUGCCACAAAACAUAUCGUUUUGGAUGUCUUGGCAGUAAACACAAGGUCAUAAAUCAGAACAAUUAUCGUCGGAUAAUCGUUUAGAUCCGGGUUCUCGGAAGUGUCAAUUUCGACACCAGAACCCACCAUUGCUCAUCCAUCAUCUUCGAACCCUCGAAACGACGUAACUGACUAGCCAACAAGGCUCAGUGACAAAUGUAAUGUGCUCGAACAUCGUCAGAAGGAAUCCGAACCGAAAUCGCGUUCCGUCGAUGAAUUUCGCCGAAAAACGCUCUGAAAAUCGAUAUUCGAUUUCCGCAAAGGCCUCGGACCUUGGAUAAUCAGUCCAGAGAUCACCCGCCACCCUCACCAACUACCCACAGUAGCCACGAAGUGAACAUUUGCAUAAAAGUCCCUACAAUCACAUAAAAUUAUAUUAUUUUAUGUGAUUUUUGGGGUUUUACUGCUUAACAGCACAAAUCAAAGGUUUUCGAGGCUGGCCGAGACACACAUUGAUAGGUCUCAACGUGCCGGAGGCCAUGCUCACGAUCCGGACCACUGUGGAGAGUGCGGGAGCGACACCAAGUUCAGCGAACUGCUCGCGCUGAACCUAAACCACGCUUACCUCGCAAACUGAGGGCUCGUUGACCCCAAAGGAGAUGAGCAAGAUGAUUGGCACUGAUCAUGAAUCAUCGUGCUCACUUCCGAAAGCAUCGGGGUGCCCUCGGGUCGCCGGAACAGCAAUCCGAACCGAAAAUAAUGCACAGAUAACAGCUUAAUAAAGCUUACCAUCUAGGGGGAGUUAGGGCACGGCCGGCGGCUGCGGGGCGGCGGUCGCGCCGGCGACGGGUGGGUGCGGCCGGUGGGUGGAUGCCAGGGCUCACGUCGGCUGGUGACGGAAGGUAGUGGCGGCGGUAGGCAAUGAUGCCCUAGCCGCACGGGUCAAGGAGGAGCUGGGCUCAAGUCCGACCGGCAGGGGGCUCCGGCGGCGGGGGCACCGGCGAAAAUAGGAUGCAGCCAACCAGGGGAAGCUGGCGCUCACACUAGUCAGCAGCGGUGGCGGCACGAAAAGAAACUGAGCCCGCACUGUCACGCCCCCGCCUCGAAACCCCUACCAAUUUGGCACGGUUCGGGCGCGGCGAACGUGCAGCAACUCCCCUGCUUGCCCAAGGCUCACAACCUGAUCAUGAACAAGAAUUUAACCAGAAAAAUUUAAAUUCAUACAUACACGAUCAACGGGGCGCAAGUGUAACAUACCAAAUUUUGGUAUAAAAAUAAAAAUAAAUAAAAAUAGUGUGAGAAACUAUUUUUAUUGGGUUUAUAGAAGUAAAGCAUAAGUCAGAAGUGACUUGUGCUGAAAUCGGAAUGAAAACAGAAGAUCUAGAAUUUUCUGUUGGAAACGGGACAGAGAAAUUAGCAGAAAAUGCACAGUCUCAGAAAAUUAUGAAAAUUGGAGGAUAAGUCAGAAAUAUUUUUAUGAGGCUAGAUUUAAAGUUUCAUAUUUUUCUGACACCCAUAGAGUGAGAAAUAAAAUCCGACAGUUAUCUGAUAAAGAUUACAGUUCGGUACGGUUUUCGGUGACCAAAUGACGUCGAAACUGGAAACUUAAAAUAUAUUCUUGCUCAGUACGUAAAACCGAACAUGACUGUCAAGUUUGAGCUCAAACGGACAUUCAGGGAGCUCCGGCGAAAGAUAUCAGAUUUCAAGCUGCCCGGGAGUGAAUAGUGUCGUGGGGGUAUUAUAAAGAAGCUGUUGCUUCUUCUUCUCCUUCGGCCGCACACCACACAUGCACACGACACACACACACACGCAAGGAAAGGGAAAGAGAGAAAACUCCUUUUCUCUCUCUAGAUCUCUCCCAAAAUUGAAGGUUUUGGUGGAGAAGCAAGCUUGGAAGUUGAUCUUCAUCUUCUUUAUCUUCUUCCUCUCCAUUAGAGCAAGCUUUGAAGGUAAGCUUCAAACCCUUUAAUGGCAUUUCUCUCUAGUUUGGUUUUUAAGCUCUAAGAAUGGAUUUAGAGGUAUUCUAGCAUGCUAAUUAGAGGUUUGAUGCUUGAAAUCAAGGCUCUAAUGGUGGAUUUUUACCUAUUGAAACCUAGAGCUCCAAAAUGAGGGCUUUAAUGGUAGAUCUCUAAAGAUAGGUCUAAAUGCUUUGGAAAUGGUUUUAGUGGAACCCAUUGAUGCCUAAUAGAUGAUUAAUGCUUGAAUCAUAGAGCAAUUUAAUGAUUUCUUGCAUAGUUGUAAACCUAGGGCUCAAAAUGCAAACUUUCAACAUAUGAGGGUUUGAUCUCAUUUGACCCUCCGUAAACCAAAUUGCUAGGUAACGAAACGCGUUGGCGAAGACGGUUCGGCAAUCCGACGAGCCGUUACAAAGUUAUUAAAGAAAUGGACGUUUAGGCUUCGGGUCCGCCGGGAGGGCCGAGGCGAUAUCGUAAAUUCAUGAAAAUGGAUUUGAAGCAUCGUGGCACAUAACCGAAGACCUUUAAUUUUCGGAUCGUGAAUUGGAGGCCGUUCGGGUGGUCGCGUGAGAGAUCGGGCCAAACCGGGUGCCGGGUGCCGCGGGCGGCCGAUUGCAAGUGUCGACAAGCAAUCGGAAUGCGAAAUGAGGUGGGUUGUGCUUACCGAAGCGACUAGGUCGCCCUUUAUGUCUAAGAAAUGAGAUUUCAUAUUGAUGCAUAUUGACAUAAUAUAAGAAUGUGAAAAGAAUGCAUGUUAACAUACUAUAGAAAUGCUAGAUGAAUGCAUAUGAUUAAUGCUUUGAAUGCAUAAUAUAAAGGGCGUAUGAAUGUUAGCAUUAUAAGAACAUCAUAAAAGGAAUGUAUGAUGACAUGUUGUAGAAUAUGCUAAAUGUAAUGCAUAAUGAAUUAAGUGCUAAAAGAAUGCAUGAGAUGCUAAGUAUGGACUAUUUUGGAUAAUGACUAUAUGUAUGUUGACAAAUCAUGUGAUGCUAGUGGUAUAUGUGCAUGAUGAUAUAUUAUGAAUUUACAUAUUGUGGAUUAUGUUAAAUAGAAAAACAUACUUGAUGACAUAUUGCCAUGUUGUGGAACAUAGUGGACAAUCUAUAUAUAUAUUAGAUCGAGUGGCAUUAAACCUAGCAUCUUGAACCUAGCAAACACUUGUGGUGAUUGAUCAUAUAUAUUCUGGUGUCAUUCAUGUAUGUUAGGACCCUAUUAUUGUGUAAAUGUGAGAGUUGGACUUGAACAUUAGUAAACAAGGGUGACAAUGACAAUAGAGACAUGAUUGGCAUCAAGAAAGUGAUUGUUAAACAUAGUUUAACCAUAUUGACAUUGGUCCAAGUUGACAUAGAGAGUGGCAUGAUUAAAUAGGUAGAGACCUAUCAUGACAUUGGCAUUGUGACGAGUGGCUAUGAAUCCUCAAGUUGAGGAUUGGAUCGAUACUCACGUUACGUCUUGGCUUGAGGGAGGUAGCUCCCCCUCGGGCGGUGCGCUCCGGAGUUGGUCACCACUGGGCGUGGUAAAGUCCCACCAGUUGACGGUCCCUAGGGAGGUUCGAGUCCCCCGUUAUUAAGGGAUUUGGUUGUGAGUUAUUGGGGUUAACAUGGUUAACCGGUAAGAUUGGGUCAUAGCCAAAUGAGUGUACAACAAGUAUGCAUUAUGAGUUAUGGAUUUGGUAUCCUAGUCGAGAGGAUUUAGGGCUGAGGUGUAUGUGAGACGUCCAUCGCCUCGAGCCUGGUUCUAGUGCGGUACUCCGCAGACGAUUGACUCAAGACCGAGUCGGGUGGUUAGCCUUGUAAAGGUAGAUGAAACUUUAUGAUUAAAACGGUGAUUGACAAGAAUCUAAGAUAGAGGAAACCUUAGAUAUCGAAUGGAUGAGCUAUGGUUAGCAGAAUUGAAAGUAGUGUCAAAUGAACUACUAGUUGGUUGCAUAGUUGCAUUAUUGCAUGAUUUGCAUAUAGCAUUGCAUUAUUGCAUUCGUGAGGCAAUGCAUGGUUUUAUUCGUUGCAUAAUCAAGAUAUAUAUCUAUCUGUUUAUUGAACUAACUUGCAGUUGCCUCCCUUGGACCUAUUGGUCGAGCUUUUCCCUUGGGUGGCCGUACCCACUGGGAACCAUGGAGUUGGUUCUCACCCCACGUGGUUUUGGGGUGUUACAGGUUCGCACGUGAGCGGCGCGGCGGCGCGAGGCGAGGGCGUAGCUCCAUAGUUAGCGCCCUACCACCGAGACCAGAGAUAGCGGUACCCUGAGUCGGCCUUACUUAGGGAUGUAAAGAAUGAAAAGAAUCAAGUUGUAAUAAUCAUGUUAAAUCGGAUUGUAUUUGGAAGUUAAGUGAAGGCUAAUGUAAGAACCAAUUGAGAAUUGUGAUGUAAAAAUAUAUGAAUAUGAAUGUAUGUAAUAAUAUAGGAUGUGUUUAUAUUGUUUGAUACCUUCCAUUAUGCAAUCUUGAUUGAAAUGUGUUCCUGGUUGGAACUUCGCACAUUGUUUUGAUUGCUAUGCCUUGAACGUACAGGGGAGACUCUGUCCGCAGUACAGGGGAAACCCUGUCUAUUCGGCGGUCUGUCGGCGGCGCCGCGAUCCGGCCAAAUAGGCGGGCGGUCGCGGGGCGUGACAGAUAAGAUGGUAUCAGAGCAUAAAAAGAACAUAAAAAGAAUAAUAGAAAAUGGUUUAGUUGGACCUAGGAAACCCUAGGAUAGUGAACCAUAGGAGAUUAAGGCUCGUGAGAGACGAGGACUUGUUUCUUUUGGCGAAAGGUUAAUUGAUUGGGUUAUGUUGUAAACCUCUAAAACGGAUGUUGGGGGUAGAUUCAAGGUGUGGUUUAUUCUCAACCGAGGGUGUUCAUGUUGGAUGCAUACAACAUGAAACCGAGUAAUGAGAAUAGACGACCUUGCGUGACUUUCGCCCGAUUUGAGUCGGUAUUAAGUGUUUCGUGUUCGACCUAGAAGGUCGAGGAUUAAUAAGGUCGUCGCGUUUUAGGGAGUAAUAGCAUCUCGUAGGCGAUCUUCAUUUAGAUCGGCGCGGGAUGGGCCAAGUGGUGUCCCUGGGCAAUUUGAGGCGAGCGGAGACUUGGAACUUCGCGAGUUUUGGCGUCCCUCGUGACUUUUGAGAAAUUAACGGGAUCCUCAUCGUGUUAAACCACUUUUGGUCGAAUUGACCAAAAUGUGUCGAGAGAAAUAGUUGCACAAGUUCCAAUUAGCAUUCCAACAAUGUUGGGAGGGUUAAAGUUGAGUUCCAAAAGAGUUAGAAAGGUUUUAGCAUUGCUCGGCGCGAGUUGGAGUCGAAGCGGUGCAAAAUCGAAAUUCUGGAACAUGUGUUACCGAUUUAACACCAGGGGGGUACCGGUAUAGCAUGGUUGUAACGAAGUGAAUUCUCGAGAGCCGAGAGUUGGACUUCGUUCAGGAUCGGCUAGUUGUUGAGUGGGUAUGUAAUAUACCGAAACUUCGGUAAGCGAACAUCGAACCUCAGUCAAAUUGACCAAAGAGCGAGGUUGGUACGCUUCGGAAAGGCCGAAGGCGUCAAAUAAUGCAAAAGUGCAUUACUGGGGAUCUUCGAGAGCUUUGGAAAUCAAAAUCUGCAAAACUGCAGAUUUUGUGCUCUCGGGGACCGGUCCCUGCCGGGAGAGACCGGUCCCCGCACUCACAGACAGCGAAAGGGAGGAAAAAUCGGCUAAGUCCUUGGUGGACAGCUCUCGGAGACCGGUCCCUGCUGGAGAGACCGGUCCCUGAGAGACCGGUCCCCCAAAGAAAGACCGGUUGCAUCGGGUGUGAGCUCUGCUGACUGCGGGGAGAAGCUCUCGGAGACCGGUCCCUCGUCGGGGACACCGGUCCCCGAACCCGAAAAUGGCCCAGUCAGGGCAGUGUAAAAGAAUAAAAGUUGAGGGGCUUGUUUGCACUUAUGCAACAUGUGGGGCUAUGUGAGGGGUAUGAGAGCUCUUUUCUCUUAUUUCUCACCCACACACCCUCUCAUAUCUCUCUUUCUCUCUCUAGCAGACAAGAAGAGGAAGAAGAAAGGAAAGGGAAGAAAAAGAAGAAGAGGGAGGUCUUCCUCAUCUUCCUUAUUUUCUCCUUGGUUGGAGCUUCUUUGAGAGGUAAGCUUCUAAGCUCUCUCCCAUGGUGGAUUUCUAGAGAUAGACUUGAUUGCUCUAGAAAUGGAGUUUUGUAUUAUGUGAGGGCGUAGUACCUGCCAGUACAGGUAUAGAGCCAGAUGGCACUAGCAAAGUGCUAGAAGUAAUUUAUGGCGAGAAGUGAGACUCGCGGUAGAAAUAGAAGCGUCGAAAUGACUCUCAAAGCAGUAUGAGUGGUAAAUUGCGAGAGUCGAGCCAUAACGCCUAUGGGCACCCGAGUAGUCCGAAAAUUUCGGAUGUCAUUCCGGUAAAUCGAACAGUGAAAGUAGCAUCACUUUUGAGAGAACGGUCGAUUAGUGGCCAAGUUUGAGCAUGUGGGCCUAGUAGUACCUCAAGGUGAGGUAGGCGGUUGUGCUCGUGCGGCCGGUGUGCAUAGGCAAGAUUGCCUAAUGCUGGACUUCGUGUGGAACGCUGUAGAGGCGUAGAGCGCUCGAGUGUAGAGACCCGCAGAGUACGGAUGCGUAUUCAGCCAAGUGAGUGAGUUGGCAGUAGCACUUGAGCAUUGCUAGGUGUGAAGCGUGCCAUGGAUCACUCGUGGGACUGGUGACUCGCACUAGGUGUAUAGGAGCCGAUAUUGGUACGUGUGACUCGGUAGAGUAUGUCGUGUAGGACGACGACGGCGGGUAGUGCUUGGGGACGACCCGUGCCUGGACCGUUUGUGGACUGUGGAGCCUGGGCCCAUUGGGCAGGCACAGUCAGCUGUGAGUGACAGCGGCCCGGUACCUACGGGUAGGGCGGAGUUCUAGUCAGGACGGUAGUCCGAGUUUAGGCCCGGGAGCGUGGAAUGCCACGCGAUAGAUUGUGUGACCGAUGGUACACCGAGUAUGGUUGUGACCCAACCCGAUGACUUGACGUGGUUUGGGGUCUUAGUUGCUCCUGGUUGGAGUGUGUGCGAAUUCCCAAGUGAGAAUUUCACCCGAUCAUGAUUGGGUCUACAUUUGCGAACGAGAGACGCUGCGUAUUGAGACAGGUUUAAGCUGUAAGCCUACGUAGGAUUGGUGGCCUUUGGUCCACCGGUGGAGACCGACAAGAGCGAUUUGGCAGAUAGCCUUAUCGAGGAGUUUGACUCGAAUUCACGAACGAAGUGCUCGCGUGAGCUCGUUGCGAGAAUAGUUUGAUGUUGAUCGUGGCAUGUGGUAUCAGAUGAUGAAGUACUCUUUGUGAGACAUCAAUCUAGUGGAAAGCCACAUGAUGUUGGAGACUAUGCUUGUAAGCGAACUGAGACUUGAGAUGUGCCGAAGUGGGCCAUCUCGCGUUAAAGUUAAGGGUCAGUGCAAAAUUAGAGCACUCAUGACGAAGCGAUGCAUCGGUGAUAUUGCUCCUAAGCAAUGUCGGUGAUCGAAUCAGAAUGUAUUCCCUGAAGGGAAGGUAAGUGCAAGAAAGAGUUCUUUGUGUACCGAAUGGCGAGUGGUGUUGGAGCGCGUAGAGUCGUCGAGUAUCGACUUACGCUGCCACCAUGACAUGCAAGACCCGUGAUGCACUUUUCUAUCACACCUUGCAAAUGUGUCUAGGAUUAAACCCACGUCCUUCAGUAUGAGCCGCUUCUGGAACCACGAUAGUGUGAAGCCGCUCCGGAGUGGGAAAAUAAGUUGGUACCCUCAAUUGCUCACAGAGCUGAAUUGAGGCGUGGUUUGAAUUUCGCGGACGAAAUUCUUUUAAGGGGUGGAGAAUGUAACAUACCAGAUUUUGGUAUAAAAAUAAAAAUAAAUAAAAAUAGUGUGAGAAACUAUUUUUUUUGGGUUUAUAGAAGUAAAGCAUAAGUCAGAAGUGACUUGUGCUGAAAUCGGAAUGAAAACAGAAGAUCUAGAAUUUUCUGUUGGAAACGGGACAGAGAAAUUAGCAGAAAAUGCACAGUCUCAGAAAAUUAUGAAAAUUGGAGGAUAAGUCAGAAAUAUUUUUAUGAGGCUAGAUUUAAAGUUUCAUAUUUUUCUGACACCCGUAGAGUGAGAAAUAAAAUCCGACAGUUAUCUGAUAAAGAUUACAGUUCGGUACGAUUUUCGGUGACCAAAUGACGUCGAAACUGGAAACUUAAAAUAUAUUCUUGCUCAGUACGUAAAACCGAAUAUGACUGUCAAGUUUGAGCUCAAACGGACGUUCAGGGAGCUCCGGCGAAAGUUAUCAGAUUUUAAGUUGCCUGGAGUGAAUAGUGUUGGAUGUUAAUGUAUAAAGAAGCUUUGCUUCUUCUUCUUCCUCCCAGCCGCACACACACACCCGCACACACACACACAACACACGCAUGGAAAGGAAAGGAGAAACCUCUCUUUUCUCUUUCUAAUUCUCUCCCAAAAUUGAUGAAAUUGGUGGAGAUUGAAGCUUGGAGAUGGAUUGCCUUCAUCUUCUUCAUCUUCUCCAUGGUUUGGAGCUAAUUGAGAGGUAAGCUUUAGCUACCCUUUAAUGGUAGAUUCUUAAUGGUUGGUUUAAAUACCUUAGAAAUGGAUUUAGAGGAAUCCUAGCAUGCUAUCUAGAUGAAUGAUGCUUGAUUCAUGAAGGAAUUUGGUGAAUUUUUAUCUAGUUGUAAACCUAGGGUUCAAAAUGCUAAUUUUCAAAAUAUGAGGGUUUGAUAUAAUUUAACCCUCUGUAAACCUAAUUGCUAGGUAAACGAACGCGUUGGCGAAGUCGGUUCGGCGAUUCGUCGAGCCGUUGCGAAGUUAUUAAAGAAACGGACGUUUAGGCUUCGUUUUCGCCUAGAGGGCCGAGGUAACGUCGUAUGCUCAUGAAAACGAAUUUGAAGCAUCGUGGCACAUAACCGAAGACCUUUAAUUUCCGGAUCGUGAAUUGGAGGCCGUUCGGGUGGUCGCGCGAGAGAUCACGCCAAACCGAGUGCCGGAUGCCGCGGGAGGCCGAUUGCAAGUGUCAACAAGCAAUCGAAAUGCGAAAUGAG